AGAAACUCAAGGAACUGGAAAGACCACUCUUCAGCUCCUUCGUCUUCUUCACAAGCUCGAGCUAUGGUUCGGCGGCGAUCGGAAAGGGGCAGGCAGCUGUAACUCCAGAUCUUGUUCACCUCAUGGUCCAAGAGGAAGCUAGCUUGAGUAGAAGACAUUGGAGACACUCAAAAUUCUCACUAGCGCCAUGACUCUAACUCGUUGAAGACUCCUUCAGCAUAGCUUUAUAGGACCAAAAAGCUUUGUAACAGUGAGUACCGCUACCCCUAAUCCCUUAAACACUUGAUAAUUUCAUAUGAUUUGAUUCAACUCACCGCUUAAUAGAUUGAGCUCCCAAAAAAGCUAAUACCACUAUUCAGGGAUGAGGUUUAUCAUAUCUUAUGAAUUUAACUUUCUGUGGAAAUUGGUAUUUUUGCUAUUCAACUAGUUGUUGCUUUAUCUAUACCCUGCUUGUUUUGGAAUUUUCUUAUGCGCAAGUUUGGGAUUCUAAGUUUUUCCAUCUGUAUGAUUGCUCUUCCUGCACUUGGAACUUGCUCGAAACUAGUAUAUGUAAUAUGAUUUGUACCUGGUCUAUCAAUGAUGGUCUUAAGAGCUAAUGAAUCUGUCUCUAGUGUAACAGGGUAAUUUCUGAUUUAUACAAUGCUCAAGCCCCAAUCUCAAUGCAAUUACUUCAGCUUCUAGUACAGCCCCUUCCCAUGUUGUUCUUGUUUCAGCAUAUACAAAUUCUCCACUGUCACUCCUCACACAAAAGGCACUGGACAUAGGACCUGGGUUGCCUUUACAUGCUCCAUCAGAGUUGCAUUUGGAAGUUCCCCUCCCAGGGACAUUCCAAGUAACAACUUUUGUGAUUAGAAGUGGAGUAUACUCCUCUAAGUAUUGCACAAUGCAAGGCUAACUCUUAGGAAUAUCCAUUUGUAACACCCCGUAACUAGAAAUAAGUUAAAAAUUGGAAAUAGUCAUUUUUGGAAACAAUAUAAAAAUCUGGAAAAUUGUUAAGUAUGUUAAGUUGAGUUUUUGGUCAACUUCAAACGACCAUGACUCCUAGCUCAGGAUGAUUUAGGUGUAUUUUCGGAUAUUGUAGGAAAGAUCUUGGAAUAAUCUUUUCAACACCGUCGAGUUUGCGCGAUUCGAGUUCGUAUGAGUGAGAUAUGCUCAUUUGAAGUUAGGUUGUUCAAAUAAGGAAAGUCUAAUCCGGAUUUUAGAAGGGCAUUAUGGUCUUUUCCAUACCCCAUGACGUAAUUUCAUUUUUGGUAAUUAAUUGGGGUCUAAGCUGAUAGGAUUCAGUUUACACUUGUACAAAUAUUGAGUUAGGAUUUUAGAGAAGAGAAAAGAAGAAGAGAAAGGAGGAGAAGAAGCCAAAAUCGUCAAAUUCUCAAAGCUAGGAUCGUGGAUUUCGUCAAGGGGUGAUCCCUAUGAGGUAUGUGAGUUCACACAGCGUUGGGUUCGUUCACCCACGCUCCAAAUAUGUUUAAUUCAGCAUGAAUUCGUCCUAAAAGUUGAAAGUUAGAAUGUUCUUGAUGUGUGUUCUUGAAUUUACUUUCGUUCUUGAAUUUGGGAUGAGAUUGAGGAGUUCUUGAGAGUUUAAGGUCGAUUUUAGAGUUGUGUACGAUUAGAUUCUUGUGUAAAUAUUCUGGGUAUCUGAAUCUAAAGAGAAUUGGAGAAAAAGAAUCGAAUAUAGGCGAUUUGAGGUUAGAAAACGAAGAAUGAACAAGUCGGCAAAAUCUGGGUACCAGGUCCGCGUCGCGGACCUAUUCCUCAGGAUUGAAAAAAAUAUCUUCGCGGAGCAGAGUGGUCACGAACCGUUCUGCCUCAAAAUUUAUUUCGUGACCAAAUAUUUAAAUGUAUCUCUGAGUCGCGGACUAGUUUCCAAACAGUAAUUUCUUGAUCUUUUCUCAUGUUUAACUAUCUAAAAACACUCCUAAACAUCAUGAGAUUUUUCCUAUCAAAAAUCACAAUCCUUGAAUCCAUAAUUCAAUUCAAGAAAACUUAAGAGUCAAGUCAAGAGAAGUUCAUAGAGUCUUUCAAAAGACUUUUACAAAUGUUUUAACUUUGUUUUAAGACUUGUGUUUUGAGUUCAGUAAAUAGUAAAAAGUUUGAAGUUCAGUUCUUCAAAAGAGUAUAUGGGGAUUGUAUUUCCAAAGAGUUUAAAAUAUUUUCACAUUUAAAGAAGAAAGGAAACUUUGAUUUCCAAAAAGAGCAUUUGAGCUAGUUUUCAGUAAAGAGUAAAAUGUUUUCACAUUUUAAACAAGAAAGGAAACUGAGAUUUCCAAAGAGCCUUUGAGCUAGUUUUCAGUUAAAGGGUAAAUGCUUUCACAAUUAAGCAAGAGAGGAAAUUUUUGAUUUCCAAGAGGAGCCUUUGAGCUAAGUUUUUGAGUAAUUAUCUCAAAUCACAGAAAGAAGUAUGUUUUUUUAAACAUAAGAGCUAGUAUCACAUUUUGGGAGUAGUAUUGAGCACCGAUAUGAGGGAGAUUUCAGACAACUCACAACCCCCAUAAACCAUGUAGCCACCAUGGGUAGAAAGGGUUAUACUUUUUAGAUGAUUCCAUAGUGCUUUUUAGCAUAGACUAGUGGAUCCACUUAAUAGUUCAAGUUCUAUACCCCUAGCAAGGUAUAGGACGACCCUUGCAGCGUGAGGCAAAACAUUGUAUCAUCACGAUAGCUCUUAAGUGAUGGUUGUCGGUUAGAAAAACUCCCACAACAGUAUUUUGUAUUUUUAAAUACAUCAAAAAUAUUUGUAUUUUUAUAUACAAAUAGAGUUCAUAUUGUAUCUUUCCAUACAUACAGAGUCAUUGUAUUUCUAAAUACACAUAGUUGAAAACCAUGUUUUAAAGCUUUUCUUUAUACUGCAUUUAUUUACACUACUUUAUAUUGAAAUCAGUUCAGUUCAGUUCAGUUCAGUUGAGCUAGGUAAGUUCUUCAUUUCCUUUCAAGCUUAUGUCUUGUUUUAGAAUUCCCCUCGCAUACUUGUACAUUCAAUGCACUGAUGUCAUUUGGCCUGCAUCUUAUUAUGAUGCAGACACAUGUAACUAAGAUCGGCAUCUAGCGUAUCGUUGAUCAGUUGAACACUUCAGAGUCUUGUGGUGAGCCUCCUUGCUUUCCAGAGGAUCCCUUUUAUUGCUUUCGGUAUUAUUAUCAGUUCAUUAGGAUGUCGUGGGGUUUGUCCCGAUAUUCAUCUCAGUUGUUUUAGAGGCUUCAUAGAUAGAUAGUCAGAUGUUAGUUCUUUAGUGUUUUCAUUGUAUUUAUCUUAUGUUGAGACUUGAGGUUGCCUUAAUGGCCAGUUGAAUGUUCCUUUAUAACAUUCCAGUUUAUUACAUUGAUUUAUCUUUGUUGAGUUAAGUCUUUCGCUGAGUAAGUAAGUCAGGACAAGGGUUCGCUUGGGGCCAACAAUGGUUCACGAGUGCCAGCCACGUCCGGGGUGUAGGCUCUGGGCGUGACAAACUUGGUAUUAGAGCACAAAGUUCAAGAGUCCUAGAGAGUCUAUGAAGCCGUGUCUGUAGAGUCCUAGUUAUCGAUGUGAAGUGCGCCACAUCUAUAAUUAGGAGGCUGCAACACUUAGGAAAAUUUCUCACUUCUUUCACACUCUUUCGUGCGUUAGAGUUUGAUCUCUAAAAAGAUUCCUUCUAAUCGGUGCUUGUGCGUGUUUUCAGAUAAUCAUGCCUCCACGAAGAGCUGUCAGAUGUCAUCCUGCUAGGCGUAAUGUUAAACCACAGGAACUAGGGGUACCUACUGCACCAAACGUGCAACCCCAAGGAGAGGUAACCAAUGCUGAGUUUCGUAAGGCUAAGAUGCUAAGUCAAGCUGUGACUAAUCAGGUUGGGCAACAAAGAGGAGCUCGACAAGUAGAGGCUGACACUUCGAGAAUUCGUGAUUUCUUGAGGAUGAACCCUCCAAGUUUCAUUGGUUCAAGCACCACUGAGGAUCCAGAGAACUUUAUUGAGGAACUGAAAAAGGUAUUUGAUGUUAUGCACGUUGUCAAUAUUGAGCGAGUUGAACUAGCUGCAUAUCAAUUGAAGAAUGUUGCUAGGACUUGGUUUGACCAGUGGAAGAAGGGUAGAGCUGAGGGAGCACCACUUGCGAGUUGGGCAUGUUUUGAAGAGGCCUUCUUCGGGCGUUUCUUUUCUCGAGAACUGAAAGAGGCUAAGGUAUGAGAGUUCCUUACCCUUAAGCAAGAGUCACUAAGUGUUCAUGAGUAUGGGUUGAAGUUCACCCAACUAUCUCGCUAUGCUCCGGAGAUGGUUGCGGAUAUGAGGAGUAGAAUGAGUCUGUUUGUUGCUGGGUUGUCCCGUCUAUCAAGCAAAGAGGGAAGGGCAGCGAUGCUAAUUGAGAACAUGGAUAUAUCGAGGUUAAUGGUAUAUGUGCAACAUGUUGAGGAAGAGAAGCUGAGGGAUAGAGAGGAGUUUAAGAACAAAAGAGCUAAGACAGGGAACAAGUCCGGGUAGCAGAAGAGUAAUGCCAACCGAUCAUCCUUCCAACAGAAACAGAAGGGGCUGCUCCAUCAUCUGCUAGUGCACCAACACCAAAUAAUAAGAGUGAGGACAAUAGUCAGAAUUUCAGAGCCAAGCUUGCCUAUUCUUAGGGUAGUAUCGUGCAAGGGGGUAGUAAGCCACCUGCCUGUACUAAGUGUGGUAGGAACCACUCAGGUACAUGUCGUGAGGGCUCCACUGGUUGUUUCAAGUGUGGCCAGAAUGGGCAUUUCAUGCGAGAGUGUCCAAAAAACAAGAAGGGUAAUGGUAAUGAGGGCAAUAGAGCACAGUCUUCUUCUGUUGCUCCACCAAACAGAGCUGCAUCUAGAGGGGCUACUUCCGGUACUAGCGGAGGAACAAACCGCCUAUAUGCUAUCACCAGUCGCCAGAAACAAGAAGAUUCGCCAGAUGUUGUCACUGGUAUGAUCCAAGUCUUUAACUCUAAUGUUUAUGCUUUGCUAGACCCAGGAGCGAGUUUACCUUUGUAACUCCUUAUGUUGCAAUGAAUUUUGAUGUUAUUCCUGAGCAACUUAGUGAACCAUGCAGUAUUUCUACACCUGUUGGUGAGUCUAUUCUAGUAGAGAGAGUCUAUCGUGAUUGUCAUGUUUCCAUCAAUCACAAGAGUAUCAUGACUGAUUUAAUUGAGUUAGACAUGAUAGAUUUUGAUGUCAUUCUUGGUAUGGACCGACUUUAUGCCUGUUAUACCUCAGUUGAUUGUAGAACUCGAGUUGUCAAGUUUUAGUUUCCAAAUAAGCCAAUCUUAGAGUGGAAAAGCAGUUCAGCAGUGCCUAAGGGUCGUUUUAUUUCGUACCUUAAGGCAAAGAGGUUAGUUUCUAAGGGGUGUGUCUAUCACUUAGUCUGAGUUAAUGACUCUAGUGUUGAGAUACCUCCUAUUCAGUCAGUUUCAGUAGUAAAAGAGUUUCCAGAAAUCUUCCCGGAGUCCCUCCUGAGAGAGAAAUAGACUUCGAUAUAGACAUUCUUCUAGAUACUCGUCCUAUCUCUAUUCUGCCAUAUAGAAUGGCACCAGCAGAGGUGAAAGAGCUUAAGAGCAGUUGAAAGACCUCUUUGAUAAGGGCUUCAUUCGACCAAGUGUCUCACCUUGGGCCGCUCCGGUCUUAUUUGUGAGAAAGAAGGAUGGUUUCCUUAGGAUGUUUAUAUAUUACCGUCAGUUGAACAAGGUUGCCAUCAAGAACAAAUAUCCUCUCCCAAGGAUUGAUGAUCUUUUCGAUCAACUUCAGGGUGCCACCUGUUUCUCUAAGAUAGAUCUUAGAUCAGGCUACCAUCAGUUAAGAGUAAGGAAAUGUUACAUUCCAAAGACAGCUUUCAGAACCUGUUAUGAUCAUUAUGAGUUUUUGGUCAUGUUCUUUGGUUUGACCAAUACACCUGCAUCAUUCAUGGACCUUAUGAAUAGAGUUUUCAAACCUUAUUUAGAUAUGUUUGUUAUCGUCUUCAUUGAUGACAUACUAAUCUAUUCAAGGAAUGAAGAAGAUCAUGCUAGUCAUCUCAGAAUAGUUCUCCAGACUUUAAAAGAUAGGGAGUAUAUGCCAAGUUCUCUAAGUGUGAGUUUUGGCUUGAGUCUGUGGCAUUCUUAGGCCACAUUGUGUCUGGAGAGGGAAUGAAAGUUAAUACUCAAAAAAUAGAGGCAGUGCAGAAUUUACCUAGACCCACAUCUCCAACUGAUAUUAGGAGUUUCUUGGGUUUGGCUAGCUAUUAUAAAAGGUUUGUAGAGGGGUUCUCAACUAUUUCAUUCCCUUUGACCAAGUUAACUCAGAAAAUAGUGAAGUUUCAAUGGUCUGAACCUUGUGAGAAAGACUUUCAGGAAUUGAAAAAGAGGUUGACUACUGCCCAGUAUUGACCUUACCAGAAGGUAUACAAGGCUUUGUUGUAUAUUGUGAUGCGUCUAGAGUUGGUUUGGGUUGUGUAUUAAUGCAGAAUGACAAAGUUAUAGAUUAUGCCUCCAGACAGUUGAAAGUUCAUGAGAGGAACUACCCAACCCAUGAUCUAGAGUUGGCCGUUGUAGUUUUUUCUUUGAAAAUAUGGCGUCAUUAUCUUUAUGGUACUCAUGUGGAUGUGUUCACUGAUCACAAGAGCCUUCAGUAUGAGUUUACUCAGAAAAGAGCUUAAUCUCAAACAAAUGAGGUGGUUGGAAUUACUCAAGGAUUAUGAAAUGUAUAUUCUUUAUCACCCAGGUAAGGCUAAUGUUGUUAAUGAUGCCUUGAGCAGGUUGUCUAUGGGUAGUACCGCCCAUUUUGAGAAAGAUAAGAAAGAGCUAGCAAGAGAUGUGCAUAGACUUGCACGAUUAGGAGUUCGUCUAAUGGAUUCCACAGAAAAAGGAGUAGUGGUGAUGAAUGGGGAUGAAUCAUCAUUAGUGUCAGAAGUAAAAGAGAAGCAAGACCAAGAUCCUAUUUUGCUUGAAUUGAAAGCAAAUGUUCAUAAGCAAAAAAUAUUGUCUUUAGAACAAGGGGGAAAUGGUGUGUUGAGGUAUCAAGGUAGAUUGUGUGAUUGGCUUCAUGCUUGUUUUGCGUCCAUAGAUUGUAGGACCCGAAUUGUGUAAGUUUCAAUUUCCUAAUGAACCCAUGUUAGAAUGGAAGGGAGGAAAUUCCGUUCCUAGGGGAAGGAUCAUUUCAUGUCUAAAAGCUUGUAAGUUGAUUUCUAAGGGUUGUCUCUAUCAUAUUGUGAGGGUCAAGGAUCUUGAGUCCGAGAUUCCUCCUUUGGAGUCGGUCCCUGUAGUGAAGGAUUUUCCGGAAGUCUUUCCCGAUGACUUAUCUGGGGUUUCUCUCGAAUGGGAAAUAGAUUUCGGCAUAGAUUUAUUGUCGGAUACACAACCCAUUUCAAUCCCUCCUUACCGGAUGGCCCCGGCGGAGUUGAAGGAAUUAAAAGCUCAACUCAAAGAUUUGUUGGAUGAGGGUUUCAUCCAACCUAGUAUAUCUCUUUGGGGUGCAUCAGUGUUAUUUGUGAAGAAGAAGGAUGGAUCUCUUUGUAUGUGUAUUGAUUACCGACAGUUAAAUAAGGUGACCAUUAAGAACAAGUAUCCACUUCCUAGGAUUGAUGACUUAGUUGAUCAACUUCAAGGAGUGAGUUACUUUUCAAAAAUUGAUUUGAGGUCGGGUUAUCACCAACUUAGGGUGAGAGGUGUUGAUGUUCCGAAAACAGCCUUCCGAACUAACAACCACUUAUUCCUACACUGUAGGGUUACUGUACAGGUGUGGCGCAUGGUUCUCAGCAUUUCUCAAGAGCCCUGGGUGAUGCCAGAACAUACUGCUGAUCUCUUGAGCUGCUGGAUGCGGAGGGGGGGGGAGCAAGACCCAAAAAAGAUGGUGCUCUAUAGUACCUACUUGUGUCUGGUGGGCUAUUUGGAGAGAAAGAAACCUUAGGUGUCAUGAGAAUAUUACUAACUCUAUUCAGAAAGUUAAAGAAAAUUGCAUUAACAUGUUGUUUUUUUGGUGUAAAGAAGAUGGUAUAGAAGAAGUAGAACAGUUGGUAGAUUUCCUAGGAUCUAUAUAAUUAUGGAAAUAGCUUGUAAUUUUUUGGAGGUUGUAAAUGCCUCGGCGGCUUUCAUGGACCUUAUGAAUCGUGUGUUUAGAAAUUUUCUAGACUCAUUUGUUAUUGUCUUUAUUGAUGACAUCUAGAUAUACUCUAAAAGUGAGGAUGAUCACAUGAAUCAUUUGAUGAUAGUAUUGCAAGCCCUGAAAAAUCAACCAACUCUAUGCUAAGUUUAGCAAGUGCGAGUUUUGGCUAAGAUCAGUUGCUUCCUUGGUCACAUUGUUUCUACUGAGGGUAUAGAAGUUGAUCCAAAAGAAAAUCGAUGCGGUCAAAAGUUGGCCUAGACCUUUGAAUCCUUCGACAUCCGAAGCUUUUUGGGUUUGACCGGUUACUACCGGAGGUUUGUUGAGGGAUUUUCAUCUAUUGCAUCUCCAUUAACGACCUUAACUCAAAAGAAGUCCAAGUUCGAAUGGUCGGAAUCUUGUGAAAAGAGCUUCCAAUUGUUGAUAGAUAAGCUCACCUCCGCUCCGGUUUUGACCUUAUCGGAGGGCACCGAAGGGUUUGUACUAUAUUGUGACGCUUCCUGAGUGGGUUUGGGUUGUGUCCUCAUGUAGCAUGGUAAAGUUAUAGCUUAUGCCUCGAGACAACUCAAGGUGCAUGAGAAGAAUUAUCCAACUCAUGACCUUGAGCUAGCGGCCAUAGUCUUUGCUUUAAAGAUUUGGAGACACUAUCUCUAUGGGGUACAUGUGGAUGUCUUUAUCGACCACAAGAGUCUUCAAUAUGUUUUUAGCCAAAAAGAAUUGAAUAUCCGACAAAGGAGGUGGUUGGAACUCUUAAAAGAUUAUGAUAUGAGUGUCCUUUACCACCGAAGAUUCCCCAAACGGAGGUGUCAUGGUCCGUCAUAAUUCCGAGUCAUCGGNNNNNNNNNNNNNNNNNNNNNNNNNNNNNNNNNNNNNNNNNNNNNNNNNNNNNNNNNNNNNNNNNNNNNNNNNNNNNNNNNNNNNNNNNNNNNNNNNNNNAAUUCAGUUGCGCCAAAUUAAUUUUGUUAGUUAACCAGAAUUAAUUUAUAAGAGAAAGGAAAUGAUUUAACAACAUUGAUUAAAUAAAUUUGUCCAAAAAUAUUAUCAAUCAAUCAAAUCCGAAGCCGAAGCCGAAGCCGAGGCCGCGGUCGAGCGAGCGACGACGACGGCGCGAGGGGGCACCUUCUUCUUAACCCUUUAAGAACUAAAGGAAGUGUUUCCUAAUAUAAGGACAACAAUUUCCUCUCUUCUACCGAUAUGGUAAAAAAUGACUAUUCAUUUGCACUUUUGCAAUGACUUUUCAUUUUCCCUCCAAAAUUGGUUCCCCAUUUUCAUUGGUUCUUCCACUUUCCAUUUUCUCUUUUUAUUUCCCAUUCACUAUUUUCCAUUCACACCUUGCUAAACCCAACAAAUUUAACUUAAUUUAUUUGGAUCUGAUUUUAUACCGUUUGAGGAAAGAGUUAAAAAUCCAGUAGGGUUAUUCACAAAUUUUAACUUGUACAUAAUGUGAAUGAAAACUACUUUAUAAAAGAUAAAUAUAUAUGUAGAGUAUAUAUUUGGUAUUAAACAUAUUUAUUAAUCAUUAAUAAAUUAUUCACAAAGUGUAUAAAUUUGAUAUAUAAAUCGAUAAUAAGUGAUGAACUCUUGGUCCAAAUUAUAAUUAUCCACUAAAAUGAAUAGUUUUUAAGAAACACAACAAUUUUUAUAACUAUUUGAAUAUGAUUUUAUACCGUUUGAGGAAGGGUUAGAAAUCUAGUAGGAUUAUUCACAAAUUAUACUUGUAUAUAAUGUGAAUAAAAACUGUAUAAAAGAUAAAAUUAUAUGUUGUAGAGUAUAUAUUUGGUAUUAAACAUAUUUUGUGAUUAUUAAUGAAUUAUUCAUAAAGUGUAUAAAUUUGAUAUAUAAAUCGAUAAUAAGUGAUGAACUCUUGGUCCAAAUUAUAAUUAUCCACUAAAAUGAAUAGUUUUUAAGAAACACAACAAUUUUUAUAACUAUUUGAAUAUGAUUUUAUACCGUUAAACUCUUGCUCCAAAGUAAAAUUAUCCACUAAAAUAGAUAAUUUUUAAGAAACACGAUAAUUUUUCAUAACUAUUUGUUCACUCUUGGUCUUGCUUUGGGCCGCUGAAACUUCUGCGUAUUCGGAAUAACUUCUCUUCUAAUAUUUGGUCCACUAAGUUUGCUCCAAAUAGUAACUAUUUCUUAAGAUGAUCAAACAGAGACUCCAUAAACAAUUGAAAUUGCUGAUCAUUAAGACAUUUCCUAAAAUGAUCAAAAACAUCGAGAUCGAUAUAAGAACAUCAAUGGGUAUAUUUCUUCUUUUUCUAAAGUAAUAAAAAUGUACUUUAAAGCCAAAAAAUUUAAAAGUACGACAAUCACAUAUAUUUCAAAAAUCACAUAAAAUCAAUAAAGUUAUAAAUAUUACGGAAUGAAUACUAAAUUAUUCAUUGAGCGUAUACUUUUGAUAUGAAAAUUGGUAAUAAUUUUUUUUUUUGGGUAAAAACAUGAUAACCUACUUUAAAGGGGUACUUCAUACUUACACCCAUAAACAAUAAAUUCAAAUUUUUAUGCCUAUUUUGCAUACAAAUGAACAUAACUCGAGUUCAUACAAAAAUGUAUGCAGAAUAUAUAUCAAUCAAUAAAAAUAUGAUGCAAUAUCUAAAAAUGUAAAAAUCAUGAAAAUAAGAAAAAAGAUUGAACUUUUUAUACCUUUUGAACAACUUUCCCUUUUUGAAAAUUUGAUUUCUUCACGCGCACAUUGAAGUCUCACCCUUCAUAAUUUUUUUUGUAAUUUGUUUCUUAUACAAAAUCUAAAUAUGAAUCUUCCGAUUGCGUAGAAUCAAUAUUCUUGCAUUUUUUGAUCGUAUUGCUUCAUUGAACUGAUUUCAAUGAAAACAAUAUCACUUUCGUUGACCUCCUUAUGAUCCAUAUUUGGUGUUUGUGAGAGAAAAUCAAAGGUUGGUGGUUUACUCAAGCUAUUGUUAUUCACUAAUCUAGGACUUUUUCAGGAGUAAGGUGAGAUUUCGAAAAUAUGAAUUGAAUAAGAAAAAUACGGUACAAUAAGAAUGAAGCAUACACAGAUUUGAAAAGGGAGUGAAAUUUUAAUAUCAAAAGUGAUAAAAAUCUGUAAACAUUGAUAUGGUAGAAAAAUAUUUUGAAUAAGAUUAUGAAGAUGGUUGAAAAAAAUGUACAUUAGUUGAGAUUUUUGUCUUUUUAGGAGACGUGUGUAGUAUAAUGAUAUUCACAAUUUUCUCGGCACUAUUCCAAAAAUUGCACGUUUCUUAUAUGCGCCAAAGCUAAAAAAAUAUAUAAUUAUUUUAAUUAUUAAAUAAUUCAGAUAUAAUUAAAUUAAUUAUUAUAUAAUCUAAAUUUGUCAUCACUAGUAAUUAUUCUGUUAUAUUACUAAUUACUAAUUAGUAGGUGUAUGGGGUUCUUAUGUCUCAAAGUUAUGAAAACCUUAAAUGGGGGAGACGUAACAUAUGAACUUCCCCAUCACAAGGUUUUACAAUGUCCUUUGUGAUAGCUCCAUUAUUGCAGCUCCUUUUAAAGGAAAAACUGACAAUGGGACCAUCCAUGGAAGAGAUAUUAAAAAAUUGUUUUGAACAAAAUAACUAUAGAAAUAAAUAUUUACACGGUCUAGGUGAACUUUUGAUGUCAAAACAACACUCUAACCAGUUUACAAUUUAUAAAUAUGCCAGAUGACCUUUAACCAAUGACUAUCAUAUUUCAACUAUCGAACAAACUAUCCCACUGGAAUCUUACCAUGUGGAUAUCAAACUUUUAAAUGCAAAAGCUCUAGAAAAAUAUAGCCGAAAAUAUAAUUAUCUCCAUUCUGGGCUUGUCUAAAUCGCUGCUAAACCUCUCUCUAGGGAAGGUCUAGAUACUUCUCUUCUCCUCUGUCUAAGGGACUCAAAGUUCUUAGACUUCAAUGAUUCCCUCUUAGGAAUAGUAGAAACCAAUCUCUGCAGUGGUCAAAUUUACUUUGAUUGUUUUUCAAUAAUAUUGUUUCUCUCAAAGAUAGAAAUAUUUUGAAUUGGUUGCCUUUCUUUGAUUUGAAAAUUGCUAAAAAAACGUUUUCUUUUAAAAAAAUUUCCUUGUGAAUAAAAUUCUUUUUUAAGAUUUUCUUUAUCAAUUUGAAAAUCUUGUGUCAAAACAUCCAGCUCUCCACCUAGUGGCGAGUAAGUGGGGGAUUGAGGUUGAUCAUCAUUGAUUUCUGUCGGAGGAGGUGUUUCCACAAAAUAUUUGGCUUGCGGGAUCCUAGAGCCAAAGUUAACGGCCUCAACCCUAAAGACAGAAAUCAUCCAUGAAUACAUCCAAAUAUUCCUCCACCAUGUCAUGACGUAUUUCCAUCAUGCCUCUUUGAAAAAUUGAUGGCAAAUUGUAGAGUCCAAAGGGCAUACACUUGAAAGAAAAUUUACCACAAGGGCAAGUGAAGAUGGUCUUUUGCUGAUCCUUUUUGGUGACCAAAAUUUUGUUGUAUCCAUAAUACCCAUCUAAAAAACAAUAAUAUUCUUGACUUUUUGAGGAGUCCUACAUCUUAUAAAAUAACGGGUAAGGGUAUUUGUCCUUUGUGGUGCCUCAACUAGUUUAUGAUAAAUCCAUUAUAUAGUUACUGUUUAUGUAGAGAACAAUUCAUUUUUAAGUAGUCACCACAGUCAUGCCUCUCUUUUUAGGAAAAAAAUUAAUAAAAUUCAUCCACAAUGUCAUGACCCGCCACUUUGCCAUUCAAUUUUGCCAUAAAAUUAAGGGAGAAUAAUCUAGAGUUGUGGAGAGGUUUGUGGAAUACUCUAGAAUUUACUAGAUAUUUCCUUGGAAGGCUUAUUGGAAAGGAAUAUUCUAGAGAAAUGUGGAGAUUUCCCAAGGAAGGUUAUAAAAUAUCACGGGAAGUCCUUGGAAUGUAAUAUAGUUGUAGAGAAUUUUAGAAUAGGGACUAAAAUGUAAAUAUGUAGGGACUUGUGUAGAAAUUAUUAUUUAUACUUUGGCCCCUAUGUAUUAUAAAUAGAGGGGCUCUCAUUUGAAAAUGCAUCCAAGCAAAUCCAACAAGUUAUAAGCAUUCUCCAAGAAAUACAAAGCCUUCUUUUAAAGGUCUCUUAGUCUUUCUUUCAUUCUCUUAGCGAUCUUAAGUUUCAAAGGAAUUACUUGAGCUAACAAGAUUGUGAAAUAUUCGUAAGUAAGUGGUCAAAUGCCACACGGAGGUUUAGUGAGGCUCUAAGUCUGUAACAACAUUGUAACACCUUGGAUUACAAAAGAUGGAUUUUUUUUACAGGUUUCUGGAACUUGUGCCAGUACCAAGGGUCCAUGGAAACCUCCUAAAAUGGUCAAAGUCCCUGUACUUUUAUAUGGUUCACUAAGGCGGUUUGUUAUCCAAUGCACGAGUCAUAGGUUAUUCUAAGACUUAGAGAAAUUUUAGGAUCAAAAGUUCUGUCCCACGAUCGUGGUGCACAGUUCGUAACUGGACCUGUGGACCAUGCAGGGUCCCGUCAUUGGUGUUCCGAAAUGGUUGUCUGUGAACCCACCAACGAUUGACCAGAACUGUUUGUGGCGGAACCUACAUACCGUAGUUUAGGUCAUUGAUGAGGGUGUGACAGUUAUUUUAAAAGGGAUUUUUGGUCUUUUCCUUAUUAUUUUAACCUAAUACUAUGUCAUUUUACCUUUUAGUAUGAACCCUAUAUAAAUGUUUUUACUGCCAAAUUUCCCAACUGAUCUAAUUCUCCUAAAUUCUCAAAGUUGAUCAAAGUUCUUCCAUAAUAAUUAUCUCUCUAAAAGCUUGUAGAAGAAGGCUAUGGUUUCAAUAUCAAGUUUACAAAUUCACCAUUGAUUGUAAGAUUUUUGAAUCAAGGUAUGAUAGUAUUAAACAAUGAAGUCCUUUCCUCCAUAGUGUUCUUAGAUUGUCCAAUUUUGCAGGGUUGAAUCUCCAAUGGAAGUUAGGGUUAAAUUGUCAUAUGAUGAAGCUUUUGAAGCAUGAAAGAUGAAUUCAUGAAUAUAUGUAUGUUCUUUAUGAAAUUUAUCAAAAUGAUUUAAGGUAUGCUUUAAGAGUGAAACAUCAAUGUUGUUGAUUGUGAAAUAAUUUCUCCCAUAAAGUAUUCAUAAGGUUGAAAGGUGUUUUCACCUAAGAUGAAUAAAGUUAAGAAGCUAUUCUAAUGAUGAGGUAAUCGGCGAUUACCGAUUUCCUCUAAUGAUAAGACAAGCAGAGAAUACCCACGUCUCAUGAAUGUUAAGAUAAGUUAAGACUAAUCAAUAUUCUGAGGGAUUUAUACUUAUAACCGAGUGGAAAAGUGGUGAUUUCCAGUGUCCCUUAAACUAUGUACCACCAUAGGUUUGUCUGGAUAAACAUAAUCUAGUGGAUCCAUGUAAGCUAGAAGUUCAUGGUUAUUACCUAGACAAGUAAUAACAUCUCUUUUUGGUGUGGGUUAGAUACCAGAUUCAAUAUUUUGUCUUAUAUGGUCCCUAUGUCGGUUAAGGGUAAAUCUCCCACAAUAAUGAACUAAGGUUGCUUCUAGAAGUAUCGCAUGAAUGUUUUAAAGUGUUUAGCAUGUUGACCAUGUUUAUGAUUUAUGUUUCCUAACACUUUUAUCUUAUGUUUUAACUCGGUUAUUGCAUGACAUGUAAAUUCCUUUUUACCAUGAUUUCAUACUCUUAUGUGAUGUUAUUAUACUUGGUACAUUUCCUGUACUACCACAUACUCUUGCCUACAUUAUUUCACUCAUCUAGGGUCCAAUGCUCCCAUUUUACAUCUCUCUGGCUAGUGAUCACCUUAGUAGAUCGAAGAUUGGUGAGUCCUCAUGUUUUGAGUACCGAACCCUUUAUUUCUUGUUGUCUUUACUUUUUUGUAUUGAAUGUGAUGGAUUGGUUACGUUCCAAUCAUUAUUGAUGUAAUAGAUGGCUUUGAGGCUAUGUUAGACUUUUGCUAAUUUUUGUAAACUCUUAUGAUAUGAAUUACCUUUUAAAAUCUCUAAAUUUUCUAUUAUCUUGUAUGAUGUAUGCUAAAUGGCUUGUGUAAGGCCUCCCGGGGCCCUAUAUUCCAUGUUAUGAAUGGUAUACUUUUGGUCGUGACAAACUUGGUAUUCAAAGCACAAGGCUUAGGAAGGUCCUAGGAAGUCCUAUAAGCUACAUCAGAUAGAGUCUUGUUCAUGAUUGUGAAGCACGUGAUAAUUAUGAAUAAGAGGCUAUAUGAAGUUUAGGGAACUCCACUUCUUUCAUUACUCUAAAAUCCUGUGAUAAAGUCUCUCUAUAAUAUCUCUCUCCUAAUCUUUAUAUGGUACUUUACAGAAUAUGGCUACUCAAAGGGCAUAUAAUAGAAGGAUUGCAGAAGAGAAUGUGAAUGAGAAGCUCCCCAAGUUCCUCAAGCUCCGGCUGAUCCUUUGGCCGAACAAGUGACUAAUGUGUAGUUUAGGGCUUCUUAUCAAAUGUUGUCUCAAGACAUGACGGCUCAAGCCAAUAGGGAGGCUAUAGUCCUUGUGAACCAAAAUGUGGGUACAAUGACAACUAGUGUGAGAGACUUCACUAGAAUGAAUUAUUUGGAGUGUCAUGGUUCUAAGUUUGAAGAAGAUCCUAAGGAGUUCAAUGAUGAAGUGUAUAAGGUUUUGAUGAUCAUGGGUGUGACACUGGUGGAAUAUGUGGAAUUGGCUGCUUAUCAACUCAAGGGUGUUGCUCAACUAGGGUUCAACCAAUAGAAGGAAGAGAGAGUGGAUGAUGUGGGUCGUCCAAAAUGGGAAAAGUUUAAGGUUGCUUUCCUUGAUGGAUUCUUUCCCGUUGAAAUGAGGGAGGCUAAGGUAAUUGAUUUCAUUAAACUUUGUCAAGGAAAUAUGAAUGUGAAGGAAUAUGCUUUGAAGUUCACACAAUAGUCUCGAUAUUCUCCUACUAUAGUUGCAGAUCAUAGGAAAAGGAUGAGUAAUUCGUGUGUGUCCAAAAUUGUUGUUAAGGAAUGUCAUACCGUCAUGCUUAUCAAUGAUAUGGACAUUUCUCGUCUCAUGGUUCAUGCUCAACAAAGUGAAGAUGAGAAACUUAAAGAAAGGUCUACAUUGGUAAAGAGAGCCAAGACAGGUGAUGGUGACUUUUCACAUUCAAGGUCCGAGAGACAUUGUCGUUGUUAGUUACAAAAAAGUUUUCCGCUCAAGGAUCCCCUAAUGCUCUUCCGAAGUUCAACAAAUGUUGAGUGCCUAACCGUAAGCCUCAAGGAGGGAAUGGCGGUGGAUCUUCAUUUCUACUUGUCUGAAAUGUGGGAGAAAGCACGAGGGAAAAUGUCUAGUCGUUUCUAAUGCAUGUUUUGGUUGUGGCAAGACGGAUCAUAAGAUAAGAGGCUACCCCUCAGUUGCUAAGAAUGAAAGAGAAAAUCGUUGGCGGGCUCAACCUUAUCCUUCGUCAUGUUCUAGUUGUAAUUAGAAGUAAAACAGAAUCUAUGCACUUUAAGGUCUUCAUGAGCAAGAGGGUUCUCCGGAUGUUGUUACUAGUAUGUUGGAACUCUUCCAACUUGAAGUUUAUGAUUUACUUGACCCCAGUUCUACCUUGUAUUUUGUGAUGCUAUAUGUGGCCAUGAGGUUUGAUAUUCUUCCAGAUGUGUUGUUAGAUCCUUUUUGUCUCUCUACUCCAAUUGGUGAAUCGAUUGUAGCUAAGCGAGUCUUUAGAAAGUGUCCCAUCUCCUUAUCCCUUAUAGGCACUCAUAUUGAUCUUAUAAAGCAUGAUAUGUUAUAUUUCGAUAAUAUCCUUGGUGUGGAUUGAUUGCAUUAAUGUUAUACAUCUAUUGAUUGUAGAUCUUGAGUAGUGAAAUUGUAGUUUCAAAAUUAACCUAUCCUAGAGUUGGAAAGGGGGAAGUUCUAUGCUUAAGCGUCAGUUUGUUUCUUGUCUUAUAGCUAGAAAGAUGAUCUCUAAGGGUUGCAUAUACCAUCUUGUUUGAUUCAGGAUGUGGAUUCCGAAACCCCUACUCAUGAGUCAUUCCCCGUUUUUAAUGAGUUUUCGGAAGUGUUUAUUGAAUAUCUACCAACUGUUCCUCUCGAAAGGGAAAUAGAUUUUCAUAUCGACCUUUUCCUAGAUUGACAACUUAUCUCUAUUCCUCCUUACCAUAUGCCUCAAGCAGAACUUAAUGAAUUAGAGGAGCAAUUGAAAGAUUUGUUGAAUAAGGGUUUCAUCUGAUCGAGUAUCUCUCCAUGGGAUGCUACAUUUUUGUUUGAUCGAAAGAACGAUGGUUCACCCCGUAUGUGAAUUGACUACCGACAAUUAAACAAAAGUACAUUAAGAACAAAUAUCCUCUUCCAAGGAUAGAUGGUUUGCUUGAUCAACUUCAAGGAGCAAGUUACUUCUGUAUGAUUAACCUUAGGUUGGGUUAUCACCAAUUGAGGGUGAAAUAAGAUGACAUUAGAAAGAUGGCUUUUCGAAAUAAGUAUGUUGAUUAUGAGUUUUUGAUAAUGUAGCUAGGUUUGACUAAUGCUCCGACCGCAUAUAUAGAAUUAAUGAAUAGGUUGUUUAGACAAUACCUUGAUAUGUUUGUGAUUGUGUUCAUUGAUGAUAAAUUGAUGUCUUCCAGAAGUGAAGACGAGUAUACCGAUCAUUUGAGGAUUGUGUUGCAUGUCCUCAAGGACCAAAAACUCUUUGCAAAGUUUAGUAAAUGAGAGUUCAGGUUAAGGUCUAUAGCUAUUCUUGGUCAUAUUAUUUCUGGUAAGGGUAUUGAAGGACCCUAAGAAGAUGGAUGCGGUAAGGAGUUGGUCUAGACCUCUAUCCCCUUCAGAUAUUAUAAAAUUCUUGGGAUUGGUUGGUUACUAUAUAGAUUUGUGGAAGGGUUUUCUUUAAUUGUCUAUCCAUUCACAGCACUGACCAAAAGAAAGGUUAAGGUCUGAAGCGUGUAAAAGAUUUUCCAAGAAUUGAAAGAUAAAGUUACUUCCGCUCUGGUGUUAACUCCAUCGGAAGGAACUUAUUGAUUUGUGGUGUAUUGUGAUGCUUCAAGAAUUGGGUUGGAAUUUGUCCUUGUACAAAAUGGGAAAGUCAUUGCCUAUUCUUUAGGGUAAUUUAAGAUUCAUGAAAAGAAUUAUCCUACCCAUUACCCUGAACUAGAGGCGGUUGUGUUUUCUCUAAAGAAUUGGAGGCAUUACUUUUAUAGUGUGCACGUAGAUGUUUUUACCGACCACAAGAUUUUUCAAUAUGUGUUUAACAGAAAGAUUGGAAUCUUCACCAACGGAGGUGGCUUUAAUUAUUAAAGGAUUAUGAAAUGAGUGUUCUCUAUUACACUAAGAAGGCGAAUGUGGUGGUGGAUGCUCUUUGUUGGUUUUUUUGAUGGGUAGUAUUGCGCAUAUUGACGAUGAUAAAAAGGAGUUGGUUCGAGACAUUCAUAGAUUGGACUGAUUGUGUGUUUGAUUCGUUGACUCUACAAAAGGUGUUGUUAUGUUUGACAAUGGUUCUGAAUAGUCUUUUGUGGCAUAUGUAAAAACGAAACGAAGCAAGGUAUUUAUCCAAUUUUUAUCCAAAUGAAGGAAGCGAUGCUUAAAUAGUCCGUCGAGGCAUUCUCCUAAGGGGAGAUUGUGUGCUUCAAUAUCAAGGUCGUUUGUGUGUUCCUAAUGUUUAUUAAUAGAGAGAGAAAAUCUUGACAGAAGCCCAUAGUUCUCGGAAUUCAAUUAACUGGGGAGCCACCUAGAUGUACCGCGACUUUCGAGAGGUCUAUUGGUGGAAUUGGAUGAACAAGUAUAAUUCGAAAUUUGCGGCUUAGUUUCCUAAUUAUCAUCAAGAGGUGAGCAUCAAAAACUUGGAGGUUUAUCCCAAGAUAUUAGAAUUCUGACUUAAAAGUCGAAAGAUUUUAAUAUGGAAUUCAGUGUUGGUUUACCUCACUCCCGACAGAAGCAUGACUCUAUUUAAGUUAUUGUAGAUCGAAUUCUGAAAUCCGCCCAAUUAAUUCCAGUCAAUGUUUCUUAUUCGAUGAAGGACUAUGCUAAGUUGUAUUUGAGUAUCUCCGAUCGUGGUAUCCAAUUCACUUCUCCAUUUUGGAAAUCUUCCCAAAAGGGCCAUGGUAGUAUGUUAACCUUAGUAUAACAUUUCAUCCACAAACCAAUGGGCAAGAUAUUUUGUGAGCAUGUGUAAUUGACUUCAAGGGUAACUGGGAUGAUCACUUGCAUUUUAUUGAAUUUGCAUAAAAUAAUACCUAUCACUCAAGCAUCUGUAUGGCUCCAUUUGAGGCUCUAUUUGGUAGGAGGUGUAGAAUCCUAUAGGUUUGUUUGAAAUGGGUGAAGUUGCAUUGAUAGGUCUUGAGUUGGUGCAUGAGGCUAUGGAGAAAGUUCGGCUUAUUAGAGAAAGGUUGAAAACGGCUCAAAGUCGACAAAAAGUCCUAUGCUGAUGUUAGAAGGAGACACCUUGAGUUUGAGGUUGAUGAUGGGGUCUACUUGAAAAUCUCAUCAAUGAAGAGCGUGAUGAGCUUCGGGAGGAAAGGGAAUCUUAGUCCCCGUGAUGUAGGCCCAUUUCAUAUUUUGAGGCGUAUUGGUAAUGUUGCUUAUUGUCACGACCCAAGAUACCCCUAGGCGAAAUAUGGCUUAAAGGACCACGAGAGGCCCCAUACAAGCCACUUAGAAUUCAUAACAUAACCAAUAGAACAAAAGGGAUAAACAAGAACAUUUCAAGUCCCAAAAUUUUUAUAAAAGUAAAACGGAAGUCUAAACACUUGUCUCAUUAGCCAUCUAGUACAUAAGAAUGAAAUUGGGCCUAGCCCAUACAUCAUGUCCAAAACUGAAGGUAAGAAAUGAAACUCAAAACAAUGAUAAUCCAUCCUGGAAUCACCAGGACUACCAAAGCUCGAAAUCUCUCAAAUCAACCUCUAGCCACAAAAUUGAGAACCCUCACUGUCAGACCCUACAUUUUGGGGAAAUGUAGGCAAGAGUAUGCAUUUGUACAAACAUGUACCAAGUAUGAUAGCCAUAGAUAUAAACAUUUAAUUCAUGUUAAAAUAGGACAUUUUCACAAACAUGCAAUGAUCAAGCUAUAGCACGAAAUUUGAGAGUUAGGAAGAAUAAGUCAUAAGACAUGAUCAAUGCAAGUGAAUAUCAUCUUGAAACAUACUUACGAUACUUCUUGAAGUAACCUUGGUUCAUCAUAACUUUACUUGUUUGUUGGAAGUAGCCUUAACCGACAUAUAAUACCAUUAGAGCUAUCAUAAUGGAAUCCAGUGUCUACCCCACACUGAAAAUGAGUUAUCCUACUUGCCACAGUAAGGACCCUAAGAACCUUUAUUAUGUGAGAAAUCCUUUCACAAAUCAUACUUUCAUGUGUGUAAAAGAAAUUCUUUCAACAAGACAACGACAACAACCUCAUUAUUGAUAAUUCACUCUUAAAGCAUCCUUACAACAUUUACAUCAAUUUCAUAAGAACAUGCAUAAUUUCAUAAUUCACCUUUCAAGGUUCAAAACCUACUUUCAAUCCACAAUGUCUAUAAAGCAUGAGUUAGACAUGGGUUUAUAGAAAUUCAUCAUAAUUUCAUAUAAUUCCAUCAAAUCUUAAUUUCAUAAAACUCUUCUUUCACCACAUUAUAUGUUCAUAGCUUUAAAAACAUGGGAAUUACAUGGGUUCAUAGGGGAUCAUUAUAAAAACAUAAUAUUAACUCAAUUCAUGCAUAAACUAUCUUAAAUCCAUCAACUAAAUCAAUAGUCAAGAGAACCCAGAAAAUAGAAGAAAACCCGAACUCAAUUGGGGAAUUCGAACUUUAAAAAAUAGGAGAAUUCGGGAACUCCAUAUAUGGAAUGAAUCCAUGGAUUAAAAGUACCAUACCUUAAUGCCAAAACCUUUCCUUCAAUGGUGGAAUUAGAGACUUGCCUUGAAACCCUAGGUUGAACCCUUCUUCUUCAAGUUUCUAGACAGAGAAAUAUUUUGGGAGAGAAGACUUGUUCUUCUUUUGUAAAUUUAAGAAAAUGACUUGAAUGGUUGUGUUUUUUUUGUUAAAAUCACUUAUAUAGGGGUUCUAGGUAAGGGGAAAACGAUAUAGUAUCAAGGUAAAAUAAUUAAGAAAAGACCCAACUGCCCUUAACUUACAGUUGAUGCGAACCUCUGGAGAGAGGCCCACACGAGCCGUUAAGGACAUCACGGGCCGUAGUGAAAACCAUGGUCCUUGACUAGUGGCUUGGGAAGGCUCUAAGUUGCCUUAGACAACCUCAAAACCACCAUCAUGACCCGUUUGGCUCUUCACGAGCCGUCCAGGUCAUCGUGAGAGGAGGCUGCCUUGGGGAGCAUACUGCCUACUCCUUCGCUGGAACCACCACGAGUCGUGGUGACCCUUUACGAGGUGUCUAAGAGAUCACGGGAGAAGAGCAAAUCUUGGCCAACCUCUGGAAGGCUCCACUAGCACCAACCAAUGGAAGGCUCCAUGAAGGGUUCCUUGUCUUAGUGGAGGGCUUGUAACCUCCCACUUGACCCCCUUUCUGGAGUUCUUGAUUGUGGGGUAUUACAUUAUCUCCCUCUUGGGAAUAUUCAUCCUAAAAUGGGAUCCUAGAUAUAACAUGAAUAAAAGAACUCUAAACUAGAAACCCUUCAUGUAUGCAAUCACAUAAAUGCACAUAUCCUAGGAGGAACACAUUAACUCCAAGCUAAAGAAUGUUCAAAACAUCAUAUCAUUGUAACACCCCGGAUUCAAAUGAGGAAAGCUUGGAAUUUUUUUAGAAAGUGCAGGUGUCACCCACAAGGUCCAACCACGCCCCUAAGUGGGCUUCGCGGGUGGGGCAUAUUGGGAAACUGCUUAAGGCAGAACCACGACCAGGACCCACACCCCGUGAAAGGGUCCACGUCUUGUGAUUAGGGGGUCCAUCGAUUAGCCAAAAUCUCUGUCCAAACCACGCUUGACCAAGAUGGACAGUAGGUCUCUCCACGUUCCAUCGGUGGGGUCUCUUGGUUGGACAUUUUGGGACAGUUGAGGUUGUUAGGUUUAGGGGGAUCAACGUCAUUUCCAGUUUUAAUAAAAUCAAUAUGGUGUCAUUUUUCCUAAGUAUAAAACACCUAUAUAAGUAUUUUUAACACCAAAAUCCCCCAAUUAAGUCAUUCUCUUAAAAUCCCAAAAGAAUUCCCAAAACUCUUCUCAAAUAUUCUGCUUCUAGAAGUUGGAAGAAGAAGAAGGAGAUUCAAGCUAGGUCAAGGUCAAGUCUCCAAAACCUUAAGAUUGUGAAGUAUUUGUAAUCAAGGUAUGAUGGCUUUUCAUCCAUGGGAACCUUCCUCCCAUGGAGUCCCUUAGAAUUCAAUAAUUUGAAGAAGAAUUCCCCAAUUCUAGUUAGGGUUUUUUCCAUUGUUGUUGGUUAUGAUGAAUGUUGAUCCAAUUGAGUGGAGUAUGAUUUUUUUAUGAUUGAAAUGAUAGAAUUGGAUGUAUUUAGGAUGAAAUUACAUGUGCGCAUGCCUAUCCUAUGAUUUUAAGGUUGAAUUGACAUAGUGGGUUUGAUGCCAUGUGAGGGAAACUCUAUGGGUUAGAUAUAUCCUUAUAGGAUUGAUGAAUUAUGACUAUAAUUGCUUCGAUUGAAGCAUAUAUGAUUAAUAUGAUAUUUUUUUCUUGAAAGUAAAGAAUAGAUGAUGAUCAUGGGAUGUAGUACUUUGAGAGUAAAUCCUAGACUAUGAAUUGUUGAUUGUUAAUGUUAUGAUGUGGAAGAUAUAGUUCUUAUAGUGAAUUGACAAGCAUGAUUGAAUGAAUGUGAAAAGUUAUUCACAUGGACUAUUCUAGGUUGAAAGGAUUGCUCACCUAAAAUGAAUCUAGACUAAAAUGCUAAGUGAAUGAUGAGGUUAGAGGCGAUUACCCUUGACCUCCAUAUGCAAGGAUAUGAGGUUAUUCCCAUACUCCUUAGAAUUGAACAAGAGGUUAGUCCCCACGUUCCUACUAUGACGAAUGGACAUGGAGGCGAGUAGCCAUGCUCCAUAUGAAAUGAUGUGGAGGCAAGUACCCGUGUCAUAUGAUGAGGUUUUGGAGGCGAGUACCCACAAUCUAAAAGUAAGUAACGCAAGAGGCGAAUACCCAUUAGCCUUUAUAAGCUAGUCAUUGAGGCGAAUCCACAUGUCUUUAAUAGUAAGUAUAAUUAAUGUAAUAAUGUUAUGAAGUUGACUUGUUUAGAGAGUUGCUAGAUAUGCCUUCCAUGAUGUAAGCUUGACUAGAGGUAGAUGACUUAAGUCUUGGCUAUGCUUAAGUGAGGUUACUUAAGGGAGUAUUCCUCUUUCACUAUGAUGCUUACUAUCUAUUGAUUAUGCUCAUGCCUUAUGUCUUAUAAUGACUAAUGCUUAUGAUUAUGCUGUUUAUGCUAUCUAUCAUAUUUAGUACUUGAUUGUACUAACACAUACUCUUGCCUGCAUUCUUAUCAAAUGUAGGGUCCACUAUUCCCCAUUUACACACUUGAGGCGAGGUUCCUAGAGAUUUGUGAAAUGAAGGUUUGGUGAGUCCUCACUAUAUUUGAGGAUUGGAUCACCCUAUCUCUUUUAUGUCUUUCUUUUAUGCUGAGACUAUUGUAUGGGCUGUGUCCUAAGAUUUAUAUUCUCUUAUGUUUAGAUGGUCUGAGACAACGUCAUGUUAGACUUCCGUUUGCUUUUAUAAAAAGACUUUGAUUUUAGUGAAUUUUUUUUAGUUCCCGCUCAUUUCUACUACAUUAUUAUAUGAUAUGCUAUGUGGCUUGUAUGAGGCCUCUCGGGGCCUUGUAUGCCUUGUUACAUCUAGGGGGUACCCCUGGGUUGUGACAAACUUGGUAAUCAGAGCACAAGGUUUAGAACAAUUCUAGGAUGUCUGAAACCACGUCUAGUAGAGUCUUGUUUGUAAGUCUGAAGCACACCACAUUUAUGAAUAUUAGGCAAAUAAAUGUUUAGGAAAUUUCACUUCUUCACUUCUCUAAGUCGUGCCAUAGAAUUUAACUCUAUAAGUCUUUCUCCUAAUCCAUGCUCGAUGGUUUUAAGGAUGACAACUAGAAGGGGUAAUACUAGAAGGUUGGAGGUAGGCAAUAUUGAGUAAGAGGUUCCUCCAAAAGCUUCUCCUCAAUCUCCGAAUGACCCAUUAAAUGAGAAUGUGACUAAUCCAGAGCUUAGGUCAGCAUUCCAAGUGUUGGCUCAAGCCGUGACGGCACAAUCUGACAGAGGGGUGGUAGCCGCCGUGAAUCCAAGUGUUGUUACGACGACGACAAGAGUGAGGGAUUUCACCAAAAUGAACCCUCCCAAAUUUUAUGGCUCCAAACUUGAGGAAGACCCUCAAGAGUUUAUCGACUAGGUCUAUAAGGUGCUUGCUAUCAUGGGUGUGACUUCGGUACAGAAGGCGGAACUAAAUGCUUACCAACUCAAGGGGGUUGCUCAGAUUUUGUUUAAAAAGUAGAAAUAGGCAAGGCCGGUGGAAGCGGGUCCCAUAGAAUGGGAGAGGUUCAAAAGUGCAUUUAUUGACAGAUUCUUCCCUCUAUAGAUGAUAGAGGCCAAGGUACUUGAUUUUAUCAACCUUAGGCAAGGAAAUAUGAGUGUAAGGGAGUACGGUUUGAGGUUCACUCAACUAUCCAAGUACUCCUUCCAUUGUGGUGGAUAUUAGGGCCAAGAUGAGUAAAAUUGUGUAGGGAGUAUCCGACAUGGAAGUCAAAGAGUUCCGCACUUCUAUGCUUGUUCAUGACAUGGAAAUUUCUCGCCUUAUGGGGCAUGCCUAAAAAAUUGAGGAAGAAAAGCUCAAGGAAAGAUAUAGAGAGGCAAAGAGAGCAAAAGUGGAUGAUGGCAAAUAUUCCAUGCUAGGUCCAUUGGACGGGGUCGUUUAAGGUUCCGACAAAAGUUCUUGAGGGAAGGUUCCUCAAGUGCUCCUUUCCUUGAAGGCCUAAUAAUGAGAGGUUGUCUAACCCAAAAUCUCAAGGAGAUGUUAAUAGGCCUCCUAUGCCUACUUGUUCUAAAUGUUGGAGAAAUCAUGCAGGGAAGUGUCUAGCGGGCUCUAAUGCUUGUUUUGGGUGUGGCAAAACGGAUAAUAAAACAAGGAAUUAUCCUUUGGUUUGUAAGAAUGAUGGAGAUGGUCGUUGUAGGGCUCAAACCUACCCUUCAUCCGGUCCGAGUGGUUCGGGUGGAAAUGCUCGUAAGCAAAACUAUUUUUAUGCUCUCCAAACUAGUAGUGAUUAAGAGAGUUGCUUGGAUGUUGUGAUUGGUAUGUUAAGAGUAUGCCAUAUAGAUGUGUAUGCUUUACUUGAUAUGGGUGCGACUUUGUAAUUUGUGACUAUUUUUGUAGCUAAUAGAUUUGAUAUCCUUCCUGAUAUAUUGUUAGAACCUUUUUCUGUCUCUACCCCUGUUGGUGAUUCUGUGGUGGCAAAGAGGGUUUAUAGAAAAUGUCCCAUUUCCUUGUCGCAUAGUGUUACUUUGGUUGAUUUUAUAGAACUUGACAUGAUAGAUUUUGAUGUCAUCUUGGGUAUGGAUUGGUUGCAUUCUUGUUAUGCCUCUGUUGAUUGAAGGACUAGAGUGGUCAAUUUUAGUUUCCAAAUGAGCAUAUACUUGCGUGGAAGGGGCGAAAUUCUAUGCCUAGAGGUCAAUUUGUUUCUUACCUAAAAGCUAGGAAAAUGAUCUCGAAAGGUUGUGUCUACCAUAUACUGAGGGUGAGGGAUAUGGAGUUUGAUGCUCCUACUCUUGAGUCGGUCCCUAUUGUAAUACGGUUUCUGGAAGUUUUCCCCGAUGAUUGACCUAGUGUUCCUCCCAAAUGGGAAAUAGACUUUGGGAUUGACCUUCUCCCCGAUACCUAACCAAUCUGUAUUCCUCCUUAUAGAAUGGCUCCGAUGGAACUAAAGGAGUUAUAGGAAUUGUUAAAGAUCUUAUUAGAUAAGGGUUUCAUACGACCAAGUAUGUCUCCAUGGGGUGCAUCGGUGUUAUUUAUUAAGAAGAAAGAUGGUUCACUCCGUAUGUGUAUUGAUUACCGCCAAUUGAACAAAGUGACCAUCAAGAAUAAGUAUCCUCUUCCAAGAAUAUAUGACUUAUUUGAUCAACUCCAUGGGGUAAUUUAUUUCCCAAAAAUUGAUCUCCAGUCGGGUUAUCACCAAUUAAGGGUGAAAGAGGAAGAUAUUCCAAAAAUAACUUUUAGAACCCGAUAUGGUCAUUAUGAGUUCCGGGUUAUGUCUUUUGGUUUGACAAAUGCCCAAACGAUGUUUAUGGACUUGAUAAUAGGAUGUUUAGACAAUACCUUGAUAUGUUCGUAAUUAUGUUCAUUGAUGAUAUUUUGAUCUUUUUGAGGAGUGAGAAUGAACAUAUUGAUCAUUUGAGGAUUGUAUUGAAAUUUUUAAGGACCAACAAAUCUAUGCAAAGUUUAGUAAAUGUGAGUUUUGGUUAAGGUCUGUAACUUUCCUUGGCCAUAUAGUUUUACGCAAGGGUAUUGAGGUAGAUCCAAAGAAGACGAAUGCGGUCAAGAGUUGGCCUAGAUCUCUAUCAUCGACAAAUAUUAGAAGCUUUUUGGGUUUGGCCAGUUAUUAUAGAAGGUUUGUUGAGGGGUUUUCUUCCAUUUCUUAUCCUUUGACGACCUUGACUCAAAGAAGGCCAAGUUUAUAUGGUUCGAAGCUUGUGAGAAAAAUUUUCAAGAGUUGAAAGAUACACUUACAUCUGCUCCGGUGUUGACCUUACUAGAUGUACAAAUGGGUUUGUAGUAUAUUGUCACACCUCUAGAGUGAGUUUGGGAUUUGUGCUUAUGAAAAAUGAUAAGGUGAUUGCCUAAACAUCGGGGAAACUAAAUCUUCAUGAGAAGAACUAUCAUACCCACGAUCUUGAAUUAGCAGCGGUUGUAUUUUCCUUAAAGAUUUGGAGGCACUAUUUGUAUAGGGUCCAUUUUGAUGUGUUUACCUAUCACAAGAGCUUGUAAUAUGUGUUUACCCAAAGAGAUCUAAAUCUUUGCCAAAGAAGGUGGCUUGAGUUAUUGAAAGAUUAUGAUAUGAGUGUUAUCUAUCACCCCGGUAAAGCAAAUGUAAUGGUGGAUGCCUUAGUUGGUUGUUCAUGGGUAGUGUUGCACAUGUUGAUGAUGAGAGAGAAGAGUUGGUUCUAGAUUUUCAUAGGUUGGCCCGAUAGGGAGUUCAACUAGUGGAUUCCACCUAGGUGGUAUUAUGGUCCAUAAUGGUUAUGAAUCGUCUUUCAUGGCCGAUGUUAAAGAAAAGCAAUGUCUUGAUCCGACCUUAGUCGAAUUGAAAGAGGUGGUUCUAAAGAAGUCUGUAGUCGCUUUCUCCCAAGGGGGAGAUGGAGUCUUAAGGUACCAAGGUCGUUUAUGUGUUCUGGAUGUCGAUGAUUUAAGGGAACAAAUUUUAUUUGAAGCCCAUAGUUCUCGGUAUUCUAUUUACCCAGGAGCCACCAAGAUGUACUGUGAUUUGCGGGAGAUCUAUUGGUGGAAUGGGAUGAAGAAGGAUACUACGAGAUUUGUGGCUAAGUGUCCUAAUUGCCAAAAAGUGAAGGUUGAGCAACAGGGACCGGGAGGUUUAUACCAAGAUAUUGUCAUUCCUACUUGGAAGUGGGAAGAUUUGAAUAUGUACUGCAUAGUAGGGUUUCCAUGAACUUGGCACCAAUAUGAUUCGAUAUGGGUUAUAGUAGACCGAAUGAACAUGUCGGCCCAAUUCAUUCCUGUCAAAGUUUCUUAUACGGUGGAAGAUUAUGCUAAGUUGUACUUGAGGGAGAUGGUAAGGUUGUAUGGAGUGCCCUUGUCCAUUAUUUCCGAUAGAUGUAUUCAGUUUACUUCACAAUUUUGGAAGUCAUUCCAAAAGGGUCUUGGCACUAAAGUUAAGCUUAGCACAACUUUUCACCCCCAAACCGAUGGCAAGAGGAAAGAACAAUCCAAACAUUGAAAGUCAUGUUGAGGGCUUGUGUGAUAGAUUUCAAGGGAAAUUAGGGUAACCAUUUUCCCUUGAUUGAAUUUGCCUAUAGUAAUAGCUAACAUUCGAGUAUUGGUAUGGCUCAUUUUGAGGCUCUUUGUGGUAGGAGGUGUAGAUCCCCUAUUGCAUGGUUUGAGGUGGGUGAGGUUGCCUUGAUAGGGCCCGAGUUAGUUCAUGAGGAUAUUGAGAAGGUUUGACUCAUUAGAGAGUGGUUGAGUACGACCCAAAGUUGACAAAAGUCUUAUGUGGAUUUUAGAAGGAGAGACAUUGAAUUUGAUAUGCAUCAUUGGGUUUACUUUAAAAUGUCACCCAUGAAGGGUAUAAUGAGGUUUUGGCAAGAAAGGGAAACUUAGUCCCCGUUUUGUAGGCCCAUAUCAAAUUUUGAGAAGUGUUGGUAAGGUUGCCUAUGAGAUUGAUUUUCCAAAUGAGUUGGCCACAGUGCAUCCGAUUUUCCAUGUCUCAAUGUUGAAAAAGUGUGUUGGAGAUCUGACAUCCAUAAUUCCCCUUGAAGGGUUAGAAGUGAAAGAGAACCUUUCUUAUGCAGAAGUUCCGGUUGAGAUCCAAGACUGGCAAGUAAAGAGGUUGAGGAACAAAGAGGUUGCUUCGGUUAAGGUGUUAUGGAGAAAUUGUAAACACCCCUAAAAUACUAGAUCAACUCUUGCAUGUCGAUGCAUCAUUUCUUAAUUACUACAAUAUGCUUUACUCUUAUUUUGGGAACUUGAAAUUUUAUGAUAUAUGCAACCUUGCUUAAAAUAAAUUAUGCUCGUAAUUUAAGGUAUUGUAUGGGGGUAUUUACGUAAUUUUUCUAAUUAAAAUUACAUAUGAAUGAAAGUGUUGGUAACAAUUAUAUACAUAUAGGUGUAUAUGUAUACAUUUAGGGCAGCUCACAAUAAAAUGGGGCAGCACCCUUUAGGGACAGUUGUAUAUGUGACUAAGCAUCACUCAUUAGACUAUAUUAUCACACCUCCUCUUGUGAUUUUCGUUAGGAACUGAAGUCCAAGAACCUAUGAACAUUUUCUAACCAAUUUUUCAUCCAAAUCACAAGAGAAAACCUUGGUCCUUCUAGCUGAAAGUCGAGACAUCCUGCCUUUUGGUUGUAUAUCCUCGUGUACGAGUUGAAGACUUUGAUACGCUGGUUGGUCUACGAUUUUAACUCGUGAAGUUGUGUUGGACUGUUUUUGUGCUAAAGAACUGAGGUUUGUGUAUAAACCUAUACUUGUAUUUUCUUUACCUGCUGGUUAUCUGAAAUUUAUCUUGGUACCUUGGUUAAAUCUUGUCACUUUGCAUUGUCAUAUUGGUAUUCUUUAAUACAUUAAAGACGCUUGUGUAAUUCGCCCACUUGUACAGAUUGUCUAAUCACUUGGCACUCUUGUUGGGACCUUGUCCUUCUUGUGGCUGUGACUUCAUCACUCUUGGCAUGCCUCUUGGUUCGGAUCAUUUCCAUCUUGACUCUGGAUUUUUAGUUCGUCUAAAGAAUGGAAGUUGUCCAUUUUAAGUACGAACUAGGAAGCCAUUUUUAAUAUGGUUCUUGGUUCUCUUGAUUAUUGGGUUUUGACCCUUCUUGAUGUAGGGCGUUGAUCCUUCUUGAUACCUUCUCGUGCUUAGUGUGACAACAUGAUAUAUAUAUUGGGUGAGCCUUGUUGUUGAAUCUCUUGAAAAGUUGUGCUAUGAACAUUCUUGUCAUUUGGUCCUUUCAAUAUUGAACUUCAUACUCCUUGUAUAUUAUUUACUUGAUUUAUUGAUUUUGUUUUGAUCGUGCUGCCCUUGACUUGAGAAUGAUAACUUGUCGAAUUUGAGAGCUCCAAACCUAUAGUUUUUACACCACUAAGCUAUAUUCUUAGCGAUAGUUUUUUCUAUCGUAGGGGCUGUCCGCGAUGAUGCUUGAAGCUGGCCAUUGGAGAUGCAUAUUUUGAAAGCCUUAAGGAAGAUCACAUUUGCAUAUAGGCAUCUAUAUUUUGUAUAAACCUUGGGACUUGUACAUGAUCUUUGUGCUGUAUAUUUACAUGAGAUUUUGAGGGCUAAUUUGGUCAUGUCACCAUGGGUUGUAAUAUAAGUAUGGUUAUACAUUUUAUCUUUUUGGGGUGUGUAAACCCAAGUUUUGUAAUAUACUUAUUUUUCUAUAUGUCUUGAAAAGUUGUGUGAAGCAUGAGUUGGCUGAUUUCGGUACUCGAAAGUGUAAUAUUCUUGUUAUUUCACCCUCGAGUGUGAGGUUAAUAUAUGCAUGAAGAUCUGGUCGGUUAAUUGCCAAAUUUGUUUUUCUUUUAAGUUCGUUAUGAAUCUAAUCCCUAUACUAGAUUAAAAUCAGUAUGCCUCUAUUAAUUGGUUUUGGUUGUUGCGAGUAUUUAAUUAGAUUUCUUGUUUAAGUAGUGGUACCAUUUUGAAAGGGUCGCUACAAGUGUUGGUAUCAGAGCCAGGUUUGUGGUUCUAGGACUUUUGUUGUGAAUUACUAAUAUAGUUGUUUGCUUUCAAAAAGGUUCUAUUUAGAUUAUUUGUUCGCUUAUAUGGUAUAUGAUAAUUGCAUCGCAUGUAGAGUGCAUAUGCAUUUAGUACACAUCCCUAAUGCAAUGUGAUCUUCCCUUUUGAAGGAAUUAAGUUAUGGCCACUUCUUUUGACCGACCUAUGGAAGCUGCUCGUGGAGGUUCGGGUGCCUCUGUUUCCCAACCUCAUGCAUUGGAAGGGGUUGGAGAACAUAUCUCUAAUCAGUAUGUUCCCCACACUAGUGGUUCUGAAGUGGAAAACCAUCAGGGUGUAAGAGAUGAUCCACAUCCUCACAUGAAUCAUGGUCCUCAAUUCAUGAAUCCUCAUUUUCAACAAAUGGCUGAAUUCUUCCACCAUAUGGCUGAAUAGAUGCAUGAUCCCCACAGGAUUAACUUUAAGAAAAUGAGGAAAAUGGGUGGAGUGGAGUUUGAAGGCACUGUUGAUCCCACAGAUGCUGAACAAUGGCUUGAUCGCAUGGAGAGGGUAUUUGAGCAGUUGGAGUGUUCAGAUGUUNNNNNNNNNNNNNNNNNNNNNNNNNNNNNNNNNNNNNNNNNNNNNNNNNNNNNNNNNNNNNNNNNNNNNNNNNNNNNNNNNNNNNNNNNNNNNNNNNNNNNNNNNNNNNNNNNNNNNNNNNNNNNNNNNNNNNNNNNNNNNNNNNNNNNNNNNNNNNNNNNNNNNNNNNNNNNNNNNNNNNNNNNNNNNNNNNNNNNNNNNNNNNNNNNNNNNNNNNNNNNNNNNNNNNNNNNNNNNNNNNNNNNNNNNNNNNNNNNNNNNNNNNNNNNNNNNNNNNNNNNNNNNNNNNNNNNNNNNNNNNNNNNNNNNNNNNNNNNNNNNNNNNNNNNNNNNNNNNNNNNNNNNNNNNNNNNNNNNNNNNNNNNNNNNNNNNNNNNNNNNNNNNNNNNNNNNNNNNNNNNNNNNNNNNNNNNNNNNNNNNNNNNNNNNNNNNNNNNNNNNNNNNNNNNNNNNNNNNNNNNNNNNNNNNNNNNNNAAGCCUAGACCAGAUUUUGGGGGUCCAUCCAAAAGGGGAAGGUUUGAUAAUUCUAAGGCCAGUAGUGAUAACAGGCCACCUAAACAAAGGCAAAACAGAUCAGAAUUUUUUACAGCUAGCACUCCAAAUUAUGGCCAAGGCAAGCCUNNNNNNNNNNNNNNNNNNNNNNNNNNNNNNNNNNNNNNNNNNNNNNNNNNNNNNNNNNNNNNNNNNNNNNNNNNNNNNNNNNNNNNNNNNNNNNNNNNNNNNNNNNNNNNNNNNNNNNNNNNNNNNNNNNNNNNNNNNNNNNNNNNNNNNNNNNNNNNNNNNNNNNNNNNNNNNNNNNNNNNNNNNNNNNNNNNNNNNNNNNNNNNNNNNNNNNNNNNNNNNNNNNNNNNNNNNNNNNNNNNNNNNNNNNNNNNNNNNNNNNNNNNNNNNNNNNNNNNNNNNNNNNNNNNNNNNNNNNNNNNNNNNNNNNNNNNNNNNNNNNNNNNNNNNNNNNNNNNNNNNNNNNNNNNNNNNNNNNNNNNNNNNNNNNNNNNNNNNNNNNNNNNNNNNNNNNNNNNNNNNNNNNNNNNNNNNNNNNNNNNNNNNNNNNNNNNNNNNNNNNNNNNNNNNNNNNNNNNNNNNNNNNNNNNNNNNNNNNNNNNNNNNNNNNNNNNNNNNNNNNNNNNNNNNNNNNNNNNNNNNNNNNNNNNNNNNNNNNNNNNNNNNNNNNNNNNNNNNNNNNNNNNNNNNNNNNNNNNNNNNNNNNNNNNNNNNNNNNNNNNNNNNNNNNNNNNNNNNNNNNNNNNNNNNNNNNNNNNNNNNNNNNNNNNNNNNNNNNNNNNNNNNNNNNNNNNNNNNNNNNNNNNNNNNNNNNNNNNNNNNNNNNNNNNNNNNNNNNNNNNNNNNNNNNNNNNNNNNNNNNNNNNNNNNNNNNNNNNNNNNNNNNNNNNNNNNNNNNNNNNNNNNNNNNNNNNNNNNNNNNNNNNNNNNNNNNNNNNNNNNNNNNNNNNNNNNNNNNNNNNNNNNNNNNNNNNNNNNNNNNNNNNNNNNNNNNNNNNNNNNNNNNNNNNNNNNNNNNNNNNNNNNNNNNNNNNNNNNNNNNNNNNNNNNNNNNNNNNNNNNNNNNNNNNNNNNNNNNNNNNNNNNNNNNNNNNNNNNNNNNNNNNNNNNNNNNNNNNNNNNNNNNNNNNNNNNNNNNNNNNNNNNNNNNNNNNNNNNNNNNNNNNNNNNNNNNNNNNNNNNNNNNNNNNNNNNNNNNNNNNNNNNNNNNNNNNNNNNNNNNNNNNNNNNNNNNNNNNNNNNNNNNNNNNNNNNNNNNNNNNNNNNNNNNNNNNNNNNNNNNNNNNNNNNNNNNNNNNNNNNNNNNNNNNNNNNNNNNNNNNNNNNNNNNNNNNNNNNNNNNNNNNNNNNNNNNNNNNNNNNNNNNNNNNNNNNNNNNNNNNNNNNNNNNNNNNNNNNNNNNNNNNNNNNNNNNNNNNNNNNNNNNNNNNNNNNNNNNNNNNNNNNNNNNNNNNNNNNNNNNNNNNNNNNNNNNNNNNNNNNNNNNNNNNNNNNNNNNNNNNNNNNNNNNNNNNNNNNNNNNNNNNNNNNNNNNNNNNNNNNNNNNNNNNNNNNNNNNNNNNNNNNNNNNNNNNNNNNNNNNNNNNNNNNNNNNNNNNNNNNNNNNNNNNNNNNNNNNNNNNNNNNNNNNNNNNNNNNNNNNNNNNNNNNNNNNNNNNNNNNNNNNNNNNNNNNNNNNNNNNNNNNNNNNNNNNNNNNNNNNNNNNNNNNNNNNNNNNNNNNNNNNNNNNNNNNNNNNNNNNNNNNNNNNNNNNNNNNNNNNNNNNNNNNNNNNNNNNNNNNNNNNNNNNNNNNNNNNNNNNNNNNNNNNNNNNNNNNNNNNNNNNNNNNNNNNNNNNNNNNNNNNNNNNNNNNNNNNNNNNNNNNNNNNNNNNNNNNNNNNNNNNNNNNNNNNNNNNNNNNNNNNNNNNNNNNNNNNNNNNNNNNNNNNNNNNNNNNNNNNNNNNNNNNNNNNNNNNNNNNNNNNNNNNNNNNNNNNNNNNNNNNNNNNNNNNNNNNNNNNNNNNNNNNNNNNNNNNNNNNNNNNNNNNNNNNNNNNNNNNNNNNNNNNNNNNNNNNNNNNNNNNNNNNNNNNNNNNNNNNNNNNNNNNNNNNNNNNNNNNNNNNNNNNNNNNNNNNNNNNNNNNNNNNNNNNNNNNNNNNNNNNNNNNNNNNNNNNNNNNNNNNNNNNNNNNNNNNNNNNNNNNNNNNNNNNNNNNNNNNNNNNNNNNNNNNNNNNNNNNNNNNNNNNNNNNNNNNNNNNNNNNNNNNNNNNNNNNNNNNNNNNNNNNNNNNNNNNNNNNNNNNNNNNNNNNNNNNNNNNNNNNNNNNNNNNNNNNNNNNNNNNNNNNNNNNNNNNNNNNNNNNNNNNNNNNNNNNNNNNNNNNNNNNNNNNNNNNNNNNNNNNNNNNNNNNNNNNNNNNNNNNNNNNNNNNNNNNNNNNNNNNNNNNNNNNNNNNNNNNNNNNNNNNNNNNNNNNNNNNNNNNNNNNNNNNNNNNNNNNNNNNNNNNNNNNNNNNNNNNNNNNNNNNNNNNNNNNNNNNNNNNNNNNNNNNNNNNNNNNNNNNNNNNNNNNNNNNNNNNNNNNNNNNNNNNNNNNNNNNNNNNNNNNNNNNNNNNNNNNNNNNNNNNNNNNNNNNNNNNNNNNNNNNNNNNNNNNNNNNNNNNNNNNNNUUGGUCCUGAAAUUGUGCAACAAACAGAAGACAAGGUAAAAAUUAUCAAAGAUCGUCUAAAGAUUUCUUCGGAUAGACAAAAGUCGUAUGCUGAUCUUAAAAGGCGUGAUAUUGAAUAUCAAGUUGGGGAUAAAGUAUUCUUAAGGGUGUCUCCAUGGAAAAAUAUUAUGAGAUUUGGCCAGAAAGGAAAACUUAGUCCCCGAUUUAUUGGACCUUAUGAGAUACUUGAAAGGGUUGGACCAGUUGCAUAUAAAUUGGCGUUGCCACCUGAGUUAGACAAGAUCCACAAUGUCUUCCAUGUUUCUAUGCUCAGAAGAUAUCGGUCUGAUCCAUCUCAUGUUCUUCCAGUUGAAUCUAUUGAGGUUAAUCCUGACUUGACGUAUAAUGAAGAACCUAUUCUAAUUCAAGCUCGAGAAUUAAAGCAACUUAGGAACAAGAGAAUCCCCUUAGUAAAGGUACUUUGGAGGAACCAUUCUGGAAAAGAAGCUACCUGGGAAAGAGAAGAAGAUGUGAGGACCCUAUAUCCGCACUUGUUACGGGACUAGCGUAAGGUAAAUUUCGAGAUGAAAUUUCUUUAAGGGGGAGAGAGUUGUAACACACCUAAAAUACUAGAUCAACUCUUGCAUAUCGAUGCAUCAUUUCUUAAUUACUACAAUAUGUUUCACUCUUAUUUUGGGAACUUGAAAUUUUGUGAUAUAUGCAACCUUGCUUAAAAUAAAUUGUGCUCGUAAUUUAAGGUAUUGUAUGGGGGUAUUUACGUAAUUUUUCUAAUUAAAAUUACAUAUGAAUUGAAAGUGUUGGUAACAAUUAUAUACAUAUAGGUGUAUAUGUAUACAUUUAGGGCAGCACACAAUAAAAUGGGGCAACACCCUUUAGGGACAGUUGUAUAUGUGACUAAGCAUCACUCAUUAGACUAUAUUAUCACACCUCCUCUUGUGAUUUUCGUUUGGAACUGAAGUCCAAGAACCUAGGAACAUUUUCUAACUAGUUUUUCAUCAAAAUCACAAGAGAAAACCUUGGUCCUUCUAGCUGGAAGUCGAGACAUCCUGCCUUUUAGUUGUAUAUCCUUAUGUACGAGUUGAAGACUUUGAUACGCUGGUUGGUCUACGAUUUGAACUGGUGAAGUUGUGUUGGACUGUUUUGUGCUAAAGAACUGAGGUUUGUGUAUAAACCUAUACUUGUAUUUUUCUUUACCAGCUGGUUAUCUGAAAGUUAUCUUGGUACCUUGGUUACAUCUUGUUACUUUGCAUUGUCGUAUUGGUAUUCUUUAAUACAUUAAAGACGCUUGAGUAAUUCGCCCACUUGUACGGAUUGUCUGAUCACUUGGCACUCUUGUUGGGACCUUGUCCUUCUUGUGGCGGUGAAUUCGUCACUUGGCAUGCCUUUUGGUUCGGAUCAUUUGCCAUCUUGACUCUGGAUUUUUAGUUCGUACUUACUCUGGAUUUAAGUGACAAAUGAUGGAGAGUAAGUACGAACUAAAAAUCCAGAGUCAAGAUGGCAAAUGAUCCGAACCAAGAGGCAUGCCAAGAGUGACGAAGUCACAGCCACAAGAAGGACAAGGUCCCAACAAGAGUGCCAAGUGAUCAGACAAUCCGUACAAGUGGGCGAAUUACACAAGCGUCUUUAAUGUAUUAAAGAAUACCAAUACGACAAUGCAAAGUGACAAGAUGUAACCAAGGUACCAAGAUAACUUUCAGAUAACCAGCAGGUAAAGAAAAAUACAAGUAUAGGUUUAUACACAAACCUCAGUUCUUUAGCACAAAAACAGUCCAACACAACUUCACGAGUUCAAAUCGUAGACCAACCAGCGUAUCAAAGUCUUCAUUGAGAUUUUUAGGGCUGAUUUGGUCAUGUCACCAUGGGUUGUAAUAUAAGUAUGGUUAUACAUUUUUAUCUUUUUGGGGUGUGUAAACCCAAGUUUUCUAAUAUACUGAUUUUGCUAUAUGUCUUGAAAGUUGUGUGAAGCAUGAGUUGGCUGAUUUCGGUACUCGAAAGUGUAAUAUUCUUGUUAUUUCACCCUCGAGUGUGAGGUUAAUAUAUGCAUGAAGAUCUGGUCGGUUAAUUGCCAAAUUUUGUUUUUCUUUAAGUUCGUUAUGAAUCUAUUCCCUCUACUAGAUUAAAAUCAGUAUGCCUCAUUAAUUGGGUUUGGAUGUCGCGAGUAUUUAACUAGAUUUCUUGUUUAAGUAGUGGUACCAUUUUGAAAGGGUCGCUACAGAAACCCUCUAGUUGUGGGUGCUACUUGGGAAGCAGAACCAGAUAUGAUGUCCCGGUAUCCCCAUCUUUUUCCUCAUAUUCUAGCUUGAAGUAAUUAGUUAUUCUUGGUUUUAUUAUGUUUGAACUCAUAUGUGUUCAAUGUGUUUCCAUGAUUUCCUUAAAUUUGCAUGUUCAUGAAAAAGCUCAAGUUUUGAAAGAAAUUGCUUUUAUAUUGUAUUUGCCUCAUGUUGUUGAGUAUUGAGUUUGAAUUGCAUAUGAGCUCCAUGAGAUUGUGUUGAACAUUGCUUUUGAGAUUGGAGAUGAUAGUUCCUCCUUGAACAUGAGAAAUGUUAAGAUUUCAUGCAUAUUGGGUUGCUAGAUGUAGUUCCUACUUCUUUAAAGUGCAUUGAGUAUGUUGAGAUUGGAGUUGAUGUUUCCUCCUUAGUUAUGUGCAUUUAGAUGAGUUGCAUGCAUGAUGGGCUGCUAGUCUUGAGUCUUUUCGUUUAGAAAUGUACCUAGAAUCUCAUUUGAGGACGAAUGAUCCCAAGGGGGAGCUAAUGUAACACCCCGGAUUCGAAAGAGGAAGGCAUGGAAUUUUUUUAGAAAGUGCAGGUGUCAUCCACGCCCCGUAUGUCACGAUCCAGGGGUACCCCCUAGAUGUAACAAGGUGUAUAAGACCUCGAGAGGCCUCAUACAAGCCACUUAGUAUAUCAUAACAUAAAGUAAUAGAAAAGGUCCGGGAAUUAAAACUUUUCAAUUACAAUCAAAGUCUUUUCUAAAAGCAAGCGGAAGUCGAACAUGACAUUUUCUCAAACCAUCUAAACAUAUGAAAAAUAAAAAUCUUGGGACACAGCCCAUACAAUAGUUUCAAAAGUAAAAGAAAGAUAUAAAAUAAAUAGGGUGAUCCAAUCCUCGAAUACAAUGAGAACUCACCAAAGCUUCACUUCACGAUCAACUAGAGCCUAGCCACAAUUAUGCGAAUUGGCAAUGCCGGACCCUAUAUUUUAUAAGAAUGUAGGCAAGAGUAUGCUUUAGUACAAUCAAGUACUAAAUAUGAUGGCUAGCAUAAAAAACAUAAACAUAAGAGUUAGUAAAUACAAGACAUAAGGCAUAGUCAUUUCAAUACAUGAUAAGCAUCAUAAUGAAAGAGGAAUACUUCCUUAAGUAGCCUCACCUAUCCUUAUCCAAGAGUUAGGUCAUACGCCUCUAGUCAAGCUUACUUACAUCAUGGAAGGCAUAUCUAGCAACACUCCAAGCAGUCAUCAUCAUACAUAAUCACAUUAGUCAUACUAACUUUUAAAGAUAUGGGGAUUCACCUCUAUGCCUAGUUCAUAAAGGCUAAUGGGUAUUCACCUCUUGCCUUACUUACUUUUAGAUUGCGAGUACUCGCCUCCACAAUUUCAUCACAUGACGUGGGUACUCACCUCCACAUCAUUUCAUAAGGAGCAUGGGUACUCGCCUACAUGUCCAUUUAUCAUAGUAAGAAUGUGGGGAUUCACCUCUUGUUCAAGUCUAAGGAGUAGGGGAAUCGCCUCAUAUCCUUUCAUAUGGAGUUCAAGGGUAAUCACCUCUAGCCUUAUCAUUCAUUAAGAAUUUUAGUCUAAAUUCAUUUUAGGUGAGCGAUACUCUCACCUUAGAAUUAUUCAUCUGAGUAAACCUUUCACAUUCAUACAAUCAUGCUUAUCAAUUCAUUAUAGGAAGUAUCUCUUCCACAUCAUAGCAUUAAUCAAUAUACAAUGCAUACUCUAGCCUGUACUCUAAAAGCUUUACAUCUCAUGAUAAUCAUCCAUGCUUUACUCUCAAGCAAUUAACAUCUUGUUCAUCAUUUAUGCUUCAAUCUAAAGCAAUUCUAAUCAUAAUUCAUCAAUCCUAUGAGGAGAUAUCUAACCCAUGGGGUUUCCCUCACAUCGGAUCAAACCCACUAUAUCAAUUCAACCUUAAAAUCGUAGGAUAUUCUUGGGUACAUGUAAUUUCAUCCUAAAUACAUGCAAUUCUAUCAAUUCAACCAUAAACAAUCAUAAUCCACGCAAUUGGAUCAACAUUCAUCAUAACCCACAAUAAUGGAAGAAACCCUAACUAGAAUUGGGGAAAUGUUUCAUCAAAUUGUUGAAUUCUAGGGGACUCCACGGGAGGAAGGAUUCCAUGGAUGAAAAGCCAUCAUACCUUAGUCAAAUAGCCCACAAAAGCUUCAAAAUUUGAGACUUGAUCUUGACCUAGCUUCAAUCUCUUUUUUCUUCUUCCAACUUCUAUAGAGAGAAUAUUUGAGAGGAGUUUUCAGAAUUCUUUUGGGAAUUUUAGAGAAUGACUAAAUUGGGGGAUUUUGGGGGUUAAAAUCACUUAUAUAAGUGUCUUAGACAAAGGCAAAACUACGCCACAUUAAUUUAAUUAAAACCGUAAAAGACCCUUAUACCCAUAAACUUAACUACCAGGUGAUGACCUACGGACCACGAUCGACAAACCGUGGAUGGACCUACAGUCCGUCCUGGUCAUCAUCAUUUGUGGUCAAGAUAUUUCUGCUAAUCAACGACACCCUCCAUCCAUAGACCUUCGACCCAUCCACGGGCCAUGGGUCCUAGCGUGGGUCACUGCCUAAAGCAAUGUCCACCUACAUGGCUCACCCACGUGGCAUGGGUCCAACCACGAUCCAUGGUUUGACCACGUAGGUGACACCUGAAAGUCCUAAAAUUUGCUAAGCCUUCCUAUUUCGGGUACGGGGUGUUACAUUAUCUUCCCUUUGGGAUCAUUCGUCCUCGAAUGAGAUCCUAAGCACGUUUCUUGCUGAAAAGACUUAAGACUAGCAGCUCAUCAUUCAUGCAACUCGUCUUAACACAUACAACUAAUGAGGAAUAUCAAUAUCAAUUCCUAUCUAAACAUACUCAAUGCACCAUAAGGAGGUAGGAACUACAUCUAACAACCCAAUAUGCAUGAAAGCUUAACAUUUCUAAUGUUUAAGGAGGAACUAUCAUCUCCAAACUCAAAACAAUGUUCAACACAAUCUUAUGGAACUCAUAUUGAAAUUCGAUGUCAAGAAAAGCACAAAUUCAAGGAGGGGAUCUCCACUCCAACUCAAGGCAUGUUCUACAACUCAUCUCAUGAAGUCUUUAAGCAACUCAUAUUAAAUACUAAAUAACACGAGGAACAAACAUGAUAAAAAUCAUUUCUUUCAAAACAUAAGCUUUUUCAUAGACAUGCAAUUUCAAGGAAAUCAUGGAAACACAUAAAUUACACAUGAAUUUAAACAUAAAAAAAAUAAGAGGAACUCAUUAGCUCAAGCUAGAAUAGGAGGAAAAAGAUGAGGAUACCGGGACAUCAUAUCGGCUUCCGCCUUCCAAGUAGCAGUCUCAACUAGAUGAUUUCUCACUAACACCUUAACAAAAGCUACCUCUUUAUUCCUCAACCUCUCGAAUUUCUGGUCUAAGAAACCGGAACUUCUUCAUAAGAAAGGUUCUCUUUCACUUCCAACCCUUCAAGGGGAACUAUGGAUGUCGAGUCUCCAACACACUUUUUCAUCAUAGAGACAUGGAACACCGGAUACACCGAUGCAAACUCAUUUGCCAAAUCAAGCUCAUAUGCAACCUUACGAACACGUCUCAGAAUUUGAAAUGGGCCUACAAAGCGGGGACUAAGCUUCCCUUUCUUGCCAAAAUUCAUUAGACCUGUCAUGAAUGAGAUUUUUUCAGUAAACCCAAUCAUGCAGAUCAAAUUCAAGGUCUAUCCUUUGAAGAUCGGCAUAGGAGUUUUAUCGACUUUGGGCCGUUCUCAAUCUCUCUCUAAUGAGUCGAAUCUUCUCAAUAGCCUCAUGAACUAACUCGGGCCCUAUCAAGGCAACCUCACCUACCUAAAACAAUCUGAUAGGGGAUCUAAACCUUCUACCAUAAAGAGCCUCAAUCAGAGCCAUACCAAUACUAGAAUGGUAGCUAUUAUUAUUGGCAAGUUCAAUCAAGGGAAAAUGGUCAUCCCAACUUUCCUUGAAAUCUAUCACAUAAGCCCUUAACAUAUCUUCCAAUGCUUGGAUUGUUCUUUUCGCUUGCCUAUCAGAUUUGGGGGUGAAAACCUGUGCUAAACUUAACUUUAGUGCCAAGACCCUUUUGGAACGACUUCCAAAACUACGAAGUAAACUAAGUACCUCUAUCGGAGAAAAUGGACAAGGGCACUCCAUGAAGACUUACCAUCUCCCUCAAGUACAACUUAGUAUAAUAUUCUACCAUAUAAGAAACUUUGACGGGAAUGAAAUGGGCUGACUUUUUCAUUCGGUCAACUAUAACCCAAAUCGAAUCAUAUUGGUGCCGAAUCCGUGGCAACCUUACUAUGAAGUCCAUAUUUAGAUCUUCCCAUUUCCAAGUAGGAAUGCUAAUAUCUUGGGAUAAACCUCCCGGUAUCGUAUGCUCAACCUUCACUUGUUGGAAAUUAGGACAUUUAGUCGCAAAUCCUGCAAUAUCCUUUUUCAUACCAUUCAACCUAUAGAUCUCCCGCAAAUCAUGGUACAUCUUGGUGGCUCCCAAGUGAAUAGAAUACCGAUAACUAUGGGCUUUAUAUACAUUUUGUUACCUUAAGUCAUCAACAUUCGAAACACAUAAUCGACCUUGGUACCUAAUGCAUAUCGUGACCAACGAUACUAACCUACGGUUCUAGUGUUUACGACCGUCAAUAGUAUAGUAACCCAACUAAAGGUUGGGGUCGUGUCCCAAGGGAGAGGUUUUGAGAAUUAAUAAAAAAUAAAAUUUAGCUCAAAUUAGUUGUAGCUAAAGACAUUAAUGAACAAAACCAUUGUAAAUUAAAGGGGGCAACACAAAAGUGUCAAAUAUCGAUUGGGGUUUUGUCACAAGUAGUAAAAACAGCAAAAAUUAACAAGAAAAUCAAGUAUGGGGAAAUGUUCUUGGGGUGUGACCGCAAUACAAGUUGAGAUAAAUCGUUGUGUACAUGCUUUCAAUAGGAAAUUUGCAAGAUAAUAGUGACUAGGCUACGCUUUAAAUGGAAAUAAGUUCACUCUCGGGUAACUUACCCCUUUUCAAAUGGGUACCUCUCGGACACCCAUUCGCCGCAUGAAGACCAGCCUACGCCUUACCCCACUCCAACUUGGGGAAGAUGAAAUCCUUGAUUUAAGCAAAGGAAUAAGAAUAGAGAAAACCCACUUCCAACUUGGGGAAGAUGAAAUCCUUCUCUCUUCAAGUCUCCCACAAAACCCUCUCCAAACAUGAGAGAAAAUAUCUAAAAAGUACUAUUCUAUUUUAAAAAUAAUAAUAAUAAUGGUUCGGAACUUGUAAAAUUAAGAAAGAGUUUAGUAUUUAUAGCCAUCAGAAAUUAGUGCAGGCGGAUAGUUCAGCGAUGUUAGUCGAGUCCACCGAGUGACUCGGCGACUCACCUUUAUUAUGUCUCAUUGCAGUUGAAUGAUUGCCUAUAACAUAUUUACGUUCUGGACCAUUGGGCGGUAUAGUACUGCUUCGCAGAACUAUUUGGAAAAGCGCCGACAGCUCCUUUCAUCGCCUUUUUUAACCUCUUCCUUCAGGGCUUCGCAUACCGGAACAAAAGUUCUUAGCGAUGCUCAUUCUUCAUGUUCUUCGUUCCUUUCAGCCUUUUUGUUCCUUUUUGCUCCUAAGCGUCCAUGCUUCCACUAAAACUUCAAAUACCUGAAACUUAAGAGUUUUCAUUAGAUAUUGAGACAAAAUAAGCAUUCAAGUACACUAUUUCUAUCAAAAUAAAGCCCUAAAUGAGUCUAAUUUGUGGAAUCAUUAGUACCUUAGUACACCAUCGCCUCCUUGGGAGAAAGCCUCUAUAGACUUCUUUAGUACCGCUUCUUUCAAUUCUACUAAGAUCAGAUCAACACAUUGUUUUGCCUUAAAAUCGGCCACGCAAGACGAUUUUGAACCAUUAUGGAUCAUAAUACCACCCUUGGUGGAAUCCACUAUUUGAACUCUUAAUCGGGCCAACCUAUGAACAUCUUGAACGACCGCUUUUCUCUUAUUAUCAAAAUGUGAAACACUACCCAUGGACAAUCGACUAAGGGAAUCCACCACCACAUUCGUUUUGCUGGGGUGAUAGAGAACACUAAUAUCAUAAUCUUUCAAUAACUCAAGACAACUUCUUUGGCAAAGAUUUAGAUCUUUUGGGUAAACACAUAUUGCAAGCUCUUGUGAUCGGUAAACACAUCAACAUGGACCCCAUACAACUAAUGCCUCCAAAUCUUUAAGGCAAAUACAAUCGCCGCUAAUUCAAGAUGGUGGGUAGGAUAGUUUUUCUCAUCAACCUUUAAAUCCAUUGAAGCUUAGGCAAUCACCUUACAAUUUUGCAUAAUCACACAUCCCAAACCUACUCUAGAGGCGUCACUGUAAUGGCCCAAAAAAUGAAUUAGUGAAACUAGAGUCUAACAUGUGUGCGUUUGUGUUUGGUGUGAGGUUUGAUGGUGUUUGAUGUUGUCCCGAGUCAUGGUUAAGGGGUUUGUGGCUCAAACGUCAAGGUGCGACUCCCCAUGGACCACCCUAGGAGUCCUUGAGGAGGACCCUAAGUCUAACCCCAAGACCCCAAUGAACUAUAAAGGAUGCCCAAAAUGGGGUGACCUACGAAAGGGGUCCACGCCCCAUGGAUGGACUCCGUAGGUCAAGGGGACCCUAACCACGACACAACCCCAAUUGACGAAGGGACAGUACGGUCCAUGAUCCCAUCCACAGACAGUGGAUGGGGUCUCAUGAACCAUGUCUGCAAUCUAUCGAGAGGCACGACCAAGUGAAGGGUGAAGUGGUAAAUUCACACUUUUCUUAAGUGUUUGGACGGUUAUUUUGUGUUUAUUAACAUAUUUUAAGAGUAUUAAAACAUUAAAAUUCUAUUUUAAAUUUCAUUUUUUCAAAACCCCAAAUCAAAAUCCUUCCCUCCCAUAAAGUCCUCUCUAGAAACUCCAUUGGAAAUCAAGGUCAAGAUCAAGCUAGGGUUGGGGAUUUCAAGGUGUUUCUUCUUCAAUUUUCGUGAGAAAUCAAUAGCAUGGUAUGGUGGUCUUGAUCCUUGUCUAAUUUUCCAUACAAGGAGCUAAUUCAAAUGUGAUUUCAAAUCAUGAAAAUCUAUGUUUUUACUCAAACUCAUGGGUUCUUUCAUCAAACAUUUUCAAAUGGUUUCUAAUGACAAAUUACGAUUCUAUUGAUGUUUAAUUUAUGAUUUAUGAUGAAAAUAAUCUAUGAACCCAUGCUUCCACUAAAACUUCAAAUGCCUGAAACUUAAGUGUUUUCAUCAGAUAUUGAGACAAAAUAAGCAUUCAAGGACACUAUUUCUAUCAAAAUAAAGCCCUAAAUGAGUCCAAUUUGUGGCCUCAUCAACACCCCCAACUUAAAAUUUUGCUUUUCCUCCAGCAAACUUGAUUCAUCUAUUCAAAAAGGGUGUCUCAAAUAGUGCUACACAAGACUCAAUCAUGAGUGCACACAACAAGACUCAAUUUACUUAUGCAAGGAUCAAUUGUGUACUCAAAGAUUCAAGUUGUGACACACUAUUACCAAAGAUUCUCAUGCUCGCAAUACUUGCUACUUAUGCAAGUUCAAGAUCAACAAAAAGUAUCUAAAUACCGUUACAUGAAGAAUGAUUCCAUAUUCACACACAGAGGUUAAGCAAUUAAAGAUUAGGAAUCUGAUGCAACGCUCACACUCAAAAAGAAGAACACAAUGCAUGUUUUCCCCCAUCGGUUUGCACUUAUUUUCCAAUCGACUUUUGAUUCGGUUUACUCAAGAUCAAAAAGGUCUUUCUAAGGCUUUUAAUGGGGAUGAGUGCAAAGGUAUGGUCAUUUACGCUCAGUGGCUCCUUCUUCCUGGGAUGUGGUAUUCUCAAGGCAUUCCCUUCCUUUCCUUUCUAGAUUCUUUUUCUAGUGCUUCUAAAUCACCUUUUUAUUCACCCUCACGGAUUGCUUGGAACCCCAGUUUCUUUCAUACUUUUUAUUUUAAUUGAAUUGAAUUGAAGGGGUUUCCACUUAUGCAAUGCCAUGGGUUAGGGGGACUUUUUCUUGCACUUCUGGACUUCUCCUUUUCCUCUUUACCACACCCCCAACAUAGGCUUUUGGCCUAAGUGGGCUAUUCGCUAAACCACAACUCAAGAGGAUCUUAGGUAGUGGUUCAAGUAGGUCUAGGGUUCAUCAAGGUUUUUCCAAAGUAAGGUAAGUCUCAAAGGAUGUUCAAAAGAGUUGCACACACUCUCGGGUAGGCCGCUAAAGAGGAAUAUGUCAAAUUUGGCUCACAUUCUUUAAAAUUGCCUAAGAUCAUAUCAACAGGACACCUUUCUAAAUCAAUCAGACUAACAGGGAAAAAUCUAGGUUUAUUCAUGCAAGUUUCGAAGUAAGCUAAUCACACAAGGCAUCGACACUUAAGUCAAACAAGACUACACACUUUCGCUAGUGUGCAACAGUCAUUACAAGAGAACUAAUUUGAUAAAUGGCUAAUCACAACGAGAUGCAACAAGUUCACAUAUUGUCUAUGCAACUUCAUUUGGCCUCAUCGUAGCAGUACAUUCAUGUUCAUUCAAUUGAGAGCACUAUUCAAGUCAUCGGUAUUGAUCAAAACUGAGACUCAAUUUUUUGUGAAAGAACAGCCACAAUCAACUCACAAAGGGUGGCCAAAAUGUGCGAAAAAUUCAAAAAAUUUCGGAAGGGUCAAAAUCGUUUGCAAUUUAAAACUAAAGAGAGCCAUGAGCUCAAAUAUCCACGAAAAGCAGUCUAAACACAAUUUUAAAAAUGGAAAUGUACACCAAAACACAAGUAUCUGAAACAAGCAAAACAAAAGGUGAGCCUCACCCCACCACAAAUAAAAAAUAAUUUGUCCUCAAAUGCAAAUAAUACAUAAUCCAAAAGUAGAUGUAAGAAAGGUCGAGAGGAGGGUAGAGAAAGGUCCUGGCUACGCACUCUCUCUAUCUAUUGGAGAAUUAGUCCCUAGAGUAGUCUCAGAUGGAAGGACAGUGCCAAAUCCACUAGGGGCUGCUGUGGACGUAACUGUCUCUACUAGAUCUGGCAGAUCUCUGAAUAUGCUCGCAUCUUGGCUCACUCUUAUCUCCUCAACCUAUGCUGCUAUCAACUCCUCGUCGGUUUCUGCAUCUCACUCUACCUGUGCUGCACCAUCCCUUUGCACAUCUCCGAUAGUCACAAGAACAUACUUAUCAUCUACUCUCUCUAUGAGUGAAGUGAAGUCGGUAGACUUAGGGUAAUCUACGUCCUUUCUCAAACUUGCAAUCUCUGUUUCUAGGGUUGUCACCUCAGAAGUUUCCUGCUGUCUACUCUCACAACCCAUAACUCUCAAUGUCAAGGCAUCAAUAGAAGUCUAAAUGGGAGUAAGUGUUGCUAGUAUGGCCCUAUUAAUCAUCUCUGGAAUAGACGUUUCCAGUCUGAUAACUCUCACAUCAGAUGAAUAGGCCAACUGCCCCAUUUUUAGGAUCAUGGCCUGAGUGAUUCUGGCUGGCUGAGAGGAUGAGGAAGUACCUGGAGCUUAUGUGGAAGAAGAAGAAGGAGCUGGUAUACCUGAGGGCUCAAUGGUCGGGGUGGACGAAGGUGUCUCUGCUGAUAAUAAGUCAACAUUGACUUCUGGAGAAGUAUCUGUUGGGGCUGCUCUUCUCCUAUCAUCCUUCUCUCAUGUAAAUUCUGCCUCUAUAUGUCAGAUAUUGGUGGAGGAAGAUGGAGUGACUUCUAUAUCGCUAGCAGGCUCUUGAGGUACUCCCGCAUGCCGGCAUAACUCAGUAAUCAGAAUAGGAAAUGGCAGGGAUGUCUGUGUCUGUUUGGCUCUCAAAGCCAUCUCCUGUAAAACCAGUAGUCCUAGGUCGAUCCGCCUCCUAUCCAUGAUAGAACCAAGGCAAGUUGCCUUAGGAUGACGCAGGAUAGACUCAUUCUAGAUGGCAUGAUAAUGCUGCUAAUGAAGCCAAACUAGUAUCGGGAGGCGAUGUUCAUAUCUUUCUUCUCAAUAGGAGCCCAAGAAUCCAACCAACUCGGGGUGAUGUCAGAAAUCAUCGGAACUAACCAUCCCUACAGAUCAUCUAGGAACAAUAGACAAGCCCUGGCAGGGUAGUACCGAGUGCAGCGGUCGACCUAAUACAAAAUAAUAUACUCGGUGUGACACUCCACCUCCUUGCCUCUAACCAGAACCGACUUCACUGGUCAGAACUCACUAGCCUUUUUGUUGUUUUUUGGGACCAACUCCCCAUAGGCUAAGUAGAAUUCCCGGACCUAGGAAGGAAUCUAAGAUCCCCGUGGCCUGGUGAACUGUUCGAACUCAUUAUAUCUGAGCGUGUCAAGCACCUCAGCAUGCUUACCUUCCAAACCCUUUACAAAUAGUAACUUUUCUUAUAGAAUGGUUCGUAAACCAUCACCUUUUAGUCUUUUCAGGAACCUGGGUAGAGGUGGAGCUACAAGGAGUGCAGGAGCCGUUGGAGGUGGUGUUGGUGUUGGCACUGAUUCGGUAGUCGGGGGAGUGAUAGCUGAAGGGGUUCCGGUAGCUAUGGGCCGAUAUCUAGCCUUAUGUUCCUCCCUUCGAUUUAUCAAAGGUUGCAUAUCCUCCAGCUUAGAAACAGCUGGUUCAACAUUUGUACCCUUCCUAGCGAUGUGCUCUUUUCGUUUUCCUUUAUCUCCCAGUGGGAGAUCUUGCUUUCUUUUCUGUGAAGAUCGUGAUCCUCCUUCAUUGAUUGUAAUUCCCGUUCCCUUUUUCUAAGGUGGUGCAUUUAGAUUUGUGCGUACCAUAUCUGCAAAAGUUUUUGAUUAGUCAGAAGAGCAAUCACACUAAAACACCGCAAAUCUGAAACAGAAGGGUUCGCCAAUCAGUCGGCGAAUCGCCAAACCUCUUUAGAGAGUUAGGUCGAACUCGCCAAAGGGAGUAAUUUGAAAUCUACGUAAAUAAGUGAUGAAAAAGUCUAUAUGGCGAUACGCCGACUACCUGCGGAGACCACAGAUGUGUCUGCCGAAAGUUACAGAUCUCUCAGCACUAUGGACAUGAAAGAAGGGUGAUCUAAGGUCAGUAGGCGAACCACUGAAUUAUUUGGCGAGCAUGACCCAGCUCGCCGAAUGAUUCACCGUGCCUACUUUUCAACCCACUUCUUAGAAUCGACCUUACAUGCACUGAAAACGGAAUUAAAGCAUGCAGACACGAAAUUAAGACAAGACCCAUACUUCCCAUCAUUUCGGAAUACUCAGACUUCUUCCGGUCCUACCAAAUUUUAGCCAUUUAACUAUUAUCACCCUUAAGAAUGUCAUCAUUCAUUCCUUCAUUGAGAAACUUUUGUUAUUUAGCACAAAUGUGGGCUCUGUAGGUGUUACCUAACUAAUACAAUGACAAUCAAGCAGGAACCAUUUACAUCGUAAUCAAAUUAAAGCACAAACAACAAGGCAUUUGACUAUUAAAAUAUUUCAGGCAACUAACUAUAGAAUACACAUAGCAUAUAAACUUAUUUCUAUCAGAGAGGCCCAACACACGUCAUCAUAAUACUACAAUUGCAAAAGAGUGCAAAAACUUUUAAGAUAAAUUUGGGGUUUUAUGGGCUAACCUUUAAUGCUGAUCAAAUUACUUUUUGAAAUGUUAGGAAGCAAAGAGAUCCAACCCCAAGCACUAUUUACCAAUUGAAAUACUAAUGGAAAGGUAAAAAUCUAAGAAAAAGCACCUUUGGUGUGAUUUUGAGGAGUUUGAGACUAGGGAAAGUGAGAGAUUCAAACAUUUUGACUUUCUGCCUUUAUAUAACCAAUCAGUUCUCUGUCAUUCAGCGAUGCACUGAACACUUACUUAGCUCGCCGAGUUUUAUAGGACAUCCCUUAUUUUGGGGUCCCAACAGCGGACUAAGUCGGAGUUGCCGAUAGAUUCGGCUACUCGCCCACUGGGUCCUUGGCUCGUCAACCAGUACUUCUCAACACCUUCUCAUUUUACCCUACAAAAUCAGCACACCAUUAUUCGAAUAGAAUAAUUAAAAGCAGUAAACUUUUGGGUUGCCUUCCAAGAAGUGCCUUAUUUUACAUCGUAAGUUCUGUUUCACUCUCCGUUAUUAGGGUUAGCCCAGUCCACUAGCAAUAUGUCAUUUGGGUGGAGAUGAGGUACUGCAAAACUCAGGAAUGGCCUGAUCAGCUGAAUUGAUCUAGAGUGAGAUCCAAUCAUUUGAUUCAACACUUCAACAUUCUCCUUCAUUUCUUCCAACACUCGAUCUUGAUCGGUGAUCUUUUGGAGAAUGAUUUGAAGUUUGUCCUCGACACAAUUUUUCUCCCUAUUUCUAGACUUCCUCCGCUCAUGAGGGGGUGUGUACCUGCCCCUGCCAUUGCAUUGGACUUCCACCUCUGAGAUUUUGGUGGCCAAGUCGUUUAGCUGAGAUGCCAGUUCGGUCAGCAUGAGGUCCUUUUGGACUCCUUGGUUUAUUUCGACCAAUUUUCCACUACUCUGCCAUGCUCACUUAAAUGGACAAUUCAACGAAAAGAAAAACUAAACUUAAAGUUAGUAAAAUACAACUAAGAAGAACAAAGAAAAUUCUACCAAUCUAAAAAUUCUCAAAUAACACCAGUCCCCGACAGCGGCGCCAUUUUGAUGCUUAUCUUGACCAACGACAAUAACCUACGGUUCGAGUGUCUACGAUCGUCGAUAGUAUAGUAACCAAGCUAAAGGUUAGGGUCGUGUCCCAAGGGGGUGGGUUUUGAGAAUUAAUAGAAAAAUAAAAUUUAGCUCAAUUAGUUGUAGCUAAAGAUAUUAACGAACAAAAACAUUGUAAAUUAAAGGGGGCGACACAAAAGUGUCAAAUAUUGAUAGGGAUUUUGUCACAAUUAGUAAAAACACCAAAAAAUAACAAUAAAAUCAAGUAUGGGGAAAUGUUCUUGGGGUGUGACCGCAAUAUAAGUUGAGAUAAAUCGUUGGGUACAUGGUUUCUAUUGGAAAUUUGCAAGAUAAUAGUGACUAGGCUAAGCUUUAGAUGGAAAUAAGUUCCCUCUCAGGCAACUUACCCCGUUUCAAAUGGGUUCCUCUCGGACACCCAUUUGCCGCAUGAAGACCAGCCUACGCCUUACCCCACUCACUCUCUCGAGCUGAGUAUUAAGAUAUGGGGCUAGGGCUCACCCUCUCGGGCUGAAUCUCAUGUCGACCCACUCCUUAGGCCAUCAGUCUAGUGGUCUUAGUUUCGCGACCUCCCUCUCGGGCAAGCCGAAUGUCACGUCCCGAACCUACACCCUGGACGUGGCCGACACUCGAAAACCAUUGUUGGCCCUAAGCGAACCCUUGGCCUGGCUUUCUUAACUCAGCGGAAACCUAACUCAAUAGAAUAACUCCAUGCAAUGUAAGGACAUAAAACAACUUAAUUGAUAAAAUCUUGCCUAAAAGGAAACUCGAGUCCCAAAAUAGAAUAUUUACAUAUAUACAUAGAUGAGAGACUCAAAACUAACUGACUGACUAACUGUCUAUGAAGCCUCUAUAAUACUGAGAUGGAUGUUGGGACAAACCCCGCAACAUCCCAAUUGAACAAAACUAAGAGAACAAAAUAACCGAGUCCUCCGGAAUGCAAAGAGGCUCACCACUGACACUCGAGUGCUCAGCUGGAUCAACAGCGUGCUGGAUUCUGGUUCUGGGUACCUGUGUCUGCAUCGUCAUAAGAUGCAGGCCAACUGACAUCAGUACAUUGAAUGUACGAGUAUGCGAGCUGGAAAACUAAGCAACAUAGGCUAGAAGGACAUCUGAAAUAAACUGAAUACCUUACCUGGCUCAACUCAACUCAACCUGACUGACUUCUUUCAAUAUAAGACAAUUUAAAACAAAUGCGAUAUAAAGAAAGGCUGUGUAAAACCUGCUAUAAACUCUGUGUGUAUACAAAGAUACAAUAAGCCUAAGAUGUAUAUAGAAAUACAAAAGAACUGAUGUAUAUAAAAAUACAAUAAUUUUUGUGUAUGAAAAUACAAUAACUGCUGUGGGAGUUUCUCUAUUUGACAGCCAUCACAUAGAGCUAUAGUGAUGAUACAACGAUCGACCGCACGCUGCCAGAGCAUCCUAUACCCGGCCAAACGUAUAAGACCUGAACUGCCUAAUGGAUCCACUAGUCUAUCUGGAAAAGGAUUCAUCUAAAAAGUAUGAUCCUUUUCUACCCAUGGUGGGUAACAUGGUUCUAUCGGGGCUGUGGGUUCCAUGAACGCUCCCCCACUCGGUGCUCGAUACUACCCCCAAAAUAUACUAGCUCUUAUGUUUAAUAAAAACAUACCUCUUCCUGCUGAUUUGAGAUAAUUACUCAAAAGCUUAGCUUAAAGGCUAUCUUAGAAAUCUCAGUUUCCUCUCUUGCUUCAUUUAGAAAGCGAUAACUCUUUUUCUGGAAAACUAGCCCGUAGGCUCUUUGGAAAUCUCAGUUUCCAAUCUUGUUUAAAUGUGAAAACAUUUCUUUAAAACUUCUUUGGGAAUACUUAGCUCCCUAAUAACUUUUGAGAAAUGAACUCAACUUUAUACUCUUGACUUAACUUGAAACUCUAUACUCUUUACUUAACUUGAAACUCGAGCCUUAAAAUGAAGUUAGAACGUUCAAAAAGACUCUUGAAAAACUUUAAGGACUUGCUUCUUAACUUCUAAACUUGACAUCUAACUUCACUUGACUUGAUCCUAACUGUCCUCGAAUUGGAGUAUGGACUCGAGGGUAAUGAUCUCAUGUUUACGAAUGAGUUCUUGACGUUUAAAUGUACUUUAGAGUGUUGAAAACAACUAUAAAACAUUGGUACAUUACCAAGGAACAUGUAUGAAAAAGUGGGGAAAGAAUGGGAAAACUUGGCAUUCUUGGCGCUCUGAGAGGCGCGUAGCGCCAGACCAAAAACGUCAGAAGGGCCUGGUUGGGGCUAUGCUAGGGGUACCGCCCCAAGGGCUGGACUUCAGAGUCCCUUUUGGGGCGUGCUGGCUAGCACGACACCCCAGCUCUUUUUCCCAAAAAAUUUGACUUUUUCCCCUCAUUUUUUCCAACUAUAAACUACCUUAACUUCAAUGGAUCCAGCCCCAAACACUUAGAAUCAUAAACCCCUCAACAUACAAUAGAUUUCAACUCACAAACAAAACUGGAAAUAUGCCCAAAAUCAACAAGAACUUCAACACAAUCACAACCAACAAAUUCAACAAAUACAACCAACAACUUCAACAAACAUAGUCAAUCUUUUCUCAAAAUUAAAAGGAGUUUGGCGUGUGGGGGAAAUAACCAACCCAAUGCUAUGAUCUCACAUACCUAGUAGGGAUCAGCCCCGACGAUAUCCACGACGAUCUUUGACGAAACCUUGCUUGAUCAUCUCCUUCUCGUCUUCUUAUCCUCUUCACUCACAAACCCUUACUCUCACUCUUUUAAAAAGGGAAAAACUGAUCCAAAAAUCAGUCUAAACCCUUAAUUUAAUCAAAACAAUUGAUUAGAGAAAAGACCAAAAUACCCUUACAAAUUUCCGGACGGACUUCCCUGCAAACUGCCCAACUUCCAAAGGGCAUGCAUCACUCAUACGAACUCGGAAUCGAGCAAACUCGGUGGCAUUGGAAAGAUCAUUCCAAGCGCUUUCCAAAAAUAACUGGAAAUAUAUCUAACUCAUCCCGAGCUAGGAGUUAUGACUAUUCAAAGUUGACCAAAACUCACCUUUUUUUUCCCAUACUUAACCAAAUUUUCCAGAUUUUUAAUUCUUCCCAAAAAUGACUAUUUUCAAUUCUAAGCCUCUUCAUAGUUAUUUCCAAUUGCCUGAUGUUACACCGAAAACACAUGGGUGGUUUUGUAUUUGCAACUACAAACCCAUUAAAUUAAACCACAACCACUAGCUGAAAUCACCAUUAAAAUACAUCUACCCUAUCAGGAAGCAAAACCCAACAACAAUAUCAACCCAUAUUUGCGAAAUCAUAACCCAAGAAUGCGGUUUUAGCCACACAUCAAGAAAUAACAAAAUACACCUAAAAUGAUACUAAAAUCAAAUGGGUAUAAGAAAUUAAACCCUGAUUUAAGCAAAGGAAUAAGAAUGGAGAAGAACCACUUCCAACUUGGGGAAGAUGAAAUCCUUCUCUCUUCAAGUCUCCCACAAAACCCUCUCUAAACUUGAGAGAAAAUAUCUAAAAAGUACUAUUCUAUUUUGAAAAUAAUAAUAAUGGUUCAGAACUUGUAAAAUUAAUAAAGAGUUUAGUACUUAUAGCCAUCAUAAAUUAGUGCAGGCGGAUAAUUCGGCGAAGUUAGUCGAGUCCGCCGAGUGACUCGGUGACUCACCCUUCUUCUGUAUCAUCGCCGUUGAAUGGUUGCCUAUAGCAUCUUCACGUUCUGGACCAUUGGGUGGUAUAGUACUGCUUCACGGAACUAUUCGACGAAGCGCCGACUACUCCUUUCAUCGCCUUUUUGAUCCUCUUCCUUCAUGGCUUCGUAUACUGGAACAAAGGUUCUUGGCGAUGCUCAUGCUUCAAGUUCUUCGUUCUUUUCAGCCUUUUUGCGCCUAAGUGUCCAUGCUUCAACUAAAACUUCAAAUACCUGAAACUUAAGAGUUUUCAUCAAAUAUUGAGACAAAAUAAGCAUUCAAGGACACCAUUUCUAUCAAAAUAAAGCCCUAAAUGAGUCCAAUUUUGGACUCAUCAGUACCUUAGGACACCAUCUCCCCCUUGGGAGAAAGACUCUAUAGACUAAUUUAGUACCGCUUCUUUCAAUUCUACUAAGAUCGGAUCAAGACAUUGCUUUGCCUUAACAUCGGCCACGAAAGACGAUUCUGAACUAUUAUGGACCAUAAUACCAUGCUUGGUGGAAUCCACUAUUUGAACUCUUAAUCGGGCCAACCUAUGAACAUCUGGAACGACCUCUUUUCUAUCAAUAUCAACAUGUGCAACACUACCCAUGGACAAUCGACUAAGGGAAUCCACCACCACAUUCGCUUUGCCAGGGUGAUAGAGAAGACUAAUAUCAUAAUAUUUCAAUAACUCAAGGCACCUUCUUUGGCAAAGAUUUAGAUCUUUUUGGGUAAACACAUAUUGCAAGCUCUUGUGAUCGGUAAACACAUCAACAUGGACCCCAUACAAAUAAUGCCUCCAAAUCUGGAAGGCAAAAACAAUCGCCACUAAUUCAAGAUGGUGGGUAGGAUAGUUUUUUUUUAUCAACCUUUAAAUCCCUUGAAGCUUAGGCAAUCACCUUACUAUUUUGCAUAAGAACACAUCCCAAACCAACUCUGAAGGCAUCACUGUAACGGCCCUAACAACGAACUAGUGAAGCUAGAGUCUAACAUGUGUGCGUUUGUGUUUGGUGUGAAGUUUUGAUGGCGUUUGAUAUUGUCUUGAGUCAUAGUUAAGGGGUUUAGGGGUCAAACGUCAAGGUGCGACUCCCCAUGGACCACCCUUGGGGUCCUUGAGGAGGACCCUAGGUCUAACCCCAAGACCCCAAUGAACCAUAAAGGCUGCCCAAAAUGGGGUGACCUACGAAAGGGGUCCACGCCCCGUAAGUCCAUCCACGCCCCGUGGAUGGACUAUGUAGGUCAAGUGGACCGUAACCAAGACAUAGCCCCUAUUGACGAAGGGACAGUACGGUCCAUGACCCCAUCCACUGUUAGUGGAUGGGGGUCUCAUGAACCAUGUCUGCAAUCUAUCAAGAGGCACGACCAGGUGAAGGGUCAAGUGGUAAAUUCACCCUUUGCUUAGUUAAGUGUUUGGACGGUUAUUUUGUGUUUAUUAACAUAUUUUAAGAGUAUUAAAAUGUUAAAAUGUUAUUUUAGAUUUCAUUAUUUCGAAACCCCAAAUCAAAAUCCUUCCCUCCCAUAGAGUCUUCUCUCUAGAAACUCCAUUGGAAAUCUAGGUCAAGAUCAAGCUAGGGUUGGGGAUUUCAAGGUGUUUCUUCUUCAGUUUUCGUGAGGAAUCAAUAUCAAGGUAUGGUGGUUGUUAUCCUUGUCUAAUUUUCCAUUCGAGGAGCUAAUUCAAAUGUGAUUACAAAUCAUGAAAAUCUAGGUUUUUACUCCUAACUCAUGGGUUCUUUCAUCAAACAUUUUCAAAUGGUUUCUAAUGACAAAUUAUGAUUUUAUUGAUGUUUAAUUUAUGAUUUAUGAUUAAAUUACUCUAUGAACCCAAGAUUUCUCUCAAUUCCUUAAUUGCGACUUAUGAAGUGGGUUUGUUGAUUAUGAAUAAAUGUUGAUGGACUUAUGCCUAGAUUGACUUAGAUUAUUGAAUUGUAUCAUCAUCUAUGCCUAAUUAUGGUGAAUGGUUGGUGAAUUGAGGAUUUAUGAUCAUAGCCUUGAUAGGGGAAGUUUGACCUAAUUUCAUGUUAAAGUAGAAUUGUCUUGAAUUGUUGAUCCACUUGAAAGGUGGAGGUGUUUAUUUACUAUGUACAUUGUGAUCAUGGCCUUGAAGGCAUAGUGUGAGGAAUUGAAGUAGUAUCAUGGUUGAUAUACCGUGAGUUUACGGUAUUUCUAAUACAUUUCACUUACCAGUUGUUUGUGUCUAGGGCCUUUUUAUAUUGGUUUUUAUGUGUUUUUAUCAUGUUUUGCAGGAAAGAUGUUCAGGCGCGGAAGUAUUGAGACAGCUGAAAGAAAUGCAGAAACAGGGCAUUCACGGAGGUGAACUACGGACCGUUGGUCCAUUCAUGGUCCGUAAGUGAUGACCGUAGAUCAGUAGGCAUGGUAUUGAGGACAAAUCAGGGAAAUCUGACCAAGUGUGGAACCACGGUAUCCAUUGACGGUCCGUAGAUGGAUCUACGGACCGUACUAUGUAUUCGUAGAUUGAUACUGCGAGGUUUCCAGUACCUGAUUUAUGAAGAUUCUAANNNNNNNNNNNNNNNNNNNNNNNNNNNNNNNNNNNNNNNNNNNNNNNNNNNNNNNNNNNNNNNNNNNNNNNNNNNNNNNNNNNNNNNNNNNNNNNNNNNNNNNNNNNNNNNNNNNNNNNNNNNNNNNNNNNNNNNNNNNNNNNNNNNNNNNNNNNNNNNNNNNNNNNNNNNNNNNNNNNNNNNNNNNNNNNNNNNNNNNNNNNNNNNNNNNNNNNNNNNNNNNNNNNNNNNNNNNNNNNNNNNNNNNNNNNNNNNNNNNNNNNNNNNNNNNNNNNNNNNNNNNNNNNNNNNNNNNNNNNNNNNNNNNNNNNNNNNNNNNNNNNNNNNNNNNNNNNNNNNNNNNNNNNNNNNNNNNNNNNNNNNNNNNNNNNNNNNNNNNNNNNNNNNNNNNNNNNNNNNNNNNNNNNNNNNNNNNNNNNNNNNNNNNNNNNNNNNNNNNNNNNNNNNNNNNNNNNNNNNNNNNNNNNNNNNNNNNNNNNNNNNNNNNNNNNNNNNNNNNNNNNNNNNNNNNNNNNNNNNNNNNNNNNNNNNNNNNNNNNNNNNNNNNNNNNNNNNNNNNNNNNNNNNNNNNNNNNNNNNNNNNNNNNNNNNNNNNNNNNNNNNNNNNNNNNNNNNNNNNNNNNNNNNNNNNNNNNNNNNNNNNNNNNNNNNNNNNNNNNNNNNNNNNNNNNNNNNNNNNNNNNNNNNNNNNNNNNNNNNNNNNNNNNNNNNNNNNNNNNNNNNNNNNNNNNNNNNNNNNNNNNNNNNNNNNNNNNNNNNNNNNNNNNNNNNNNNNNNNNNNNNNNNNNNNNNNNNNNNNNNNNNNNNNNNNNNNNNNNNNNNNNNNNNNNNNNNNNNNNNNNNNNNNNNNNNNNNNNNNNNNNNNNNNNNNNNNNNNNNNNNNNNNNNNNNNNNNNNNNNNNNNNNNNNNNNNNNNNNNNNNNNNNNNNNNNNNNNNNNNNNNNNNNNNNNNNNNNNNNNNNNNNNNNNNNNNNNNNNNNNNNNNNNNNNNNNNNNNNNNNNNNNNNNNNNNNNNNNNNNNNNNNNNNNNNNNNNNNNNNNNNNNNNNNNNNNNNNNNNNNNNNNNNNNNNNNNNNNNNNNNNNNNNNNNNNNNNNNNNNNNNNNNNNNNNNNNNNNNNNNNNNNNNNNNNNNNNNNNNNNNNNNNNNNNNNNNNNNNNNNNNNNNNNNNNNNNNNNNNNNNNNNAACUACAUUAUUGAACGUUAGUCAAAUAUUUCCUAAUUUUACCUUUUCUCUUUGUUUUUGUCUCUCUCAGCUUCCAACUCUAGUGUAUGCCAAGUACAUAGAGCCAGGGUGAACCAAUUACUCCCUACGACCCAGAGCUGAACCGCACUUUGCGAAGAAUGAACAAUCCAAGAGAUCCAAUUGAUCCUACCGGAGAAAAUCUAGAUGAAGCAGUUGAGGUACAACAACAGAGGGUAAUUGGUGGGGACAACNNNNNNNNNNNNNNNNNNNNNNNNNNNNNNNNNNNNNNNNNNNNNNNNNNNNNNNNNNNNNNNNNNNNNNNNNNNNNNNNNNNNNNNNNNNNNNNNNNNNNNNNNNNNNNNNNNNNNNNNNNNNNNNNNNNNNNNNNNNNNNNNNNNNNNNNNNNNNNNNNNNNNNNNNNNNNNNNNNNNNNNNNNNNNNNNNNNNNNNNNNNNNNNNNNNNNNNNNNNNNNNNNNNNNNNNNNNNNNNNNNNNNNNNNNNNNNNNNNNNNNNNNNNNNNNNNNNNNNNNNNNNNNNNNNNNNNNNNNNNNNNNNNNNNNNNNNNNNNNNNNNNNNNNNNNNNNNNNNNNNNNNNNNNNNNNNNNNNNNNNNNNNNNNNNNNNNNNNNNNNNNNNNNNNNNNNNNNNNNNNNNNNNNNNNNNNNNNNNNNNNNNNNNNNNNNNNNNNNNNNNNNNNNNNNNNNNNNNNNNNNNNNNNNNNNNNNNNNNNNNNNNNNNNNNNNNNNNNNNNNNNNNNNNNNNNNNNNNNNNNNNNNNNNNNNNNNNNNNNNNNNNNNNNNNNNNNNNNNNNNNNNNNNNNNNNNNNNNNNNNNNNNNNNNNNNNNNNNNNNNNNNNNNNNNNNNNNNNNNNNNNNNNNNNNNNNNNNNNNNNNNNNNNNNNNNNNNNNNNNNNNNNNNNNNNNNNNNNNNNNNNNNNNNNNNNNNNNNNNNNNNNNNNNNNNNNNNNNNNNNNNNNNNNNNNNNNNNNNNNNNNNNNNNNNNNNNNNNNNNNNNNNNNNNNNNNNNNNNNNNNNNNNNNNNNNNNNNNNNNNNNNNNNNNNNNNNNNNNNNNNNNNNNNNNNNNNNNNNNNNNNNNNNNNNNNNNNNNNNNNNNNNNNNNNNNNNNNNNNNNNNNNNNNNNNNNNNNNNNNNNNNNNNNNNNNNNNNNNNNNNNNNNNNNNNNNNNNNNNNNNNNNNNNNNNNNNNNNNNNNNNNNNNNNNNNNNNNNNNNNNNNNNNNNNNNNNNNNNNNNNNNNNNNNNNNNNNNNNNNNNNNNNNNNNNNNNNNNNNNNNNNNNNNNNNNNNNNNNNNNNNNNNNNNNNNNNNNNNNNNNNNNNNNNNNNNNNNNNNNNNNNNNNNNNNNNNNNNNNNNNNNNNNNNNNNNNNNNNNNNNNNNNNNNNNNNNNNNNNNNNNNNNNNNNNNNNNNNNNNNNNNNNNNNNNNNNNNNNNNNNNNNNNNNNNNNNNNNNNNNNNNNNNNNNNNNNNNNNNNNNNNNNNNNNNNNNNNNNNNNNNNNNNNNNNNNNNNNNNNNNNNNNNNNNNNNNNNNNNNNNNNNNNNNNNNNNNNNNNNNNNNNNNNNNNNNNNNNNNNNNNNNNNNNNNNNNNNNNNNNNNNNNNNNNNNNNNNNNNNNNNNNNNNNNNNNNNNNNNNNNNNNNNNNNNNNNNNNNNNNNNNNNNNNNNNNNNNNNNNNNNNNNNNNNNNNNNNNNNNNNNNNNNNNNNNNNNNNNNNNNNNNNNNNNNNNNNNNNNNNNNNNNNNNNNNNNNNNNNNNNNNNNNNNNNNNNNNNNNNNNNNNNNNNNNNNNNNNNNNNNNNNNNNNNNNNNNNNNNNNNNNNNNNNNNNNNNNNNNNNNNNNNNNNNNNNNNNNNNNNNNNNNNNNNNNNNNNNNNNNNNNNNNNNNNNNNNNNNNNNNNNNNNNNNNNNNNNNNNNNNNNNNNNNNNNNNNNNNNNNNNNNNNNNNNNNNNNNNNNNNNNNNNNNNNNNNNNNNNNNNNNNNNNNNNNNNNNNNNNNNNNNNNNNNNNNNNNNNNNNNNNNNNNNNNNNNNNNNNNNNNNNNNNNNNNNNNNNNNNNNNNNNNNNNNNNNNNNNNNNNNNNNNNNNNNNNNNNNNNNNNNNNNNNNNNNNNNNNNNNNNNNNNNNNNNNNNNNNNNNNNNNNNNNNNNNNNNNNNNNNNNNNNNNNNNNNNNNNNNNNNNNNNNNNNNNNNNNNNNNNNNNNNNNNNNNNNNNNNNUAACUAUGAAAAGGCCCAUAGGUGUACUCCAUGAUAUGCUAGUGAAAGUGGAGUCUUUCAUUUUUCCGGCAGAUUUUGUGAUUCUUGACUGUGAGGUUGAUUUUGAGGUGCCCAUCAUCCUUGGGAGACCAUUUCUUUCCAGAGGGCAUGCGUUGGUUGAUAUGGAAAACGGGCAGAUGAAGUUCAGACUUAAUAAUGAAGAAGUAACUUUCAAUAUUUGUAGGUCCAUGAAGCAGAGUGGUGAGCUCCAAACAGUAUCUGCUAUAACUUACAGAGUGGAGACGGGGACAGAAGUGCAAAUUGAAGAGCGACUAGGUGUUGAGGCACUAGCAGCAGUUAUUAUGAAUUUCGAUAGUGAUGACAUUGAUGAGUAUGAUGAGUAGGUAGCCGUACUCGAUAGGUGUGAAUACCGGCCUAAACCAAAGAAGUAUGAAUUAGACAUGAAGAAUCGCGAGUCCCCACCCGCAAGACCAUCUAUUGUGGAGCCACCGAAAUUGGAGCUUAAGGCUCUACCACCGCAUUUGAGGUAUGUAUAGUUGGGCAAAGAGAAUACUUUGCCAGUCAUCAUUGUGGCAGAUCUGAAUGCGGGACAAGUAGAGUGCUUGGUGACUGUGUUAAAAAGGUUCAAGCGAGCUAUUGGGUGGACUAUUGCGGAUAUCAUUGGGAUUCCUCCCGGUAUUUGCUCUCAAAAAAUCCAACUCAUGCCAGAUCACAAGCCCAAUAUCUAGCACCAAAGAAGAUUAAAUCCACCUAUGCAAGAGGUAGUCAAAAAGGAGAUCAUCAAGUGGUUGGUUGCGGGAGUUAUUUAUCCCAUUUCAGAUAGUAGUUGGGUAUGCCCUGUGUAGUGUGUGCCUAAAAAGGGUGGUAUGACUGUGGUCCCAAAUGAAAGAAAUGAGCUUGUUCCAAUGGGGCCUGUUACUGGAUGGAGAGUUUGUAUGGAUUACCGGAAGCUGAAUGCGUGGACAAAAAAGGACCACUUUCCUAUGCCGUUCAUGCACCAGAUGCUGGAUAGACUUGCUGGAAAUGGUUGGUAUUGUUUCCUUGAUUGGUAUUCGGGCUACAAUCAAAUUUCUAUAGCUCCAGAAGACCAAGAGAAGACCACCUUCACUUGCCCAUAUGGGACUUUUGCUUUCAAACGGAUGCCAUUUAGGUUAUGCAAUGCUCCAGCUAGGUUCCACCGCUGUAUGAUGUCGAUAUUUUCUGAUAUGGUGGAGGACACUAUCGAAGUGUUCAUGGAUGAUUUUUCAGUUGUAGGUGAGUCUUUUGAUCGUUGUCUAGAUCAUCUGGCCGAGGUGCUUAAAAGGUGUGAAAAUUGCAACUUGGUACUCAAUUGGGAGAAGUGUCAUUUCAUGGUGAAAGAAGGUAUAGUGUUGGGUCAUCGAAUUUCAGAAAANNNNNNNNNNNNNNNNNNNNNNNNNNNNNNNNNNNNNNNNNNNNNNNNNNNNNNNNNNNNNNNNNNNNNNNNNNNNNNNNNNNNNNNNNNNNNNNNNNNNNNNNNNNNNNNNNNNNNNNNNNNNNNNNNNNNNNNNNNNNNNNNNNNNNNNNNNNNNNNNNNNNNNNNNNNNNNNNNNNNNNNNNNNNNNNNNNNNNNNNNNNNNNNNNNNNNNNNNNNNNNNNNNNNNNNNNNNNNNNNNNNNNNNNNNNNNNNNNNNNNNNNNNNNNNNNNNNUUGAUUAGAUGGGUAUUAUUGUUGCAAGAGUUUGAUUUUGUGGUAAAAGAUAGAAAGGGGACCGAAAAUCAAGUUGCCGAUCACUUGUCCAGAUUAGAGGAAGAGGCUAUGCUAUAGCUUGGAGAUAGGGCUGAAAUUAAUGAUGUUUUUCCAGAUGAACAGGUAUUGGCCGCUUCUAAUGAUUUGAUUCCUUGGUUUGCAGACUUUGCUAAUUAUUUGGCAAGCGAUAUUGUGCCCCUAGAUUUAUGUUUUCACCAAAGGAAAAAGUUUAUGCAUGAUGUGAAGAAAUUCUUUUGGGAUGAACCUUAUUUGUAUCGUAGUUGUGCUGAUGGGAUUAUUCGUCGCUGUGUGCCUGAGGUUGAGAUGUUGAGUGUACUUGAAGCAUGCCAUUCAUCGCCUGUUGGUGGGCAUCAUAGUGGUAUUCGGACUGCGCAUAAGAUUUUAAAGUGUGGAUACUAUUGACCUACCAUCCACCAAGAUGCUCAUGAUUUCGCCAAGUCUUGUGAUCGUUGCCAAAGAGAAUGAGGGAUUUCAAAGAGGCAAGAGUUCCCUAUGAAUCCUAUACUGGUGAUAGAAUUGUUUGAUGUAUGGGGUAUUGAUUUUAUGGGUCAUUUGUGAGUUCAUAUGGGAUGAAGUAUAUUCUUGUUGCGGUUGAUUAUGUAUCGAAGUGGGUGGAAGCAGUUGCGCUCUCCAACAAUGAAGGUAAAAGUGUCACCGCAGGGCGGUUCUCAGUUUUGUAAUAAGUUGUUCAAGGUACUACUUGAGAAAUAUGGUGUCCGUCACAAGGUACUACUUGAUGAUGCUCUAUGGGCAUAUCGCACUGCAUACAAGACCCCCAUAGGUAUGUCUCCUUACCAACUUGUAUAUGGGAAAUCUUGUCAUUUACAGUAGAGUUAGAGCAUAAGGCGAUGUGGGCAAUGAAGAAGUUAAAUUUGGAUUGGGGCGCCGCAUCUAAUAAAAAAAUGGAUGACCUGAAUACAAUUGAUGAGUUUCGCCUAAAAUCUUAUGAAAGUUCAGCCUUGUACAAAGAGAAGAUGAAGAGGUAUCAUGAUCAAAGAAUUGAAAAGCGAGAAUUUGUGGUUGGUGAUCUUGUGGUUCUAUUCAACUCUAGGUUGCUACUUGUUUCCAGGCAAACUCAAAUCCAAAUGGACCGGGCCAUUUUUGCUCACAAAAGUGCUCCCUCAUGGAGCGGUUGAGCUUGAAAAAAGGAUGGAACAAGGUUCAUGGUAAACGGGCCAAGGAUCAAGAUCUAUCUGGAUAUGCUGAAACUGUGCAGGAAGUGAUUGAGGCCUACAAUCUUGAUGAAGUCUGAGUUGGGUGGGUCUAGGGCGAAUGAAAGAGAUGUGUAGCAGAGGGCAGGUGAGGCACAUGCGUCAUGCCGCGACUUUAAAUCAAGCGCUGCUUGGGAGGCAACCCAAGAUGUACAAUCUAGCCAACGAUAGAUUUUCGUUUUCCAUCUAGCAUUUUUUGUGUUUAGUUUAUUAUCUGUAUUAAUUUAGAUAGGCAUUUUAGUUUUUUUUGUGUUGGCUAAAAUUAGCAUAGGGACUCUGUGUCUAAAAAGUGUCCAAAAAAUGUAANNNNNNNNNNNNNCAUUGACUGUUCAAACGGUUUUUGUGCAAAACUAGAACUUGCCCGGUUAGUCCUGCUAACACAAUUCAAUCUAGAGGUUAGGAAAUUAUCAUAGGCCAUUGUUCUGAAACGUCCACAAAUUCGCUAAAAGAAGGAUCCAACCAAAUGAAAUAAAUGCUCCCUUUGAUCCAAAUAAUUUGAGCCUAAAUUAAACCAUUUCUUCUUAAACCCUGAACUCACUCUCCCAUAAUCUACUAUGUUGGCCCCGGUCCCUCCUUGGACAUAUGCACCUCGACUUAGGCCAAAAUCCUAAGUUGAGGGUGGCUAAUGUAAAAAGUAACUUCAAUCUUGGCCCUGACCUGACAUCGGGUAUUUUGUACCUCAACUAAUGGAAAAUCCAUAAGUUGAGGGUGGCUAUGAAAGAGGGAAAUGAAAGAAAAAUGGGUAUGAAAAGAGUGAUGAUAAAAAAAAAUGGGAUGUGACUUGUUGAAAGCGAAAAGAAAAAAAAGAAAAAAAAAGAAAAAAAGUAAAAAGAGCUACAAAGUCUGUAGUCACAUUCGUGGUUGAAGAAAAUUAAGGGAAAGAAAGUAAAACGAUAGGAUGACAAAAAUAGAGAAAGAAGAAGUUGAAAGCCGAGUGUAAUGUCAAGGAGGGCAGAAAGUCACUAGGCAGUACCCAAAUGUACCACACCUGACCCUGAGCCUACGUUACAAGCCAAGAAAGUCCUGUAGUGAUCCUAAAGUCUAUUUUGGAGAGUGUAAGCAGUGAAAAUAAGGGCAAACUUAUGGCAUUGAGCACUAAUUUUAUUUGAAAUUACUUCUGAGCGUGAGUGUUGAAUAAAUCCUUGUACCAUGAAUGAAAUCAANNNNNNNNNNNNNNNNNNNNNNNNNNNNNNNNNNNNNNNNNNNNNNNNNNNNNNNNNNNNNNNNNNNNNNNNNNNNNNNNNNNNNNNNNNNNNNNNNNNNNNNNNNNNNNNNNNNNNNNNNNNNNNNNNNNNNNNNNNNNNNNNNNNNNNNNNNNNNNNNNNNNNNNNNNNNNNNNNNNNNNNNNNNNNNNNNNNNNNNNNNNNNNNNNNNNNNNNNNNNNNNNNNNNNNNNNNNNNNNNNNNNNNNNNNNNNNNNNNNNNNNNNNNNNNNNNNNNNNNNNNNNNNNNNNNNNNNNNNNNNNNNNNNNNNNNNNNNNNNNNNNNNNNNNNNNNNNNNNAGACAGCUGAAAGAAAUGCAGAAACAUGGCAUUCACAGAGGUGAUCUACGAACUGUAGGUCCAUUCACGGUCCGUAGGUGAUGACCGCAGAUCAGCAGGCAAGACAUGAAGGAUAAAUCAGGGAAAUCUGACCAAGUGUGGAACCACGGUGUCCAUUGACGGUCCGUAGAUCCAUCUACGGACCGUAUUGUGUAUUCGUAGAUUGAUAUUGCGAGGGUUCCAGUACCUGAUUUAUGAAGAUUCUAAGUAUGGAGCUACGGAGGGGAUUGACAGACCGUAGAUCGAUCUACGGUCCGUACUGCUGGUCCGUCGUUAGCUUCAGAGAAGCUGGUUUUUUUGAAAGCUGAAAUAUAUUUAGUGUGAUACUAUCUAAUAGUCUAGUGUCGAUUGGUGCGAAGUAAUAACUAAGCCAAACAUCGAUUAUGAUGUCUAAUAUGAGGUAAAGGUAAGGGUUAGUAAAUUAUACACACGUAGCCUGAUCAAGGUGUGGGGUGAAAUUCUCUGGAUGCCGGAGCAAGGCUUUAGAGAUACAAAACUUAUUACUUUGCAUAUAAUACACUAGGAAAGGAUUGCGGUUACUAGAAUUACUGCAUUAUGAGUUUGUGGUGAACACGUAUACCCUAGGUAAUUUUCUCAUCUUGAUAACAACCGAAAUUCACUUUUGUUUAUUGAUUACGUACUGAAUUCUUACAAUUUGUUUCACAAAUUCCCCCCUUUUUAUUUCUUGUUUCUGGAAGUACUUUGGCUAAUUGAAUAUAAUUGUCGGUUAAAGUAAAGUCUAAACCAUUUUCCUCGUUGGAUCGACCCCAACCUACAAGUUGGGUUCUUUACUUGAUAACGAUCGUUUAUGCUUCUUUAGGAUGGUGUAAUUUGAGCGUAUCAAUGUUGUAUGUAUGAAUGUGAUGUGAAGCAUGUGUGUGAUCUUACUGAAUGAAUUAUGAUCUUAUUUAGAAGCUAAUUAUCUUAGGAUUGAAUGUUAUCACUUUAUUAACAAUCUUAGGAUUGAAUGUUAUCACUUUAUUAACAAUCAUGAAUGUUGGUGAUGGUAAUGUUAAGGGUUCUAUAAUAUAAUUUUGAAUAUCUUGAAUUGGUAGUCUAUGGCUUCCUUUUCUUGUAUUGAUGAAUGAAUGAAUGAAGUUUAAUGAUAAUGUUAAUGAAUGUUGAGUUUAUUGAAAGGCUAUUCUCAAUUGUACUUUAAUGAAUAUUAAUGACUUGUUGUGAAAGUACUUGCUCACAAUAAGGGAGGUUCUUAGGUGAAAGGGUAUUCUCAUCUUUGAAUGUAUGAGCUUUCCAAUAAAUGAAUGUUGGGAUAGGAUGGAUACUCAUCCAGGAGCUGAGGCGGAGUAUCUAGUAACAAUCCAUAUAUCCCGUUUUAGUGAAUGUUGGGUUUGGGAUGGUUACUCAUCCGGGAGUUGAGGCGGGGUAUCUAGUAGCAAUCUCUUAUCCCAUAAUGAACUAAUGUAAUGAAUGUAAUUUACUCCGUGGGGAAUAUGCUAAGCACCGAGUGGAUAUGGCUUGAGUUAGGUGCUUAUCCGGGAGUUCAGGCGGGGUACUUAGUAGCAAUCUCUUGAGAUGGAUGCUCAUCCAUGAGUUGAGGUGGGGUAUCUAGUAGCAAUCUCCCUAUCCUUUAAACUAUGUGCCCACAUAGGUCUAGCUAGUGGAUCCACUAAAGGCUAAAAAAACGAUGGUCCUACCUUAGGCAAGUCGGAAUCCCUUUAUACGGUAAGGAUGACACCGGGAUUCCAUGUCAAGCUCACAUGGUCUAUGUCGGUUAAGGCUUACCCCCACAAUAAUGUUAAUGAACUAUGGCUUCUUCUACUUAGUGUGGGUGGUGGUAUGGCACACCAUCUAUGCCUUGCAUAAGUAGUCAUUUGAGGGAGGUCAUGGUGUGUUCCUUAUAAUGUUAAUGAAAUGAAUGGGCUCUUAUAAUAAUAUUUAUGAGAAUGGUGAUCUAAUGUUUAAUUAAUGAAGGUGCUCUUAAUGUAAUGAAGCUAAUGAAAAAUGUUGACUCUUAUAUGUUUAAAUUUAAAAAUGCAUGCUAUACUUGGUUUGUAACAUGAGUUACUUCCUUUUUAUGACUUGUUGUGUAUGAAUGGGCCUUGUCUAGGUUGACUUCAAAUGAGUACGUAGUGUGAGUAGUAGUAUGGGAUGCUACUUGCACAUUGCACAAGUAUGACUUAGAGUUGUCUUAGAAGUUGGUCUUAAUGUGAUAAUCUAAUUUAUGUGAUGUUUAUGUUUCUUAUAUGCUUUAUUGUGUAAAGGUGGAAAAAAGGAAUGGUAAGUUCACCUUUGGUGAUCUUAAUGUGGUACCUUGGUGUGGAUGGUGGUAUGGGAUGCUAUCCAUACAUUGCACAAGGUAUAGCAUGAUGGUUACUUGAGGUGAAGGCUUAAAGUAAAGGUAAUUGGUUAUAUGGUUGAUCAUGUUCUAAUAUGGUUAGAUUAUUUGUAUGUUGAUUAUGUCUAAAUGAGAAAAUGUGACUUGCAUGUUGGUUGUGACUUAUAUUAUGCUUUUUUUAGUAAUGUUCAUGAACUUUUACGAAAAUGGCAUAUAUCAUGACUUUCAAACAAAGAUGUCCUUUUUAAGCAUGUUUUUGCAUGGCUUCCAUACUUAGUACAUCUAAUGUGCUAACCCAUAUUGGUUCUCCCUUUUUACCAAAGUGUAGGGUUUGGAGAUAUUGGUGUUCUAUACUUGAAAAAUAGGUUUCUAAGGUGCUUGAAGAUGAAGACUUGGUAAGUACUCAUAGUUUCGAGGACAAAAUCCAUUGUGUUCCUUUUAUGUCUUUUAGUUUUGUUAAAUCUUUUCUAUGGGCUAAAUCCCAAUAUUGUAUUCAAAGUAUUAGAUGGUUUGAGACAUAGUGUACAAAGUCUAGAAAGUCUUCCGCUUGCUUUUUAAUGAAAAUGUCUUCGAUUGUAAGGAAAGUUUUAAUUCUUCUCUAUUUUUCCUAUGCUCUUAUGUUCAAGAAUGCUAUGAGGCUUGUAUUAGCCCAUUUCGGGGUCGAGUACCCCGUGUUACGACUAGGGGUGCUCUAGGGUCGUGACAAACAAGGUAUCAGAGCACAAGAUUUUGGAAUGGUCUUUGGAUGUUCUAAACCACAUCUAGUAGAGUCUUGUUCAUAAUGUGAAGCGCACCACAUUAUGAAUAGAAGGCUAUUGGGUGCUAAGAAACUUUCACUUUUUCAUUCUUCAAGUCGUGCCAUAGAGUUUAGCUCUAUAAUAUCUCUCUCUUGUUCCUUAUGUAAUGGUCUUUAGAGUAUGACCACUUGGAACGAGUACGUUACAAGGGUUCAGGGAGAGAAAAGGUUGGUUGUGAUGCCAACUAGGGAUAUGUGACUUGAUAGAUGUGAAAUGGAAGAUUGUGAUGUUGACUUUAGUAUGAAUAGGUUGCUUUAUGGAUAUGUGUGUUGUUGGUAGAAGGUUAUGAGGAGUUUUGAGGUAUGUGGAAAGAGUUGAUGAAUGGUGGUGUUUAAGAGAUUCCUUGAAGUGUUGAGUGAGUAGACUCCUCUAAGAGGGGUACAAAGUAAUUCACCUUGGGUGAUGAGUGUGAAGGUUUAGUGUUGUUUUGUUCCGACCUUAGGAUUUAAAGAGGAGAAGUUUAAAAGAGCUAGUGUAAGCUUUCUCCCAAGUGGGGGAUAAUGUGCCUAGAUGGUAAGGUCUUUGAGUGUCAUUAAUGUUCAUGAGUUACGCUUGAUUGAUGUUCUCACCUUAAGAGGUGUAGUGAGUGUGAGGAGUUUAGACCCAGUGUGGUAGACUCAUAUGAGACAUUGAGUGAUGUGGUAAGGUUGAUUGUGAGCAAGAUUUGCUUAAUGACAACCUUCCUAGUUUAAAAGUACCGGUAUGUUAAUGGUUUCUUGUAAGUUGUGGAUGUCUUGAUUAUGGUUCCCUUAUGGUGUUCAUGUUGACCUUAGUUCGGUUUACUCCUAAGUGGGGGGGUAUUAUGUUAUAGUAAGGUUGUUGAGAUUUCCGAUAUCCUUACCUCUUUAUUUAUAUGCCUACUCAAACCUAAGACAAAGAGUUCCUUUUUGGCUUGUUUCAUGUUUUGUAAUCAUGUGUGAAAUUGAGUUUCCAUGAUCUCCUUAUGUAAUGCAUGUUCUAGUUGAAUUCUUGUUUAGUUGAGAAAAUGAGUUUUCAUGAUUUAUUGUUCCUUAUGUUGAUGUGCAUUUAGUUUGAGUUGUUUAUAUGCUUCAUGAGGAUAAAUGUUGAACAUGCCUAAAUGUGCUUUAUUGAAAAUAUGCAUAAUCUGCUUUUAUGGGAAAAUUGCUCAAAUGUGCGUAAUGAUGUUGUAAUGAGCGUGAUGCGAUUUGGAGAAGAAAGUCCCUCCAUUGAAAUUAGAAAUGUUGAAGGUUUGGUGCAAAAUGAGUUUGUAGAUGUAGUUCGUACCUUCUUGUUUGCAUUGAGCCUUUUGAUGUGGAGUUGAUGUUUCAUCCUAUGUUUAUGCAUUUAUAUUGAUGUUGCAUGCAUGAUUGUGGGCUGCUAGUCUUGAGUCGUUACCCCUUAAUGUGUUUAAAGUGUCAUUAGAGGACAAAUGUUCCUUAGUGGGGGAUAAUGUAACGACCCUAAAAACAAACCAAUGAAACUAGAUCCUAACGUGUGUGCCUGUGAGUUUGGUGUGAGGUUUGAUGGUGUUUGAUGUUGUCCCAAGUCAUGGUUGAGGGGUUUGGGGGUCAAACGUCAAGGUGUGACUCCCUAUGGACCACCCUAGGGGUCCUUGAGGAGCACCCUAGGGGUCCUUGAGGAGGACCCUAAGUCUAACUUCAAGACCCCAAUGAACCAUGAAGGCUGCCCAAAAUGGGGUGACCUACGGAAUGGGUCCACGCCCCGUACGUCCAUCCACGCCCCGUGGAUGGUCUCCGUAGGUCAAGAGGCCCCUAACCAAGCCACAACCCCAAUUGACGGAGGGACAAUAUGGUCCGUGACCCCAUCCACGGACCGUGGAUGGGGUCUCCUGAACCAUGUCUGUAAUCUGUCAAGAGGCACAACCAAGUGAAGGGUGAAGUGGUAAAUUCACCCUUUGCUUAGUUAAGUGUUUAGAUGGUUAUUUUGUGUUUAUUAACAUAUUAGUAUUAAAACAUUAAAAUGCUAUUUUAGAUUUAUAAUUGCAAAACCCCAAAUCAAAACCCUUCCCUCCCAUAAAGUGUUAUCUCUGGAAACUCCAUUGGAGAUCAAGGUCUAGAUCAAGCUAGGGUUGGGGAUUUCAUGGUGUUUCUUCUUCAAUUUUCGUGAGGAAUGAAUAGCAGGGUAUGGUGGUCUUGAUUCUUGCCUAAUUUUCCAUUCAAGGAGCCAAUUCAAAUGUGAUUACAAAUCAAGAAAAUCUAGGUUUUUACUCAAUCUCAUAGGUUCUUUCAUCAAAUGUUUUCAAAUUGUUUCUAAUCACAAAUUAUGAUUUUAUUGAUGUUUAAUUGAUGAUUUAUGAUGAAAAUACUCGAUGAACCCAUGAUUUCUCUCAAUUCCUAAAAUGUGACUUAUGAAGUGGGUUUGUUGAUUAUUAAUGAAUGUUGAUGGACUUAUGCCUAGAUUGACUUAGAUUAUUGAAUUGUAUCAUCAUCUAUGCCUAAUUAUGGUGAAUUGAGGAUUUUUUUUAUCAUAGACUUGAAAGGGAAUGUUUGACUUAAUUUCAAAUUAAAGUAGAAUUGUCUUCAAUUGUUGAUCCACUUGAAAGGUGGAGGUGUUUAUUUACUAUGGACAUUGUGAUCAUGGCCUUGAAGGCAUAGUGUGAGGAAUUAAAGUAUUAUCAUGAUGUUGUAUAUAUGAACGUGAUGUGAAACAUUGGUGUGAUUGCAAUGAAUGAAUUAUGAUCUUGUUUAGAAGCUAAUUGUGUUAGGAUUGAAUGUUAUCUCUCUAUUAACACUCAUGAAUGUUGAUGAUGGAAAUGUGAAGGGUUCUAUAAUGUAAUGUUGAAUAUCUUGAAUUGGUAGUAUAAGGCAUCAUUUUCUUGUAUUGAUGAAUGAAUGAAUAAAGUUUAAUGAUAAUGUUAAUGAAUGUUGAGUUUAUUUCUCAAUUGUACUUAAAUGAAUGUUAAUGACUUGUUGUUAAAGUACUUCCUUAUAAUAAAGGGGUUCUUAGGUGAAAUGCUAUUCUCAUCUUUGAAUCUAUGAGCUUACCAAUGAAUGAAUGUUGGGAUUGGAUGGAUACUCAUCCAGGAGUUGAGGCAGAGUAUCUAGUAAUAAUCCAUAUAUCCCAUUUUAGUAAAUGUUGGGUUUGGGAUGGAUACUCAUUCGGGAGUUGAGGCGGGGUAUCUUGUACCAAUCUCUUAUCACAUAAUGAAAUAAUGUAAUGUACUCCGUGGGGAAUAUGCUGAGCACCGAGUGGAUAUGGCUUGAGAUGGAUGCUAAUCCUUGAGUUGAGGCGGGGUAUCUAGUAGCAAUCUCCCUUUCCCAUAAACUAUUUUCCCACAUAUGUCUAGCUAGUGGAUCCACUUAAGGCUAAACAAAUGAUGGUCCUACAAUAGGAAAGUAGGAAUACCUUUUUCCGGUGAGGGUAACACCGGAAUUCCAUGUCAAGCUCACAUGGUCUAUGUCGGUUAAGGCUUACCCCCACAAUAAUGUUAAUGAACUAUGGCUUCUUCUACUUAGUGUGGGAUGGGACGCCAUCUAUGCCUUGCACAAGUAUGCAUUUGAGGGAGGUCAUGGUGUGUUCCUUAUAAUGUUAAUUAAAUGAAUGGGCUCUUAUAAAGAUAUUGACGAGAAAGGUGAUCUAAUGUUUAAUUAAUGAAGGUGCACUUAAUGUAAUGAAGCUAAUGAAAAAUGUUGACUCUUAUAUGUUUAAAUGUAAAAAUGCAUGCUAUAGUUGAUUUGUAUCAUAAGUUACUUCCUUGUUAUGACUUGUUGUGUAUGAAUGGGCCUUGUGUAUGGUGACUUUAAAGGAGUACUUAGUGUGAGUAGUAGUAUGGGAUGCUACUUGCACAUUGCACAAUUAUGACCUAGAAUUGUCUUCGAUGUUGGUCUUAAUAUGAUAAUGUGAUUUAUGUGAUGUUUAUGUUUCUUAUAUGCUUUAUUGUGUAAAGGUAGAAAAGAGGAAUCUUAAGUUCACUUUUGGUGAUCUUAAUGUUGUACCUUGGUGUAGAUGGUGGCAUGGGACGCUAUCCAUACAUUGCAGAAGGUAUAACAUGAGGGUUACUUGAGGUGAAGGUUUAAGGUAAAGGUAAUGGGUUAUAUGGUUGAUCAUGUUCUAAUGUUGUUAGAUGAUUUGUAUGUUGAUUAUGUCUUAAUGACAAAAUGUGACUUGCAUGUUGGUUGUGACUUAUAUUAUGCCUUUUUUUAAUAAUGUUCAUGAACUUUUACUAAAAUGGCAUAUAUCAUGACUUUCAAACGAAGAUGUCCUUUUUAAGCAUGUUUUUGCAUGGGUUCCAUAGUUAGUACAUCUAAAGUGCUAACCUAUAUUUCUUCUCCCUUUUUACCAAAGUGUAAGGUUUGGAGAUAUUGGUGUUCUAUGCUUGAAGGAUAGGUUUCUAAGGUGCUUGAAGAUGAAGACUUGGUGAGUCCUCAUAGUUUCGAGGACAAAAUCCAUUGUAUUCCUUUUAUGUCUUUUAGUUUUGUUAAGGCUUUUGUAUGGGAUAGGUCCCAAUGUUGUAUUGAAAGUAUUAGAUGGUUUGAGACAUAGUGUACAAAGUCUAGGAAGUCCUCCGCUUAUUUUUUAAUGAAAAUGUCUUUGAUUGUAAGGAAAGUUUUAAUUCCUCUCUAUUUUUCCUAUGUUUAAGAAUGCUAUGAGGCUUGUAUUAGAACCCUUCGCGGUCGAGUACGCCGUGUUACAACUAGGGGGUGCUCUCGGGUCGUGACAACAAGAAUAUACCACAAAGCCAUCCGUACCCUCUGGUAGGGUCAACACCGGAGCAUAAGUGAGUCUAUCUUUCAACUCUUGGAAACUUUUCUCACAAGCUUUCGAACAAAGGAACUUGGCCUUCUUUUGAGUCAAAGUCGUCAAAGGAGAAGCAAUAGAGGAAAACCCCUCAACAAACCUUCUAUAUUAACUGGCAAAACCCAAGAAGCUUCUUAUAUCUGUUGGUGAUAGAGUUCUAGGCGAACUCUUGACCGCAUCCGUCUUCUUUGGAUCUACCUCAAUACCCUUAUGCGAAACAAUAUGACCAAGGAAAGCUACAGACCUUAACCAAAACUGACAUUUACUAAACCUUGCAUAAAGUUUUUGGUCCUUGAGAUUUUGCAAUACAAUCCUUAAAUGAUCAAUAUGCUCAUUCUCACUUCUUGAAUAUAUCAAAAUAUCAUCAAUAAAAACAAUCACGAACGUAUCAAGGUAUUGUCUAAACACCCUAUUCAUCAAGUCCAUAAAUGUUGUCGGGGCAUUAGUCAAACCAAAAGACAUAACCAAGAACUCAUAAUGACCAUAUCGGGUUCUAAAAGAUGUUUUCGAAAUAUCUUCCUCUUUCACCCUCAAUUGGUGAUAACCUGACCGGAGAUCAAUUUUAGAGUAAUAACUUGCACUUUGGAGUUGAUCAAAUAAAUCAUAUAUUCUCGGAAGUGGAUACUUGUUCUUAAUGGUCACUUUGUUCAAUUGGCGGUAAUCAAUACACAUUUGGAGUGAACCAUCUUUCUUCUUAACAAAUAAUACUGGAGCACCCCAUUGAGAGAUACUCGGUCGAAUAAAACCCUUAUCUAAUAUGUCCGUUAACUGUUCCUUCAACUCCUUAAGUUCCAUUGGAGAAAUUCUAUAAGGAGGAAUAGAGAUAGGUCGGGUAUCGGGGAGAAGGUCAAUCACAAAGUCUAUUUCCCUUUCGGGAGGAUCACCGGGUAAAUCAUCUGGAAAGGCUUCCGGAAACUCUUUUACAAUAGGAACCGACUCAAGAGAAGGAGUUUCGGACUCCACAUCCCUCACCCUCACUAUAUGGUAGACACACCCCUUUGUGAUCAUUUUCCUAGCUUUUAGGUAAUAAAUAAAUUGACCUCUAGGCAUAGAAUUUCUCGCCUCUACUCAAGGAUAGGCUCAUUUGGGAACUGAAAUUUGAACACUCUAGUCCUACAAUCAAUAGAUAACAAGAAUGCAACCAAUCCAUACCCAAGAAGACAUCAAAGUAAAUCAUAUCAAGUUUCACCAAAUCUAUUAGAGUGACUCUAUGGGAUGAGGAAACGUGACAUCUCCUAUAGACUAUUUUAGCCACCACAUAAUCACCAACGGGGUAGAAACAAAAAAAGGUUCUAACAACACUUCAGGGAGUACAUCAAAUAUCAUAGCUAAAAAAGGAGUCACAAAUUACAAUGUAGCACCCGCAUCAACCAAAGAAUACAUAACUAUAUGAAAAACAUUUAACAUACCAGUCACAACAUCCAGGGAGCUCUUUUGGUCACCUCUAGUUUGGAGAGCAUAAAAGCAGUUUGCUUAGGAGCAUUUCCACAUGAGUCACUCAGACUGAAUGAAGUGUAGGGUUGAGUCCUGCGACGACCAUCCCCAUCAUUCUUGGCAACAUAAGGACAAUCCAUUAUUUUAUGAUCCGUUUUACCACACCCGAAGCAAGCAUUUGAUCCCGCUAGAACUUCCCCUCGUGGUUUCUCCCACAUUUAUCCAAGUAGGCAUCAAAGAUUUACCACCAUCUCCUUGGGGUUUAAGGGUAGACACCCUUUCAUUUCUUGACUACGGAGGAGCGUUUGUAGAACCUUGCCCGGAGUACUUUUGCUGGAAUCUAGAAUAACCCCGCCCACCGGACCUAGCAUGUGCAAAGUUCCCAUCAUCCACUCUAGCCCUUUUUGCCUCCCUAGAUCUAUCCUUGAGCUUUUCUUCCUCAAUUUGUUGGGCAUGCACGAUAAGGCGAGAGAUAUACAUGUCAUGAGCAAGCAUAGCUGUGAGGCACUCUAUGACUACCAUGCGUGACAUUCCCGACACAAACUUACUUAUCUUGGCCCUACGAUCCGCCACAAUGGAAGGAGCAUAUUUGGAUAGUUGAGUAAACCUCAAAGUGUACUACCUUACACUCAUAUUUCCUUGCCUAAGUUUGAUGAACUCAAGUACUUUGGCCUCUCUCAUCUCUAUAGGGAAGAAUCAAUCACGAAACAUACUUUUGAACAUUUCCCAUUCUAUGGGACUCGCUUCCACUGGCCUAGGCACUUACCACUGAUUAAACAAAAUCUAAGCAACCCCUUUGAGUUGGUAAGCAGCUAGUUCUGCCUUCUCUACCGAAGUCACACCCAUGAUAGCAAGCACAUUAUAAACCUCGUCGAUAAACUCUAUAGGAUCUUUCUCAUGUUUGGAGCCAUAAAAUUCGGGCGGGUUUAUUCUUGUGAAAUCUCUCACUCUUGCCGCUGUCGUACCCACAUUUGGGAUCACAGGGGCUACCACCUCUCGGUUAGCUUGCGCUGUCACGGGUUGAGACAACACUUGUAAUGCAGACCUAAACUACACAUUAGUCAGAAUCUCAUUCAAUGGGUCAAUCAGAGCUUGAAGAGGUGCUUGAGCAGGAACCUCUUGCUCAAUAUUGCCUUCCUCCAACGUUCUAGCAUUAGCCCUUCUAGUAGUCAUUUCCUAAUAAACAUUGGGCACAUAUUAUGAGAAAGACUUAAAGAGUUGAACUCCAUGGAACGACUUAAAAAAGUGAAGAAGUGGAACUUUUGAAACAUCUAAUUGCCUCCUAUUCAUAAAUGUGGCGCGCUUCACAUUUAUGAACAAGACUCUACUAGACGUGGUUUAAAACAUCCUAGAACCAUUCUAGACCUUCUACUCGGAUUACCAAGUUUGUCACGACCCAAGGGUACCCGCUAGAUGUAAUAAUGCGUAUAAGACCCUGAGAGGCCUCAUACAAACCAUGUAGUAUAUCAUAACAUAAAGUAAUAGAAAAGGUGCGGGAAUUAAAACUUUUCAAAUACAAUCAAAGUCUUUUAAAGAAGCAAGCGCAAGCCUAACAUGACAUUGUCUCAAACCAUCUAAACAUAUGAUUUUUUUUUUUUUUUGGGAUGCAGCCCAUACAAUAGUUUCAAAAGUAAAAUAAAAACAUAAGAGAAAUAGGGUGAUCCAAUCCUCGAAUACAAUGAGGACUCACCAAAGCUUCACGUCACGAUCAACUAGAGCCUAGCCACAAUUAUUUGAAUCGGGAACGCCGAACCCUAUAUUUUAAAAGAAUGUAGGCAAGAGUAUGCGUUAGUACAAUCAAGUACUAAAUAUGAUGAAUAGCAUAAAAAACAUUAACAUAAGAGUUAGUCAAUACAAGACAUAAGGCAUAAUCAUUUCAAUAUAUGAAAAACGUCAUAAUGAAAGAGGAAUACUUCCUUAAGUAGCCUCACCUAUCCUUAUCCAAGAGUUAGGUCAUCCGCCUCUAGUCAAGCUUACAUCAUGGAAGGCAUAUCUAGCAACAAUCCAAGCAAUCAUCAUCAUACCUAAUCACAUUAGUCAUACUUAAUUUUAAAGACACGGGGAUUCACCUCUAUGCCUAGUUCAUAAAGGCUAACGGGUAUUCAGCUCUUGCCUUACUUACUUUUAGAUUGCGGUUACUCGCCUCCACGUCAUUUCAAAAGGAGUAUGGGUACUGAUGUUUGCGUAAUCAAGACACAACUUCCGAUGCAAGUGUCUAUGAUCGUACAAUAGUUUAGUAACCCAACCAAGGGUUGGGAUCGUUCCCAAGAGAGUGGUUUUGAGAAUUAAUAGAAAAAUAAAAUUUAGUUCUAACUAGUCGUUGCUAAAGACAUUAACGAUUAAAAACAUUGAAGAUUAAAGAAGGACACAAGAGUGUCAAUUAACAAUGGGGCGGGGGUUGUCACAAGUAAGUAAACACAGUAAAAUAAACAAGGAUUUCUAUGUAAUGAUAGGGGAUCCUUGGGAUGUGAUAGGAAUACGGGUUAAGUUAGAAUAUUGGGUACAUGCUUUCGAUAGAAGAUUCAUAGAGUAAUUGUCACUAGGCUAAACUUUAAGGGGGAUAAGCUCUCUCUCGGGCAACUUACCCCAUUUCAAAUGUGUGUCUCUCGGACACCCACUUGCCGGAUGAAGACCAGCCUCUGCCUUAACCCACUCACUCUCUCAAGUUGAGUGUGUGGGAAUGUGACUAGGAUUCACUCUCUCGAGCUUAACCUCAUUUCGACCCACUUCCACCAGCCUUCAAUUUAGUAGUUUUAGUUUUACGACCUCUCUCUCUCGCAAGCCGAAAACAUAUAAUAAACUUUUAUUUGAAACUACAAAUUCAUUAAAUUCAUCCAUAACUACUAAACGAAAUCACAAUUAAACAAAGAUUAAACUAUCAGCAAUCAAGACCCAACAAUUAUCUUAACCCAUAUUCGCUAAAUCACACCCCAAGAAUUGGGGUUUUAGCCACACAUGUAUAAGAGAUAUAAAUUUAUACAAAAUUGAGCUCGCAUUCAACUGGGUAUGAAGAUUUAAGUCUUGAUAUAGGCCAAAAUUGAAGAAUCCAAGAGACCCAAAUCUAAAUCUUGAAGAUGAAUGCCUUGGAAUCUUUAAGUCAUCACAACACUCUCAAACUUAGAGCAAAAAAAUCAAAAAGUACUAUUCAAAAUAAAUAUUAUAAUAAUUGUUCCACUAUUUAAACAACAACUCUAACUAGUAUUUAUAGUUUUCACAGAUUUUUGCUGCAGCGGAUCAUUUGGCAUCGUUAGUCGAAAUCGCUGAUCAACUUAGCGAUCCGCCUUUUGGUGUAGUUCACCGCCAUCUUGCAGCAGCCUUUUGGUGUAGUGCUCUGGGUCAUUACGCGACAUGGUACUACUUCGCGGAACUUCUCGGUGAUGCGCCGACUGCUCCCUUUUUCUGCCGACUUGAUCCUUUCCUUCAGGGCUCAACACACUUGAACAAAAGGUGAAGUAAGACCCUUCGGCGAUCCUCAGGCCUUCAUUUCUUCGUUAUUUUCGGCAUUUUCGCUCCUUUUUGCGACGUAGUGUCCACGCUUUCCUUCAAACUUCAAAUACCUGAAACUUAAGGGUUUUCAUCAGAUAUUAGGAUAAAAUAAGCAUUUGAGGACACAAUUUCUAUUAAAAUAUACCCCUAAAUGAGUCCAAUUUGUGGAUUCAUCAACACCCCCAGCUUAAACUCUUGCUUGUCCUCAAGUAAAACUCAUGUUCAGCAGUUCAACAAGGAUAUCUCAAACAGUGCUACACAAGACUCAGUUAUGAAUGUACACAACAAGACUCAAUUUACUUGUGCAAGGAUCAAUUGUGUACUCAAAUAUUCAAGUUGUGAUACACCAUUAACAAAGAUUCUCAAGCUCACAAUAUUUGCUUCAAAUGCAAGUUCAAGCUCAACAAAAGACUUCAAAUGCCCUCACACAAAUGAUGAUUCCAUUUUCACACGCAAAGGUAUAAUCAAUUUAAAUUUCAGGAAUCAGAUACAACAUUCACUCAAAAAGAUUAACACAAUGCAUGCUUUCACCCAUAGGUUUGCCCGUAUUUUCCAAUCAACAUUUGUUUCGACUUUCUCAAGAUCACAAAUGUCUUAACAAGGUUUGUAAUGGGGCUGAGUGCAAAGGUAUGAUCAUUUAGGCUCAAUGACUUUUAUCCUCAUGAAAUGUGGUGCUCUCAACACUUCCUUUCCUUUUCCCUUCAUCAUUUUCAUUAGUGCAUCAUAGGUCAUCCUAUUAUUCGCUUCCCAUGGGUUGUUCGGAACCCUAUUUCUUUGGUACUUUAUUCUACAACUUUCCCUUCUCUUUUUUUUAUGGAAAGGUUCCAUUUUUCUCAACACCAUGUGUUAAAGGAGACUUUUCUUGCACUUCUUGACUUUCCUUUCUUUUUCACCACACCCCAACUUAGGCUUUUGGCCUAAGUUGGCUAUUCAAUUAACCACAAUUCAAGAGGACUAUAGGUAAUGGAUUAUGAAAGGUUUAGUUUUCAUCAAGUUUCUUCCAAAGAAAGGUAAGGCUCAAAGGGUGUUCAAGAGAGAAUCACACACGCACAAGGUAGGUCACAAAAGAGGUAUAUGUAAAAUUGGUUCAUACUCUUCGAAGUUGCCUAAGAUCAUAUCAAGAGAAAAUCUUACUUAGUCAACCGGACCAACAACGCAAAUUCUAGGUGUUGUCAUGCAUUGUUCCGGGUAAUCUUAUCACACAAGGCAUCGACACUUAAGUCAAAUAAGACUCCACACUUUUACUAGUGUGCAACGGUCAUCACAAGAGAAUCGAUUUGAUAAAUGGCUAAUCACAACGAGAUGCAAAGAGUUCACAUAUUGUGUAUGCAACAUCAUUUGGCCUAAUCGUAGCCGUACAUUCAUGUUCGUUUGAUUGUAGGCACUAUUCAAGUUAUUGGUAUUGAUCAAAACCGAGACUCAAAUUUGCCAAGGAACAACCACAUUCACGAGCAUAUAAAGGGUGGCGCAACUGUGCGAAAAAUUAAAUUUUUUUUGGAAGGGUCAAUGUCAUUGUGCAAUUUAAAAUAAAAGAAGCCACAAGCUCAAACAUCCACAGAAAAGCAGUAUUAACACAAUUUUAAACAAAACAACCCAAAUAUAAACACAAAACACGAACAAAAGUAGCACACAAAAAGGUGUGGGCCUCACCCCACCACAAACAAAAACAUUUGUCCUCAAAUGCAUAUAACAAAAUAUCCAGAAUGUAAAUUAAAGGAAGACAGAGAGGGAGGUAAAGAAGGGGUCCUGUUUAAGCAGUCGCUCCAUCUGCCGGGGCAUCAGGGCCCGAUGUUUCACUUUGGAUCUGGGCAUCAGUGCUCGAAGUUGCCUCAGGGGGAACAACGGGACCUGAUUCACUAAGGUCUGUUGAGUGUGUUUCUGCCAGAAAGAUAUGCACUGCUCUGAAAAAUCCCCUGGCCCAUGAUGGAAUAUUAGGGUCCAUGGUAAUGGCCUUCCUGGAAGAAGUGGGCCUUUUGUCCUUGCCUUUCCCAAUAGUUGUGGUCAAUUUAGUAGCUUUGUCUUUCGACGUAGCUGUCUCCUCAUUUAUCACACUCCCUACUGACUUCUCUUGGGCUGGUUUUAUUCUUUCCAUAACUUUUGAUUUAUUCAUGUCUGCAAAGUCUUGAAGAGAAAUUUGAAAAACUUAAACAAAAGCAAAGAGGAACUUAUGCAAACAAAAUCGCCAAACAAGAUGGCGAAUCACCGAAUUUCUUAGGCGAGCUAGAUUAGGAUCACCAAAGGAAUUAUCUCUAAAACUGUAGCAAGAAGGCGAAAGGUGAACUUCUUUCGCGGGUCACCGAAUGAUUUCGAUGGGUCGUCGAUAGUUUUCGGCGAACCAGGACAAUUCCGUAGAAAGUUUCAGUGCAUAAAGGUUGAAGGGAGCGGAUAAAGGGCGAAAGAGAAGACUUUCGGCGAGUCGCCAAAUUCUUUCUGCGACAUCAAGCUUCUCACCGAAAGUUUCAAAAUUAAUUAUCAGAUAUAACAUGAAAUCAAAAGCGAGAUGGGGACAUUAGGCGAACCGCCGAGUGGUUUGGCUUGCUUGACCUAGCUCGCCAAAUGGCCCAACGUGCUUGUUUUCAACCUAACUUCUCGAAUUUAACCCUACAACUCCCAAAAACAAAUCAAAGCAUGCACUAGCACAGUUAAGGUAGGACCCAUAAUACCAAAACACAAUCCCCUAAAAUUUUAAAUCCAAUUCAAGGCAUGCAAUUACGAGAAUUCAAUAGUCACAACUAUACAAGCAAGGAUAUCAAGUUAAAUCAUGGAUGUAAACAAUCUAAUCCUCUUAGAGAGGAGUAGAACACUUCAACCAAAUCAUGCUAUUGCAAUUGAGUAUAUUUUAUGAUAAAUUAAACUUGGGGCAUAGAAAACUAACCUUUUGUCUCCCUGAGGAGAGGAUUGAAAUGUUAAGCAGCAGUGUAAUCCAAGUCCGAGCACAAUUCAAUAACUAAAAUGCUCUAAGAGUGCAAGAAAUAUAGAAACUAGAGUGUAGGUAUGAGUUUGGACAGAUAAAAAGUGAGGGAAAGUGAAUGAAGUUGAAACUUUUAAACCUUUGGCUUGCAAAAAUAGUCCAGUUUUCACCCACUCAGCGACAUUAGUCAAGCUCGCCUACUCACUCGGCGGAACGCCCACUGUUUAGUUUCUUCACUGAAAUUUACAGGACCUCUGGUUUACGGGGUGUGGGUGGUCCAAAUGGUGGUUUCCAUCGUAAUCGCCGACAUGGUCGACGAUUCGCCAAUAAUUUCCAAAGCUCACCGAGUUUUACAGACUCCAAUGUUAACGAUGUCUUGAGUCAAACAGCGGAUAAGGUCGGCUCUAAAAGCUUGCCAUCCUUCAGUUUUUUGAACACUUUUUCUACUUUAAUUUGUACAAACAACACACCAUUAUUUUACAAAGAAAAAAAAAACAAUUAAAGGGGUUUAGGGUUGCCUCCGAAAUAGCGCCUUAGUUAAAGUCGUGGCACGAUGAAAUUCCACCUUCAAACCUCACUCUCGAGGUUAGCCAUAGUAUCACUAGGCAAACCCCCCUACUGUCUCAGAUUGAGGUGAGACGAGAUAUGACCCAUUUGGGUCUCCAACUGCUUGAUUGAAACAGAAUAGGAGGUGACAGUCUGUCUAAGGGUAGAAACAUCUUCUUUCAUGCCUCUCAGCAUUUUUUCUGACUUUUCAACUUUGUUGAGGAUACGCCUGAGCAUAUACUCAGACCUACCACCUUCCGAAUAUUUGGGCUUCUGGCGCUUAUGGGGAGGCACAUAUCUAUCCUUCUCACCAUCUUUCUAGUUUGGAUUUCGGUCUGUCCUUUCACGAUCUCUAUCCUUCCAGCCUUCGUCUCUAGCCUAACCUUGGUUACCACCCUGCCUUGGGUAGUUUGAACGAUACCCCCACCUUGAUUUGCUAGAAAAUUUACCUUCUCCUUAUGUAGGGCUUCAAAUUUCAUCUCUUCAGGAUUUUCACCCCUGACCCCCACAACGUUGACACUACGGGCACCAGCCCCGAUGACAUUUUUGGAUAGAAUGUCAAGUUGUGUCGUGAUUUUGGCCAUUUUUUGGUCUAUCUUAUUGUCUUUUUCAAUCUGCUCCUUAGAUAGCUUGAAUGUGACAGGGGAUACUUGGUCCUCACGAGUGUAUCAUGCUCUGUUGAUGGUUGUUGUGCCAUCUAAAAGUUGGGUUGCUACUCCAUAUGGCUACAACAUUAAGCCUCCAGGCGAAAGUUGGUCAGGGACACCUUUGUUUACAGAAUCCAAACACCGGUAAAAGUAUUGAAGUAGCACGUUGUCCGACAAACCGUGGGUUGGGCAUUGCAGCACCAAUUUUUGAACUUUAGCCAACUUUCGUGCAGAGGCUCUCAUUCUAGACAUUUAAAGCUCGGGAUGCUAUUCCGCAGUGACAUCAUCUUCGACGGAGGGAAAAAAUACACUUGAAAUGUGGUUACCAAAUUUUCCUAAAAAGUGAUGGAUUCAUGUGGUAGCUAGUCUAGCCACUUGCACGCUUAUCCCAUCAACAAGAAAGGGAAUAACCUUAACCGGACAGACUCCUGAGAGAUGUUUUUGAAUGACAAUGGUCCGCACACAUCUAAAAAGUUCCAAUAAUGUUCGUGAGGAUCCUCAUGAGAUAGUCUGCUGAAAUGUCUGCUCUUGGAAAUCGUUGAGAUUUUCGAUGCCGACUUGGUGGCCUACCUAACUACCGUUGCUACCAUUAACACUCAUGCUUUCUGAAAUAUUCACACAACAAAUAAAACAAAACUAAAAAUUAGGUAAGUAGACUACAACUAUGAAAAACAGAAAUUCUACUUAACUAAGAAUUCCCAAAUAACAACACUCCCUGGCUGCGGCGCCAUUUUGAUAUUUCCGUAAUCAAGAAUAAACUUUUGAUGCAAGUGUCUACGAUCGUACAAUAGUUUACAACCCAACCAAGGGUUAGGAUCGUUCCCAAGAGAGUGGAUUUGAGAAUUAAUAGAAAAAUAAAAUUUAGUUUUAACUAGUCAUAGCUAAAGACAUUAACGAUUAAAAACAUUGUAAAUGGGGUUUUUUUUUACGAGUAAGUAAAAACAGAAAAAUAAACAAGGAUUUCUAAGUAGUGAGAGCGGAUCCUUGGGAUGUGACGGGAAUACGGGCUAAGCUAGAUUACUGGGUACAUUCUUUCGAUAGAAGAUUCAUAGAGUAAUUGUGACUAGGCUAAACGUUUAGGGGGGUAAGCUCUCUCUCGAGCAACUUAUCCUGUUUCAAAUUUGUUCCUUAACCCACUCACUCUCUCGAGUUGAGUGUCUGGGAAUGAGACUAGGAUUCACUCUCUCAAGCUGAACCUCAUGUCGACCCACUCCCACCGACCAUCAAUUUAGUAAUUUUUGUAGGCUGGUCUUCAUGCGGCAAGUGGGUGUUCGAGAGAAAUGCAUUUGAAAUGGGGAAAGUUGCUCGAGAGAGUGCUUAUCCUCCUUAAAGUUUAGCCUACUCACAAUUACUCUAUGAAUCUUCUAUCGAAAGCAUGUACCCAAUAAUCUAGCUUAACCCAUAUUCUCGUCACAUCCUAAGGAUCCUCUCUCAUUACUUAGAAAUCUGUGUUUAUUUUGAUGUGUUUACUUACUUGUGACAACCCCCCCCCCCCUUCUUAAUUGACACUCUUGUGCCCUUCUUUAGUUUUCAAUGUUUUUAAUCGUUAAUGUCUUUAGCAACGAUUAGUUAGAACUAAAUUUUAUUUUUCUGUUAAUUCUCAAAACCACUCUCUUGGGAACGAUCCCAACCCUUGGUUGGGUUAAUAAACUAUUGUACGAUCGUAAACACUUGCAUCGAAAGUUGUGUCUUGAUUACGCAAACAUCAGUACCCAUGCUCCUUUUGAAAUGAUAUGGAGGCGAGUACCCACAUCAUGUGAUCAGAUUGUGGAGGCGAGUGCCCGCAAUCUAAAAGUAAGUAAGGCAAGAGGUGAAUACCCUUUAGCCUUUAUGAACUAGGCAUAGAUGUGAAUCCCCAUGUCUUUAAAAUUUAGUAUGACUAAUGUGAUUAUGUAUGGUGAUGAUUGCUUGGAGUGUUGCUAGAUAUACCUUCCAUGAUGUAAGCUUGACUAGAGGUGGAUGACCUAACUCUUGGAUAAGGAUAGGUGAGGCUACUUAAGGAAGUAUUCCUCUUUCAUUAUGAUGUUUUUCAUGUAUUGAAAUGAUUAUGCCUUAUGUCUUGUAUUGACUAACUCUUAUGUUUAUGUUUUUAUGCUAGCCAUCAUAUUUAGUACUUGAUUAUACUAAAGCAUAUUCUUGCCAACAUUCUUAUAAAAUAUAGGGUCCGGCAUUCCCGAUUCAAAUAAUUGUGGCUAGGCUCUAGUUGAUCGUGAAGUGAAGCUUUGGUGAGUCCUCAUUGUAUUCGAGGAUUGGAUCACCCUAUUUCUUUUAUGUCUUUCUUUUACUUUUGAAACUAUUGUAUGAGAUGCGUCCCAAGAUUUUUAUUUUUCAUAUGUUUAGAUGGUUUGAGACAAUGUCAUGUUAGACUUGCGCUUUCUUCUAGAAAAGACUUUGAUGGUAUUUGAAAAGUUUUAAUUCCCGCACCUUUUCUAUUACUUUAUGUUAUGAUAUACUAAGUGGUUUGUAUGAGGCCUCUCAGAGUCUUAUACGCCUUAUUAUAUCUAAGGGGUACCCUUGGGUCGUGACAAACUUGGUAAUCCGAGCACAACGUCUAGAAUGGUUCUAGGAUGUCUUAAACCACGUCUAGUAUAAUAUUGUUCAUAAAUGUGAAGCGCGCCACAUUUAUGAAUAGGAGGCUAUUAGAUGUUUCAAAAGUUUCACUUCUUCACUUCUUUAAAUCGUUCCAUGGAGUUUAACUCUAUAAGUCUUUAUCCUAAUAUGUGGCCAAUGUUUAUCAGGAAAUGACUACUAAAAGGGCUAAUGCUAGAACGUUGGAGCAAGGCAAUAUUGAGCAAGAAAAUUCCUGCUCAAGCUCCGAUCGACCCAUUGAAUGAGAUUCUGACUAAUGUGGAGUUUAGGUCUACAUUACAAGUGUUGUCUCAACCCGUGACGGCGCAAGCUAACCGAGAGGUGGUAGCCCCUGUGAUCCCAAAUGUGGGUACGACAACGGCAAGAGUGAGAGAUUUCACAAGAAUAAACCCGCCCGAAUUUUAUGGCUCCAAACUUGAGAAAGAUCCUACAGAGUUUAUCGAUGAGGUUUAUAAUGUGCUUGCUAUCAUGGGUGUGACUUCGGUAGAGAAGGCAGAACUAGCUGCUUACCAACUCAAAGGGGUUGCUUAGAUUUUGUUUAAUUAGUGGUAAGUGACUAAGCCAGUGGAAGCGGGUCCCAUAGAAUGGGAAAUGUUCAAAAGUCUAUUUCUUGAUUGAUUCUUCCCUAUAGAGAUGAGAGAGGCCAAAGUACUUGAGUUCAUCAACCUUAGGCAAGGAAAUAUGAGUGUAAGGUAGUACGCUUUGAGGUUCACUCAACUGUCAAAAUAUGCUCCUUCCAUUGUAGCGGAUCUUAGUGCCAAGAUAAGUAAGUUUGUGUCGGGAGUGUCCAACAUGGUAUUCAUAGAGUGCCGCACAGAUAUGCUUGCUCAUGACAUGUAUAUCUCUCGCCUUAUGGUUCAUGCCUAACAAAUUGAGGAAGAAAAGCUCAAGGAUAGAUCUAGGGAAGCAAAAAGGGUUAGAGUGGAUGUUGGCAACUUUGCACAUGCUAGGUCCGGUGGGCGGGGUUGUUCUAAAUUCCCGCAAAAGUACUCCAGGAAAGGUUCUACAAACUCUCCUCAAAAGCCAAGAAAUGAAAGGGUGUCUACUCUUAAACCCCAAGGAUAGGGUGGUAAAUCUUUGAUGCCUACUUGGAUAAAUGUGGGAGAAACCAUGAGGGGAAGUUCUAGCGGGAUCUAAUGCUUGCUUUGGGUGUGGUAAAACGGAUCAUAAAAUAAUGGAUUGUCCUUAUGUUGCAAAGAAUGAUGGGGAUGGUCGUCGCAGGGCUCAACCCCACAGUUCAUUCGGCCCGAGUGGCUCAUGUGGAAUUGCUCCUAAGCAAAACUGCUUUUAUGCUUUCCAAUUUUAAUCGUUCGUUAAUGUCAACUAAUUUUGUUUUAUUUUUAGUAUUGUUUCCCAUUUUGUUGCUGUUUUUAGUAGGAAUGUCACACCCCAACCUAGGCGAGGCAGACAAGUACCAUAUGAACACAUGCUUUAUAAGUGACCUAUGAUGAGAAAGUAAACUACUAUGCGGAUAGAUUUACUAAUGAGAAGCUUCAUAUACAACACAUGUUGACUAGCUGAACUGAUACAUGUGACAAGUGAAACUAUGAAUAUAAAUGAUAGCUUUACAAUGUCCACAAAGCCUCUACUGGAAUUCAUGACUAUACCACUAUGAAACUACGCAUAGUAAAGACUCAGCAAAGCCCCGAAUCAACCUGGAGCUCACCAAUAACCGCUGAGUAUCAUGUGCUUCUAUUGGGGAGAUCUACUAGUUGACUGCCUGUCUGUACUUGCAGCAUGAAAUGGAGCAUUCCCAAUAAGGGACGUCAGUACGAAAGAAUGUAUUGAAUAUGUAAAGCAUAAUGCAACCAUAUGUAAAAUGAGAGCUCAAGUGAAACGCAAUCCCAAUAGAUAAAGAUUAGAGACCACCUCUGCUUUACUUGUGGAAUCAUGUAUGUUACAUUCUUUUCUUUAUCGGCCCAUGCUAGGCUUUCGCCCAUGAGCUCCCACCCUCUAAUACCAAUUGGGAUCGGCCCAUGCUAGGCUUUCGCCCAUGAGCUCCCACCCUCUAAUACCAAUUGGGAUCGGCCCAUGCUAGGCUUUCGCCCAUGAGCUCCCACCCUCUAAUACCAAUUGGGAUCGGCCCAUGCUAGACUUUCGUCCCUGAGCUUCCACCCUUCUAUACCAAUUGGGAUCGACCCAUGCUAGGCAUUUGCCCCUAGGCUGCCACCCAUAAUUAUACAGAUUGCUUUACUUAGAUUCUUUAAUCUUUGAGAUUGCUUUUUUGAUGUUCAUAAUUCUUUUGAGAUUGUUCUUUUGAUGAUCAUAACUCUUUUGAGAUUGUUCUUUUGAUGAUCAUUAUCUUGUUUGAGAUUGUUGUUUUGGUGGUCAUAAUCAUUGUUGAGAUUUGGAAAUAUGGACAAGUAAUAGAAGACAUAUGAAUAUGGACUAAGGAUAAUAACAAUGAUAUGGGAAGAAAAUGUGACAUGAACGUGUAAUACUUAGGAGCUUAUAUGACUCAGUAAGCAUUUUGACAACUCAAAUUGAAGCACAUAUCAAGUGAAGACAUUUAGCAUUCAGCCAAGAGAUUUGAACCCUAUAUGAAUCGCCAAAUACUAACUAACUAAUAUCAAAUACAAGGUCUAAAUGAACGUGGAACCAAGGGAGAACAUGGGCAGAUUCAACUUAAGGACGGAUACAUAUUCCGAAUAAGCACAUAUAAAAUGUACAAUAGAGCAAGUAGGGAUCUUGUGAGGUAACAUUAUAGUCUAACACAAUGGGAGUAAUAAAUAAUUAAGGGAACAUAUGAACAUGAAUAAAUAAUUGAAGCAAGUUGGAAAGAUAUGGGUAAAUCGUAUAUCCAACAUAUAAAUAUAUGUACCAUGUGUAAUCUAGGAUCAUUUUGAUUUGUAUAAAGGGAAUACGUGCCAAGGGUACUUUGAUGAAGAAACAAGUUUAAUCCCUGCGUGCUAAUAUACUUGGCAGAGUAAGCACGCACAUUUAGUAAUGAACUCAUAUUAGAGUACUCACUUUGAUGCUCUAGGGAGUAGGAACUGCAACUAUGGAUCAGUCACUAUUAAGGCACUUAGAAAGCUUACUUUGUAAUACAAGUGUUGGAUUCAUGCCAAAGAAAUAUGAAAUUGAAUUGCCUUACAUACCUCAAUUCCCAAUUCGUAUAGCUUACGAAGUGUCAACCUAUCAUUUAACGUCAUAGUCUUCAUCUACAACAACCAAUCAUUAAGGCUAAUAUUAGCAGCUUACCAACCAACUCGAGAUAUUUCAACUUAUCAAAACAGUAGCCAAGCAGCCAACCCAUAAUCCUUCUAAUUGAUUGUUAUCUUUCACAAAUUUUGUCUGUUAUAGUUAUUUACACGAAACAACCUACCCAUGGAACGGGCAGUGAACUUACCAAAUUUUUUAUUUAAUAGUGCAUCACGAUAGCUUAUAAAUCUACCCCCUACAACUUUCCGCAAUCAUUCUCUAAGUACAUCCAUGACCUCCCAUAAAAAAAUCAAUACGAUAGCAGUCCUCAACACUCAAAAAUAAUUAAAAGACUUGAAUUUAUGGUUUUCAAUCACCAUCCCACGAGUUCCAAUUAACAAGCUAGUCUAGAAUUCUCAAAUAAACUAAUAAUUAGAGGUUGUGGCAGUGCCCUUACCUUGGUUAUCUAAAUCUGUUAUUCUCCUUCAAUUACUAUUUUUGUAACCUUCUCUUAAUCUUUGGAAGAGAGUGGCAGAACCUUGGCUGCCAACACAUAUAGUUAUCUCUAGUUCACUCCCCUUGAAAAAUUGUUCAAUAAAAUUGAAACAAUAGAGGAGAGAAGGUGAUCUUGUGGUUGCUUUGGAAGAAAUAGGAUGAAAAAUGGUUAGAACCCUAGUGGGAACAUUGGGUGGCUGUUUCAUCUUGAGAGAGAGAAAUAUAUGAACUUGAGAGCUUAAAAUUUGGAUAAGAGGAUAAUGAGAUAUUUGUAUCAGAUUUUUGGCCUUAAUAGGUUCUCUUUUGCCACCUUUCUUGUACUUCAUUUGCAGCUAACAUGUGUCUUUCAUUUAGGCCACACAUAUAAGUAGGUGAUGCACCUACUUUUCCAUUCAAAUUAUUUCUUGUGGGAUUAGAAAUAUUGGGCCUUGGCUGUCCAUUCUCCUCUUAUUCUUCAAUUCAACUUGGGCCAGAUUAAUGCAAGUAGGUGUAGUGUACUUAGCCCAAUAACAUGGUCAAAAGAGUCUUAGUAGGUGAUGCACCUACUUGGUCCUUUGGACUGGUCAAUAAGUCAAAGUAGGUGAUGCACCUACUUGUUACCUACUAGCUUAGUUAAGUCAAGCAAGCACCUCAAUAUUUUAUUCCAUUUCUAGACUUUAAUACCUUUAACUUUACUUAAAACUUAUAUACACUAUGUCACUUUAAAAUUUAGACUCAAAUACCACCUUAUGAUCUCAAGUUUAAAUACUUCCAUCGACGUCAACUUAAUCGGGUCACAUCAAAAUCUACAGACAGUUCACUUUAAACUUAUUCUAUUGUGACUAGUCGCAUAGGAAACCGAGUCCAUAACUAUACCACUAGGCAAUUUAUAAGCAUCAUAUAAAUAGAACUAGUACACGUAGGAUACGGGGUGUAACAAGGAAUCCAGAUUAUGUCUGGUAGCAAUGGUGAACAGCUAGAUCUCUCUCUUUUAAGGAUGGUAUCUCUCAGGGAUAAAAUCUCAAGUUUUAGACAAGUCGAGGGAGAAUCCAUCCAUAAAUUGUGGUUGAUAUUCAGGGAACUCUUCCUGAAAUGCCCAACUUAUGGAAUCUCAGAAAGUGUGCUGAUGGAUUGCUUUUACAAAAGUCUUGGCCCGGAGAAUAAAAGAAUGGCAGACCAAAUAGUACCUGAGGGGCACUCACGACUAGUCUUUACAGUAGCCACCCAUCUCCUUGAUCACAUGGAAACGACUAAUAAGAAGGCUGAAAAAGACCAUACUCUAGCCACAUUGUUGACUCAAUUAGAUUUAGUGACCAAGAAAAUUAUGGAAUUGGAAAAACCGGCUAAAAGAAAGGAUCGGUAUGUUCCACCUAACGAGCGUAUGAAACCCAAUGGAAGUGAGGAUGGACAAACAGAGGAGAUAAUCUCACUCAUGCUCAGUAAAGUCGAAGGUCACAAAAAAAUGUUAAAUGAGAUCAAGGAGAAUGUUAUACUGCUAAAUGAGAUAUCUGCCUCCCAAUUCAUAUCUAUCCAUCGAUUGGAGACUCAAUUGGGUCAUGUGAUGUCUCAUCUCUUUCUCACAAAUCAAAACUGAGCCGAGAAGUCGUGCCACGACUAUAACUAAGGCGCUUCUUGGCAGGCAACCCAAGGUUUUAGUUGCUUUCAAUUAUUGUGUAGAAUAAUGGUGUGUUGAUUUCGUAGGUUAAAAUGAGGGAAGUGUUGAAAAGUGCAUAUUGGUGAGCUACAGGUCCAAUAAGUGAAUCUCGAAAAGGUUCGGUGAUCGCGAACCAGACCGCCGUUACACUCAAGACCAAUUUAUAUUGGAGUCUGCAAAACUCGGAGAGCACAUAAAAUUAUUGGCGAAUCACCAACCAUGUCGGCGAUCCCGACAGAGACCGCCGGUUGGAUUUUCAAAAUAACUGGAGUCUUUGAAAAAUUUGGUGAAGCAAGUGGCUCCUUGGCGAAACGCCAAGUGGUUCGGCGAUCCUGAUUAAUGUCACCAAAUGGGCAAAAACUGGACGGCUUUGCAGGCAAAAUGUUUAAAAAUUGAAGAUUCAUUCACUCUCCCCUCACUUUUUAUCUGCUCAGACUCACACUUGCACUCUAGUUUGUAUAUUUCUUGCGUUUUUAGAAUAUUAUUAGUGUUGAUUUGUGCUCGGGAUUGGAUUACAUUGCCGCCUAGUGUUUCAAUCUUCUCUUUGUCGACAUCAAUGGUUGGUUUUCUAUGCCCCGAGUUUAAUUUAUCAAAAUCUAUACUCAUUUGCAAUAGCAUGAUAUGGUUGAAGUGUUCUACUCCUCCCUGAGAGGAUUAGAUUGUAUACAUGCAUGAUUUAAUUUGAUAACUUUGCUUGGGUAGUUGUGACUGUUGAAUUCCUGUAAUUACAUGCCUUAAACUGGAUUAAAAUUUGAGGGGUUGUGUUUGGGUGUUAUGGGUCCUACCUUAUUUGUACUGGUGCAUGUUUUGAUUCUGUUUUCGGGAGUUGCAGGGUAGAAUUCGAGAAGUACUAUUGAAAAUAGGAACGUUGGGUUGUUUGGCGAGCUAGGUUGAGCUCGCCAAACCACUCAGCGGUUCGCCUAAUGUCCCCAUCUGCCUUUUGAUUGUGCUAUAUUUGAUGAUUAAUUAUGUAACUUUUGGCGAGAAGCUUGUUGUCGCAGAAAGCAUUUGGCGACUCACCGAAAGUCUUCUCUUUAUGCACUGAAACUUUCGGUGGACCUGUCCUAGUUCGCUGAAAACUAUCGGUGACCCGCCGAAGAAGUUCCCCUUUCGCCUUCUUGCUACAAUUUUAGAGCUAAUUCCUUUGGCGAGCCUGAUCUAGCUCGCCUAAGAAAUUCGGCGAUUCACCAUCUGGUUUGGCGAGUUUGUCCACAUAAGUUCUGCUUUGCUUUUGUUUUAGUUUUUCUAACUUCUCUUCAAGACUUUGCAGACAUGUCCAGAUAAAAAGAUGUGGAAAUAAUAAAACCAGCCCAAGAAAAGUCAAAAGGGAGUGCGAUAAAUGAGAAGGCAGCUACGUCGAAAGGCAAAGUUACGAAACUGACCACAACUACUGGGAAAGGCAAGGGCAAAAGGCCCACUUCGGCUAGGAAGACCAUUACCAUGGACCCUAAUAUUCCAUCAUGGGCCAGGAGAUUUUGCAGAGCGGUGCAUGUCUUUCUGGAAGACACACACUCAACAGACCUUGGCGAAUCUGGUACCGCUGUUGUCCCUGAGGGAACUUCGAGCACUGAUGCCCAUACUCAGAGUACUACAUCGGGCACUAAGACCCAGAUAGAUGGAGCGACUGUUUAGACACUAUGCCUUCUUUACCUCCAUCUUUGUCUUUCUUUAUUUUACAUUUCAGAUUCUGUGUUAUUUGCAUUUGAGGGAAAAUUAGUUUUAUUUGUGGUGGGGUGAGGCCCACACCUUUUGUUUGCUAUUUGUUACUCGUGCUUUUAAGUAUAUAUUUGGGCUGUUCUGUUUAAAAUUGUGUUAAUACUGCUUUUCUGUGGAUGUUUCAGCUUGUGGCUCCUUUUAUUUUAAAAUGCAAAAUGAUUUUGACCCUUUCAAAAAAAUUGAAUUUUUCGCACAUUUUUGCCACCCUUUAUAUGCUAAUGUGUUGAAUGUGGUUGUUCCUUGGCAAAUUUGAGUCUCGGUUUCGAUCAAUACCGAUGACUUGAAUAGUUCUUACAAUCGAACGAACAUGAUUGUAAGACUACAAUGAGGCCAAAUGAAGUUGCAUAGACAAUAAGUGAACUCUUUGUAUCUCGUUGUGAUUAGCCAUUUAUCAAAUCAAUUCUCUUGUUAUGACUGUUGUACACUAGAAAAAGUGUGGAGUCUUGUUUGACUUAAGUAUUGAUGCCUUGUGUGAUAAGCUUACCUGGAACCAUUCAUGACAACACCUAUAAUUUGCCCUGUUGCUCCGGUUGACUAAGUAAGACCUUCGCUUGAUAUGAUUUUUUACAACUUCGAAGAGUGUGAACCAAUUUGACUUAUACCUCUUUUAUGACCUAUCUUGUGAGCGUGUCAUUCUCUCUUGAACACCCUUUGAGCCUUACCCUUCUUUGAAAGAAACUUGAUGAAAACUAGACCUUUCUUAAUCCAUUACCUAUAAUCCUCUUGAAUUGUGGUUAAUUGAAUAGCCAACUUAGGCCAAAAGCCUAAGUUGGUAGUAUAGUGAAAAAGAAAAGGGAAAGUCAAGAAGUGCAAGGAAAGUCUCCUUUAAACCAUGGUGUUGAGGAAAAUGGAACCCUUCCUUAUAUAUUAAAAAAAAAGUUGUAGAAUAAAGUACCAAAGAAAUAGGGUUCCGAACAAUCUAUGGGAAGCGAAUAAUAGGAUGACCUAUGAUGCACUAAUGAAAAUGAUGAAGGAAAAAGAAAGGAAGUGUUGAGAGCACCACAUUUCAUGAGGAUAAAAGUCACUGAGCCUAAAUGAUCAUACAUUUUCACUCAACCCCGUUACAAGCCUUGUUAAGACCUUUGUGAUCUUGAGAAAGUCGAAACAAAUGUUGAUUGGAAAAUAUGGGCAAACCUAUGGAUGAAAGCAUGCAUUGUGUUCAUAUUUGUGAGUGUGAGCGUUGUUUCUGAUUCCUGAACUUUAAAUUAAUUAUACCAUUGCAUGUGAAAAUGGAAUCAUCAUUUGUGUGAGGGCAUUCAAAGGCAUUUGUUGAGGUUGAACUUGCAUUUGAAGCAAGUAUUGCGAACUUGAGAAUCUUUGGUAAUGGUGUGUCACAACUUGAAUCUUUGAGUACACAAUUGACCCUUGCAUAAGUAAAUUGAGUCUUGUGUAGCACUUUUUGAGACAUCCUUGUUGAACUACUGAACGUGAGUUUUACUUAAGGACAAACAGAAGUUUAAAUUGGGGGUGUUGAUGAGUCCACAAAUUGGGCUCAUUUAGGGCUAUAUUUUAAUAGAAAUUGUAUCCUCAAAUGCUUAUUUUAUAUCAAUAUCUAAUGAAAAUCGUUAAGUUUCGGGUAUUUGAAGUGUGAAGGAAAGUAUGGACACUACGUCACGAAAAGGUUGAAAAGAACGAAGAAAUGAAGGCCUGAGGAUCGCCGAGUCCACUAGGCAUGUCGCCCAAUGACCUAGAGCACGACAAUGUUGAAGGCUGGUGCAAGACGACGAUGAACUACACCAAAGGGGGAAUCGCCGAGUUGAUCAGCGAUUCUGACUAAAGAUGCCGAAUGAUCCGCUACAGCACAAAUAUGUGAAAACUAUUAAUACUAGUUAGAUGUGUAGUUUGAAGUGUGGAACAAUUCUUAUAAUUUUCAUAUAGAAUAGUACUUUUUGAUAUUUUUGCUCUAAGUUUGGAAGGAUUUCGAAGACUUGGAGAUCCAAAGGGUUCCAUCUUCAAGAUUUGGAUUUGGUUCUCUUGGAUUCUUAAAUUUUGGCCUGUAUCAAGACUUAAAUAUUCAUACCCAGUUAAAUGUGAACUAAAUUUGGUAUAAAUUUCUAUCUCUUAUACAUGUGUGGCUAAAAACCCCAAUUCUUGGGGUGUGAUUUAGUAAAUAUGGGUUAAGAAAUUGUUGGGUCUUGCUUGGUGAUAGUUUAAUCGUAGUUUAAUUUUGAUUUCUUUUAGUAGUAGUGGAUGAAUUUAAUGAAUUUGUAGUAGCAAAUACAAGUUUAUUUAUGCGUUUUCGGCUUGCUCGAGAGAGAGGUCAUAAAUCUAAAACUACUAAAUUGAUGGCCGGUGGGAGUGGGUCGACAUGAGGUUCAGCUCGAUAGAGUGAAUCCUAGUCUCAUUCCCACAUACUCAGCUCCAGAGAGUGAGUUAAGGCGUAGGCUGGUCUUAAUGCGGCAAGUGGGUGUCCGAGAGGAACGCAUUUGAAAUGGGGUAAGUUGCUCGAGAGAGAGCUUAUCCCCCUUAAAGCAUAGCAUAGUCACAAUUAUUCUAUGAACCUUCUAUCGAAAGCAUGUACCCAAUAAGCUAGCUUAACCCGUAUUCCCGUCACAUCCCAAGGAGCCCCUUUCAUUACUUCGAAAUCCUUGUUUAUUUGGCUGUUUUUACUUGCUUGUGACAAAACCCCUCAUUGUUAAUUGACACUCUUGUGUCUCCCUUUGAUUUUCAUUGUUUUUAAUCGUUAAUGUCUUUAGCUAUGACUAGUUAGAGCUAAAUUUUUUAUUUUUCUAUUAAUUCUCAAAAACCACUUCCUUUGGGGAACCGAUCCCCAACCCUUGUUUGGGUUACUAAACUAUUGUACGAUCGUAGACACUUACAUCGGAAGUUGUCUCUUGAUUACGCAAAUAUCAAAGACCUAUGUGGGCACAUAGUUAUGGGAAAAGGAGAUUGCUACUAGAAACUCAGACUUGCUAAACGUAAAAGGUUUCCAUCUCAUGAGAUAUUGUACAAUGGGAGGCCGGAUUUGCUAAAAGUAAAAGCCCCCAUCUCACUUUCAUGUCCUCUCGGUGCUACGCAUUAUUCCCUUUAAUAAUCAUAAUUAGCCUUUACUUAAGUUCAUAUAAACAUUCAUUGGGCACUCAUGCUAACAUCUCAUCAUAAUAGCUCAUAGGUUCCUUAAGUGAGAAUGCUCCUUUCACUUUAGAAACACUAGCAUGUGAGUAAACCUUUCACAUUAUAAUCAUACUGUGAACAUGAGAAUGUCCUUUCAAUCAACACAACAAGAUUCUCAUAAACAUACAUACAUCAUGCACAACCAAGUGUAUAAGGUAUAGGGAUGAAAGUUCUUAUCAUCCACACCCUAACAACACAAUAGAUAGAGAAUCAUUAUUAUCUAAGCAAUUCACAAUCUCUUGCACGAUUCCCAUAAAGACGCAUAACCUUCAUACCUUUGCCUUUCAAGGGUCUUGGAAUCACAAUUAACCCAACUAUACACAAUUACUACAUAAUAUAGACGAAAUUUAUAAUUCAAUAGCUUAAUCAUCAUAAACAUAUUCAAUUGACAUACUCACAAUAUUCUCCAACCCACAAUAUCAAUUCAAUAUCUAACAGCAUGGGGAACACAUGGGUGUAUGGGAAAUUCUCAUUAUAAACCUCCAUUCUCCAUCAAUAUAUCCAUAAUUUGUCACAAACCACCAUAAACAACCGUAAUUAAGAAAUGAAAACGUUUUGGAAAGAAGACCCAUGUUAUAGAAUGAAAACCCUAGAAAUUGGGGGAUUUUGAUAUCUCGAAAACAUAUUUGAAGGGGAUCUUUGGGUGAUAGCUACCCAAGGAUGAAAAACAACCAUACCUUGUCUAAGGAACUCCAAGAGUUUUGGGGAAGAACCUUGAAACCCUAGCUCCAAUGUCUUCUUCUUCUUCUUGAGUCUAGAGAGAGGAUUUGUGAGAGAACAAUGAUGUUCUUGGGUUUCUUUUUAUAAUAAUUUGGAGUAACUAAAUUGAAGGAAAUUUGAUCUUAAAAGGUAUAUAUAUUUGUUAGGAAAGGAGUGGGAAAGUAUUGGUUCAAGUUUAGGAAAGAUUACUUAAAAGCCUUUACUUAAACUUCAAUUUUUCUGCUUGGCUCGCUUGAGCUCACCCUUUGGCACCCUUGGCUCGGCAAGUCACUUAGGCGACUCGCCUAAUGACCAUUAAGCUCGCCCAUAUUUCCAGUAAGUUCCCAAAGUGGGCAGCUCACUUAGGCUAUAUGGGGGGGGGGGGCUCUGUUGGGCGAAUCGCCAACCCAUUGGGCGACCCUCAACCUAUCUCGCCCAUUUGUCCAGUAGCAUAGGCUAAGAGGGACAACACACUAGGUGACCAAGUGCACUUGGGCGCAUCACCAAGUGACUUGGGCGACCAUGCUGCCAAUCGCCAACCUGUCCAAAGAGCAAACAAGAUUCUCCUUCACCUUUGCUUGAUAGUUUAGGUCCUUACCUUCAUCCAAGAUGUUUACCUUCCUCGUUUUAGCUUUAGUUAGGUCGCUAAACAUCUCCGGAAGGUACAUAAACACUCCCAUUAAACCUAACUCAACCUAGACACCAACUUAAAGUUAUACCAACCCACACGAUGAGUCUCUAGUUGAGCCUAUUGAUUUUUCUGGGUUGUUACAUUAUCCCCCCCUUAGGAACAUUCUUCCCCAAAUGACACUUUAAACGUAUUAAGGGGAUAAAGAAUUAAAACUAGCAGCCCAUAAUUCUAGACAUCACAAAAGGUACAAAUCAUAGGAGGAAACAUCAUAAGUUGAAUGCAACAACAAGAUUCAAGAACUACAUCCACCAUUUCAUGAUGCACCAAAAUUUCCAUUUUAUACAGGCAUGGGAGGAACUACCUUCUCCAACACAAGCAAGCUCAAUCACAACAAUAUUAAGCCAACAAGUCAUUUCAUCACAACAUAUCUAAAGAUGUUCAUCAACUCAUCUCAUGAAGUCACAUAUGUCAACAUCAUACAUAACACAAUUCAUCAUGGAAAACAUAUAAUUCAUGAAAGCUCAAUUUAUACUAAACAUGAAUUUUAUCUAGAACAUGCCUAUACAAGGAUAUCAUGCAAAACUAAAUCAUUACACAAGAUUCCCAAAAUACUAAGAACUUAAAUGGAAUUUCUUACUUCAAGUUUGGAUAGGAGUAGAAACAAAUAGAUGAGAGUAACGGGACUUCAUAUCGUCCUCGUCCUCCCAUGUAGCACCCUUAACUAGGUGGUUCCUUCAUAGAACCUUAACGGAAGCUACUUCUUUGUUCCUUAACUUCUUCACUUGCCGGUCCAAAAUCUCAACUGGGACCUCUUCAUAAGAAAGGUUCUCAUCAACUCCUAAAACCUCUAAAGAAAUGAUGGACACCGGAUCACCAAUGCAUUUCUUAAGCAUGGAAAUAUGAAACAUUGGGUGAACCGAGGCCAAUUCGUUUGGCAACUAUAAUUCAUAUGCCACUUUCCCGACACCUUUCCAGAUUUGGUACGGGCCCACAUAUCGGGGACUUAACUUCCCCUUUUGGCCAAACCUCAUAACACCUUUCAUAGGUAAAAUCUUCAAUAAGACCCAAUAACCAAUUUCAAACUCGAAUUCCCUCUUUCUAUUAUUGGCAUAAGAUUUUUGCCGACUAUGAGCCGUUUCCAACCUUUCCCUAAUAAGCUCAACUUUUUCAAUGGCAUCAUUUAUUAGUUCAGGGCCUAUUAGAGCAAACUCACCUACUUCAAACCAGCCCACCGGUGAUCUACACCUUCUACCAUAAAGUGCUUCAAAUGGAGCCAUGGUAAUGCUUGAGUGGUAACUAUUGUUGUAGGCAAAUUCUAUCAAAGGAAGAUGAUCGUCCCAACUACCCUUGAAAUCUAUCACACAUGCCCUCAACAUGUCCUCUAAGGUUUGAAUGGUGCAUUCCGCUUGACCAUCCAUUUGAUGGUGGAAUGCGGUAGUAAGCUUAACAUUGGUACCAAGCCCCUUUUGGAAUGCCUUCCAAAAAUGUGAAGUAAAUUGGGCACCCCGAUCUGAUAUGAUAGAUAAGGGAACCUCAUGCAACUUCACAAUUUCAUUGAUGUACAACUUGGCACAGUCUUCCGACGAAAACGAAGUCUUAACCGGAAUAAAGUGGGAUGAUUUUGACAACCUAUCAGCAAUGACCCAAAUAGAAUCAUAUUGCCUUCGAGUACGAGGCAACCCCACCACAAAGUCCAUACUAACAUCCUCCCACUUCCAAGUAGGAAUUUCUAUAUAUUGGGACAAACCUCUGGGUUUUUGGUGUUCAGCCUUGACUUGUUAACAAUUCGGACAUUUGGCUACAAAACCCACUAUAUCCUCUUUUAAGCCAUUCCACCAAUACACUUUCCAUAGAUCACAGUACAUCUUGGUGGCUCCCGAAUGAAUAGAAUACCGCGAACCAUGAGCCUCUUCUAAAACUUGCUCCCUUAGGACAUCAACAUCCGGAACACAUAACCUACCUUAGUACCUAAGUACCCCAUCUGCCCCUUGGGAGAAAUCCUCAACGGAUUUGCUGAGAACCGACUCUUUCAACUCCAUUAAUAUAGGAUCAAGGUGUUGCUUAGACUUCACAUCAACAAUCAAGGACAAUUCGUAGCCAUGAUGAACCAUGAAUCCACCCUUGGUGGAAUCCACUAGUUGGACACCCAACUGGGCCAACCUAUGCAUAUCAUGAACCAAUUCCUUCUUCUCAUAUUCUACAUGAGCCACACUACCCAUGGACAAACAACUUAGGGUAUCCACAAUCACAUUAGCCUUGCCGGGGUGGUAAAGGACACUCAUAUCAUAAUCCUUCAAAAGUUCUAACCACCUUCUUUGUCAGAGAUUCAAGUCUUUUUGGCUAAACACAUAUUGAAGACUCUUGUGGUCGGUAAACACCUCUACAUACACCCCAUAGAGAUAGCAUCUCCAUAUUUUCAAGGCAAAAACCACUACCGCUAGUUCGAGAUCAUGUGUCGGGUAAUUCUUUUCACGCGUCUUAAGUUGCCUUGAAGCAUAGGCAAUUACUUUACCGUGUUGCAUGAGAACACACCCCAACCGUAUCCUCGAAGCAUCACAAUAUACAUUGAAUUCGUCGGUACUUUUUGGUAAGGUCAAUACCGGAGCGAAGGUGAGUCUAUCCUUCAACUCUUGGAAACUCUAUUCACAGGCCUCCGUCCACUCAAAUUUGGACUUCUUUUGGGUCAAGGCUGUUAAUUGAGAAGCAAUAGAUGAGAAGCCCUCUACAAAUCUUCUAUAAUACCCGACCAAUCCCAAUAAAUAUCGAAUAUCGGUGGGACUUAGGGGUCUAGGCCAACUUUUCACCGCAUCCAUUUUCUUCGGAUCAACCUCUAUACCCAGAGUUCACACAAUGUGACCCAAGAGAGCAACCGACUUUAGCCAAAACUUGCACUUGCUAAAUUUAGCAUAAGGUUGCUAGUCCUUGAGGACUUGCAACACUAACCUCAAAUGCUUCAUACGAUCACCCUCACUCCUUGAAUGGAUCAAAAUAUCGUCAAUAAAGACAAUUAAAAAGAAAUCAAGAUAUUGCCUAAAUACCGUACUAAUAAGAUCCAUGAACGCCUCCGGGGCAUUUGUUAGACCAAAAGACAUAACUAAGAAUUCAUAGUGACCAUAUCUUGUACGGAAGGCCGUUUUAGGAAUGUCAACCCGACUCACCUUAAGUUAGUGAUAACCCAACCUUAAGUCAAUCUUCGAAAAGUAACUCGCCCCAUAGAGUUGGUCAAAAAAAUCUUCAAUUCUAGGGAGUGGGUACUUAUUCUUUAUAGUGACUUUGUUCAAUUGGCGAUAAUUUAUACACAUCCGAAGUGAACCAUCUUUCUUUUUCACAAACAAUACUGGGGCACCCCAUGGAGAUAUGCUUGGUUGUAUAAAACCCUUAUCUAGCGAAUCCUUGAGUUGUUCCUUCAAUUCCUUCAAUUCGGCUGGAGUCAUCCGGUAAGGAGGAAUUGAUAUGGGUUGUGUAAUGCCGAAGUCUAUUUCCCGUUCGGGAGGGAUUUCGGGUAAGUCAUCGAGAAAUAUUUCUGGAAGUUCCCUUACUACGGGGACCGACUAUAAAGGAGGAGUCUCAGACUCAAUGUCUUUGACCCUCAUAAUGUGAUAGAUACACCCCUUAUAAAUCAUUCUUUUUGCUUUCAAAUAUGAGGCAAAACGACCUCUAGGAAUAGAGUUUCCCCCCUUCCAUUCUAACACGGGUUCAUUUGGAAAUUGAAACUUUACUACCCGAGUUCUACAAUCAAUGGAAGCAAAAAAGGCAUGCAACCAAUCCAUCCCCAAUAUGACAUCAAAGUCCAAUAUAUCUAAUUCUACUAAAUCAUCCAAAGUGACUAUAUUAGACAAGAAAAUAGGACAAUCCUUAUAAACCUUUCUACCAACAACCGAGUAUCCUAUGGGAGUAGAAACCGAAAAAGGUUCCUCUAAAUUUAUGGGGAGUACAUCAAAUUUCAUAGCCACUAAAGGGGUAACAAAAGAUAAAGUGGCACCGGGGUCUAACAAUGCAUAAACAUUAAUGGAAAAUACUUGUAACAUACCGGUGACAACAUCCGGAGAAUCCUCUAGAUCACUUCUAGAUUGGAGAGAAUAGAAGCAAUUUUUCUUGGGAGCAUCGGAGUUGGAGCCACUAGGAGGGACUUGCUUGCCCUCUCUCCCUUGAACUUUAGCAUAGGACAAUCCCUCUUCAUGUGCCCACUUUUUCCACAAUUAAAACACUCAUUCGUGCCCACAAGACAAUUGCUCCUAUGCUUUUUGCCACACUUUGCACAAUUAGGUUUAUCAACGUAAGAACCACCUCCACUACCACCUUGUGGCUUUGGAGUAGGCACCCUCUCAUUGUUGAACUUCGGAGUGCUAGAAGUGCCUUGGUUAGAAAACCUCUUCUUAAAUCUUGGUGUGCCUUGAACCUCAAAUCUACCCUUAGACGAAUUACCAUCAUCAACUCUUGCCCUUUUCACUUCUCUACCCACUUCCUUGAGCUUUUGUUUCUUAAUUUUCUUGGCAUGAACCAUAAGACGUGAGAUGUUCAUGGUUGGAAUAAGCAUCGCCGACCUACAUUCAUUCACCACAAGAUCAGAUAUCUCAAUAACAAAUUUGUUCAUUUUAGCCCUAGAGUCGGCCACCAAGGUUGGGGCAUAUUUAGACAAUUGUGUGAACUUGAGGCUAUAUUCCUUCACAGUCAUACCUCCUUGGCGGACGUUGAUGGAUUAUUGCAUCUUCCUCUCCCUUAGCUCUAAGGGGAAAAACCUAUCAAGGAAGGCCGACUUGAACACUCCCCAAUCAAUCGGGCCUGCUCUACUGAAUCUCUUUUCCUUCUAUUGCUCAUGCCACACUUGAGUUAGUAGGCGACUAGUUCCGCCUUCUCUCUUGGAGACACUCCCAUUGCUUCAAGAACCUUAAACACCUCCUAAAUAAACCUUUGAGCAUCUUCAUCCAUUUUGGAGCCAUAGAAUGUAGGGGUAUUCAUUCUUGUGAAAUCCUUUAUCCUAGAAGCGGUAAUACUUGCAUUGGGGUUCACUUGACCCAUAGCAUCUCUAGUGACUUGAGCCGUAAGAGAAUAAUUAAGGUUUAGAGAGCCGCCCUUAUCUCCACAUUGGUAAUGGCCCCCUCCUUAUUAGGAGCUUGAGGAACUUGAGCCCCUUGAGGACCUUGGGGAGGAACUCCCUCAUCAUUAGCAACCUUCUCUCCCACUCUUCUUGCGGCCACUUUUCUUGUAUUCAUAUUCCUAUAUGAACAAGAAAAGGGUUAGGAAAAGGACUUCAUAGAGUAAAAACUCCAAGGCAAGACUAAUGACUAAUCAAAGAAGUGAAAAGUUCCUAAGCAUCUUAUAGCCUCUCAUUCUUAAGUAUGGCUCACUUCACACUUAUGAAUAAGAUUCUACUAGACGUGGUUCAUGAGACAUCAGCCUAGAAUCAUUCUAUAACCUUAUGCUCUAAUACCAACUUUGUCAACAACCGAGCUACCCCUUAGAAGUAACACGGUGUAAUUGACCCCGAAGGGGGUCGCAUACAAGCCCUUAGCAUUCAUCAUCACAUAACAACAUAGAAAUAUACAGAAAAAUUAAAACUUUUACAAUAAAAGUCAACUUCUUUCAUAUAAGGAAAAUAGGAAACUAAACUUUUCUCAAUAACCAUCUAGACAUAAGAGUACAAAUAGGGUCUAAGCCCUUACAUCAAUAAAGUUCCCAACAAUGGGAAAUACAAUAGUCUAGAAUAUAGAAGGUAACCUAGAAACUACAAUCAAUAGCAACUUGUCCUCGAACUUGAGGACUCACCAAGCCGGGGGGAAUAGUCGACCCAAGCUUCACCUUGAAGAAAGUGGUAAGUAUCAACGACCGGAACCUACACUUAUAGUAAAGUAGAAAAUAUGGCUUAGCAUAAUUAAUUGUACUAAGUAUGGAUGCCAUGCAUAAAAUCCUUAAAACAUGCAUAAAAGGGACAUUUAGUUGAAAUCAUGCUUUUAUCAAGUUUUAAAACCAAUAUGCACAUUCAUGAAGAAACAUAACCCAACCCAAGCAUAUAAUCAACUCAAAGCAGCACUAGUGCAAUGCAAAGGUAAGAUCCCAUAACCCUACCAAAUGCCAAGUAUCACCUUUAGGCCACCAACAACAUACAUAUUUCAUCUUACCAUAGUCAUAACCAACAAACAUAAAAGUGAAGACAUUCAUAUUUAUUACAUUCAUGCAUACCAUUUCAUACAUAGUUCAUAAGUCAUCAUAAUCAUAAGAGAACCUUACCAAAAUCCCUCUUAGAGUCUAAUUGUGCAAUGUACAAGUGAAAUUCCGUACCCCUAACUCACACUUAGCAGUACCCCUUAAGAAGUCCUAGUUAAAUUUGAUGUCCUUACCAUAGUUCAAUCAUUAACCUUUAAGGAAAGAUUGCAUUAACUGACAUAGACCAUGUGAGCUACAUGGAAUCCGGUGUUCUACCCCCACACUGAACAGAGGUGUUCUACUUGCCUAAGGUAUAACGUACAUUCUAGCUAUUUAGAUGGAUCCACUAGCUAAAACCUAUGUGGGCACAUAGUUAUAGGACAAGGAGAUUGCUACUAGAAACCCAGACUUGCUAAAAGUAAAAGGUUUCCAUCUCAUAAGAUAUCGUACAAUGGGAAGCCAGACUUGCUAAACGUAAAAGCCCCCAUCUCAGUUUCAUGUCCUCUCGGUGCUACGCAUUAUUCCCUUUAAUAGUCAUAAUUAGCCUUUAAUUAAGUUAAUAUCAACAUUCAUUAGGCACUCAUGCCAACAUCUCAUCAUGAUAGCUCAUAGGUUUCUUAAGUGAGAAUUCUCCUUUCACUUUAGAAACACUAGCAUGUGAGAAAACCUUUCACAUUAAAAUCGUACUGUGAUCAUGAGAAUGUCAUUUCCAUCAACACAACAAGCUUCUCAUAAACAUACAUCAUGCACAACCAACUGCAUAGGGUAUAGGGAUGAAAGAUCUUAUCAUCAACACCCCAACAACACAAUAGAUAUAGAAUCAUUACAAUCUAAGCAAUUCACAAUCUCAUGCACUAUUCCCAUAAAGAGGCAUAAACUUCAUACCUUUUCCUUCCAAGGGUCUUGGAAUCACAAUUAACCCAACUAUACACAAUUACUACAUAAUAUAGAAGGAAUACAUGAUUAAAUAGCUUAGUCAUCAUAAACAUAUUCAAUUGACAUAUUCACAAUAUUCUCCAACCCACAAUAUCAAUUUAAGAUCUAACAACAUGGGGAACACAUGGGUCUAUGGGGAAUUCUCAUUAUAAACCUCAAUUCUCCAUCAAUAUAUCCAUAAUUCAUCACAAACAACCGUAAUUAAGCAAUGAAAACGUUUUGGAAAGAAGACCCAUGUUAUAGAAUGAAAACCCUAGAAAUUGAGGGAAUUUGAUAUCUUGAAAACAUAUUUGAAGGGGCUCCUUGGGUGAUAAUUACCCAAGGAUGAAAAGUAACCUUACCUUGUCUAAGGAACUCCAAGAGUUUUGGGGAAUAACCUCGAAACCGUAUCUCCAAUGUCUUCUUCUUCUUGAGUCUAGUAAGAGGAUUUUUGAGAGAAGGAUGAUGUUCUUGGGUUUCUUUUUUUAUUAAUUGGGAGUAACUAAAUUGAAGGAUAUUUGACCUUAAAAAGUAUAUAUAUAUUUGUUAGGAAAGGAGUGGGAAAGUAUUGAUUCAAGUUUAGGAAAGUUUACUUAAAAGCCCUUUACUUAAACUUCAUUUUUUAUGCUUGGCUCGCCAACUCACUUAAGCGACUUGCCUAAUGACCCGUAAGCUUGCCCAUAUUUCCAGUAAGUUCCCAAAGUGGGCAGCUCACUUAGGUUAGGGGGGGGGGGGGUCUGUAGGGUGAAUCACCAACCCAUUGGGUGACCCUUAAUCCUUCUCGCCCAUUUGUCCAGUAGCAUAGGCUAGGAAGGACAGCACACUAGGCGACCAAGUGCACUUUGGCGCAUCGCCAAGUUACUUGGGCGACCAUGCUGCCAAUCACCAACCUGUCCAAUGAGUAAAGAAGUUCUUCUUCACCCUUCCUUGAUAGUUUAGGUCCUUACCUUUUUCCUAGAUGGUUACCUUCCUCAUUUUAGCUUUAGUUAGGUCUUUAAACAUCUUCGGGAGUUUCAUAAAUAGGCCCGUUAAUCCUAACUCAACCUAGACACCAACUUAAAGUUAUACCAACCCACAUAAUGAGGCUCUAGUUUAGCCUAUUGAUUUUUCCGGGUUAUUACAUAGGUUCCUAGAUGAUUGUGAAGUGAAGCUUUGGUGAGUCCUCAUUGUAUUCGAGGAAUGCACACCCUUUCUCUUUUAUGUCUAUCUUUUAUUUUGAGAAUAUUGUAUUGGCUACAUCCAAAGAUUUAUAUUCUCUUAUGUGUAGAUGGUCUGAGACAAUGUCAUGUUAGACUUCCGCUUGCUUUUUUAAAAGACUUUGAUUAUAUUGAAAAGUUUUAAUUCCCGCUUAUUUCUACUACUUUAUGUGAUGAUAUGAUAAGUGACUUGUAUGAGGCCUCUCACGGUCUUGUACGCCUUCUUUCAUCUAGGGGUACCCCUUGGUCGUUACAAUCACGAAAUCUAUAUGCAAGUCAUACUCAAAUGAACAUAAACAUGUAGAAAUCAAUCAAGUUGACUCAUUUUCUCAAAAAUUAAGCUUUUUCAUGAACAUGCAUAAAUGAGGAAAUAAUAGGAAUAUCCAAGACACAUGACACCAAAAGUGUACGCCAUGAGAAAUGCUUUACCUCAAGCUAUAGUUGGGGUAGAAGGAAAGAGAUGAGGAUAUCGGGACAUCAUAUCGGCCUUGGCCUCCCAAGUAGCACCCUAAACUAAAUGAUUCCUCCAAAGAACCUUUAGGUAAGUAAAUACUUUUUUCUUAACUUCUUAAGUUUCUGGUCUAAAAUCUCAACCGGAACUUCCUAAUAAGAAAGAUUUUCCCGUACUCCCAAACCAUUUAUAGGGGUUGUUGUUGCCGUAUCACUAACACAUUUCUUCAACAUAGAGACAUGGAAAAUUGGGUGCACCGAUGCCUAUUCAUUAAGCAACUCAAGAUCAUAAGAAACCUUACCAAUACUCCUCGAAAUCUGAUAUGGGCCUACAUAACGGGACAAAGCCUCCGUUUUUUACCAAACCUCAUUACACCUUUCAUGGGUGAAAUUUUCAAAUUGACCCAAGCCUCCGUUUCUUCUAACAUUGGCAUAUGACUUUUGUCGACUUUGAGUCAUUUUCAACCUUUCUCUAAUAAGUCAAACAUUAUCCAUAGCCUCAUGUACCAACUCGGGACCUUUUAGGGAAACUUCACCAACCUCAAAAAAACCUAUAGGAGAUCUACACCUCCUACCAUACAAUGCCUAAAAUGGAGCCAUGCUAAUACUUGAGUGAUAACUAUUGUUAUAUGCAAACAUAUUCAAAGGCAACUGAUCAUCCUAAUUACCCUUGAAAUCAUUCACACAAGGUCUCAACAUAUCCUCCAAGGUUUGGAUAGUACACUCCGCUUGCGCAUCGGUUUGUUGAUGAAAGGUUGUACAAAUCUUGACACGAGUACCAAGACCCUUUUGAAAAGAUCUCCAAAACGGAGAAGUUAAUUGGGUACCAUGAUCAGAAAUGAUGGACAAAGGCACUCCAUGCAACCUUACCAUUUCUCUCAAGUAUAAUCCAGCAUAGUCCUUCACCGAAUAAGAUACCUUGAUGGGAAUAAAAUGAGUUAAUUUCGUCAUUCAGUCUACUAUAACUCAAAUUAAGUCGUGUUGUUGUUGUAGCGAGGCAAACCAACAAUAGAGUCCAUAUCUAUAUCUUCCCACUUCCUAGUAGGAAUGCUAAUGUCUUGGAAUAAACCUCCCAAUUUCUGAUGCUCAACUUUCACUUGUUGACAUUUUGGACAUUUAGCCACAAACUCCGUAAUAUCCUUCUUCAUCCCAUUCCAUCAAUAGAUCUCCCGUAAAUCAUGGUACAUCUUAGUGUCUCCACGGUCAAUUUAAUAGCGAGAACUAUCGGCUUCUGACAAGAUAUGUACCCUCAUGUCAUCUAUAUUAGGAAUACACAAAUGACCUUGAUAUAUAAGCACACCAUCUCCCCGUUGGGAGAAAGCCUCUACAGACUUUUUACGUACCGGUACCUUCAAUUCAACCUAUGUUGGAUCAAGAUAUUGCUUCAUUUUCACAUUCUCCACAGAAGAAGAUCUUGAGCAUUUGUAAACCAUAACACCACCGUUAGUAGAGUCCACUAACUGAACUCCCAACCGGGCUAAUCUAUUAACAUCUCAAACCAACUCCUUCUUAUCUUCUUGAUAUGAGUAACACUACCCAUAGAUAACCGACUUAGAUCAUCCACCACCACAUUUGCUUUACUGGGGUGAUAGAGAACACUCAUAUCAUAAUCCUUCAAUAACUCAAGCCACCUUCUUUGGCAAAGAUUUAAAUCUUUUUGAUUAAAAACAUAUUGUAAACUGUUAUUGUCGGUAAAAACAUCCACAUGAACACCAUACAAAUAAAGUCUCCAAAUAUUUAAGGAAAAACCAACCACCACUAGUUCACGGUCGUGGGUAGGAUAAAUAUUUUCAUGAACCUUAAGUUGCAUAGGAAAUAGCUAUCCCAUUUUGCAUAAGUACACAUCCUAUCCCAAUUCUCGAGGCAUCACAAUUAACAACAAAACCAUCAGUCCCUUAAGGUAAGGUCAACAGUGGAGUGGAAGUAAGUCUAUCCUUCAACUCUUGGAAGCUCUUUUCACAUGUUUCAUACCAUAUGAACUUAACCUUUUUUUAAGUCAAUGUUGUCAAUGGAGAGGGAAUCGAAGAAAACCCCUCAAUAAACCUUCUCUAGUAACUAGAAAAACCCAAGGAACUAAUAUCCGAAGGGGAUAGAGGUUAAGAUCAACUCUUGACCACAUCCGUCUUCUUAGGAUCUACCUCAAUACCCUUAUUUGAAAAAAUGUGACCAAGAAACGCUAUUGACCUUAGCCAAACCUCACAUUUGCUAAACUUUGCAAAGAGUUGUUGGUCCUUGAGAAUUCGCAACACAGUCCUCAAAUGAUUGAUCUGAUCAUCCACACUUCUAGAAUAAAUCAAUAUAUCAUCAAUGAACACAAUCACAAACAUGUCAAGGUAUUGCCUAAACACCAUAUUAAUCAAAUUCAUAAAUGCCGCAAGAGUAUUAGUCAAGCCAAACGACAUUACCAAAAACUUAUAACGACCAUACCGAGUUUGAAAAGCCGUUUUGGAAUGUCAUCUUAUUUUACCCUGAAUUGGUGUUAACCCGCUGAAGGUCAAUCUUACAGAAGUAACUCGCUCGUCGAAGUUGGUCAUACAAAUCUUCUAUCCUUUCAAGAGGAUACUCAUUCUUAACGGUAACAUUAUUCAACCGACAAUAGUCUAUACACAUACGAAGAGAACCAUCCUUAUUUCUAACAAACAAAACUGGAGCACCUCAUGGAGAGAUACUUAGUUAGAUGAAACCCUAAUCCAACAAAUCUUUCAGUUAUUCUUUCAACUCCCUUAAAUCUGCCGGAGCCAUUCGAUGAGGAGUAAUAGAAAUAGGUUGCGUAUUCGGGAGCAAUUCAGUACCGAAGUCUAUUUCCCUUUAGAGAGGAAUACUUGGUAGAUCAUCUGACAAAAUUUCUGGAAACUCGUUAACUACAAGGAUUGACUCAAGGGUAGGUGCUCCCGAAUCCAUAUCCUCACCCUAACUAGAUGGUAAAAGCAACCCUUAGAAAUCAUUUGUCUAGCUUUAAGACGAGAGAUAAACUGACCCUUAAGCAUAGAAUUUCCCCCUUUCCAAUCUAGGACAGGCUCAUUCGGGAAUUGAAACUUAACUACACGAGUUCUAUAGUCUAUAAAAGCAUAAAAAGAAUGUAACAUAUUCAUAUCAAGAAUAACAUUAAAAUAUAACAUAUCAAGCUCUACCAAGUCCACAAAAUUAACUCUAUAAGACACGGAGAUGGGACACUUUUUAUAGACACUCUUACCCAUAAUAGAAUCACAAAUAGGAGUAGAGACAUAAAAGGGAUCUAACAGCACAUCCGAAAGAAUAUCUAACCUCUUAGCCAUAUAUGGCAUCACAAAAAAACAAGGUGGCACCAGGAUCAAGUAAAGCGUAAACAUGUAGUUGGAAAAUAUUCAACAUAUCGGUAUACUUGCAUCGGGAGAACCCUGUUGGCCACCACAAGUCUUAAGUGCAUAGAUUAUUUUAUGCUUGGGAGCAUUGUAACCCCAACCACUUGGACUGGAUGAAUGAUUAGGUUGAGCCUUUCAGUGAUUAUUUCCUUCAUUCUUAGCCACAAAAGGAAAAUCUCUUAUCUUGUGGUCCAUCUUACCACAACCAAAACAAGCAUUGGAACUUGCUAGACAUUUACCCUCAUGCUUCCUUCCAUACGUAACAAAAGUAGGCAAUAAGCAAACACUUCCAUUUCUCCUUCAGGCUAUUCAAUAGACACCUUAUCUUUGUUGAACCUAGAAGGAGCAUUGGAGGAAGCUUGACCAGAAAACCUUUGUGGAAAUAUAGUUCAACCAUAUCCAUCGGACCUUGUAUAAGAGAAAUUAGCAUUAACGAUUUUAGCCCUCUUUAUCUCCCUAGACUUUUCUUUAAGUUUCUUCUUUUUGAUCUAUUGAGCAUAAACCAUGAGACGUGAAAUUUCCAUGUCAUUAACAAGCUUGGCAAUAUGACAUUCUUUAACCACUAUUUUUGACACACCCAAAACGAACUUACUAAUGUUUACCCUAGGAUCCUCAACCAUUGUGGGAGUAUAUCGAGACAGUUGUGUGAAAUUCAAAGCAUAAUCUUUCACACUAAUGUUUCCUUGAUGAAUGUUGUUGAAUUGAAGAAUCUUUGCCUCUCUCAUCUCAAGGGGAAAGAACCUACCAAGGAAAGCAACUUGGAAAUUUUCCCAAUCAAGAGGACCUGCAUAUUUCGGUUUCCAUUCUUUCCAUUGGUUAAACUAAAUAUUAGCAACACCCUUAAGUUGGUAAGCGGCUAACUCUACCUUUUGCACUGGCAUCACUCUCAUGAUUAGCAACACCUUGUAAGCUUCAUCAAUGAACUCUUGAGGAUCUUCCUCAACCCUAGAACCAUGAAACUGAUCUAGAGGAUUCAUUCUAGUGAAGUCCCUUACUAUAGAUGCCGUCAUGCUCACAUUUGGGUUCAUAGGAACCAAAACCUCUCUAUUUUCUUGAGCAGUCACAACUUCGGCCAACACUUGAAAAGUAACCCUAAACUCUACAUUAGAUAUUUUCUUGGCCAAAGGAUCAACUGGAACAUGAGGAGAUUGAGGAGGAGCUUCUUGUUCCGCAUUCUCCCUCACAUUCCUUCUAGCAUAAGCUCUUCGAGUAGCCAUAUCAUAUAGAGCAUCAGAUACGGAUUAGGAGAGAGUCCUUAUCGAUUUAAUCUCUAUCGCACGACUUUUGAGUAAUGAAGAAGUGGAGUUUCUUAAACAUCUUGUAGCUUCCCAUUCAUAAAUGUAGAAUGCUUCAAACUCAUGAACAACACUUUACUCAACGUGGCUUAUGAGACAUCCUAGGACUUUUCUAAACCUUAUGCUCUGAUUACCAAGUUUGUCACGACCCAAGGUACUCCCUAGGCAUAACCUGGCAUAUAGGACCCCGAGAGGCCCCUUACAACCCACUUAGUAUUCAUAACAUAACAAAUAUAACAAAAAUGAUAAAGAAGAAUAGAUCAAGUCCCAAAAGUUUUAUAAAUUCAAAGAGGAAGUCUAAACACUUUUCACAUUAGCCAUUCAGUACAUAAGAAUGAAAUUGGGGCUAGGCAAUACAUCAUGUCAAAAACAGAUGGUACAAAAGAAAACCUAAAAUAAUGAAUAUCCGUCCUCAAAACUUGAGGACUCACCAAAGCUUGAAAUCUCUCAAAUCAACCGCUAUCCAUGAAUCUGAGAACCCUGACUAUCUGACCCUACAUUUUGGGGAAAUGCAGGCAAGAGUAUGCGUUAGUACAAACAUGUACCAAGUACGAUAGCCAUUCAUAUAAACAUUUAAAUCAUGCUAAAAGAGGACAUUUUCAUAAACAUGCAAUGAUCAAGAUAAAAUAUUAAAUUUGAGAGUUAGGAAGCAUAAGCCACAAGACAUGAUCAAUGCAAGUGAAUAUCAACUUAAAACAUACUUAAGAUACUUCUUGAAGUAACCUUGGUUCAUCAUAAAUUUACUUGUUUGUGGUAAGUGGCCUUAACCGACAUAUAAGACCAUGAGAGCUAUCAUCAUGAAAUCCAGUGUCUGUGCCACACCGAAAAGGAGUUUUCCUACUUGCCAUAGUAAGUACUGUGAACUUUUAGCUUACGUGGAUCCACUAGAUAAUGUCUAUCUAGACAAUACUUUGUUGGCACAUACUUAUGGGACAUGGGUAAUCGCCACUUAUCCACUCAGUACUAAGCUUAACUUCCACGAAAUAGUUCUUAAUGCUAUCCAUCUUAGGUCAUGAAGGAACAUGGGUAAACGCGUCUUGUCCUUACAUCAUAUGAGAUGGGUAAUAGCCUCUUGUCUUUUACUUAGAGAACAUGGGUAAUCGCCUCUUGCUUCAACAUUAGCAUAACUUCUUGCUUAUUGGUUCAUUUUAGGUGAGAAGACCUUUCAACCCUCUGAACUCUUAUUAUGUGAGAAAUCCUUUCACAAAUCAUUCUUUCAUGUGUGUAUGAGAAAUCAUUUCAACAACACAACAACAACAUUAUUGAUACUUCACUCUCAAAGCAUCCUUAAAAUAUUUACUUCAAUUUCAUAAGAACAUGCAUAAUUCCAUAAUUCACCUUUCAAGGUUCAAAACUUUCUUGUAAUCCUCAAUGUCUAGAAAACAUUAGUUAGACAUGGGUUCAUAUAAAUUCAUCAUAAAUUCAUAUAAUUAUGUAAUUUCAUGCUUGAUUUCAUAAAACUCUUCUUUCAUAAUAUAAGACACACAUUAUAUGUUCAUAGCUUGGAAAACAUGAAAAUUACAUGGGUUCAUGGGGGAUCAUUAUAAAAACAUGUGAUUACUCAAUUCAUGCAAAAAGAUCAUAAAUCCAUCAACUAAAUCAAUAAUCAAGAGAACCCAUCACAUAGAAGAAAAUCCUAACUCAAUUGGGGAAUUCUACGUUUGAAAAAUAGGAGAAUUUGGGAACUCCAUGAAUGGAAAGAAUCAAUUAACUAAAACUACCAUACCCGAAUGCCAAACGCUUGCCUUCAAUUGUGGAAUUGGAAACUUGCCUUGAAACCCUAUGUUGAACUCUUCUACUUCUAGAAAGAUAGGAAAAUAUUUUGGGAGACAAAACUUUUUCUUCUUUUGUAAAUUUAAGAGAAUGACUUGAAUGGGUAAGAUUUGGGGUAAAAAUAACUUAUAUAAAGGUUUUAGGUAAUGGCAAAACAAUAUAGUAUCAAGAUAAAAUAAUUAGGAAAAGACCCAACUGCCGUUGUUUUACCGCUUACGUGAACCUCUAUAUGGAGGCCCACAUGAGCCGUCAAGCACAUCACAGGCCGUAGUGGCAGUCGUUGUCCUUGAAAAGUGGCUUGGGAAGGCUCUAAGGUGCCUUACCCCAAAAUACGACCACCAUCAUGAAUUGUUUAGCUCUUCAACAACCAUUCGGGUCAUCGUGAGAGGAUCUUGCGUUGGUGAGCAUCCUUCCUACUCCUUCACGGGCACCACCACGAGCCGUGGUGCUUAUUCACGAGGCGUGUAUGGGCUCAUGGGAGGACAACCCAUCUUGGACAACACCUUGAAGGCUCUAUGAGCACCACCACUCGUGGUGGUGCCCUUCACGGCCUAUGACGGGCUCCAUGAAGGGUGCGUUAGCUUAGUGAAGGACUGGUGACCUCCAACUUGACUCCAUUCCUAGACUCCUUGAUUUUGGGGUAUUACACUUAUAAACUUAUUUAUCCUAAUGAUUUGGCAUUAGUGUAUCUAGUUUUCCAUGUCUCCUUGUUGAAGAAAUGUGUUGGAGAUUCUACAUUUAUAGUUCCCUUAGAAUGUUUGGGAGUCAAGAAGGAUCUUUCCUAUGAUGAAGUUUCGGUGGAGAUCUUGGACGGGCAAGUUAAAAGAUUGAGAAACAAAGAAGUUGUGUCCUUGAAGGUUCUAUGGAGGAAUCAGUUAGUUAUGGGUGCUACUAAUGAAGCGAGGUUGAUAUGACAUCCUAUUAUCCUCAUCUCUUUCCUUUUGUUUUUAGUCUAGGUUGAGGUAUUUACCUCCUCAUUGUUUACUCCUUUGGUAUCAUGUGUCUUAGAUAUUCCCAUGAUUUCCUCAAUUAUGCAUGUUCAUGAAAAGCUUCAAUUUUCAGAAAAUGAGUUAACUUAAUUGAUUUCUUGAUGUUUAUGUGCAUUGGAGUACGAGUUGCAUAUAGAACUCAUGGAAUGAUGUUUUGGACAUGCUUUAGCUUUGAGUUCGUGGUUCCUCCUCGGAUAUGUGCAUUAUAUGAUUGCAUUGAUGUUGUGUUGUUAUAUCUAGUUCCUACACUCAUUAUGAUGUCUUGAAUCUAUUCAAGGACGAUUGUUCCCAAUGGGGAGAUAAUAUGACAUCUUGAAUUUGAAAUGAUGUUAAAAAAAUUGCAGGUGUCCUGGAAUUAGUGUGUUACGGCCCAGGAGUACCCCCUAGACGUAACAUGUCGUACAAGACUACGAAAAGCCUCAUACAAGCCCUUAGCAUAUCAUGAACACAAGAUAAUAGAAAAGUACGGAAAAAUUUAAAACUUUUUACAAUCAAAGUAAAUUUCAUAAAAGCUAUAGGAAGUGUUUCUAUACUUUGUCUCAAACCACCUAAUACAAAUUUAGAAUAAACUCUUGGGACACAACCCAUACAAUAGUCUAAAAAAAACAUGAAAUAAAGACAUAAAGGAAAUUCUGGGUUUUGUCCCCAAAGCUAUGAGGACUCACCAAAUCUUCAGCUCCUUUGCUCCUUAAAAACCUAUCCCCGAGUAUAGAACUCAAGUCUCCAAACCCUACAUUUUAUUAGAAUGUAGGCAAAGUAUGCAUUAGUACAAAAUGUGCUAAAUAUGUUAGCUAGCAUAAUCAUAAGAGUAUAAGACAAGGGUUAGUCAAUAUAAGACAUAAUCCAAAAUCAUAUGAAAUACUUCAUGAAACAUAAACUAUAAGCAUAAGACACAAUAUCAUAAUAAUAAGCAAAGUCUCAAACAUACCAGCAUAUACGCAUUAUUCAACUCUUUAGUUAUCUAUACCAUAAUAGAACCAUUCUCAAGUAACCUCCAAAGCAAACUUGUGCAAUGCCUAAAUAGCAUCCCAUAAUACCAUCCAAGCUAAUUAUACAUUUUUGGUCAUCUUAAUCAUGGUCUACAUACAUGGUCAAGUCUUUAAGCUUUUCUACCAUAACGGCACCAUACUCCUAAGUAACCUCAAAACACACUUAUGCAAUGCAUGAAAGGCAUCCCAUACUACCCUUCACACUAAGCAUAACCUUGAAGUCAACAUAGUCAUACUUACCGUCCCUUUGCCUCAUUAGUUGUUUACUUCUCAUAACUAAGGGAAUCUCUCACCUUUAUUCACUACUAACAAGGAAGACAACUAUAGCACAAUCCUAUCUCAAGAUACAUCACUCACAAGAACUUUUUGUUGAAUACCCUGAAGUUAUACUCGUGCAAUGCAUGAGUAGCAUCCCAUAAUACUAUUCAUGCUACGUAUCACUUUUAGGUCCUCAUACUAAUACUUCUUGGUUUAGAACCUAGUUCCACUCUUUAUACCUUAGAACAAUAUGAGGUACUUCCUUAAGCACAUCAUAGUUCAUCACUCUUGAAACCUUGGAACACUAUGAGGUACUUCCUUAAGCACAUUUUAGUUCAUUAUAAGGUUUAACCGUAUGAGAUACUUACUUAAGCAUGUCUAAAUCCAUUUAUACUAUUAACAAUAUGAGAUACUCCUUUAAGUAUGUCUUAGUUCAUUAUUAUGAUGGACCCUAUGAGAUACUACCUUAAUAAUGUCUAAGUCCAUUAUGCUCUUGAACACUAUAAGAUACUUCUUCAAGAAUGUCUUAGUUCAUUAAUGCUUUUGAACACUAUGAGAUGCUUCUUCAAGCAUGUCUUAGCUCAUUGGAUAUGGAGAUUGCUAAUACAAACCGUAACUCAACUAUGUGAUGGCUUCCAUCUCAUGAGACCUAACUUUGGGAAAACCCACACUCUAGUACGUAAGAGUUCCCCCUUUAACUUGGAUAGUCCUCACAUCAACUAGGUGUGGUUCUCCUUUCAAAUUGGAGCCCGGACCUUCUCUUGUGUGAUACUCCAUCUCAUUGUCAAUAUCCACUUGGAGCCUAGCAAACACCCCAAGAUUUACUUGUUAAGUGUUGCUUAACACUCAUGUCUAAUGGAAGGAUAUCCUUUACGAUCAAUCCAUAUUCAAGUGAUUCUAUCACUUAUACUUUCAAGCAUUCAUAAGGUAGGUUCGGUGAGUGUAGGCCUUUCCCCACAAUUCUACCUAUUUGACUUCUAUUCUCAUUUAGACUUUACUCUCAAAGCCUUAACAUCGAUAAUUAAUCAUAUUAGCUUCACUCUACAGCCCUAGUGAUCAACAUUCACAACUAUGAGUCUUCAUUAUUAAUAACUCUACACCAUGAAAGCAUCUUUUGAACUUGGAUUACACGACAUUCAAUCACAUUCUUCAUUACUUGGUGAUUCUAGCCACAAUCCAUUCUAAAGGUUCAAUUUCAAAUUUACAAGUCAAGAACAAUCAUAUUCAAUAAGAUCUAGUUCAAUUCAUGAUUAUAUGUUCCUAACCUUAAACAAUUACUACAUAUGACAUUGAUUUAAGAAGAUGAUCUAUGUACCUUCAAUUUCACCUCUAAUGGCAUAAACCCAUAAAAUAUCAAAUUCUUCAAAUAGACUAGGGUUAACCAUAGAAAUCACAUGAAUUCAUCAUAAUAUCACAGUUCAAUGCUACUAUAAUCAUAAUUAGGUAUUAUCUACUAGAUUGGAAUCAUACCUAAACCCUACCUACAAUGUAAGAAGAACCCUAGCUAGAAUUGGGUUUUUGACUUCACAAUUGGGGGAAAACUAAGGGGCUUUAUGGGUGGAAGAACCCAUAGAUGAAUAAGGUAACAUACCUUGAUUGAAAGCCCUAACCAAGGUUGCAUCAAUGGGGGAAAAUCUUCCCUAACUUCCUUUCUUCUUCUUCUUCUUCUUCACUUCUAGAGGGAUAAUUCUUUCGAGAGAAUUCGGGUUCUUUGAAUAAUGAGUUAAUCGAUUUAGUUUAGGGAUCUAUUAGGCUUAAAAUGGUGGUUAAAUAACUAACUAACCGAAUUUCCUUAACCCCUAACUAAUUAAUGACUUAACUGGUAAGCCCCUAACUUAAAAAAUUAAACCUUGAAAACUUCUCUUACUCAAGAAACCACCACCCACGGUCCGUGGGUGGGUUCACGGAGCAUGCUGCACCUCUGUAGGUGCUGGUCAGAGGCUGACAUUGCAGACCAAUACAGGCCUUGACCCACGACCCCAACCCACAGGGCGUAGGUCCAUCUACGGCCAGUAGGUGGCAAGCAUAGGUGGCUGAAAUUUGACAGCUUUUUGGGCUGUUUUGAGGUCCUCCUCAAGGACCCCUUGGGUGUUCCUUGGGGGAUCGUACCUUGAUGCCCUAACCCUAAAACCUUCAUACUAAGUACGGGAAUCAUUUUUGUGACUUUUAAUCCUCAUAUGACGCUCUAAAACUGGUACGAAAAGCUCUAGAACUCUCUAGGUCAAAUUACUAGUUUCUUGGGUGCAAUAAUAUAUCCUCCUUGGGAUCAUUUGUCCUCGAAUGACGAUUCUAAACACUUCUUAAAGCCAAAACUCUAAACUAGCAACCCAUCAUGCAUGCCCUACAUCUAAAUGCAUACAACCAAGGAAGAAAACUUCAAUUCCAAACUAAACAUAUUUAAUGCAACACAAGGGAGUAGGAACUACAUCUACCAACCCAAAAUGCAUGAAUUUCUUUAUUUACUCAUUCUCAAGGAGGAACUAACAUCUCCUAACUAAAACAUGCUCAAUAUACACUCUUGGAGCCUAAAUGCAAUUUACUCUCACAUAGCAUUUAUUCAAGGAGAAAUCUUUCAACUCCAAACUAAGGCAUGCUCAUUAACUCAUCUCAUGAAGUCUAUAUAUAACUCUACUCAAAUGCACUACAACAUGAGGCCAAACAAUGCAUAUAAGUCAUUUCUAACAAGACCUAAUCAUUUUCAUGAACAUGCAUAUAAGGAAAUGAUGGCAACACAUAAUCAUACAUGACUUCAUAUAAGAGCAAAUCAUGAGGAACUUAUCAUCUCAAUCUAGAAUAGGAAUAGAAGGAAAAGGAUGAGGACACCGGGACAUGUCAGUGGCCCUUGGCCCCUCCCCCCGACCAAGUGGCACCCUCACCUAAAACCCUCACCAAACUACACUCCAUACCACUUCAUGGAACAACUUCCUUGUUCUUUUGUUUCUUAACUUGCCGGUCUAAGGUCUCUACUGGUACUUCUAAAUUAGAGAGGUCCUAAUUAAGCAACUCUAGCUCACAAGCAACCCUACUAACACCACUCAAGAUCUCCUAUGAACCUACCCAACCGGGACUAAACUUCUCAUACUCACUACAUCUCUCAAGGUGAGAAUUUCAAGCAAACCUAGCUCAUGAACAUCAACAACGCUCAACGACUUCGCUAUCUAAGCACAUUAUCUCCCCCUUAGGAGCAUGCCUAUUCAAACUCUUUUAAGCAUCACUUCCUUCAAUUCUAAGGUCGGAGCAAGCCAACACUAUGAUUUCACAUCAUCACACCAAGUGAUUCUAAACCAUGGUGAAUUACACUUCUACCCUUCUUAGAGAAGUCUAUUCAUUCCACCAUCUAGGCAUUAUUUAAACACCCUAUUCAACAAAUCUAUCAACAAACCUCAAAACUCAUCAUCACUAAGUUGGGUUCUACCAUCAACUAACCAUAGCCACACAAUAACCUUGCUUGGUAGGCACACUAUCUCCCCCUUGGGAGUUAGCCUACACAAAUUCUUCUAAACAUCUUUCAUAACAUAAAGGAACCAAUGAAACAUCAUUCAUACUAAAGAUAACAUCAAAGUCCAUCAUCUCAAAUCUAUCAAGUCACAUAGCCAUAAUUGGCAUCUCAACCAACCUUUUCUCCCUCGCUCCUUGUAGCAUUAGUCCUUGGAGUAGUCAUAUCCUAAAGACCAUCGGAUAAGGAAUAGGAGAGAUACCUUAUAGAAUUAAACUAUAUGGCACGACUUAGAGAAUAAAGAAGUGAGAUUUCCUAAGCAUCCAAUAGCCUCUUAUUCAUAAAUGUUGUGCGGUUCAAGUUUAUGCACAAGACUCUACUAGACGUGGUUUGAGACAUCCCAAAACCACCCCAAAACCUUGUGCUCUAUACCAUGUUUCUUACGACCCAGGAGUACCCCCCAGACGUGACACGAUGUACAAGACUCAAAAAAACCUCAUACAAGCCCUUAGCAUUUCAUGAACACAAGAUAAUAGAAAAGUACGGAAAAAUUUAAAACUUUUUACAAUCGAAGUCAUUUUCAUAAAAGCAAGCGAAAGUCUUUCUAUAAUUUGUCUCAAACCAUCUAAUACAACUUUAGAAUAAACUCUUGCUACACAACCCGUACAAUAAUCUCAAUAAAACAUGAAAUAAAGACAUAAAGGAAAUGGUGGGUUUUGUCUUCGAAGCUAUGAGGACUCACCAAAUCUUCAACUCCUUUUCACUUUAGAAACCCAUCUUCGAGAAUUGAACUCAAGUCUCCAAACCCUACAUUUGAUUAGAAUGUAGGCAAAGUAUGCAUUAGUAAAAAAUGUACUAAACAUGUUAGCUAGCAUAAUCAUAAGAGCAUAAGACAAGGGUUAGUCAAUAAAAGAUAUAAUCCAAAAUCAUAUGAAAUACUUCAUGAAACAUAAACUAUAAGGAUAAGAGACAAUAUCAUAAUAUUAAGCAAAGUCUCAAACAUAGCAUCAUAUAAGCAUUAUUCAACUCUUUAGUCAUCUAUACCAUAAUAGAACCAUUCUCAAGUAACCUCCAAAUCAUACUUGUGCAAUACCUAAAUAGCAUCCCAUAUUACCAUCCAAGCUAAUUAUCCAUUUUUUCUCAUAUUAAUCAUGGUCUAUAUACAUGGUCAAGUCUUUAAGCUUUUCUACUAUAAGGGCACCAUACUCCUAAGUAACCUCAAAACACAUUUGUGCAAUGCAUGAUAGGCAUCCCAUACUACCCUUCACACUAAGCAUAACCUUGAAGUCAACAUAGUCAUAUUUACCCUCAGUUGGCCUCAUUAUUAGCUUACUUGUGAUAACUAAGAGAAUGUCUCACCUUUAGUCGCUACUAACAAGAAAGGGAACAAUAGCACAAUCCUAUCUCAAGAUAUAUCACUCACAAGAACUCAUUCUUAAAUAACCUUAAGUCAUGCUCGUGCAAUGCAUGAAUAGCAUCCCAUAAUAAUAUUCAUUCUAAAUACCACUUUUAGGUCCUCAUACUAAUACUUCUUGGUUAGAAACCUUGUUACUCUUUUUUGACCUUAGAACACUAUGAGGUACUUCCUUAAGCACAUCUUACUUCAUCUCUAUUUAAAGCUUGGAACACUAUGAGGUACUUCCUUAAGCACAUCUUAGUUCAUUAUUAGGUUGAACCCUAUGAGAUACUUCAUUAAGCAUGUCUAAGCUCAUUAAUAACAUGGAUCCUAUGAGAUACAUACUUAAGCAUGUCUAAAUCCAUUUAUACUUUGAACACUACGAGAUACUCAUUUAUGUAUGUUUUAGUUCAUUAUUAAGAUGUAUCUUAUGAGAUACUACCUUAAGCAUGUCUAAGUCCAUUAUGAUCUUGAACACUAUGACAUACUUCUUCAAGCAUGUCUUAGUUCAUUAAUUAUUUUGAACACUAUGAGAUGCUUCUUCAAGCAUGUCUUAGUUCAUUGGAUAUGGAGAUGGCUACUAGAAACCUUAACUCCACUAUGUGAAGGCUUCCAUCUCAAGAGACCUAACUUUGGGAAAACCCACACUCUACUACGUAACAGUUCCCCCUUUAACUUAGAUAUUCCUCACAUCAACAAGGUGUGGUUCUCCUUUCAACUUGGAGCCUGAACCCUCUCUUCUAUGACACUCCAUCUCAUUGUCAAUAUCCACUUGGAGCCAAGCAUACACCCCAAGAUUUACUUGUUAAGCCUUGCUUAACAGUCAUGUCUCAUGGAAGGAUGUCCUAGACAAUCAAUCCAUGUUCAAGUGAUUCUAUCGCUUAUACUUUUAAGCAUUCAUAAGGUAGGUUAGGUGAGUGUAGACCUUUCAUCACAAUUCUACCUAUUAAACUUCUAUUCUCAUUUAGACUUUACUGUCUAAGCCUUAAUAUCUAUAGUUAAUCAUAUUAGCUUCACUUUAAAGCCCUAGUGAUCAACAUUCACAACUAUGAGUCUUCAUUCUUAAUAAAUCUACACCAUGAAAGCAUCUUAUGAAUCUAUAUUCCAAGACAUUCAAUCACAUUAUUCAUUAGUAGGUGAUUCUAGCCACAAUUCAUUCUAAAGGAUCAAUUUACACUUUACAAUUCAAGAUCAAUCAUAUUUAAUAAGGUCUAGUUCAAUUCAUGAUUAUAUUUUCCUAACCUUUAACAAUUACUACACAUGACAUUUAUUUAAGAAGAUCACCUAUGAACCUUCAAUUUCACCUCUAAUGGCAUAAACCCACAAAAUAUCAAAUUCAUCAAAUAGAAUAUGGUUAACCAUAGAAAGCACAUGAAUUCAUCAUAAUAUCAUAAUUCAAUGCUAAUAAAAUCAUAAUUAGGUAUUAUCCACUAGAUUUGAAUCAUACCUAAACCCUACCCACAAUGUAAGAAGAACCCUAACUAGAAUUGGGUUUUUGACUUCACAAUUGGGGGAAAACUCAGAGGCUCUAUGCGUGGAAGAACCCAUAGAUGAAUAAGGUAACAUACCUUGAUUCAAAGCCCUACCCAAGCUCAAAUAAAUGGGGAAAAUCUUCCCUAACUUCCUUUCUUCUUCUUCUUCCCCCUCUUCUUCUUCCUCUUCUUCGUCUACUUCUUCCUCCUCUUCCUCAUCUUCUUCCUCUUCUUCUUCUUCUUCUUCUUCUUCUUCUUCUUCUUCUUCUUCUUCUUCUUCUUCUUCUUCUUCUUCUUCUUCUUCUUCUUCUUCUUCUUCUUCUUCUUCUUCUUCUUCUUCUUCUUCUUCUUCUUCUUCUUGUCUUCCUCUUCCUCCUCGUAUUCCUCUUCCUCUUCCUCUUCCUCCUCUUCUUCCACCUCUUCUUCCUCCUCUUCUUCUUCAUCUUCUUCUUCUUGCUAUUCUUCUUCCUCUUCUUCUUCUUCCCCUUCUUCCUCUUCUUCUUCCUCUUCUUCUUCUUCUUCUUCUUCUUCUUCUUCCUCUUCUUCUUCCUCUUCUUCUUCCUCUUCUUCUUAUUACUCUUCUUCCUCUUCUUCUUCCUCUUCGUCUUAUUCUUCUUCUUGUUCUUGUUCUUAUUCCUCUUCUUCUUCUUCUUCCUAUUCUUCUUCCUCUUCUUCUUCAUUUUCUUCUUCUUCUUCCUCUUCCUCUUCUUCUUCCUCUUCUUCCUCUUCCUCUUCCUCUUCCUCUUCCUCUUCCUCUUCCUCUUCCUCUUCCUCUUCCUUUCUUCCUCUUCUUCUUCUUCCUCUUCCUUUUCUUCUUCCUCUUCUUCUUCUUCUUCUUCUUCUACUUCUUUUUUUUUCUUCUUCUUCUUCUGCUUCUUAUUCUUCUUCUCCUUCUUCCUCUUCUUCUUCCUCUUCUUCUUCCUCUUCCUCCUCCUCUUCUUCCUCCUAUUUCUCUUCCUCUUCCUCCUCUUCUUCCACCUCUUCUUCCUCCUCUUCUUCUUCCUCUUCUUCUUCCUCUUCUUCUUUCUCUUCUUCUUCUUCUUCCUCUUCUUCUUCUUCCUCUGUUUCCUCUUCUUCUUCUUCUUCUUCCUCUUCUUCUUCUUCCUCUUCUUCCUCCUCUUCUUUCUCUUCGUCUUCUUCUUCUUCUUCUUGUUUUUCUUCUUCUUCUUCAUUUUCUUCUUCUUCCUCUUCCUCUUCCUCUUCUUCUUCCUCUUCUUCUUCUUUUUGUUCUUCUUCUUCUUCUUCUUCUUCUUAUUUUUCUUCAUCUUCUUCUUCUUCAUCAUCUUUUUCUUCUUCUUCUUUUUGUUCUUCUUCUUCUUCUUCUUCUUCUUAUUUUUCUUCAUCUUCUUCUUCUUCAUCAUCUUUUUCUUCUUCUUCUUUUUGUUCUUCUUCUUCUUCUUCUUCUACUUCCUCUUCCGCUUUCUUUUCUUCUUCUUCUUCCUCUUCUUCUUCCUCUUCUUUUUCCUCUUGUUCUUCUUCUUCUUCUUCUUCUUCUUCUUUCUCCUCUUCUUCUUCUUCUUCUUCUUCCUCCUCUUCUUCUUCCUCCUCUUCGUCUUCUUCUUAUUCUUCUUCCUCUUCUUUCUCUUCCUCCUCUUCUUCCUCUUUCUCUUCCUCCUCUUCCUCCUCUUCCUCUUCUUCUUCUUCUUCUUCUUCUUAUUUUUCUUCAUCUUCUUCUUCUUCAUCAUCUUUUUCUUCUUCUUCUUUUUGUUCUUCUUCUUCUUCUUCUUCUACUUCCUCUUCCUUUCUCUUCUUCCUCUUCUUCCUGCUCUUCCUCCUCAUCUUCCUCUUCCUCCUCUUCUUCCUCUUCCUCUUCUUUUUUUUUCUUCCUCUUCUUCUUCUUCUUCCUGUUCUUCUUCUCGUUCUCGUUCUCCUUCUCCCUCUCCUUCUCCGUCUCCCUCUCCUUCUCUUUCUCCAUCUCCUUCUCAUUAUCCUUGUCCUUCUCCUCCUCCUCAUUCUUCUUCUUCUUCUACAGAGAGAAUUAUUUUGAGAGAAUUUGGUUCUUUGAAGAAUGAGUUAAUUGAUUUAGUUUAGGGGUCUAUUAGGCUUAAAUAGGUAGUUAAAUAACUAACUGACCGACUCCCGUAACCCCUAAUUAAUUAAUGUCUUAACCCCUAAGCCCCUAACUAAAACUAAACCUUGAAAGCUGCUCUCACUCACUCAACCACCACCCACAGACCGUGGGUGGGUUGACGGAGCAUGGUGCACCUCCGUGGGUGCUGGUCUGAGGCUCAACAUUGCAGGCCAAUACAUGCCUUGAACCAAGACCCCAACCCAUGGGGCAUGGGUCAAACUACGACUAGUAGGUGGCAAGCGUAGGUGGCUGAAUUUUGACAGCUUUUUUGAAGUCCUCCUCAAGGUCUCCUUGGGUGGUCCUUGGAGGGUCUUACCUUGACACCCUAACCCUAAGAACUUCGUACUACGUACUAGAAUCAUUUUUGUGACUUUUAAUCGUCAUACGACACUAAAAUUCUUACGAAAAGCUCUAGAACUCUCUAGUUCAACUAACUAGUUUCAAGGGCGCAAUAUAGUGUCAGUAUGAAAGGAGCCACUAGCAUACCGGCCGUAGGUGGUGCCGUGGGUGGCCAUACGAAACUUCCUUAAAAUGUCAACGUCCCACUACUUUGAUACGGUUCACCACAACAGUCUGGUAUCCAAUGCACGAGUUGUAGGUAGGUGUCGUAGGUGAAUCAUAGACUUAAAGAAACUUUAGUAUAAUAAUUUUGUUCCCAUGACCAUGGUGCAAGGUCUGUAUGUGGACCCACAGACCGGGCAUGGGGUCUUGUCAUUCAAGGUCCAAAAUGGUGGUCUCUCAAACAACCAACAAUCGAUUAGAAUGGUCUGUGGCGGGACCUACAGACCGUUGGUGAGGUUGUUGGUGAGGGUUCCACAGUUAUUUUAAAGGGGCUUUUGGGUCAUUUCCCAAUUAUUUUAACGUAAGACUAUUUCGUUUAACCUUCUAUUAUGGAGCCUAUAUAAACGUUUUUACACCCAAAUCUGCUAAUUGAACUCAUUCUCAUAAAUUCUCAAAGAUUAUCAAAUUUUUUCCCUAAUACUUAUCUAUAAGAGCUUGAAGAAGGCUAUGGUUUCAAGGUGAAGUCUCCAAAUUCACCAUUGAUUGUAAGCUUUUGGCAUCAAGGUAUGAUAGUAUUAACCCAUAGAGUCAUUUCCUUCAUAGGGUUCCUAAAUUCUGCAAUUUUACAAUGUAGAAACUCUGAUGGAAGUUAGGGAUUUUACUCAAUCUCAUUGGUUCUUUUCAAGUAUGAUCUAAUUGAUUGUUUUUAUAUAUUUUUGUGCAUGAAUAGAAAUAAUUGCAUGUUUCCAAGUUGAAUUCUGAUGAAACCGUGUGAAAUCCAUGAUUUCUAGACUAUGAUCAUAUGAUGAAACUUUUGAAUCAUGAAAAAUGAAUUCAAGGAUAUAAGCAUGUUUUUUUAACAAACUGAUGAAUAUGCUUUAAAAUUUAUUGUGAUAGUGAAGCAUCAAUGUUUUUUAUUGUGAAAGGAUUUUCUCACAUAAAGUAUUCAUAAGGUUGAAAGGAUUUAUCACAUAAAGUAUUCAUAAGGUUGAAGGAAUUUCUCACCUAAGAUUAAUCAAAUUGAGGAUCUAUAGUAAUAAUGAGAUACGUUGCGAUUGCCCAUGUCCUCUAAUGAUAAGACAAACGGCGAAUACCUAUGUCUCAUGAAUGAUAAAAUAAGUUAAGACUAAUGAAUAUUCUUACGUAUUUAUGCUUAUCACUGAGUGGACAAGUGGCAAUUAAGGAUGUCCCAUAAACUAUGUUCCAUCAUAGGUUUAUCUAGAUAAACAUUAGCUAGUGGAUCCACAUAAGCUAGAAGUUCAUUACUCUUACCUGGGAAAGUAUGAACACCUCUUUUCGGUGUGGGAUAGACAUUGAUUUCCAUAUUAUAGCUCGCAUGGUGUCAUUGUUUGUUAAAGGUAAAUCUCCCACAAUAAUGAACUAAGGUUACUUUUACAAGUAUCACAUGAAUGUUUUAAAUAUUUUUAGCUUACAUUGACCAUGUUUAUUAUUUAUGCUUCCUAGCCCUUUUAUAUUAUGUUUUAACUUUGUUCAUUAAAUGUCAUGUAAAGUCCUUUUUGGUAUGAUUUCAUACUCUUAUUCAUUGCUAACAUACUUGGUACAUUCCAUGUAAUAACGCAUACUCCUGCCUACAUUGUCUCACUAAUCAAGGUCUGACACUCUCAUUUUGCUUCUCCGUUCCUACUAAUUAAUUUAAUAUAUUGAAGAAUUGUGAAUCCUCAUGUUUCGAGGACCUAAACCUUAUUGCUUAUUGUCUUUAUUUUUCAGUAUUGUAUGUGAUGCAUGGGUUAUGUCCCAAUCACUCUUGAUAGACUAUGUUAGACUUCCACUACUUUCUGUCAACUCUUAUGAUAUGAUCUUUCUUUUAAAAUAUCACAAUUUUAUAUUAUAUUUUAUGAUGUUUGCUAAGUGCCUUGUGUAGGGCCUCUCGGGUUCCUAUACGCUAUGUUAUGCCUAGGGUAUACUUUGGGUCAUGAAAAACAUGGUAUUAGAGCAAAGAUUUGAUACUAAGAGAUAUCUAACGAAGGAGAUGUAAAUGCUGCUUGCACCACCAAUGUUAAGCUGGAUGGUGGAACAAAAAACUGCAAGGAAAGAAAGCACCAUAACAGUAGUGAGAAAAUGCUACUCGACCCUACACCAAGUGAGGAUCUAACAUCUCACCCAUUUUUGACCACUAAAGUAACUAACGAUGAACAUGGUGAGGAGGCCAUGGACUUCACACACGGAGUAGAGUGGGUUAGAGGAGUUAACAUGGCUAGGCAUGCCGUGGAGAUUUAGGUAGUUUGUUGAACGAGGUCGAUGGUAAGUUACAGACAUAGGAAUACUUCUCCUUUGAAGAGAAUGACAACCUCUGCAAAGAGUUGAAGAUGCGUAAGCAUUGAAAUAUGAGAUGAAUGAGGUGAUCACUUCUGUUGAGUGUCGGCUCAUGGAGACGUUAAGCACAAUUUAAACCAUGCAGGCUGAAACAGAAGUGCUCAAGAGAGGGAUGGAAGUAGGAGGAUCUACGACAUCUAAUAGAGAUUGAGAGGCCAAAUUUGAAGCUCCCAAGCCACCUAUAAUCAAAGGCGUAUGUGAUGCGCAAGAGGUGGACAAUUUCUUAUGGCACUUAGAAAAUUACUUCAAGUGUAGCGGAGAAUAGAGCGACAAAAACAAGACCAACAUUGUCAUGUUGUAUCUCUUGGGUAUGACAAUGCUAUAGUGGAGGUGCAAGGAGUCCGAGAAAGUGAAGGAGCUUUGCACCAUAAACACUUGGAAGCAAUUCUCAGAAGAGUUUAAAAAUGCCUUCUUCCCUAACAAUGACAUCUACGAAGCUAUGCACAAGCUUAGGGAAUUGAAGGAAAUAGGAAGCAUUCGAGCGUACGUAAAAGAUAUCACUACUCUCAUGCUUCAUAUUCCAAACCUCACUAAUGAAGAUAUCUUGUUCAACUUCAUGGAUGGGAUGCAAAAUUGGUCCAAGAUAGAGUUGGAGCAUGAAUAGGUCAGGUCUAUUGAUGAAGAAAUCAUGCAAGCCAAAGCCUUGACAUACUUUAGGAAGGAGAAGCCCGACAGAGCUAGAAGAGAAGAGAUACGAGGUAGUCAUGACAAAGGUUGGGGAUAUUGUGAAAAUAUCGAGGAGUAGCAGCGACAUCCCAAGAAUCAUGAUACAUGUAUGUCCGUUGGAAAGAAGUCUCGAUAUUAUGGCGAUAUAGAGAGAGGAAGGAAUAGAUUACCAAAAGAAAAUGUUGCUACAUAUGCAGUGUGUCGCAUAUCUAUGCAAGGUACCGUGAACUAAAAAGCCUUAAUCCUAUCCUAUGAGAGUGGAAGGAGAAGGAUUCACAAGAACAAGGACAAGGUUCAAAGAUGACGCAGUUGGGCUUAAUAGGACUAUGUAGAGCCACCAUGAAACACUAAGGGAAUCCUAGAUAAUACGACACGCUUUAUGUCGACAUCACAAUUAAUGGAAGACCUAUACGUGCUAUGGUCGACAUGGGUGUAGAGAUAAAAAUCAUGACCAAGAUGUAAGCAACAAAGUUGGUGUUGAGAUACAGUCCGAAUAACUCUCAUCUCAAUACGAUCAAUGUAGCACUGACUCCUAUGUGCAAAGUCGCACAUGGAGUAAGCACGACAUCAGAUGAGUGGCAUGGUAAAUUGAACUUCAAUGUUUCUCCUUUAGACCUCUUUGAAAAAAUUCUUGGGCAAUAGUUCCUCUAAAAAUUUCAAACGGUAAUCAAUCCUUACCUCCGAAAUGUAUUGGUCAAGGAGAAAGAAGGAUCAUGUAUGGUUCCCCUAGUUACGGUACCAAACAUGGAGGGAAAAGAUUGAUUAACGACGAUUCAUCUCGUGAGAGGACUUAAGAAGAACGAGUCGACAUUCGUUGUCACCAAUGCAAGUGUGACGAAAGAAGAUAGUGCAAAAGGGACUUCGCCAUCAUGUAUAGGGAAUUUUCUAAAAAAGGAUAAGGACGUGAUAUCCGAGGAUCUGUACAAAGGAAUUGAUCGAGUUAAUGUACUAAUGGUCGCCUAUACAAGAAAAAAGACUCGGUUGUUCAUGUAGUAGUAAUGCAAUGCGAUCGUCGCAAUAUUAUGUGGAUGAGAGUUUCAUGACCCCCCACUUUGCAAUUCCACUUUAGCAUAAAAUUAAGGGGGAAGAAUCUAGAGUUAUGGAGAGGUUUGCGAAAGAUUCUACAAUUCCCUAUAUAUUAUCUUGGAUGGUUUACUUUGGUAGAGAAGUUGUCCUUAGUUGAAUAUUCUAGAGAAAUAUUAAGAUUUCCCAAGGAAGGUUAUAGAAUCACAUGGAAAUUCGUCAGAAUGUUCUAGAGUUGUAGAGAAUUAAAGAAUACCCACUAAAAUAUAAAUAUGUGGGGCCUUGUGUAGUAUUUAUUAUUUACACUAUGGGCCCAAGGAAAUAUUAAAAGGCAACCAAGCAAGAUCCAUCAAGUCGUAAGUAUUGUCCAAGUAAUACAAAGCCUUCUUUAAAAGCUAUCUUUGUCUUUCAUUCAUUAUCUUGGAAAUCUUAAGUUUCAAAGGGCAUACUUGAGUUUACAAUACUGUGAAUGAUUCAGUAGUAAGUGGUCAAGUGCCGCACAAAGCUUUAGGGAAACUCUAAGUCCAUGACACACUAGCUGUCUUUGAUUGGGUACACUAUCCCAUCAUCUAGCAACUUGAUCACCUACAUUCUAAGUACAUCUUUCAUUAGAGAAUUUAAUUGGUACUAGUGUUGUGCACUUGGAUUGUGGCCUUCAUCAAUGUAAAUAUGAAGAAUGCACAAUGUCGGAAUAAUUCAAUGUAUAUAGUACAUCUUCAAUCGAAAAAGUUCUUUUUUGUUUUUCAGUAUAGCCAGAGAAGCAUUAACUUAUAAUUCAGAAAACUCUAAAGAAAGAAUCACUGGUAAUGUUAAAUCCUUGUCCAACAACGCAUACUUGUGAUUACAAGGACUGCCUUCGGUUCAAUCUUAGGAUCUUCUUCGAUGGACACCUUAGGUAGAGGGCCCAACAUUAUAAUUAAAAGUUCCCAACUACUUCUCUAUACACCCAAAGUAGCCAUAUUUAAUAAUUACACUAUUUGUUGUGUUUCAGCAUCACAAAAAAUGUCAUGUACUAUUAAUACUCUCUCAAGUGGGUCUCUAGAUUCAAUGUGAUGAACUUCUACAACGUGAUCAAUGAUAGUUAUGGCCGACGAUUCGUCAUAUCUUGCAGGGAACUUCAAUGAUGGUAUACAUCAACCACCUCUACUUUAUCAUGGGCCAUCAUUGUUAACUAACCAUGUGCUACAUCUAUCCAAGCAUGCACAAUGUACAAGAAAAUGCAUCCAGUAUGGAUUGUAUCUCAGAGUGUUACUCAAAAUUUAGCACCACAGAGUCAAUAGAAAAGAUUAACGACUAUACUUGGACUAACAUAGCUUUUCAAACAGCUUUUAGUAGACCAAGCGGUCGGUCUACAAGCUGUAAUAUGAUGGUGGUCGGUUUAGACUACCCAUACCAAACAUUUUGUACAAAAAUACAUGUAUGAGAUUAAUGUUAGGACCAAGAUCACUCAAUCCCCGAGCGUGAAUGUUUUGCCUUAUAGAUAUCUGACUGUAAAACUACGUGGAUCUUUCAAUUUGGUGGGCAGUCUGCUCUAAAUUGUAGAACUACAUUCCAAAGUAACUGCAGUUUUCUAAUACUUUGCCGGCCUUCUUUUGUUUUCCACUAUAUCCUUCACAUAUUUAGUAUACUUUAAGAUUCACAUCAAAAUGACAAGAAACGGUAAAUUAAUGUGAACUUGUUUAAGUAAAGAGAGAAACAUACCAAAGCAUUAACCUCGAUGUGUUUUUGAAAUUUUGUGGAAAGGGAUGAGGUGGUAUCAAUUUAUUAGCUCCACUAUCUUCAUGGGAACUUUUCCCAACCUCACCACUCUUCUUGUCCCCAUUCACGACUUUUGUUACUUUAUUCUUUGAGGUAAACUCUUCUACCUACAAACCACUUCUAGUACCUAUGACAUUUACGUGCCGUGGGUUUGGAUUAGUGUUAUCUGUGAUGUCUUUGUACGAACGUGAAUUUUUAGCACUAGCGAAUUAAUGAAAUUUCUUUUUCAUUUUUCAGAGUGGCAAGAUGAUUAUUUAAUAAGUCUAUCACAAUAUGGUCCACAUUCACACUUACUUUGGAUUAUUGUGCCAUGUGUUUCGUGAAUAUUUCUUCAGUACUCAUAUAACAGUGUUGCACAUUCUGGUUAUUUCGUUGGCCCUAAUUGGUCUAAGAAUGGUACUGAUUUUGAUUUUGUUUUUAAUCCCCCACAUGCGAAAUUUUGAGUGUCACACCUUGUGUAAUAUGAAUUUCCAUAUUUUUGCACUUUUCCACCUCUUUGAGUGUUUCACACGAAGAUAAUGGAAUCAAAAUCUGACCAUUAGUACAUAGUUGGAUGAUCACUUCUAUCAUGCUAUACCACAGUUACUUGUGCUUUGUGUUGCCCUAAUACUGGAUUGAUGAUGCGAGUAUUUACCAUGUUUACCAUAGCGGUAAUUUAUUCAGUCAAUAUCAUCACUGCAACCACCUCUAACAACUUAAUAAUCUUUUGGACAAUCGUUCUAGCACAACUUACAUUCCAUUCCGGGGUCCUUUUUGAAAUUUUGUUCAACAAUGCGAUAAACUCAUCAUAUGUCUUUUCCAAAACGAGACUACCUACUGUAGAAUCUAGAACAAUAUUCUUAUUUAGUUGAAGUCGAUCAUUAAAGGUACAUACAUACCGCUCAAUAGUUUGGUGGUGAUGUGGGUAUCUUAUCAAUAAGGAUUUGAAUCUAUCACAUGCUUGGUACAUAUUAUCUCCCUCUUUUUGUUAAAAUCUCAGGAUCUCACUUUUUCACUUAACUUUUUUUCCAAGCAGUGAGAAUCUAAUCAUGAUUUUUUGAGAAAGAUCAUCCCAUAAUCUUAUGGAAUGUGUUGUCUCUAACGUGAACAACAACUUUUCCUAUCCCAAUAGUUCAGAUGGAAAAAAGAUUAGCCUCACGUAGUCAGAAGAUACACUAGAUGGGUGUAAUUGUCACGAAUUUCAAAAUAAUUUGAAAAUACACUUGGGAUUUGCUUGAGGGAGACCAAUAAGUUGUCUAGUAGUGUGUUUCAAUUGCACCAUUCUCUAUUUUUUCUAAAUCUACAUCCAUCUUCUACGUUGUGAUGUGGUAUUUACACAUCAAGAACUGUCUUUGCUGCCAUUUCUACUGUGUCACGACCCAGACUACACCUUAGAGAUAACAUGGAAAGUAGUAUCUCGAGGGAUCCUAAAAAGCAACUUCACAUAAGCAUGACACUAAGAUAAUGGCAUAAAAUAAAUACUUAGAUGUAGUAAAAUAUAAGUAUUAGACCUUCAACUCAACAUGAUAGCAAAACACAUUACAAUGACUUCAUAGGCAGAAACAUACUAUGUUUGACAAUAGGUCUAUACUAAUAGGUGUGUGACUAAGAAAUACUCUAGCUCACAAAGUAAGAUGGAAAACAGAAAGUGUAUUAAUAAUAUAAAGACUCAUAACACGUGGCCAUGCCCUCUAACCAUGAAGACUUACAAGGAAUGCUAUGCAAUGCUCAUCAAUACACUAGCCAUAGUUGGAUAAAGGAACAUCAAAUCCUAUUUUAUGAGAUAAUAUAAGGACAAGAUAAUUUAUGCCUCAGUACCCAAAACAUACUUAAUCUAGGGGUAAAUGCAUAAAUAUAAACAUGAUGCAUGCUAAGUCUGGAAACAAAAUAAUGAAUGGCCAAGUAUAACAUAUAAAAUUUGAUAAGUUGAAUUUAUAAGACGUGAAACAAGGGCAAUACAAUACUUGAAAAUCAUAACAUAAGCUUAAAUCAUAAUCAUUCAGGAAAUUGUGAGCUAAUUAGAAAACAAAAUUAUAUUUUGGGUUGUUUACCAUUAACCGAUAGAAACCAUAUGAGCUAUAACAUGAAAUAUGGUGUACUACUCCCACACGAAAAUGGGAAUAUCCUACUUUCCAUGUUUAGGACCAUGUUGUUAUCUUAGGUAUAUCCACUAGCUAUGUCAAAUCGGAAUAAAGUCAUACAAGGAUAGGCAUUUAUAGGAUAACGGGAUUGCUAAUAUGAACUCUACCUCUACGAAUGGGUGAGCAUCAAUACCGAAGUCCACUCGGUGCUAAGUAAACUCCUAGUGGAAAUAAGCAUAAUCAUUUCAUUCUCCUGAUACUUGAAAUGGUAAGAAUCUAUUAAUACCAAUUCAAUUAUAAAUUUCACCUCAUAGAAUAGUUCCUUUUAAAAUCAUAAUUUCAUAUAACACUCCUAAAUACACUUAUCUAUAGUAUCAAAAUGAUGAUCAUCCUUUCAUAAUGUGAAUAAUUCAUUGGGAAGCCUAGCUUUGAAAUUGGAGAAGGAAGGUUGUCCCUUGAAGAACCCGAAUAAACCUUGAGAGAAUCCUUGGAGAAGAAAACUUGAGAGCAUAUGGGAUUUUGAGAGAAUGAGAGUGAACAGGAGAAAUUUUAAGUAAAAUCGGUUAUAGGGCUUAGGAAUAUACUAGAAACCAUAUACUUUAGGAAUUAAAAGUGUAGGAAAAAAACCUAGAAUAAAACCUACAAAAUUGACCCUACGGACCCCUUACAGUCCGUAGAAGCUUCUACGGACCGAAUCAGUAAAUCAUAGGCUAAUUUUAACAUUAAACCAUGUACAUGAGCCACAAUCUGCCAACCCUUCCACGAGCCAUCUGUAACGACUCAUAAAAUGAUAGGUUGAACAAGAGCCUCAUCUUGUGGAUUAGUGUAACCUUAAUUUGAUGUCUAGGCUGUUUUAGAACUAAUUUUGAGCAAGGAAGAAGUCUAGGGUGCAAGCAAGGGGCUAAGCAAGAAAGAUUGAGUGGAAUAAAUCUUGUUCUUUGAGGGACCAUUUGGCGAUGGGACUACUUGAUCGCCCAAGUGACUUGGCGAUACACCAAUGUGCACUUGGGGUCGCCUAGUGGGCUGUCCCUUAAGACUAGGUUCUGGAACAAAGGGCGAGCUAAGUCGUAGCUCGCCAACCAGGUUGGUGAUUCGCCCAUUAGACCCCUUCAUCACUUAUUGAACUGCCCAUUUUGUGAGCCUACUGGUGAAAUGGGCGAGCCAAUUGUUCAUUUGGCGAGUCGCCUAGUACCCUUGGCGAGCCAUGAGGUUCAAAGGGCGAGCUUAGUUGAGUAAGGUGUAGAAUUUUAUGUUUAAACUUUGUGGGUCCUUGGUUCUGUUCCAAAGUUGAGUCCUCAUUAUUCUAUUCCUUUCCUAGCAACUAUAUAACCUUUUUGGAAUUGAAUCCUUUCAAAUAAGUCACUUCUAAUAGAAUUAAAAGAAGACCCAACUAAUCUCAAAUAUUUCUCUCUCUAAACUCAAGGAAGAAGAAAGGAGUCACUAAAGCUAGGGUUUGUGGAUUCAAGGUGUUUCUUCCUCAAAUUUCCUGGGGAAUCACAAGCAAGGUAUGGUGAUCCUUCAUCUAGAGGUAGCUUUAAACCGUAGAGUCAAUUCAAAAGUAAUUUUCAAAGUUUUCAAGUUCAUGAAAAACCUAGGGUCUUACUCAAUCUCAUGGGUUCCUUCUUCAGACAAUUUCAAAUGAUUAUUAAUGACAUUUUAUGAUUGUAUUAGUGAUUAAUUGAUGACUUAUUAUGAAAAUACUCUAUGAACAUAUGAAUUCUCUCAAUUCCUAAAUUGUGCCUUUAUGAAGUGGGUUUGUUAAUUAUGAAAGCUUAUGAAUGGAAUAUGUCUAAAUUGCUUUGGGUUAUUGAAUUAUCUCAUUAUACAUGCCUUAAUUGUAAUUAAUUGUUGGUGUGUUGAUUAUUUGAGAUUCAUGGCCUUGAAGGUAUAGUAUGAGGAAUUGAGGUAGUAUCAUGAUAUUUUGUAUAAGAAUCUGAAUCAAUUGAAGUUAAGCUGAUCAUGUCUUGAAAGUAUUUGCGUUGUUAUUGAAAGGAUAUUUCUCAAUUUGAAACUCAUGAAUGUUGAUGAUAGAAUUUGAAGGGUUUCUAUGAUGAGAUGUUCUAGCUUGAAUUGGUAGUCUUAGCCAUCCUAUUCUUUUAUAAAUGAAAUUAAUAGGGAUCGAUGAAUCUUAAAUUGGUAGGCUAAGGCAUCCUUUUCUUGUAUUUAUGAAUGUGACCUUGAAUGUAAUAUCAUGUCUUGAAUUGGUAGGCUCAUGCAUCCUCUUCUUGUAUAAUGGAUGUGUCUUAACUUGAUGAAUAUGAAUCAAUCGGUCAAUGGCAUUCCUUUCAUAAAUGAAUGAUGAAGUAUUUUAGGCUACGUCUUGAACCGGUAGAUAUAGUAUUAGUAGUUGUUCAUGAUGAGUCUAGAAACUAAUGUGAUGAUAAACCUUGAAUCGGUAUACCCAAUGUUAGUGGCCCCUUUCUUGAGUGAAAUGAUGAACCUUGCAUCGGUAGACCCAAAUGUUGGUGGCCCUUCUUGAGGAUUCAAUGAGCUAUCUAUAUAAUGUACCAUGAAUCGAUCGACUUAUGGAAUUCCUUUCAUGUGUAAUGAUGUGUCUUGGGUCAAUAGGCCAAUGGCAUUCCUCUCAAGUACAUUAAUGUAAUGUCAAUGAAAUACUCUAUGAGAAUGGAGGCUAAGCACCAAGUUGAUAUAGUAAGAUGGAAACUCUCCCAAUGUUAGGCUAGGGUUCCAAUGAACAUCUUCCUAUCCAAUAACUAUGUGCCCACAUAGGAAUUAGCCAGUGAAUUCCAUCCAAGCUAAAUAUACCUAGUUCUACCUUAGGAAAGUAGGACACCUCUUUAUGGUGUGGGGCCAUAUGACAUCGGAUUCCAUGGUUAGAUCUCAUGGUCUAUGUCAGUUAAUGUCUAUUCCUAUCAUGUGAGAUGUGCAUUAUGGUUUUUUGAGAAAUUUUAUGAAGUGUGGGUGGUAGUAUGGGAUGCCAUCCACGCAUUGGACGAGUAGGCUUUGAGAGGGUCAUAGUGAGUUCUCUAAGUCUUAAUGACUAAUGUUUGAAAGUGUCCUCUGUGAAUUUAAUGAAGAAUGUUGACUUAUAUGCUUAAAUGUGAUUAUGCAUGAUAUACUUAGGUUGUAUUAUGAUUUAUUUUCCCUUGUCAUGACUUAUGAAAUGUUGAUGUCUCUUAUGUAUGAGUAUUGUGUAAAGAUGGAAAGGACUAAUGGUAAGUUCACUUUUGGUGACCUUAAUGCGCCACUUUAGUGUGGAUGGUGGUAUGGGACGCUAUCCAUACAUUGCACAAGGUAUAGCAUGAGGGUUACUUGAAGUGAAGAUCUAAUGUGAAGCUAAUGGUUUACAUGUUGAUUAUGUUCAAAUGUGAUAUUAUGACUUGUAUGAUGAUUAUACUUUUAUUUGAUGUCUCUUAAACUAUUUUACAUGAUAUUUCUAAAAAGUUGAAUAAUGCAUGAUUUCCAACUAAAAUGUCCCUUUUAAAGCUUGUUUUUGCAUGGUUAUCAUACUUAGUACGUUUUUGUGUACUAACCCAUAUUUCUCUUAUUUUACUACAAGUGUAGGUUUCGGCAAGUGAGUUGCUUCUCUCUAGUUCAAGUGCUUGGAUUAAGAUUCCUCCAAGGCUGUGUGGUAUGUCCUCAUAGAUCGAGUACAAGUGUUUAGAUGUUUCUUUCCUUUCAUGUAAUAGGCAACAGUUAGUCUUUCGAUUGUAAAGGGCUGUGACCCUACUUUAGUUUUCAAGAUAUUGUUUAGAUGGCCAUGUGAGACUUAGACUUCUGCUCCGUUUUUAAAUAGACUUUGAAUUUUUUGAUCUAAAUAAGUUUUUAAUUCUUCACUAUUUCUAUAUUAAAUUCAAUGAAAUGCUAUGAGGCUUGUACGAGGUUCUUUAGAGUCUUGUACAAUGUCUCGCAUCUAGGGGCUAGCCUUGGGUCGUGAAAAACAUGGUAUCAGAGCAAAAUAUUUUGGAAAUGGUUUUUAGGACUAAUGUCUCACAAACCACAUCUAGUAGAGUCUUGUUCAUCGGUGUGAGUCGCGACACAUCUAUGAGUAAGAGGCUAUAGGAAGUUAGGAACUUACACUUCUUUCAUUAUUCUUCAAGUCGUGCCAUAGAGUUUAACUCUAGAAUGUCUUUCUCUUAUUCCUCAUCCGAUGGUCUUUAGGGUAUGACCAUUUAAAAGUCUUAUAAUAGAAGGAGUGAGGGACGAAGGUUGGUUGUGAUGCAAAUUAUGGCUAUGUGACUUGUUAGAUUUGAGGUGAUAGAUUGUAAUGUUGUCCUUAGUAUGAAUGGGUUGCUUUAUGGUUAUGCUUAGAUGAUGGUAGAACCCGACUUAUUAUGAUGAAUUUUGAGGUAGGUUGAAAGAUUUGAUGAAUGAGGUGUUUUAGAAAUGUCUUGAUGGGAUGAGUGGGUAGACUCCUUUAAGAAGGGUAGAGGUGUACUUCACCUUUGGUUAGAAUCAUCUUGUGUGAUGAGUGUGAAGGUUUGGAGAUGACAUGAUCCGACCAUAAAAUGGAAAUAAGUGAAGUUUAAAGGAGCUUGUAUAGUCUUACUCCCAAGUGCGAGAUAAUAUGCUUAGAUGGUAAGGUCAUUGAGUGUCCUUGAUGAUUCAUUAGUUAGGCUUGCUUGAUUAUCUCACCUUAAGAGGUGUAGUGAGUUUGAGGGGUUUACACCCGGUGUGGUAGACUGAUAUGAGACCUUGAGUGGUGUUGGUAAUGUUGUUAGUGAGCAAGAGUUGCUUAAUGAGGAUAGUAUGUUUAAUAGUAAGGUUGUUGAGAGUUCCGAUAUCGUUAUCUCUUUCCUUCCAUUCCUAUUCAAACUUGAGACCAAGAGUUCCUUGUAACUUGUUUCAUGUUUUGGAGUCAUGUGUGAAAAUGAGUUUCCAUGGUCUCCUUAUGUUAUGCAUGUUUUGAUGAAAUUUAUGUUGUAUGAGAAAAUGAGUUUUCAUGAUUACAUUCCUCAUGUUGAUGUGCAUCUAUAAUGAGUUGCCUAAAUGCUUCAUGAGUUGACUUGUUGAGCAUGCUUAAACGUGUUUUUGAGAAAAAUUGCAUGAUUUGCCUUAUGAUAUUGUAAUGAGCAUGAUGUGGGUUGGAGAAGGAAGUUCCUCCAAUGAAAUGAUAAAUAUGAUGUUUUGGUGCAUAAUGAGUUCGUAGAUGUAGUUCCUAUUUCUUGGUAAUCCAUUGAGCUUAUUGAUGUGGAGUUGAUGUUUCCUCCUAUGAUUUGUGCAUUUUUUAUGAUGUUGCAUGCAUGAUGGGCUUCUAGUCUUGAGUCGUUAUCUCCUUAAUGUGUUUAAAGUGUCAUUCGAGGACGAAUGUUCCUAAGGGGAGGAUAAUGUAACGGCUCGCAAUAUGAUAGGUUGAAAUAGAGCCUCAUCGUGUGGAUUAGUGUAACCUUAAUUUGAUGUCUAGGCUGUUUUAGAACUAAUUUUGAGCAAGGAAGAAGUCUAGGGUGCAAGAAAGGGCCUAAGAUAGCAAGAUUGAGUGGAAUAAACGUUGUUCUUUGAUGGACUUUUGGCAAUGGGACUACUUGAUCGCCCAAGUUACUUGGCGAUAUUCAAAAAGUGCACUUGGUGUCGCCUAGUGGGCUGUCCCUUAGGCCUAGGUUCUGGAAAAAAGGCGAGCUAAGUCAUAGCUCGCCAACCAGGUUGGCAAAUCGCCCAUUAGCCCCCUUCAUCGCCUAGUGAACUGCCCAUUUUGUAAGCCUACUGGAAAAAUAGGCGAGCCAAGGGUGCACUUGGCGAGUCGCCUAGUACACUUGGCGAUCCGUUAGGUUCAAAGGGCGAGCAUAGUCGGGUAAGGUGAACUUUGUGGGUCCUUAAUUCUUUUCCAAAGUUGAGUCCUCAUUAUUUUAUUCCUUUCCUAGAAACUAUAUAACCCUUUUUGACUUGAAUCCCUUCAAUUAAGUCACUUCUAAUAGAAUUAAAAGAAGACCCAUCUACUCUCAAAUAUUUCUCUCUCUAAACUCAAAGAAGAAGAAGGGAUUCAUUGAAGCUAGGGUUUGUGGAUUCAAGGUGUUUCUUCCUCAAAUUUCUUGGGAAAUCACAAGCAAGGUAUGGUGAUCCUUCUUCUAGAGGGAGCUUUCACCCCUAGAGUGAAUUCAAAAGUAAUUUUCAAAGUUUUCAAGCUCAUGAAAAACCUAGGGUUUUACUCCAUCUCAUGGGUUCCUUCUUCGAACGAUUUCAAAUGAUUAUUAGAGACAUUUUAUGAUUGUAUUAGUGUUUAAUUGAUGAUUUAUGAUGAAAAUAAUCUAUGAACCCAUGAAUUCUAUCAAUUCCUAAAUUGUGCCUUUACGAAGUGGGUUUGUUGAUUAUGAAAGCUUAUGAAUGUAAUAUGUCUAAAUUUCUUUGGGUUAUUGAAUUGUAUCAUUAUCCAUGCCUUAAUUAUAGUGAAUUGUUUCUAUGUUGAUGAUUUGAGAUUCAUGGCGUUGAAGGCAUAGUAUGAGGAAUUGAGGUAUUAUCAUGAUAUUUUGUAUAUGAAUGUGAAUGAAAUGAAGUUAAGGUGAUCAUGUAUUGAAAGUAUUUGUGUUGUUAUUGAAAGGCUAUUUCUCAAUUUGACAGUCAUGAAUGUUUAUAAUAGAAUGUGAAGGGUUUCUAUGAUGAGAUGUUCUAACUUGAAUUGGUAGGCUUAGCCAUCCUAUUCUUGUAUAAAUGAAAGUAAUGGAAAUUGAUGUAUCUUGAAUUGGUAGGCUAAGGCAUCCUUUUCUUGUAUUGAUGAAUGUGACCUUGAAUGUAAUAUCAUGUCUUGAAUUGGUAGGCUCAUGCAUCCUCUUCUUGUAUAAUGAAUAUGUCUUGACUUGAUGAAUAUGAAUCGAUAGGCUAAUGGCAUUCCUUUCAUAAAUGAAUGAUGAAGUAUUUGAGGAUAUGUCUUGAACCGGUAGACCUAAUGUGAUGAUAAACUUGAAUUGGUAGACCCAAUGUUUGUGGCCCCUUUGAUGACUGAAAUGAUGAACCUUGUAUCGGUAGACCCAAAGGUUGGUGGCCCUUCUUGAGGAUUGAAAGAGCUAUCUAUAUAAUGUACCUUGAAUCGAUAGGCUUAUGGCAUUCCUUUCAUGUGUAAUGAUGUGUCUUAGGUGGAUAGGCCAAUGGCAUUCCUCUCAAGUACAUUAAUGUAUUGUCAAUGAAAUAGUCUUUGGGAAUGGAGGCUAAGCACCGAGUGGAUAUGGUAAGAUGGAAACUCUCCCAACGUUAGGCUAGGGUUCCAAUGAACAUCUUCCUAUCCCAUAAUUAUGUGCCCACCUAGGAUUUAGCCAGUGGAUUCCAUCCAAGCUAAAUACACCUAGUUCUACCUUAGGCAAAUAGGACACCUCUUUAUGGUAUGGGGCCAUAUGUAACUGGAUUCCAUGGUUAGCUGUCAUGGUCUAUGUCGGUUAAUGUCUAUUCCCAUAAUGUGAGAUGUGCUUUAUGGUUUCUUGAGAAGUUCUAUGAAGUGUGGGUGGUAGUAUGGGAUGACAUCCAUGCAUUGCACGAGUAGGCUUUGAGAAGGUGAUAAUGAGUCAUCUAAUUCUAAAUGACUAAUGUAUGAAAGUGUCCUUUAUGAAGUUAGUGAAGAAUGUUGACUUUUAUGCUUAAAUGUGAUUAUGCAUGCUAUACUUGGGUUGUAUUAUGAGUUAUUUUCCCUUGUCAUGACUUAUGAAAUGUUGAUGUCUCUUAUAUAUGAGUAUUGUGUAAAGAUGGAAAGGACGAAUGGUAAGUUCACUUUUGGUGACCUUAAUGUGGCACUUUAGUGUGGAUGGUGGUAUGGAACACUAUCCAUACAUUGCAGAAGGUAUAACAUGAGGGUUACUUGAGAUGAAGGACUAAUGUGAAGGUAAUGGUUUGCAUGUUGAUUAUGUUCAAAUGUGAUAAUAUGACUUGUAUGAUGAUUAUACUUAUAUUAGAUGUCUCUUACACUAUUGUACAUGAUAUUUCUAAAAAGUGGCAUAAUGCAUGGUUUCCAACCAAAAUGUCCCUUUUAAAGCAUGGUUUUGCAUGGUCAUCAUACUUGGUACAUUUUUAUGUACUAACACAUAUUUCUCUUAUUUUACUACAAGUGUAGGUUCCGGCAAGUGAGUUACUUCUCUCUAGUUCAAGUGUUGGGAUUGAGAUUCCUCCAAGGCUAAGUGGUAUGUCCUCAUAGAUCAAGGACAAGUGUUUAGAUGUUUCUUUCCUUUCAUGUAAUAGACAAUUGUUAGUCUUUCGAUUGUAAAGGGUCGUGACCCUACUUUAGUUUUCAAGGUAUUGUUUAGAUGGCCAUGUGAAACUUAGAUUUCUGCUGUGCUUUUCAAUAAAGUUUGAAUGUUUGGAUUUAAAUAAGUUUUUAAUUCCGCACUAUUUCUAUAUCAAAUGCAAUGUAAUGCUUGAGCCUUGUACGAGGGUCUUCGUAGUCUUGUACGCCAUGUCACAUACAAGGGCUAGCCUUGGGUCGUGACACCAUCGACCCUUCACAAACAUCCCAAUUGCUUAUAACUCUCAAAUAUCACUGGACGAGCAAUGACUACGCCCAAUACAACCAUCCACAAGUUCCUUUGUUCCUCUUGGAAACCUUUUAGACACUUGACAAAUUAAAACUCACAGGACCACACCAAAAACUGUGUAUGCUAUGUUUCAUUCAAACCUGCACCAACACACUUUCUAUACUUUACCUUCAAACUCCACAUUUCUAUUUAAGAGAUGUUAUAAUAUCUCCCCUUUGGGAACAUUCCUUGUCAAAUGGGACUCAAGCUAGAAUAAAUGGAGGAAGAAAAAAUAUAUACAACAUGAAUGCAAAUCUCAUAAAAAUGCAUAGAACCAAGAAGUAAUUGACCACAUUCUAGAUCAUGAACUUUAAAAUUGAUUUCAUGAAUGCAUUCAUAUGGAAAAUUGGUAAUACAUAAAAUACAAGAAUUUGGAAGAUUAAACAUGAGGAACUAAUACCUCAAUCUAAAACUAUAGUAAAGGGAAGAGAUGGGGGUAUUGUACGAAGAAGUAACUUCAUUAUUUCUAUACUUCCGGAAUUUACAAUCCAUAAUCUCAAUUCGAAUCUCUUCAUAAGAAACACUUUCCUUAACACCAAUACUCUGCAAUGGCACACCUAAAGUAGGAUCAUUAUUACACUUCUUCGAAAAUGAAACAUGGAACAUUGGAUGCAUCGAUGCUAAAUCAAAAGGCAAACCUAAUUCAUAAUUUACCUUCUUGAAAUAUCUCAAAAUUUGAUAUGAUUGAACAUAACUGGAAUAAGUUUGCACUUCUUCCCAAAUCUCAUCACACCCACCAUGUGUGAGAUUUUGAAAUAAACCUAAUCAUCAACAUUGAAUUUAAAAUCUCCUUCUAACAUCUACAUAGUAGUUUUGUCAACUUUGAAUUCGUUUCAACCUUUCUCUUAUAAGUGAAACCUUCUCCACAGCCUCAUGUGCCCAUUCGAGUCCUCCAAAAGAGACCUCACAAACAAUACAACAAAUAAUAGGAGACUUACAUCUACUACCAUAGAGAGUAUCAAAUGAAACCAUUUGAAUACUCGAGGGAUAACUAUUAUUAUAAGGAAACUCAAUUAAAGGCAAAUGAUCAUCACAAUUAUCCUUGAAGUAAAUCAAAAAAGUUGUUAACAUAACAUGCAAACCGUAAACGGUAUGCUCGGCAUGACCAUCGAUCUAAGGAUGAAAAGUUAUACUAAGCUUCACUUGAGUACAACGACUUUUCAGAAAUGAAUUCCAAAGUUGAAAAGUAAUUGAGUACCUCGUUCUAAAAGAUGGAUAAUGGCACUCCAUGAAACUUUAUCAUUUCCCGAAUAUAAAGCCUACCAUAGUCUUCAAGUAAAAAUAAGCUCGUGAUGGAAACAAAAUGUGUCGACUUAGUCAUGCGAUAAACGAUAACCCAAAUAGAAUCAUAUAGUCAAUGAGUAUGAGGUAAACGAGUAAUGAAGUCCAUAUUAAAAUAUUCUCACUUCCAAGUAGUAAUGCUAAUGUCUUGAAUCAAACCUCCUAGUUUUUUAAUCUCAACAUUACUUGUUGAUAAUUAGUAAACUUAGUGACAAACUCUACAUUGUCCUUCUUCAUCCUAUUAAACAUAUAUACCUCUCUCAAAUCACCAUACAUAUUGGUGGCUCCCGGUUAAAUAAAACAAUGAGAAUUCUAGGCAUAUGAUAAAAUUUGAUGCUUUUACUCAUCAACAUUUAGAACACAUAAUUGACCUUGGUUAAGGAACACAUUACCUCCCCCUUAGGAGAAAGCCUCAAUGGAUUUUCUAGAAACUACUUUCUUUAGUUCAACUAUGUUGGAUCAAGAUCUUGAUUGGCCUUCACAUUAAAUACAAGAGACAAUUCUAAGCCAUCUUAAACAAUGUUACCACCAUCCUAAGAACCAACUAAGAAAACAACCAAUCGAGCUAGUCUAUGCAAAUCAUGAACCCAAUCUUUUUUACCAUCUUCAAUGUGAGUGACACAACUAAUGUACAAUCGACUAAGAUCAUCGAAAACCAUAUCUGCCUUUCCUUGAUAAUAACCAAUGCUCAUAUCAUAAUCAUUCAACAAACCAAGCCACCUUAUUUAGUGAAGAUUCAAAUCUAUUUUCUUAAAUAUAUAUUGCAAAUACUUAUGAAUGGUGAACACAUCCACAUGAACACCAUAGAGAUAAUGCCACAAAAUAUUCUAAGUAAAUAUUAACGCCACCUAGUCCAAAUCGUGAGUCAGGUCGUUCUUUAUAUAAACGAUCAAUUGCCUUGAAAUAUGAGAAAUUACAUUCUUAUUUUUUUUUCAAAAAACCACAAAGGCAAAUUUAGAGCGUAGUUUGCCUCUUGAACUGGAUGAUGAGAGGUGGUCACCUGAGGGGUUCUGAUCCUAGAUGGAUCAUUCAACUUUUUAGAGCGUAGUUCUGCCAUGUGUUCUACUACCAGUUCAUCAUCAUCUCACUCCAUAGUAUGGGGUUCCUGCUGCUCACCCUCACUCUCCAAGGUGGUAAGGUAAGUACCAUGGAUGCCCUCACUGUCAGAGCUUGCCUCUGGUGACGCAAGUGCUUUUCCUUUACCUUUACCUUUUUCACCAAUCAUGGAAAGUUUCUUAGUUUUGCCUUCAGAUGUAGCUGUAUUCUCUUUUAAUUUAACUCAUUUUGCUUUCCCUUGCCGUGGCAGGUUUCUUCUAGCAACUUUUGAUCGAGCCAUUUCCGCAAAAUAUCAGGAACGAGUUAGAAAACUUUCAGCUAUAAUCACAGAAAAAGAAUUUCAAGAAAACUUGCCAACACUAUCGGCGAGUCGCCUAAUUGCUUAGGUGAACUCGAUCGAGCUCGCAAACAGGAUUAGCUAGAGAAGUUCAUACAAGUUGGUGAUGGGAAGAUUAUUCGGCAGGUUGCUGACGGCAUUCGGCGAGCAAGUGUUAGUUCGCCAAAAGUUACACUGCAAAUUAAGUUCAGGGAUACAGACUAAAGUUGAUCAAGAAAAACAUUUCGAUGAGUCGCCAAACACCUUUUGCCACUUUAGGCUUCUCGCUGAAAGUUACAGAGCCAAACAACAAGUAUAGCUUGAACUUAAAGGUGAGAUGGAAACAUUAGGCCAACUGCCGAGUAAUUCGGCGAGCUCGAUCCAGCUCGCCAAAUGACUCACCGUGCCUAAUCUCAAUCCAUAUUCUUGAAGUCAACCCCGCAACCCCAAAAAUAAAAUUGAAGUGUGCACAACUCAAAUUGCAGCAGAACCCAUAACACACAGUGCCUCGAGGUACUUAGACUUCUACCGAUUCAAAAUAAACAACAAGCAAGCAUAACCCUACGAACUGUUCUUCAUUUUACGCACAAAUUAGCAAGAUUUCAACAGUAGUACACUACGGGCAAGAUACUUAAAUUAUAACAGGUAAACAAACAUCUUGAUACUACCAGAGAGGCCCAACACACUUCAACAGGAUAAAAUCACUUGCAUAAGAGCAUAAAUACCAAAAGUAAAUGUAGGGUUUUGAAAACCAUCCUUUUCAUCCAUUAAAUAAAAACUGUGAGGUUAGGUGGCAAAUUAAUCCAAAUCCAGACACUGAUUAAUCAACUAAAAUACUUGCAAGAUGAGAAAAUUUUGGAAAUAUUAACUAGGUGAGAAUUUGCAAAGGUCGAGAGUGAGGGGAAAUGAAAAGGUUGAAAGUUUAAACCUUUGGCUUUAUAAAAACUAUCCAGAUCUCGCCCAUUCGGUGUUAUUAGUCGAAUUUGCCAAACUACUUAGUGGCACGCCUAACGGUCACUUACCUCGCCGAAAUGCAUGAACUUCCAGUUAAACUAGGAUUCAAAUCGGUGGACUAAUACAUGAUUUCCUACCAGAUCGGCGAUCCGCUAAUAAUUUCAUGAGUCCGCCGAGUUUUACAGAGUCCAAGUUGAAUUUUCCUUGAAUCCAACAGCGGGUUAGGUUAAGGUCAUGGACACCUUUGUCGAUUCGCUGACUAGGCCUUAAUCUUGCCAAUUCGUGCAUUUUUUAAAAUAGUUUCCUCACUUUGUCCUGCACAUUUAACACACCAUUAUUCUAAAAUAACGCAAAAUUCUAAAACUUUUGGUUGCCUCCCAAGAAGCGCCUUAUUUAUAGUCGUGGCACAACUUCCCCACUUAAUCUUGAUUUGUGGAGUGGAGACGAGACAACACAUGACCCAUUUGGGUUUCUAGUAGCUGAAUGGAUAUGAAAUGGGAAGCAUUUAUCUCAUUCAGCAUUGAAACAUUCUCUUUUAUCUCAUUCAACACCUUGUCAUGACUUUCGACCUUGUGAAGAAUAAGUGAGAGAAUCUCUUCUAUUUGUCCACCCUCAUUUAAAUUAGGCUUCAUAUGCUCUUUAGGGGGAGUGUACCAGCCUUUAUUUUUGCCCGGCGCUUCCAAUUCCAUGAUUUUUUUGGUAACUAGAUCUAGCUGGGUCAACAGUGUGGCCAAAUAUGGUCUUUCUCAGUCUCUUUGUUGGUCAUUACCAAGUUAUCAAGAUGAUGGGCUGCUAUUACAUAGGGUAAUCGUGAGAGACCCCCCAGAAAUAUUUGAUCAACCAUUCUUCUAUCUUUUGGGCCAAGACCUUUGUAGAAGCAGUCCAAUGGCACGUUUUAUGAAAUUCCAUGAGUUGGGUGGUGCAGGAAGAUUGACUUAAAUUUCAGCCACAACUCAUGGAUUGACUCCCUCUCCAAUUGUCUGAAACAUAGGAUGUGAUCCCUAAGAGACAUCAUUCUCAGAAGAGACAAAUCCAUUUGAUCACCGCCUCUAUCAGACAUGAUCCACUUUCCUAUUCAAAACAAACGAGCAAAACAAAGCUAAAAAUUAAGUAAGUAAAACUACAACUAACAAGAACGAAAAUCCUACUUAACUACAAAUUCUCAAAUAACACCACUCCCUGGUAGUGGCGCCAUUUUGAUGUUUGACAUAAUCAAUUGAAACUAUUUAUGUUCAAGUGCCAACAAUCGUGUGUAGUAACCCAACCAAGGGUUGGGAUCGUUCCCACAUGGAUUGGUUUUGAGAAUUAAUAGAAAAAUAAAAUCAAGUUCUAAUUAGUCAUAGCUAUAAAUAUUAACGAAUAAAAACAUACUAAAUCUAAGGGGUGACACAAGCGUUAAUUAUCAAUGGGGCUUUGUAUUAAUUAAAAACUAAAAAGAGCAAAAAUAUAAGGAAACGAGAUAUGGAGACGGGAUUCUUGGGAUGUGAUAGGAAUACGGGUUAAACUAAAUUGUCAGGUACAUGCUUUUGAUAGUAAAUUGUUGAGUAUUAGUGAGUAGGCUAGACUAUAGUGCGGGUAAAUUCUCUCUCGAGCAACUUACACCGAAUCAACUCAGUUUCUCUCAAACACCGAGUUGCCGCAUUAAGCACAGCCUCCGCCUUAGCCCAUUCACUCUCUCGAGCUAAAUGUGUGGGAGAAGGACUAGGAUUCACUCUCUCAAGCUGAACCCAUGUCGACCCAAUACCACCGGCUAUCAAUUUAGUAGUCUUGGUUGUACGACCUCUUUUUCGAGCAAGCCAAAACCACUAAGAUGAAAUCAUAUUUGCAACUACAAUCUCAUUAAGUUCAUACACAACUACUAAACGAAAUCACAUUUAAACAACAAAUAAACCAUCAACAAGAAAGACCUAACAGAUAAUUUAGCCCAUAUUCACAAAAUCACACCCCAAGAAUUGGGGUUUUAGCUAGACAUGUAAAAGAGAUAAAAAUUUAUACCAAUAUCAGUUUCUCGAAACUGGGUAUGACGAAUUAAGUCUUAAAACACGUUAAGAGUGAAGAAUCUUCGAGACCAACAUCCAAUUUCAUGGAGUUGAAACCCUUUGAAUGUUCAAAGUCUUAGAAAAAAGUCUCCAAAACCCUCUAAAACUUAAACUCUCCCAAAAACUAAAAAAAGUUCUAAUAAUAGAAGUGAUACUCAACUAGAAAUUUAUAACCAGUGUUUAUAGUGUUUGAAAAUUUGUGUUGUGGAGGACUAUUCGGCGUAGGUAGUCUGGAUCGCGCUCGGCGAUCUACCUUUUGGUCGAUUUCAUCACCUUUCAACUUUAUCCUUCAGCCUCUUUGCGUUUUGAGUAGUUGCGCGAUAUGGUACUUCUUUGCGAAACUGCUCGGCAACACACUGACUGGUCCAUUUCAUCGCCAACUUGAUCUUUCCCUUCAGGGAUCAAAACACUGGAACAAAAAGGUGAUCUCCAGGCCGAUCGACGACUCGCCAACUGGGCUCGGCGAUCUUUAGGCCUUCAUUUCUUCGUUCUCUUCAUCCACAUUGUUCCUUCUUGCCAAGUAGUGUCCAUGCUUUGCCUGAAACUCUAAAUACCUGAAUCUUAUGGAUUUACAUCAGAUAUUGAGAAAAAAUAUGCAUUUGAGGACAUUAAUUCUAUCAAAAUAUAGUCUUACAUGUGUACAAUUUGUGGACUCAUCAGGACUCGACAUGAAACCCUAGGUUGAAUACUUCUUCUUCAACUUUUCUGGAGAGAAAAAUAUUUUGAGAGGAAGAUUUGUUCUUCUUUUGUAAAAUUUGAGAGAAUAAUUUUCAAUUGGGAAAUUUUGGGGAUAAAGCACUUAUAUAGGGGUUUUUGUUAAGGGUAAAACGACAUAGUACUAGGCUAGACUAAUUAGGAAAAGACCCAACUACCCGUCGAAUAAGUGGCAACCUUUGACCUACUGACCUUGACCAAAGGACCGUGGUUUGAUCGACAGUUUGUCAUGCAAGCCCUUCAUCUUCAUCAGAGACUGGACUUUGAGGCCAUGAUACACGGACAAUAAACCCAUAGAUGGUCUGAUGGUCCAAGAUGUGGUUCAUGGUCCUCAGGCCUAUUUGGGCGGCCAAUCCAUGGACCAAACCUACUAUCCAUGGCUCAGUCCAUGAGUCGUGGUUGUACUAUGUUUGUUGGAACCAAUUUUUUCUUGGAAACUCAAACGUUGCCAUUUCUCGAAUUUGAGGUGUUACAAAUUUCAGUCAAAUAGAUUCUUGUGAGAUGUUUUUGAAGACGAGCAGUUGACAAAUAUCCACAAAGUUUUGAAGGUGUUCAUGAGGAAACCCAUGAGCUAAACCACCCCCGAGCAUUCGUCUCAUUUGGAGAAGUUGAAGCAUUAUUCCGAUUACAUGGAACAAUGCUCUCCAUAUUGUUGAAUGUAACAAAAGAGCUCCAUUGGUCUUAAUGAAAUUCAUGUGCAUGUCAUUCAACUCAUCCAUCUGAUAGUUUUGCUUGUAUUGACUAGCGUCAUCACUACCAUUGUCACUAAUGUUUAUGCUUGUAAAUAAGAAAUACUACAAACUCAAGCAACAAUCUACUACAACUCAAAAAGUUUGCAAACUAACUUCACUAAUUUAAUUCUUAGCUACCAUUCCCCGAUGACGGUGCCAUUUUUAAUAAUUCUCAAAUUAACCUCGAAAACAAUUAGAAGGGUAAGAGGUCAUUGUCAAUAAAAAAACCCAACAAAGAGUCGAGGUCGUAUCCCACAAAGAAUGGUUUAGGGAUAAAAUUUAACUUGGAAUAGUAAUAAUUUAUAGCAAGAGAGUGGAUGAUCCCACAAAUUUACUAAAAUGGUUUGAAGUAUCAAGUAUCACAGUUAAAUUAAAAUUAGAAAUUCAAGCAAGUAAGAAGUAAUCUAGAGGUGUGGCAAUCGGUAUCAAUGUCACGUAGGGGUUAUUGUGUCACUCAAUAGUUCUAAACAAUCAUGGAUAGGUUGGGUCAUCUUCAAUGACACUAAUCUUCUUCCAAUCUCAUAGUACCAAAUCAUAGAAUCUCAUUACAAUCUCAUCUAUCUGAAUCACAAAUCAAACAUUACCUUAGGGGAAUAUCUCUUUCGAUCAUAUUUGAGCAACUAGAUCUGAACCAUAAUAUCUCUUUUGAGCAAACCAGAGAAAUCAAAUCUUUAUUGCAUGAAUUAAACUAAUUACCCAGUCCAAUUGAUCUCUUUGGAGCAUCAAUCAAAGAUCGAGAAUAGGAUUAAGUUUGCAACCUUAAAUCAUUAAUUAGCCCCAUGAUAAUUAUCUUAAAUCCAUGAAUGCACAAUAGUAAAAAGAGCAAAUACAAAACCCAUUACAUUAAAUAAGAACCCAGUCCCAUAGUUACGCCCCUAGUUUGGGGUUUUAGCCAUGCAUCCAAAAAGUAAGGAAAUUAUACCUAUAAUGAUAGCAGCAAUGAAUGUGUUGAAAUACAUCAAUUAUAAUCAACACUCAAUUUGAUUUCAAUUGUUAAUUAUCAAUUUCAAGAGUGCAAUCUAAAACUCGAAUACUAAAUAUGUUUCUCACAAUGUAAAAAGUUGCAAAACUUCUCCAAAAGUAAUAUGCACAAAUCUCUUAAAAAAUCUGAUACAAAAUUUGAUACCUUUUCUCUCCCUUUUUGGCUAUUUAUAAUUUUUCAAAAUUUGGCUUAAAAUUCAAUACGGAACCAACUCAACAACAUUAUUUGUAACACCUAAUAUUUUGAAAAGGGAAUAGAUGCAUAAAUAUUUGGCUACAGUCUUAGGUUUACAAGACCAUUUUAUGGUUUCUAGAACAUUCUACGGGUCAUAGACCAGUCUCGUAAAAAGGGGGAAAUAUAUAUAUUUAUAAUCAAUUUCCACUACCUUCUCCUAUGGUUGCCUAGGAUAGAAUAUCGUAUCGUUUAUUAAUUAUAGAUGUCUUCCAUAGAAGCUAUCAAGAUGUAGUGAAAUUUUAUGGUUAAAGUUGUGUUUUACUAUUAGGCUCUACGUAACGUAGAAGGGUUUCAUCAAAAUUGGGUAAAUUUUAAGGUCCCAGUACUUCGUCUGUGGUUGACUAGUAUGGACCACUUUUUAUGGUCUGUUGAUCGGACUUGUAGACCAGUCUGGCAGUUAAUUCGCAGGGGCUUCUAGGUAUUUUCUUAAAUGUUUUAAGCCUAUUCUAUGUCAUUUUGUCCUUUAUCCCAAACCCUAUAUAAAGACUUUAAGUCCUAUAUUUACCUACUUUAAACCCAUUCUCCUAUUUCUCCAAGACCAAACAAAAUUCAUACUCACAAAUUACCUCUCAACCUAAGGAAGACGAAGAAGCUAAGGUUCACUCGAAAGUCUUCAAUUUACCAUUCAUCUUGGGCUUUGAGUAGCAAGGUGUGUCGGUAUUUACCCAUGGAGUCCAUUUCUCCAUGGGUCCCAAGGUUUUCAAUUUCUCAAAUCAUUUCAACUGAUCAAAUUAGGGUUCUUUUAGUCCUAUAUGGGUCUCAUAUAAUUGUGAUUUUUAUUGUUGUUUGAAUCUCCUAGUUCAAGAUUUAAGGUAAAUUACAUGAUAUCUAGUUGUAUUAGUAUGAAUCUAAUCAUAUCCAUGACUUUUAAUUAUGAACUUAUAAUGAACCCAUGAAUAGUGAAUUUUCAAGGAUUAUGCAUGUCUUAUGAAAAUGAUAUUUAUGAUGACAGGGUGUUUUUAAAUAAAAGUGUCAAUGUUGUUGUGAAAGUUUUUCUUACAUGCAAAUAUGAUCAUGAUUGUGAACGGUAUUUCUCACGUUUGGAUUCACAUUGGUGAAAGGUUUUCUCACCUAUGCUUGUCAUAUCAUUUAAGGAGCUAUUCUACAUUUUGAUGUUUAUGAUAUGGAUUAGGUAUUAUCAUUACCUUUUCUAUGUUAUAAUGAUAUAUGAUUUUUAUCUAUUUUGUUGGGAUUUAAACUUAGCGCCGAAAUGGCUUAUAGGUGGAGGCUCAAAUAGGGUAGUCUCUAGUAGCAAUCUCUAGUCCCUAACUACAUGCCCCCGUAGGAUUGUCUUAAAUGACCUAGCUAGUGAAUCCACUUUAGCAAAAGAUGAUGUGUACAGAUGUUAUCCUGGCAAGUAGAAUCCCUAUCCUUUGGUAUGAGGGAUAUAUCGGAUUCCAUGGAGUAACUCUCAUGGUCUUAUUGUCAGCUAAAGCUAGUAUCAAACAAAAACAAUUAUGUUUCUUCAAAGAUUUCUUAUGUCUCGUAUUUUAAAUUUAUUGACCAUAUCAUGAGUUAUAUGUUGUAUCUUAUUUAAAGUUUCUGAAUGUUCAAAUGUUGGUCAUGCAUUACAUGUUUUAAGCUAUCUAUGGCAUCAUGUCUAUUUAUGCAUACUUCUCCAUACUUAGUACAUUCCACGUACUAAUGCAUGGUUGUGCCUACAUUGUUGAAUUAAUGUUGGGUCUGACCUCCUACCUCUCACACUCAUGGUUAGUUGAUCAUUCUAUGGAUUCUAAAAUUGGUGAGUCUGCAUGUUUUGAGGAUCAUGACACUUCUACUUGCUUUAUGUCUUUCUUGUUAUUGGAUGAUGAAUGUGAUGUAUGGAUUACGUCCCGACCACUCCUUUUGAUGUCUAAAUGCCUUUUCUAGACUAUUUUCGUAUCACAACCCAAGGCAAGCCCAUAGAUGCGACACGGCGUACUUGACCUCGAAGGGGUCUCAUACAUGCCUCAUAGCAUUUCAUUGCAUUCGAUAAUAGGAAUAGUAUGGAAUUAAAACUUAUUUAAAAUCCAUACAAUCAAAAUACUUAUUUAAAACACUUCAAAACACAGCGGAAGUCUAUUGUCUCACAUGACCAUCUAAAAACAACAUUCGAAACAAAAGUAGGCUCACGACCCUUUAGAAUGGACUAGUCUAACAAUAGUCUUUUACAUGAAAUGAAAUGAAACUUUAAGUACUUGUCCUCGAUCUAUCAGGACAUACCACUUAGUCUUGGAGAACCUCAAAUCAAAGCAUCAACUAGAGAAAAAGUAACCCACUUGCCGGAACAUACGCUUGUAGUAAAACAUGAAGAAAUAUGGGUUAGCACAAUUAAGUACUAAGUAUGACGGAUAUGCAAAAACAAUGCUUCAAAUGGACAUUUUAUUUGAAAAUCAUGCUUUUAAGCCAUUUUGAUAAAACUUCAUGAACAUAAGUAUAAGAGGCAUAAUUUUCAAACAUACCCAACAUACAGGUCAUUUCAUCACAAUAGAGGUAUAAUCAACAUAUAACCUAUUACCUUCACAUUAGGCCUUCACCUCAAGCAACCCUCAUGCUAUACCUUGUGAAAUGUAUGGAUAGCAUCCAAUACCACCAUCCACACUAAAUUACCACAUUAAGGUCACAAAAAGUGAACUUACCAUUCAACCCUUCCACCUUUACACAAUACUCAUACAUAAGAGACAUAAACAUUUCAUAAGUCAUAUCAUCACAUAAGGACCAUCAUCUAGGGCAACACUAAGUCAUACUUGUGCAAUGUAUGAGUAGCAUCCCAUACUACUACUAACACUAUGUACUCUUUUAGAGCUACCAUAGACAAGGCACAUUCAUAAUAAUUAAUUCAUAACAAGGAAGUAACUCACAAUACAAUCCACGUAUAGCAUGCGUCAUUACAUUUUAAGCAUAUAAGAGUCAACAUUCUUCAUUAGCUUCAUUUAGAGAACUUUCAUACAUUAGUCAUUAAGACCUUAGAAAACUCACUAUGACCCUCUUAAAUCCUAGUCGUGCAAUGCAUGGAUGGUAUCCAUAUUACCACCUACACUUCAUAGAACUCCUCAAGAAACCAUAAUGCACAUCUUACAUGAUGGGAAUAGGCUCUAACCAACAUAGACCAUGGGAGCAUACCCUGGAAUUCAGUGUCAUAUGGUUCCACACCAUAAAGAGGUGGUCUACUUGCCUGAGGUAGGACCAUAACAUUUUAGCUUGGAUGGAAUCCACUAGAUAAUAUCCUAUGUGGUCACAUAGUUAUGGGAUAGGAAGAUGUUCAUUGGAAACCUAGCCUAACAUUGGGAGAUUUUCCAUCUUACCAAAUCCACUCGGUGCUUAGCCUCCAUUCCCAUAGGGUAUUUCAUUUACAUUACAUUAUUGUGCUUGAGAGGAAUGACAUUGGCCUAUCAACCUAAGACACAUCAUUACACAUGAAAGGAAUGCCAUAAGCCUAUCGAUUCAUGGUACAUUGCAUGGAUAGCUCAUUGAAUCCUCAAGAAGGGCCACAAACAUUGGGUCUACCGAUACAAUGUUCAUCAUUUCACACAUGAAAGGGCUACCAACACUACGACUACCGAUUCAAGGUUUAUCAUCACAGUAGUUUCUAGACUCAUCAUGAAGGGCCACCAACGCUAGGUCUACAGGUUCAAGACAUAGCCUAGAAUACUUUAUCAUACAUUUAUCAAAGGAAUGCCAUAAGCCUAUCGAUUCAGAUUGAUCAAGUCAAGACACACGCAUUAGUCAAUUCUGAAAGGAAUGCCAUAAGCCCAUCAUUCAUAUUCAACAAUCAACUAUACUUUAAUUCAUUCAAGAAGAGGAUGCAUAUGCCUACCAAUUCAUGAUAUAUUAUUACAUUACUUUCAUUUAUACAAGAAUAGGAUGCCUAAGCCUACCAAUUCAAAAUAUACAAUACAUAGAAGGAAACCCUUCACAUUCCACCAUCAUCAUUCAUAAGUGUUAAUUGAGAAUAUGCUUUCAAUCAUAACACUAUUACAUUCUAAACAUGAUCAUCCUACUAUCAUUGCAUUCAAAUACCUAUCCUUUACAUCAUAUUCAUACCUUAACCUUCAUACAUUGCCUUUUAAGGCCACGGAUCACAUUCUCCCACACACCUUAGAGAAAUACAAUUAGGCAAGAGUAAAAACAUAAUUUCAACAUUCUAUAUCCAUAUACACCUAAACAAUUCACAUACUUCAUAAUCAAUCAAAUCCCAAUCACAAAUCACAACUUAGGAAUUUGGGGGAAAACAUGGGUUCUAGGAAGUAAUCAUCUUAAUUCAUCUUUGAAUCCACAAUUCAUUCAUAAUUCAAUGUAAUAAAGCCUUUAGAAAACAUUUAGAAUCGAACCCAUGCAUAGAUUAAAAUCUAGGGUUUUUGGGGAAAUAUUGGAGACUUGAAAUCACUUUUGAAAUUGGCUCCUUGAAAGAAACUAAGUCAAGGAUGAAGACAACCAUACCUUUAAUGGAAGAAAUCCACGAAAAUACCUUGAAAAACUUGAAGAUUUGACCUUGAGAGCUUGAAUCCUUCACCUCCAAUGGAGGUUUAUUAGAUAGAGAACCUUUAGAGGGGAGGUUUCUAACUUUGGGGUGAUUUGAAAAAAAAAGAAUUUUAAAAUAGAGUUUAAUACUUUAAAAACUCUUAAAAUGUCUUAAUGAACCAAUAAAAACCGUUCAUUAACUAAACUAGACUUAAAAAUGAAUUUACCAAAACACCCUCACCAUGGUCGAGUCUUGACAGCAAACACAUGUGCCAUCCACGAACCCCCACCAACGGACCGUGGGUUGGACCAUGGGCCGUUCUGUCAAACAGUGGUUUGGUUCAGUAACUCCCACUUUGGGACCUUGACCCAUGAAAGCCAUCCACAGGGAGUGGACGGACCUACGGGGUGUAGGUCCCAUUCGUGGUUCACUAAAUUUUUGGCAGCUUUUUGGUUUAUCGUGGUCUUGGGGGUUAGGCUUUAGAAUCCUCCUUAAGGACCCCUAGGGUGGUCCUUGGGGAGUCAUACCUUAACGUUUAACCACUAAACCCCUCAACCUAAGCUUGGGACAAUAUUUUACCACCUCAAACCUCACUACAACUCAAGCACACACAAGUUAGGCUCUAGUUUCACCUAUUCGUUUUACGGGUCGUUACAUUAUCCCAUCAUUAGGAACAUUCGUCGUCGAAUGAUACUUAAAGCAUAUUAAGGGGUUAACGACUCAAGAAUAGCAGCCCAUCAUGCUUGCAACAUCAUUAACAAUGCAAAAACUAGGAAGAAACAACAACUCACAUCAAUAAGCGCAAUGCAAUACAAGAAAGUAGGAACUACUUCUACAAACUCAUUGUGCACAAAAACAUCACAUUUCUCAUUUCGUUGGAGGAAUUUCCUUCUCCAAAUCACAUCAUGCUCAUUACAACAUCAUAAGGCAACACAUUAAACUCUUUUCGAAAACAUAUUUAAGCAUACUCAACAAGUCAACUCACGAAGCAUUUAGGCAACUCCCUAUUGGUACAUAUUAACAUGAGGAACACAAUCAUGCAAACUUAUUUUCUCAUAAAACAUAAGUUCAUCAAACCAUGCAUAACAUAAAGAGAUCAUGGAAACACAUUUUCACACAUGCCUCCAAAACAUGAAACAAGCUACAAGGAACUCUUGAUCUCAAGCUUGAAUAGGAAUACAAGAAAGUGAUAAAGAAUAUUUGAACUGUCAACAAACAUACUAUUCAAUAUACCAUAUCCCCCUUAAGGGUAAACCCAUUCUAAGGCAAACAUGGAAAUAACAUAGGAACCUUAACAAGACAUUCACAACCAUAAGGAACUCUCACAUAUCGGUGCCUUCAUCUGGAUUACCUAAUUUGUCCUUGUUAGCUUGAAGAACAUAGAAACGGUUUCUCUUUGGGGCAUUGGGAUCCGGCCUAUCAAAGAGAAGCUUAUUUAGCCUCUCUUCCUUUGGACAUAAGAGUAGGGCAAUUUCUCACCUGAUGAUCACUUUUUCUGCACCCAUAGCAUCCACUAGUACCAGUUAGGCACUUCCCAAAAUGUUUCUUUCCACAAGUGGUUGAAGUAGGUUAAGAAAAUUGAGGUCCACCACUUUUCACUUGGUUAACCGUAGGAAUUCUUGAAGAAUCUUGGUUUGGAGCUCUCUUCUUGAACCUAGGUUGACCUUGCUCAUCUGGACUAGACCUCUUCAACUCCCUAUUCUUCCCCUUGAGUUUGGACACCUCACUAGAUUGAGCAUACACCAUAAGUCUAGAAAUGUUCAUAUCAUCAUGGAGCAUCGUCGUACGACACUAUUCCUAUACUAGGUCGGAUACAUUGAUCACAAAAUGACUCAUCUCAUCCCUAGGGUUUGACAGCAAAGAUGGAGCAUAAAUAGACAAUUCGGUAAAUUUCAAGGAGUACUCUUGGACAUUCAUGUUACAUUGCCUAAGGUUGAUAAAAUCCUCCAUCUUAACCUCCCUCUUCUCACGGGGAAAGAACCUACCAGGGAAUGCUUCCUUGAACAAUUCCCAAUCUAUACAUCUCGCUCCUACCGGCCUAUUAUUCUUCCAUUGAGUAAACCAAAUUUGGGCAACAUCUUUCAAUCGGUAGGUGGAAAGUUCCUCUUUCUCAACCGAAGUCACUCCCAUGGCAUUGACUAUCUUAUAUACCUCAUCCAAAAAGUCUUGGGGAUCCUCUCCCACCUUGGAACCUAUAAAAUCCAGAGGGCUCAUCUUCACAUAGUCCCUCAACCUAGAAGCCAUAGUACUCCCAAUAGCAUUCACUCUAGGUCCCACAUCUCUAGUAACGUGGACUGUCAUAGCUUGGGUUAAGGUUAGAAAAGCCGACCUAAUUUCAUCAUUAGUCAUGGCCGGUGCAUCAACCGGGACUUGGUUGUCUUGAGGAACUUGUUCAGCUUGAAGAUCUUGGGGAAUAACUCCCUCAUUCACCACCUCCUCUUCCACUCUCCUUGCGGGAGUCCUUCUUGUAUUCAUAGGCUAUAAACACAAGAGAAUAAUUAGGAAAAGGAUACUAAUAGAAUAAACUCUAAGGCACAACUUCAAGAAUAAUGAGAGAAGUGUAACUUCCUAUAGCCUCUCACUCAUAUAUGUGUCGCGACUCACACGGAUGAACAAGACUCUAUUAGACGUGGCUUGUGAGACAUCAACCUAAAACCUUUUCCAAAAUCUAGUGCUCUGAUACCAUGUUUGUCACGACCCAAGGCUAUCCCCUAGAUGCGACACGGCGUACUUGACCCCGACGAAGUCUCAUACUAGGCUCAUAGCAUUUCAUUGCAUUCGAUAAUAGAAAUAGUAUGAAAUUAAAAAUUAUUUAAAAAUGCUCAUUUAAAACACUUGAAAAGACAGCGGAAGUCUAUUGUCUCACAUAGCCAUUUAAAAAUAACAUUCGAAACAAAAGUAGGGUCACGAUCCUUUACAAUAGAAAAGUCUAACAAUAGUCUUUUACAAGAAAAGAAAUGAAACUUUGAGUACUUGUCCUCGAUCUAUCAGGACAUACCACUUAGUUUUGGAGAACCUCAAAUCCAAGCUUCAACUAGAGAGAAAGUAACUCAGUUGCCGGAACCUACACUUGUAGUAAAACAUGAAAAAAUAUGGGUUAGCACAAUAAAGUACUAAGUAUUAUAGCCAUGCAAAAACCAUACUAAAAACGGACAUUUUAUUUGAAAAUCAUGCUUUUAUGCCAUUUUGAUAAAACUUCAAAAACAUAAGUAUAAGAUGUAUAAUAUUCAAACAUAUCCAACAUAAAAGUCAUUUAAUCACAAUAGAGGCAUAAUAAACAUAUAACCCAUUACCUUCACAUUAAGCCUUCACCUCAAGUAACCCUCAUGCUCUACCUUGUGCAAUGUAUGGAUAGCGUCCCAUACCACCAUCCACACUAAAGUACCACAUUAAGGUCACCAAAAGAGAACUUACCACUCAACCUUUCCACCUUUACACAAUACUCAUACAUUGACAUAAACAUUUCAUAAGUCAUAUCAUCACAUAAGGACCAUCAUCUAGGGUAACUCUAAGUCAUACUUGUGCAAUGUAUGAGUAGCAUCCCAUACUACUACUCACACUAAGUAUUCUUUAGAGUCACCAUAGACAAGACACAUUCAUACUCAUGAAGUCACAACAAGGAAGUAACUCAUAAUACAAUCCAAGUAUAGCAUGCAUCAUUNNNNNNNNNNNNNNNNNNNNNNNNNNNNNNNNNNNNNNNNNNNNNNNNNNNNNNNNNNNNNNNNNNNNNNNNNNNNNNNNNNNNNNNNNNNNNNNNNNNNNNNNNNNNNNNNNNNNNNNNNNNNNNNNNNNNNNNNNNNNNNNNNNNNNNNNNNNNNNNNNNNNGACCACCCACACUUAACAGAACUCCUCAAGAAACCAUAAUGCACAUCUAACAUGAUGGGAAUAGGCAUUAACCGACAUAGACCAUGAGAGAAAACCAUGGAAUCGAGUGUUAAAUAGCCCCACACCAUAAAGAGGUGGUCUACUUGCCUGAGGUUGGACCGAUAACAUUUUAGCUUGGAUGGAAUCCACUAGCUAAUAUCCUAUGUGAGCACAUAGUUAUGGGAUAGGAAGAUGUUCGUUGGAACCCUAGCCUAACAUUGGGAGAGUUUCCAUCUUACAAUAUCAACUCGGCGCUUAGCCUCCAUUCCCAUAGAAUAUUUAAUUUACAUUGCAUUAUUGUGCUUGAGUGGAAUGCCAUUUGCCUAUCAACCCAAGAGACAUCAUUACACAUGAAAGGAAUGUCAUAAGCCUAUCGAUUCAUGGUACAUUACAUGGAUAGCUCAUAAAAUCCUCAAGAAGGGCUACUUACAUUGGGUCUACCGAUACAAGCUUCAUCAUUUCACACAUGAAAGGGCUACCAACACUAGGAGUACCGAUUCAAGGUUUAUCAUCCCAUUAGUUUCUAGACUCAUCAUGAAAGGCCACUAACACUAGGUUUAUCGACAAAGCAUAGAAUACUUCAUCAUUAAUUUAUGAAAGGAAUGCCAUAAGCCUAUCGAUUCAUAUUCAUCAAGUUAAGACACACUCAUUAGUCAUUUAUGAAAGGACUGCCAUAAGCAUAUCGAUUCAUAUUCAACAAUCAAGUAUACUUUCAUUCAUUCAAGAAGAGUAUACAUAUGCUUACCAAUUCAAGAUACAUUUUCACAUUACUUUCAUUUAUACAAGAAUAGGAUGCCUAAGCCUUCCAAUUCAAGAAAUACAAUACAUAGAAGGAAACCCUUCACAUUCCAUCAUCAUCAUUCAUAAGUGUUAAUUGAGAAUGUGCUUUUAAUCAUAACACUAUUACAUUCUAAACAUGACCAUCACACUAUUAUUGAAUUUACAUACAUAUCCUUCACAUCAUAUUUAUACCUAACCUUCAUUCCUUGCCUUUCAAGGUCGUGGAUCAAAUUCACCAACACACCUUAUAUCAAUACAAUUAGGAAAGAGUAAUAAUAUAAUUUCAACAUUCUAUAUUCAUAUACACAGAAACAAUUUACAUGCUUCAUAAUCAAUCAAAUCUCAAUCACAUAUCACAACUUAUGAAUUUGUGGGAAAACAUGGGUUCUUGGAUGAAAUCAUCGUAAUUCAUCUUCAAAUCCAAAAUUCAUUCAUAAUUAAAUGCAAUAAAGCCUUUAGAAAACGUUUAGAAUCGAACCCAUGCAUAGAUUGAAAUCUAGGGUUUUUGGGGAAACAUUGGAGACUUGAAAUCACUAUUGAAAUUGGCUCGUUGAAAGAAAUUAAGUCAAGGAUGAAGACCACCAUACCUUUAAUGGAAGAAAUCCACGAAAAUACCUUGAAAAACUUUAAGAUUUGACCUUGAGAUCUUGAAUCCUUCACCUCCAAUGGAGGUUUCUUAGGGAGAGAACUUUUGGAGGGGAGGUUUCUAACUUUGGGGUUAUUUGAAAAAAUGAAUUCUAAAAUAAAGUUUAAUACUUUCAAAACUCUUAAAAUGUCUUAAUGAACCAAUAAAAACCGUUCAUUAACUAGACUAGACUUAAAAAUGAAUUUAUCAAAACACCCUCACCAUGGUCGAGUCUUGACAGCACACACAUGUGCCAUCCACGAACCCCCACCAACGGACCGUGGGUUGGACCAUGGACCGUUCUGUCAAACAGUGGUUUGGUUCAGCAACUCCCACUUUGGGACCUGAACCCAUGAAAGCCAUCCACGGGGAUUGAACGGACCUACGGGCCGUAGGUCCCAUCCGUGGUUCACUAAAAUUUUGGCAGCUUUUUGGUUUCUCGUGGUCUUGGGGGUUAGGGUUUAGAAUCCUCCUUAAGGACCCCUAAGGUGGUCCUUGGGGAUUCAUACCUUGACGUUUAACCACUAAAUCCCUCAACCUAAGCUUGGGACAAUAUUUUACCACCUCAAACCUCACUCCAACUCUAGCACACACUAGUUAGGCUCUAGUUUCACCUAUUCAUUUUACGGGUCGUUACAUUAUCCCAUAAUUAGGAACAUUCGUCCUCGAAUGACACUUAAAGCAUAUUAAGGGGUUAAUGACUCGAGAAUAGCAGCCCAUCAUGCAUGCAACAUCAUUAACAAUGCAAAAACUAGGAAGAAACAACAACUCCACAUCAAUAAGCGCAAUGCAAUACAAGAAAGUGGGAACUACUUCUACAAAUUCAUUGUGCACAAAAACAUCACAUUUCUCAUUUCGUUGGAGGAAUUUCCUUCUCCAAAUCACAUCAUGCUCAUUACAACAUCAUAAGGUAACAUAUUAAACUCUUUUCGAAAACAUAUUUAAGCAUACUCAACAAGUCAAUUCACGAAGCAUUUAGGCAACUCCAUAUUGGUACAUAUUAACAUGAGGAACACAAUCAUGCAAACUCAUUUUCUCAUAAAACAUAAGUUCAUCAAACCAUGCAUAACAUAAAGAGAUCGUGGAAACACAUUUUCACACAUGCCUCCAAAACAUGAAACAAGCUACAAGGAACUCUUGAUCUAAAGCUUGAAUAGGAAUACAAGAAAGUGAUAAGGAUAUUAGAACUCUCAACAAACAUACUAUUCAAUAUACCAUAUCCCCCUUAAGGGUAAACCCAUUCUAAGGCAAACAUGGAAAUAACAUAGGAACCUUACCAAGACAUUCACAACCAUAAGGAACUCUCACAUAUCGGUGCCUUCAUCUGGAUUACCUAAUUUGUCCUUGUUAGCUUGAAGAACAUAGAAACGGUUUCUCUUUGGGGCAUUGGGAUCCGGCCUAUCAAGAGAAGCUUAUUUGGCCUCUCUUCCUUUGGCCGUAAGAGUAGGGCAAUUUCUCACUUGAUGAUCACUUUUUCCGCACACAUAGCAUCCACUAGUACCGGUUAGGCACUUCCCAAAAUGUUUCUUUCCACAAGGAGUGGAAGUAGGUUUAGAAAAUUGAGAUCUACCACCUUUCACUUGGUUAACCCUAGGAGUUCUUGAAGAAUCUUGGUUUGGAGCUCUCUUCUUAAACCUAGGUUGACCUUGCUCAUCUGGACUAGACCUCUUCAACUCCCUAUUCUUCCCCUUGAGUUUGGACACCUCAAUAGAUUGAGCAUACACCAUAAGUCUAGUAAUGUUCAUAUCAUCAUGGAGAAUCGUAAUACGACACUCUUCUAUACUAGGUCAGAUACAUCGAUCAUAAAAUGACUCAUCUCAUCCCUAGGGUUUGACACCAAAGAUGGAGCAUAAAUAGACAAUUGGGUAAAUUUCAAUGAGUACUCUUGGACAUUCAUGUUAAAUUGCCUAAGGUUGAUAAACUCCUCCAUCCUAAAGUCCCUCUUCUCACGGGGAAAGAACCUACGGGGGAAUACUUCCUUGAACAAUUCCCAAUCUAUACAUCUCGCUCCUACCGGCCUAUUACUCUUCCAUUGAGUAAACGAAAUUUGGGCAACAUCUUUCAAUCGGUAGGUGGCAAGUUCCUCUUUCUCAACAGAAGUCACUCCCAUGGCAUUGACUAUCUUAUAUACCUCAUCCAAAAAGUCUUGGGGAUCCUCUCCCACCUUGGAACCUAUAAAAACCAGAGGGUUCAUCUUCACAAAGUCCCUCAACCUAGAAGCCAUGGUACUCUCAAUAGCAUUCACUCUAGGUCCCACAUCUCUAGUAACCUGGGCUGUCAUAGCUUGGGUUAAGGUUAGAAAAGCCGACAUAAUUUCAUCAUUAGUCAUGGCCGGUGCAUCAACCGGGACUUCGUUGUCUUGAGGAACUUGUUCACCAUGAGGAUCAUGAAGUCAAGACACAUUCAUACUCAUAAAGUCAAGACACAUUCAUACUUAUGAAGUCAUAACAAAGAAGUAACUCAUAAUAAAAUCCAAGUAUAGCAUGCAUCAUUACAUUUUAAGCAUAUAAGAGUCAACAUUCAUCAUUAGCUUCAUUUAAAGCACUUUCAUACAUUAGUCAUUAAGACCUUAAGAGAACUCACUAUGACCCUCUCAAAGCCUACUCGUGCAACGCAUGGAUAGCAUCCCAUACUACCACCCACACUUAACAGAACUCCUCAAGAAACCAUAAUUCACAACUCACAUGAUGGGAAUAGGCAUUAACCGACAUAGACCAUGAGAGAAAACCAUGGAAUCCAGUGUUAUAUAGCCCCACACCAUAAAGAGGUGGUUUACUUGCCUGAGGUUGGACCGAUAACAUUUUAUCUUGGAUGGAAUCCACUAGCUAAUAUCCUAUGUGAGCACAUAGUUAUGGGAUAGGAAGAUGUUCGUUGGAACCCUAGCCUAACAUUGGGAGAGUUUCCAUCUUACAAUAUCAACUCGGUGCUUAGCAUCCAUUCCCAUAGAGUAUUUAAUUUACAUUGCAUUAUUGUGCCUCAGUGGAAUGCCAUUUGCCUAUCAACCCAAGACACAUCAUUACACAUGAAAGGAAUGUCAUAAGCCUAUCGAUUCAUGGUACAUUACAUGGAUAGCUCAUUAAAUCCUCAAUAACGGCUACUUACAUUGGGUCUACCGAUACAAGCUUCAUCAUUUCACACAUGAAAGGGCUACCAACACUAGGAGUACCGAUUCAAGGUUUAUCAUCCCAUUAGUUUCUAGACUCAUAAUGAAAGGCCACUAACACUAGGUUUAUUGGUUCAAGACAAAGCCUAGAAUACUUCAUCAUUAAUUUAUGAAAGGAAUGCCAUAAGCCUAUCGAUUCAUAUUCAUCAAGUUAAGACACACUUAUUAGACAUUUAUGAAAGGACUGCCAUAAGCAUAUCGAUUCAUAUUAAACAAUCAAGUAUACUUUCAUUCAUUCAGGAAGAGGAUGCAUAUGCUUACCAAUUCAUGAUACAUUUUCACAUUACUUUCAUUUAUACAAGAAUAGGAUGCCUAAGCCUUCCAAUUCAAGAUAUACAAUACAUAGAAGGAAACCCUUCACAUUCCAUCAUCAUCAUUCAUAAGUUUUAAUUGAGAAUGUUCUCUUAAUCAUAACACUAUUACAUUCUAAACAUGACCAUCACACUAUCAUUGAAUUUACAUACAUAUCCUUCACAUCAUAUUCAUACCUUAACAUUCAUUUCCUUGCCUUUCAAGGUCGUGGAUCAAAUUCACCCACACACCUUAUAUCAAUACAAUUAGGAAAGAGUAAUAACAUAAUUUCAACAUUCUAUAUUCAUAUACACAGAAACAAUUUACAUACUUCCUAAUCAAUCAAAUCGCAAUCAGAUAUCACAACUUAUGAUUUUGUGGGAAAACAUGGGUUCUAGGAAAAAAUCAUCAUAAUUCCUCUUUAAAUCUAAAAUUCAUUCAUAAUUAAAUGCAAUAAAGCCUUUAGAAAAUGUUUAGAAUCAAACCCAUGCAUAGAUUGAAAUCUAGGGUUUUUGGGGAAACAUUGGAGACUUGAAAUCACUUUUGAAAUUGGCUCCUUGAAAGAAACUAAGUCAAUGGUUAAGACCACCAUACCUUUAAUGGAAUAAAUCCACGAAAAUAUCUUGAAAAACUAGAAGAUUUGACCUUGAGAGAUUGAAUCCUUCACCUCCAAUGGAGGUUUCUUAGGGAGAGAACUUUUGGAGGGGAGGUUUCUGACUUUGGGGUGAUAUGAAAAAAUGAAUUCUAAAAUAGAGUUUAAUACUUUAAACACUCUUAAAAUAUCUUAUUAAACCAAUAAAAACCGUCCAUAUACUAAACUACACUUAAAAUGAAUUCACCAAAAGACCCACACCUUAGUCUAGUCUUGAUAGCACACACAUGUGCCAUCCACGAACCCCCACCCACGGACCAUGGGUAGGUCCACGGGCCUUUCUAGCAAACUGUGGUUUGGUUCAGCAACUCCCUCUUUGGUACCUUGACCCACGAAGUCCAUCCACGGGGAGUGGAUGGACCUACGGGCCGUAGGUCCCAUCCGUGGUUCACUAAAUUUUUUGGCAGCUUUUUGGUUUCUAGGGGUCUUGGGGGUUAGGCUUUAGGGUCCUACUCAAGGACCCCUAGGGUGGUCCUUGGGGAGUCGUACCUUGAUGUUUACCCCUAAAACCCUCAACCUAAGAUAGGGACAACAUUUUACCACCUCAAACAUCACUACAACUCAAGCACACACUAGUUAGGUUCUAGUUUCACCUAUUCGUUUUACGGGUCGUUACAUUUAGACUUUUACUUUGUAAAACUCUUUUAUAAUAUAAGAUUGUUUCACUAAAACAUUUAUUUCCAUUAUCUUGUACAAUGUAUGCUUAAGGGAAUUUGUGUUGCCUUUCCGGGUUCUAUACGCUAGGUUAUGCCUACGAUAUACUUUGGGUCGGGACAGGCUUGGUAUUAAGAACACAUGGUUUAGAAAGAUCAUAGGAUUUCUCACAAGCCACGUCGAUAAGAAUCUUGUUCAUGAGUGUGAAGUGUGCAACAUUUAUGAAUAGGAAAAUAUCUGACGUUUUGGAAAUUUUAUUUGUUUAAUCACUCAAUUCGCGCAAUAGAUUUUAACUCUAUAUGUCUAUCUCCAAAUCCUUAUUUGAUGCUUGCUAGCAUCUUUACCCUCGAAGAGCAUGCAUUAGAAGAAAUGCGCAUGAGAAUGUGGAACAAGAAGCUCCUCAUGUUUUGGCCGACCAUUUGGUCAAACAAGUGACUAAUGCAGAGUUCUGAGCCACUUUCCAAGUGUUGUGUCACGCAAUGACAACUCAUUCCAAUAAGAAGGUUGUGGCCUUCAUGAACCCAAAUAUGGGUACAAUGGCAACUAGAGUGAGGGACUUCACUUGGAUGAAUCCCCCAAAUGUUCAUGGUUUCAUGGUUGACUAAGAUCCUUAGAGUUCAUUAAGAGGUUUAUAAGGUUUUGAGAUUUUUGGAGCAUUUCCGGUGGAAAAUAUGGAAUUGGUCGAUUAUCAAUAUUAGGGUGUUGCUAGAGUUUGGUUCAAUCAAUGGAAGGAAGAGAGAGUGAUUCAUGCGGGUCCCCUUGAUUUGGAGAAGUUAAAAGUUGUUUAUCUUGAUAUGUUCUUUCCCCUUAAUAUGAGGGAGGAAAAAGUACUUGAGCUUAUUAACCUUCAUAAAUGGAAUACGAGUGUGAAGGAAUAUGCUUUGAAAUUCACAUAAUUGUCGAUAUAUGCCCCUACAAUGGUUGCCGAUUCUAAGGGAAAGAUGAAUAAGUUUGUUUUGAGUGUGUCUGAAAUGAUGGUUAAGGAAUGUCGUACCACCAUGCUUAUUAAGAAAAUGGGCAUUUCUCGUUUAAUGUUUCAUGCUCAAUAAAUUGAAGAGGAGAAGCCUAAUGAAAGUUCUAAAUUAUGACAAAGACCAGUGAUGGAGACUUUUCACAUUCAAUGUCCAAUAGACAUAUUCUUUCUAGAUUCUGACAAAGUUUUUCUGGUCAAUGUUCCUCCAAUUCUCCGGCUCCUAAGUUCAACAAAGAAAGGGUGUCUAACCCUAAGCCUCAAGGAAGAAAUGGUAGAGAAAAUGGGUCCUUGGUUCUCGUAUGCCAAAAGUGUGGCAAGAGCCAUUCACGAAAAUGCUUGAUGUGUAUGGAUAACUGUUUUGGUUUUGGUCAGAGUGGUCACUUCUUGAGAGAUUGUCCAUUGAUGAGUGGUAGAUUUGCACUCAUCUAAAGUCCAUUUAACUCAAUAAUUAGUGUCAACAAUUCCUAUUAUUUUCCUAUUCUGAUUAAAUGUUGAUGAUUUGCAUAUAGGAAGGAAAUUCGACAAGGAUGGGAUUGAUAUAUGAAAGGAUGGAAAAAAAUUCAAAAAUAAGUGCACCCCAUACAUUGUGGAUGACCUAACAAGAAGGGAGGAUCACCAACUGAGCAUGACCUUGCCCAGGGUGGGAAUCAGUGAUUCACUGAAUGGAAAAGGUAGAAUCAAUCGAGUUCUCCAACUAAGGUUCAGAACACUAGAGCAUCAAAAGGCAAGUUGAAGAUAAAGAGGUGAUGUGUCGAACGUGUCCGGCGAACCUGACUAAUGUCUUCAAUAGACCUGCCUAGUGGAGUUUUGGGCCUAAUUUUGACAAAUUAUAAAUAGCCCAAAAGAAAGGAUAGAAAAAAAGGUCAGUUUUGUGUGAAGAGUUGAGAGAGAAACCACUUUACUUUUGAAUAACACAUUUCUAGCUUUUGGGGUUUUACAACUUUGUAAUUGAAUUUAAUAAAUUGAAGUUGAAUCCAAAGUGGGAUUACUUGUAAUGGUUUGAUUUCAAAUUACGCAUGGUUGCUUUCAUGAAAGGUGUAGUCUCUUUACUUUUUCUGAUGGGUGGCUAAAACACCAAGAUUUAGUGGGUAUUGUUCUAUGCUUUGUUGUUGUUCUUACAUGAAUUUGGUUUAAUAAUCAUUGGGUUAAUGUGGUAGAUUUGCACUUAUUUAAGGUCUAAUUAGUUCAAUAAUUUGUGUCAUUAAUACUUAAUAGUUUCCUAUUUUGAUUAAAUGUUGAUGAUUUGCAUAUAGGAAGGAAAUUUGACAAGGCAAGGAUUGAUAUUUUAAAGAAUGGCAAAAAUGCAAAAAGAAGUGAAAACUAUACAUUUGUGGAUCACCUAACAAGAAGGGUAGAUCACUAAUUGAGCAUGAACUCGCUCAAAAUUAAAGUGCAUAACCCUUGUGUUUAUCUAAUAAAGUCUGCGAAAUCUAGUGCAGAAAGCGAUGCACCAAAUGAGAAAGGCACCCUAGAAUAAUAUUGCCCAAAACGACAGUGUGAAAAGAAAAGAUUAAAUGCUCGAAAGUCGCACUGAAGUGGUGAUUCACAAUUCUCUGAAUGUGAAAGGCUAGAUCAACCGAGUUCUCCAAAUAGUGUUCCAAACACAUAUAUCCUAGAGAAUCAAGAGGGGAGCUGAAUAGCAAAAGGUGAUGUGCUGAAUGUGUUCGGCAAGCCCGACUAUUGCCGCUAAUUGAUCUGUGUAGUGGAAUUUUGGGCCUAAUUUUGGGAAAUUAUAAGUAUCCCAAAAUAAAGGAUAGAGAAAAAGAUCGGGUCUAUGUGAGGAGUUGAGAGAGAAAACCAUUUACUUUUGAAGAACACUUUUCUAGCUUUUGCGUUAUACAAUUUUCUACACCCUCCUCUACUAUUGGCCCUACUUUUUAUGUUUCUCUAUAUACUGAAGCUAUUGUUGUGAGGCUUCCCUCCUCUCCUAUUGCACAUCCCCCUUUGACCCAAGCUAUAAUAUACCAUAUGGGCCACCUUACCUUGUCAGUAAAUGUUAAAGCCUCCCGGGUUGAGACGGGCCCGACCAAGCUCAUUGAUCAGGCCAUUAAGAAGACCUUAGUUCCUUUGCUAGAGAAGAUGGUCAAGUGCGAUGAUAUUGUUGAGAGUCACAAUGUGAGGUUGGAUGAUGUCACAAUGAGAUUAGAGGCACAGGAAAAGGCUGAGGGUAGCUCUAGUGCACUAGGCACCAUGAUCAAUGAGAUUGCUACCCUGCAGUAUAUUUGUACUCCAAGGAUAUAUCUAUGCUUUGGGGAAUGGUUACCCUAAUGAGCAGUGUGAGAUUGUUGCGCGUAUUGCUGUUGUGGAUAAUGAUGAUGGUGAGAGGGGUGAGGAAGAGUUGGGUGAGGAAACUAAUAACGAGAAGGUGGGGAACAAAGAGCAUGGGAUUGCAGAGAUGAUGACUGAGCAGAAGAAGACCGAGGAGGUCAUUCUUUAAGUAGCCCUAGAGACAUCCCUUCCAUAGAUGUCUGAGGUUUUGAUGUAAUUCUCACCACGAAUAAGAUAAAAUGCGAAAAUAAAAGAAGGAUAGAAGAAGAGAUACAAGAGAAGGAACAAUUGCAAAUAAAGGAUUUAUUAAAUCCUAAAACCUCCAAUUACAAUCCCUAAACAAGCACCUAAUCAAGAUAAAUAGGUUGACACAAGAAAAUGAAAUCAAAAACAACCUAAAAGUAUAUUAAACCUAAAAACUUUAAUCAAUUAUUCUGAAACAAGAACCGAAUCUCUUACAAUGACCUCAAGGAAAUUGAAUAUCCAAGCAACCCUUAUUUCUAAACAAAGUUCAAUAGAAGCUUUACCAAGCUCUCAAAUCUCUCAAAGGAGAUCCAUUUCAUCAAUCAUUCAUGUUCCUAAAAUUCUACCUAAAAUGAACCGCCAAACUACCUAUUUAUAGUCUUAGGUAAUUAUUACAAAAGAGGCCCAAAAGUGGCCCAAAAUGGGGAAAAGGGUGAGUUGGGUCAUGCUCGCCUAAGGAACACGGCGAGUCACCGAUUGACCUCCAGCUCGCCGAAUGUGGAAGCUUCCCUUUAGCUCCUUGGACCUUUAGGCGGUCUUAGAACCCUCGCCGAAUCUGUUUGGUGAGUCGCCGAUUGACCUCCAGCUUGCCAAAUGUGGCAAGUUUCUUCACUUGCUCUUCCUCGCUUCGUUAGACCUCCCACACGCCAAGAUAUCAUCCAAACAUGGUAUUACUCAAUUGGAUGCUCGUUUGAAGCGCAUAUGUUGUUAUUCAAGGCAUGGAAUCCUCUCUUUGUCAUCAACUCAAAUUCAAGAAUGUCCAUCUUUGUGAACAAUUCCCCCAUACUUUAAAGCUCCCAAACUUGGCUUUGAGUGAAUGACAUUCAGGCAAUCUGGAUUGCAUCAUUCUUCCCAUCUUGAAAAGGAUUCGUCCUCGAAUCCAAACCUUGCAAAACCAUAGGGAAAUCAAAUCACAACAAGAUCCUCAUGGCAUGAAGGCUAGCGUUAGCAGUAAUUACUUUGUCACCAUGCCAAGGAUGCACAAAUUAAUUUAACAUAUAACCAAGCAUCAAAAUGAUCAACAAAGGGUUUGUAACCCAUCAAAACAAUGGAUACUUGGCUACUUAAGAAACUUUGACAAAGGGGUACAGAGAAGGAACCAUUACACUUAGGCAACCACGCAUGUACACCUUCAUUGGUUCCACAUUUCAACAAGCAAAAUUCCCGUGUUAAGACACUGAGCACAUGAACACCCUCAUACCUAAGUGCAAAUUCAUAAAUAAGGUUAACCCAAGUUAAGACUCCACCCAAUGCACUAGCUAACUUCAGGAAUGUAAUUAAUCCCCAAUCAUGAGCGGGGUCAAGUAUAGAAGUAUUCCCCACACAAGUUGGCAAACAUACCUCGUUCACAUAAGAUCAAGUAGUGACACCAAGUAAGAAUCAUAUGAAACAAAGAUAGUGUUACUACCAUACUCAUCAUAAUUGAGGCCAACACCGGGGUCAAAUGGGAAGAAAUUGCAUAGCAUCAAGUCAAGGAGACUCCCAUUUGCCCUAUUGAUAAUACUAUCAACAUAAAAUAGGCUACCCACACAAGCAUGAUUAUCAUCAUAAGCGAAUAGAUAAUAGAGAAAGGUGUCAUGCACACUGGGGUAAUCUAGGGUGUUCAUAUAUGCAAGAUCACAACUAGGUUCAAGGAUCCUAGAACUCAUUACAUCACAAGAAAGAACACCCAAAGACAUCAUGGGGAAUUUUAGAUAAACUUCACCUUCUCUUGACAAAUAAAUCCUACCCCCAUAAGAUUCACAAUCAACAAGAUUAAAGAAUGGGGUUUAGGAAACUAACCCUCCCCAUACACUAUGUAGGCCCCUUAAGUGGAUUGUAAACCCUCAAGAAGGACUUUCCAUCUUAGGGAAAGGUAUCAACAGAUUCAUCCAAAGUAUUCUUGUCAUCUCGACCAAGCAUUACUACACAAGUGCCACAGUCCAACUCAUUCUCGGGUCAAAUGGAAGGGAAUUCCAUGAACUGGGAUCAAGUACACCCCUUUUUGCCCGAUUGGCACUCUUAUAUUCAAAAGAAAUAAUACACUGAAGAGUGUGAGCAUCAUCAUAUGAAAACAAGCAAUAGAGAAAGGUGGCACACAAAACAACUUCAUCUAAGGUGUUUUAUAGGUAUGACUACUAUUAGGAUCAAAGUCAUUGAUCAUACCAUCGAGUGUUGGAACAAGCCAAGAAGAAGAGGUAAUGGGAAAACAAAUAUCACCUUCUUUCUCAUUAUAAUCCUUCCCCAGAAGAGUACACUCAUCUUCCAAGAAAAGAGUUCCAUCUUUGGGAGGAAAAUCUUCACACCAUAAUGGGUAACUAUAAAAAGUGUAGCUAUCAAGAGCUACACUACUCUCAUGAUUCACACCACUAGGAACUUCACUAAGAGUGAUAUCCCCAUCUUCAAACAAGAUAUUGUACUUAAAUAUGGAAUGAUCAACCACUAUGGAAGAAUUAAAACAAGAAAAUUCACUCUAAAAAAGACAUCAUUUUUUGAAGCAUUUUUAAGCACAUGAUCUCUAUGAGCAAAACAAGUAAUAGGAUCUUCCAUAAAAAGAUAUGCUCAAAUAGUCACUCCUAUUCAAAUGGCCAACAGUAUUAUCAAUAUCACCAAAUUGAGGUUCCUUAAUCGCAUCACAAGAUUUGUCAAUUAGUGAACUACACUCAAAUGCAGGUUGAUCACCACAAAUAUCACAUGAUAAUGAACUAUCCCUCAAAGCAUGGGUGUCAAGACUAGGUAGAGACAAUUCGAUCUUACUAGAAGAAUCAAUUCGGUCAUCAAUAGGAUUAACUAGUGUAUCAACACUCUCAACAUGUACAUUAUCAACACAUGGUAAAGAAACAUUAGGGUCACAUAAAGACAAGCUAUCAUUUACACUUUGUUCAUUUGCAAUUGUAAAAAUGUUAAGUUUAGCUAAUGUACCUUGACGUUUGCAAGAAAUAUCUACUUUACCUUGGAAUGAAACUCUCUUAGGAAUGUUAGGACAACACAAAAGUACAUCCAUCUCACCUUCAAUGGUGAGCUGUUUUUGGGAACUAGUGUUCCUCCGCUCAUCAUGCUUGUUCCUACAUAAGACCCCUUACAAAGUGACAGAUAAGAAAAAAGUUUAGAUUGAGAUUGUGGCAACCCCCUCAGUUUACUUCACUCAACCUCUCAUUUUUUCACUCUAAGGUUGCCACCUUGCUCUCACUUACUCCUCUCAAUCUUUUGUCUCCCAUUGUGCCUUUUAGGAGGAGGAAAUAGAUGUGUUCCUCAUUGAUCCAAAACAUACUUGGACAAUUUUUGGAAGUUCGGAACCUUAUGUUUGUUAAACCAAUCGGCUCCCAAACACAAAUGACAAAAAUCCAUGGGUAUUACAUCACACCAAACCUCUUUAUAGUAUUCACCACAUGUAAAAGAUUCCUUUACAACUGUGGUAACCUUACAUCCCUCCAUGGUGUAUGGAUAAUGCCUUUAUAUUCAGGAUAGUCUCAAGUAGGCUACCGUAGAUGGAGUGACAUAGUUUAGAUUGCAACAGUCAUCGAGGACAAGAUCAAACCUCAAAGGUCCACAAAUGUCAACCUUUAUCCUAAGAACUUGACUUCUCGGGUCAUCAUUAUAAAGUUUUUUGUACCCCUUUGGCACAUGCUUAAACCUUAUUAGCCCUUUCAAUUAUUCCCAUCUCAAAGGGUUGGCAUUUCCAUUGUGUUUUCGAAGCCAUCGCACAUGUGUCUACCAAAUCAAUGCAAGACCUUUAAAGUGUUCGAGGGCAUACAUGGAUUGCUCAGUGUCUUCCAAGUCAUGGUUUCUUGAAAUUCCGCUCACAUUGCCACUCCCAAUCAAGAUACGCCUCGGGAUCAUAAUUUCUUUCAAAAGUAGGAAGACUAACUCUUUUGGUACCGAGACACCUAAUAUAAUCCCCAUAUCUUCCUUGGUUCCUAUAUCCUGACAAGUGUGCAUUAAAAUAGGAAGUGUAGGAUGUAGUAUACUUCUACACUAGAGAUGCACACUCUUUUCUUCCCAUAGGAUUAGUUUGACUUGAACUAGUGAAACUAUACACCCCGCUUCGUAUAGGGCAAGAUUUACAACAAGACAAAGAAUAUGAAUCUUCACAAGCCUUAGGGGCAUGCUUCUCAUAAUUCAUAUAUAAGAGAGUAUUAUACCUCACCUCAUACUUUCCUCCGGAAUAGUAUUCCUCAUUCUCAUCCGUCUUUUGAUCAUGGCUAUCAUCAUAGCCUGCAUAAUCACCAUCAUCCUCACAUCCAUAGCCUCCAUCACGACAAUCAUAGUCUCCCAUUUUAUAGUCACAUGGGUCCAAGGCUAUUGAUGACAUGAUUCCUUAAAACUCCUUUGUACCUACAAAAUAUGCAAACAAGGUUAGUAGUAAAAGCUCCUCACCAACACUAUCAUUUUCUCACCUUUGAAUACCUCACAAAUUAGCUUGGAUCAUAUUGAACCUUGUUUCAAUCCGGUGGUACACAAGUAUCAAUUAAAGUCUUGGUCGGAAUAGAUUCUUGUUUCAAGAAGGAUGGACGACUCAAUAACAAACAAACGGACUUGAAAUCAAAAAUUUAACUACGAAGUUAAAACUAAAAGCACACAAAGAAAGCACAAGCAAGAAAACGGAUACAAGAGUAUUCAACAACUAACUAAGGACAUUUACUAGUCGGAAAUUAGUUUUAAGAAUCAAACAAGUGAGUAGGAACCAAGGAAAAUGAGACUAGGAAGUUAGAACAUGAGAUAGGUCAUAAAAUCAAGCUUGGGUGUCCAAACUUAAACUAUUUUUCGCCAAAAAUGAAAUUCACAGAAUUUACUCCUUAUAGAUUGCCGAAUAAGUUUGGCGAACUACCGAAGUACCCUCAGCUCGCUGAAUUUUCCUGAGACUCAAUUUCAUUUGGCGAGCUCAGCUCCCAUUUGGAGAAUCGCCAAAUCAGUUUUGUAAGCACGACUUAGCUCACCCAGUUGACUUUCCAGCACAUUUGUAGCCUCCGAUUUUUGACUUCUUGUUGUCCCUUUGUACUUUCUUGACCUAGCACUUGUUCCUUUUGGUAAAUUCCCUUUUGAACCAACACAAGUAAUAUUUCUUUCCACUUCCUUUUGGAUCAAACAGUUCCUUUUGAUAAUUUUACUCCUUGAUGAUUUAAAGAUCCCCAAGAAAACUAUGAACAAGGUGAAGACCCAAAAUAAAACCCUCAACAAUUUUGGCUCGGAAUUUCAUAAAAUUUGAGAUAUAGGAUUCCCUUGAUGUAGGAAACAAACCCCAAUACUUUUUAUCUUUCAAUUCAUGGCCAAAUUCAUAAAAUUUUGAAACCCAUUACCUUCUUUCUUCAAGUCAUGAAGAACACCAUGAACAUCAAGAACACCCAAUUUUCAAACCCAAUGGAUUUCUACUUCGUUUUCACCAAAAUUUCAGAUAUUAACUCCUAAGGAUAUAGAUAUCAAGCCUCAACCCCAAAGAGUCUCCAUUUCCAACUAGAUCUAAAAAUUCACAUGAUGUUCUUCAAGCUUCUUCAACCAACAAUGGUUGAAUCUACAAUAGCCCAAACUUCACCAAAUCUUAGAUUUAGACUCAAAUAAUACUAGGGAAUACUAAUCUAGCCUUAGAAACUUCAAAUAAGACUCAAACUAACAAAUAUUUUUUGGGAUUUUCUUCAAAAAUUAUUUUGACACUUUUUUUGUAACAAAACCACGACUAGAAUCGUAGGAACGAAUCUAAUAGUUGCUCUGAUACAAAAAGAUGUAAUUCUCACCUCUAAUUAUGGAAAAAAUGCCGAAAUAAAAGAAGCACAGAAGAAUAAAUGCAUGAGAACGAACAAUUGGCAACUAAAGAAUGUAUUAAAUCCUAAAACCUCCAAUUACAAUCCCUAAACAAGCACCUAAUCAAGAUAAAUAGAAUGACACAAUAAAAGGAAAUAUAAAGAAACCUUAUGGUAUAUUAAACCUAAAUACCUCAAUCGAUUAAUCUGAAUCAAGCACUGAAUCUCUUAUGAAGACCUUGUGGAAAUUGAAUCUCCAAGCAACCCCCGUUUCUAAACAAAAUUCAAUAGAAGCAUUACCAAGCUCUCAAGUUUCUCAAAGGAGAUCCAAUUCAUCAAUCAGUCAUAUUAAAAAAAUUCUACCCAAAAUGAACCCCCAAACUAGCUAUUUAUAGUUUUAGGUAAUUAUUACAAAAGAGGCCCAAGAGUAGCCCAAAAUGGGGAAAAGGCCGAGCUGGGUCGUUCUCGCCUAAGGGACUCGGCGAGUCCUCACUUGACCUCAAGCUCGCCGAGUAUGGAAGCUUACGUGUACCUCCUUGGAACUCUAGGCGGUCUUGGAACCCUCACCGAAUCAGUUUGGCGAGUCACUGAUUGACAUCCAGCUCAUCGAAUGUGGCAAGCUUCUUCAGUUGCUCUUCUUUGCUUUGUUAGACCUCCCACACUCUAUGCUAUCAUUAAAACAUGGUAUUUAUCAAUUGGAAGAUCCUUUGAAGCCCGUAUGUUGUUAUUCUAGGCAUGGAAUCCCUUCUUUGUCAUCAACUCAAGUUUAAGAACCUCAAUCUUUGUGAACAAUUCUUCCGUACUUUGAAGCUCCCAAACAUGGCCUUGAGUGAAUAACCUUGAGGCAAUCUCUAUGACAUCAGGUUGGUUCUAAUGGAGAUACUCUAGACCCCACCAUACCUCUGAUAGUUGAGACAUGAAUUGAUGCCUCAGUUUAGCCUUCCCUUCCACCUCCAGUAAUCUUGUUGCCGGGCAUUGUUGUCCCUUUUGAGGUUUCCCCACGUGAGACUCCUAACGAGAGUUCUCCAUAAACAUAACCUUUAGGUAAUCUUUUAUCUAGCCUCCUCGUACUUUUAUUACAUUGCAUUGAGGACACUACAUAUUUGUUUUUGGUAGUGUGAGGGCCUUAGUGCCAAUAUUCCCCUUUUGAUUGUAUUUUCUUAUUUUGAUUUUUGAACUAUUGUAGUACUUUGCUUUGUUUUUAUGAUAGUGUUCUUCUGUUAAAAAUGUCUCUCUAGAUUUUAUUUCAUUUGCUCUUUAUUUUGCAACCCCCAAUGAGUUUAAAAUCAUGAAUUUUUUUAAAGUUUCAUUUAUAAUAAUUAGAGGAUCCAUUGUGUUCAAUAUUUGUAACACCCCGGAAAUUCUAUGACUGAAGUUAAAGCCUCACCUUAUGAAUAAUGACUUAAAAUAGUUAAAAUGAUGUUUAUAAACCUAAACUAAUGUAAUUGACUUGGUUUGGAAGAGUAAAAGUCUAAACGUCAAGAAACGACUACGACGUCCGGAAACUAGAGAAGAAUGUGUUCUAGUGUGUCCUUAGGUUUUGGGCAGCUUUAAGAGUGUCGUAUGAUGGUAUAAUCUGGUUAAAAGGUUUAAAAUAGGUAAAUAUAUGUUCCUAGGGUCAAAACGUUUGAAUACGACUCCCCGGGACCACACUAAGGAGCCCUGAGGAGGACCCUAACCUUAGCCAAGCAUGUUGCCAAGGCAGCUUGCAAGUUGUGCAUAGAGGGAAUGAGGGUGCGUCGUGCACUUGCUUCCCCAGGGAUAAAAAUUUCAGUUCGCGAUUCAGUCGUGUGGCGGACUCUACUAUCUUGAAAUUUAUUACCAAGACAUUCACAACCAUAAGGAACUCUCACAUAUCGGUACCUUCAUCUAGAUUACCUAAUUUGUACUUGUUAGCUUGAAGAACAUAGAAAUGGUUUCUCUUUGGGGCAUUGGGAUCCGGCCUAUCAAGAGAAACUUAUUUGGCCUCUCUUCCUUUGGCCGUAAGAGUAGGGAAAUUUCUCACUUGAUGAUCACUUUUUCCGUACCCACAACAUCCACUAGUACCGGUUAGGCACUUCCCAAAAUGUUUCUUUCCACAAGUGGUGGAAGUAGGUUUAGAAAAUUGAGAUCUACCACCUUUUGCUUGGUUAACCCUAGGAGUUCUUGAAGAAUCUUGGUUUGGAGCUCUCUUCUUGAACCUAGGUUGACCUUGCUCAUCUGGACAAGACCUCUUCAACUCCCUAUUCUUCCCCUUGAGGUUGGACACCUCAAUAGAUUGAGCAUACACCAUAAGUCUAGAAAUGUUCAUAUCAUCAUGGAGCAUCGUCGUACGACACUAUUCCUAUACUAGGUCGGAUACAUCGAUUACAAAAUGACUUAUCUCAUCCCUAGGGUUUGACACCAAAGAUGGAGCAUAAAUAGACAAUUGGGUAAAUUUCAAGGAGUACUCUUGGACAUUCAUGUUACAUUGCCUAUGGUUGAUAAACUCCUCCAUCUUAACCUCCCUCUUCUCAUGGGGAAAGAACCUACCUGGGAAUGCUUCCUUGAACAAUUCCCAAUCUAUACAUCUCGCUCCUACCGGCCUAUUACUCUUCCAUUGAGUAAACUAAAUUUGGGCAACAUCUUUCAAUCGGUAGGUGGCAAGUUUCUCUUUCUCAACAGAAGUAACUCCCAUGGCAUUGACUAUCUUAUAUACAUCAUCCAAAAAGUCUUGGGGAUCCUCUCCCACCUUGGAACCUAUAAAAACCAGAGGGUUCAUCUUCACAAAGUCCCUCAACCUAGAAGCCAUAGUACUUUCAAUAGCAUUCACUUUAGGUCCCACAUCUCUAGUAACCUGGGCUGUCAUAGCUUGGGUUAAGGUUAGAAAAGCCGACAUAAUUUCAUCAUUAGUCAUGGCCGGUGCAUCAACCGGGACUUGGUUGUCUUGAGGAAGUUGUUCACCUUGAGGAUCUUGGGGAGGAACUCCCUCAUUCACCACCUCCUCUUCCACUCUCCUUGCGGGAGUCCUUCUUGUAUUCAUAUGCUAUAAACACAAGAGAAUAAUUAGGAAAAGGACACUAAUAGAAUAAACUCUAAGGCACAACUUCAAGAAUAAUGAAAGAAGUGUAACUUCCUAUAGCCUCUCACUCAUAGAUGUGUCAUGACUCACACCAAUGAACAAGACUCUACUAGAUGUGGCUUGUGAGACAUCAACCUAAAAACCUUUUCCAAAAUCUAGUGCUCUGAUACCAUGUUUGUCACGACCCAAGGCUAUCCCCUAGAUGCGACACGGCGUACUUGACCCCGAAGAAGUCUCAUACAAGCCUCAUAGCAUUUCAUUGCAUUCGAUAAUAGAAAUAGUAUGAAAUUAAAACUUAUUUCAUAAUGCUCAUUUAAAACACUUGAAAAGACAACGGAAGUCUAUUGUCUCACAUAGCCAUCUAAAAAUAACUUUCGAAACAAAAGUAGGGUCACGAUCCUUUACAAUAGAAAAGUCUAACAAUAGUCUUUUACAAGAAAAGAAAUGAAACUUUGAGUACCUGUCCUCGAUCUAUCAGGACAUACCACUUAGUUUUGGAGAACCUCAAAUCCAAGCUUCAACUAGUGAGAAAGUAACUCAGUUGCCGGAACCUACACUUGUAGUAAAACAUGAAAAAAUAUGGGUUAGCACAAUAAAGUACUAAGUAUUAUAGCCAUGCAAAAACCAUACUAAAAACGGACAUUUUAUUUGAAAAUCAUGCUUUUAUGCCAUUUUGAUAAAACUUCAAAAACAUAAGUAUAAGAUGUAUAAUAUUCAAACAUAUCCAACAUAAAAGUCAUUUAAUCACAAUAGAGGCAUAAUAAACAUAUAACCCAUUACCUUCACAUUAAACCUUCACCUCAAGUAACCCUCAUGCUAUACCUUGUGCAAUGUAUGGAUAGCGUCCCAUACCACCAUCCACACUAAAGUACCACAUUAAGGUCACCAAAAGAGAACUUACCACUCAACCUUUCCACCUUUACACAAUACUCAUACAUAAGAGACAUAAACAUUUCAUAAGUCAUAUCAUCACAUAAGGACCAUCAUCUAGGGUAACUCUAAGUCAUACUUGUGCAAUGUAUGAGUAGCAUCUCAUACUACUACUCACACUAAGUAUUCCUUUAGAGCCACCAUAGACAAGACACAUUCAUAAUCAUGAAGUCAUAAAAAGGAAGUAACUCAUAAUACAAUCCAAGUAUAGCAUGCAUCAUUACAUUUUAAGCAUAUAAGAGUCAGCAUUCAUCAUUAGCUUCAUUUAGAGCACUUUCAUACAUUAGUCAUUCAGACCUUAAGAGAACUCACUAUGACCCUCUCAAAGCUUACUCAUGCAACGCAUGGAUAGCAUCCCAUACUACCACCCACAGUUAAUAGAACUCCUCAAGAAACCAUAAUGCACAUCUCACAUUAUGGGAAUAGGCAUUAACCGACAUAGACCAUGAGAGAAAACCAUGGAAUCGAGUGUUAUAUAGCCCCACACCAUAAAGAGGUGGUUUACUUGCCUGAGGUUGGACCGAUAACAUUUUAGCUUGGAUGGAAUCCACUAGCUAAUAUCCUAUGUGAGCACAUUGUUAUGGGAUAGGAAGAUGUUCGUUGGAACCCAAGCCUAACAUUGGGAGAGUUUCCAUCUUACAAUAUCAACUCGGUGCUUAGCCUCCAUUCCCAUAGAGUAUUUAAUUUACAUUGCAUUAUUGUGCUUGAGUGGAAUGCCAUUUGCCUAUCAACCCAAGACACAUCAUUACACAUGAAAGGAAUGUCAUAAGCCUAUCGAUUCAUGGUACAUUACAUGGAUAGCUCAUGAAAUCCUCAAGAAGGGCUACUUACCUUGGGUCUACCGAUACAAGCUUCAUCUUUUCACACAUAAAAGGGCUACCAACACUAGGAGUACCGAUUCAAGGUUUAUCAUCCCAUUAGUUUCUAGACUCAUCAUGAAGGCCCACCAACAGUAGGUCUACCGGUUUAGCAAAAUGUUGUCUGGCAAACCAUGAGUUGGGCAUUGUAGCACCUACUUCUUUAAUCGUAGCAAAAACAUGCUUAAAACGAACAUUUUAUUUGAAAGUCAUCAAGUUAAGACACACUCAUUAGUCAUUUAUGAAAGGACUGCCAUAAGCAUAUCGAUUCAUAUUCAACAAUCAAGUAUACUUUCAUUCAUUCAAGAAGAGGAUGCAUAUGCUUACCAAUUCAAGAUACAUUUUCACAUUACUUUCAUUUAUACAAGAAUAGGAUGCCUAAGCCUUCCAAUUCAAGAUAUACAAUACAUAGAAGGAAACCCUUCACAUUCCAUCAUCAUCAUUCAUAAGUGUUAAUUGAGAAUGUUCUUUUAAUCAUAACACUAUUACAUUCUAAACAUGACCAUCACACUAUCAUUGAAUUUACAUACAUAUCCUUCACAUCAUAUUCAUACCUUAACUUUCAUUCCUUGCCUUUCAAGGUCGUGGAUCAAAUUCACCCACACACCUUAUAUCAAUACAAUUAGGAAAGAGUAAUAACAUAAUUUCAACAUUCUAUAUUCAUAUACACAGAAACAAUUUACAUACUUCCUAAUCAAUCAAAUCUCAAUCACAUAUCACAACUUAUGAAUUUGUGGGAAAACAUGGGUUCUAGGAAGAUAUCAUCAUAAUUCCUCUUUAAAUCCAAAAUUCAUUCAUAAUUAAAUGCAAUAAAUCCUUUAGAAAACGUUUAGAAUCGAACCCAUGCAUAGAUUGAAAUCUAGGGUUUUUGGGGAAACAUUGGAGACUUGAAAUCACUUUUGAAAUUGGCUCCUUGAAAGAAACUAAGUCAAGGGUGAAGACCACCAUACCUUUAAUGGAAUAAAUCCACGAAAAUAUCUUGAAAAACUUGAAGAUUUGUCCUUGAGAGAUUGAAUCCUUCACCUCCAAUGGAGGUUUCUCAGGGAGAGAACUUUUGGAGGGGAGGUUUCUGACUUUGGGGUGAUAUGAAAAAAUGAAUUCUAAAAUAGAGUUUAAUACUUUAAAAACUCUUAAAAUAUCUUAUUAAACCAAUAAAAACCGUCCAUUAACUAAACUACACUUAAAAUGAAUUUACCAAAAGACCCACACCUUGGUCUAGUAUUGAUAGAACACACAUGUGCCAUCCACGAACCCCCACCCACGGACCAUGGGUAGGUCCACGGGCCUUUCUAGCAAACUGUGGUUUUGUUCAGCAACUCCCACUUUGGUACCUUGACCCACGAAGUCCAUCAACGGGGACUGGAUGGACCUACAUGGCGUAGGUCCCAUCCGUGGUUAACUAAAUAUUUUGGCAGCUUUUGGUUUCUAUGGGUCUUGGGUGUUAGGCUUUAGGGUCCUCCUCAAGGACCCCUAGGGUGGUCCUUGGGGAGUCGUACCUUGAUGUUUACCCCUAAACCCCUCAACCUAAGAUAGGGACAACAUUUUACCACCUCAAACCUCACUACAACUCAAGCACACACUAGUUAGGUUCUAGUUUCACCUAUUUGUUUUACGGGUCGUUACAUUUAGACUUUUACUUUGUAAAACUCUUUUAUAAUAUAAGAUUGUUUCACUAAAACAUUUAUUUCCAUUAUCUUGUACAAUGUAUGCUUAAGGGAAUUUGUGUUGCCUUUCCGGGUUCUAUACGCUAGGUUAUGCCUACGAUAUACUUUGGGUCGGGACAGGCUUGGUAUUAAGAACACAUGGUUUAGAAAGAUCAUAGGAUUUCUCACAAGCCACGUCGAUAAAAGUCUUGUUCAUGAGUGUGAAGUGUGCCACAUUAAUGAAUAGGAAAAUAUCUGAUGUUUUGGAAAUUUUAUUUGUUUAAUCACUCAAUUCGCGCAAUAGAUUUUAACUCUAUAUGUCUAUCUCCAAAUCCUUAUUUGAUGCUUGCUAGCAUCUUUACCCUCGAAGAGCAUGCAUUAGAAGAAAUGCGCAUGAGAAUGUGGAACAAGAAGCUCCUCAUGUUUUGGCCGACCAUUUGGUCAAACAAGUGACUAAUGCAGAGUUCUGAGCCACUUUCCAAGUGUUGUGUCACGCAAUGACAACUCAUUCCAAUAAGAAGGUUGUGGCCUUCAUGAACCCAAAUAUGGGUACAAUGGCAACUAGAGUGAGGGACUUCACUUGGAUGAAUCCCCCAAAUGUUCAUGGUUUCAUGGUUGACUAAGAUCCUUAGAGUUCAUUAAGAGGUUUAUAAGGUUUUGAGAUUUUUGGAGCAUUUCCGGUGGAAAAUAUGGAAUUGGUCGAUUAUCAAUAUUAGGGUGUUGCUAGAGUUUGGUUCAAUCAAUGGAAGGAAGAGAGAGUGAUUCAUGCGGGUCCCCUUGAUUUGGAGAAGUUAAAAGUUGUUUAUCUUGAUAUGUUCUUUCCCCUUAAUAUGAGGGAGGAAAAAGUACUUGAGCUUAUUAACCUUCAUAAAUGGAAUACGAGUGUGAAGGAAUAUGCUUUGAAAUUCACAUAAUUGUAGAUAUAUGCCCCUACAAUGGUUGUCGAUUCUAAAGGAAAGAUUAAUAAGUUUGUUUUGAGUGUGUCCGAAAUGAUGGUUAAGGAAUGUCGUACCACCAUGCUUAUUAAGAAAAUGGGCAUUUCUCGUUUAAUGUUUCAUGCUCAAUAAAUUGAAGAGGAGAAGCCUAAUGAAAGUUCUAAAUUAUGACAAAGACCAGUGAUGGAGACUUUUCACAUUCAAUGUCCAAUAGACAUAGUCGUUCUAGAUUCUGACAAAGUUUUUCUGGUCAAUGUUCCUCCAAUUCUCCGGCUCCUAAGUUCAACAAAGAAAGGGUGUCUAACCCUAAGCCUCAAGGAAGAAAUGGUAGAGAAAAUGGGUCCUUGGUUCUCGUAUGCCAAAAGUGUGGCAAGAGCCAUUCACGAAAAUGCUUGAUGUGUAUGGAUAACUGUUUUGGUUUUGGUCAGAGUGGUCACUUCUUGAGAGAUUGUCCAUUGAUGAGUGGUAGAUUUGCACUCAUCUAAAGUCCAUUUAACUCAAUAAUUAGUGUCAACAAUUCCUAUUAUUUUCCUAUUCUGAUUAAAUGUUGAUGAUUUGCAUAUAUGAAGGAAAUUCGACAAGGAUGGGAUUGAUAUAUGAAAGGAUGGCAAAAAUUUCAAAAAUAAGUGCACCCCAUACAUUGUGGAUCACCUAACAAGAAGGGAGGAUCACCAAUUGAGCAUGACCUUGCCCAGGGUGGGAAUCAGUGAUUCACUGAAUGGAAAAUGUAGAAUCAAUCGAGUUCUCCAACUGAGGUUUAGAACACUAGAGCAUCAAAAGGCAAGUUGAAGAGAAAGAGGUGAUGUGUCGAACGUGUUCGGCGAACCUGACUAAUGUCUUCAAUAGACCUGCCUAGUGGAGUUUUGGGCCUAAUUUUGACAAAUUAUAAAUAUCCCAAAAGAAAGGAUAGAAAAAAAGGUCAGUUUUGUGUGAAGAGUUGAGAGAGAAAACACUUUACUUUUGAAUAACACAUUUCUAGCUUUUGGGGUUUUACAACUUUGUGAUUGAAUUUAAUAAAUUGAAGUUGAAUCCAAAGUGGGAUUACAUGUAAUGGUUUGAUUUCAAAUUACCCAUGGUUGCUUUCAUGAAAGGUGUAAUCUCUUUACUUUUUCUAAUGGGUGGCUAAAACACCAAGAUUUAGUGGGUAUUGUUCUAUGCUUUGUUGUUGUUCUUACAUGAAUUUGGUUUAAUAAUCAUUGGGUUAAUGUGGUAAAUUUGCACUCAUUUAAGGUCUAAUUAGCUCAAUAAUUUGUGUCAUUAAUACUUAAUAGUUUCCUAUUUUGAUUAAAUGUUGAUGAUUUGCAUAUAGGAAGGAAAUUUGACAAGGCAAGGAUUGAUAUUUUAAAGAAUGGCAAAAAUGCAAAAAGAAGUGAAAACUAUACAUUUGUGGAUCACCUAACAAGAAGGGUGGAUCACUAAUUGAGCACGAACUUGCUCAAAAUUAAAGCGCAUAACCCUUGUGUUUAUCUAAUAAAGUGGGCGAAAUCUAGUGGAGAAAGCGAUGCACCAAAUGAGAAAGGCACCCUAGAAUAAUAUUGCCCAAAAUGACAGUGUGAAAAGAAAAGAUUAAAUGCUCGAAAGGCGCACUGAAGUGAUGAUUCACAAUUCUCUGAAUGUGAAAGGCUAAAUCAACCGAGUUCUCCAAAUAGUGUUCCAAACACAUGUAUCCUAGAGAAUCAAGAGGGGAGCUGAAUAGCAAAAGGUGAUGUGCUGAAUGUGUUCAGCAAGCCCGACUAUUGCCGCUAAUUGAUCUGUGUAGUGGAAUUUUGGGCCUAAUUUUGGGAAAUUAUAAGUAUCCCAAAAGAAAGGACAGAAAAAAAGAUCGGGUUUAUGGGAAGAGUUGAGAGAGAAAACCAUUUACUUUUGAAGAACACUUUUCUAGCUUUUGCGUUAUACACUUUUCUACACCCUCCUCUACUAUUGGCCCUACUUUUUAUGUUUCUCUAUAUACUGAAGCUAUUGUUGUGAGGCUUCCCUCCUCUCCUAUUGCACAUCCCCCUUUGACCCAAGCUAUAAUAUACCAUAUGGGCCACCUUACCUUGUCAGUAAAUGUUAAAGCCUCCCGGGUUGAGACGGGCCCGACCAAGCUCAUUGAUCAGGCCAUUAAGAAGACCUUAGUUCCUUUGCUAGAGAAGGUGGUCAAAUGCGAUGGUAUUGUUGAGAGUCACAGUGUGAGGUUGGAUGAUGUCACAAUGAGAUUAGAGGCACAGGAAAAGGCCGAGGGUAGCUCUAGUGCACUAGGCACCAUGAGCAAUGAGAUUGCUACCCUGCAGUAUAUUUGUACUCCAAGGAUAUAUCUAUGCUUUGGGGAAUGGUUACCCUAAUGAGCAGUGUGAGAUUGUUGCGCGUGUUGCUGUUGUGGAUAAUGAUGAUGGUGAGAUGGGUGAGGAAGAGUUGGGUGAGGAAACUAAUAACGAGAAGGUGGGGAACGAAGAGCAUGGGAUUGCAGAGAUGAUGACUGAGCAGAAGAAGACCAAGGAGGUCAUUCUUUAAGUAGCCCUAGAGAUAUCCCUUCCAUAGAUGUCUGAGGUUUUAAUGUAAUUCUCACCACGAAUAGGAUAAAAUGCGAAAAUAAAAGAAGGAUAGAAGAAGAGAUACAAGAGAAGGAACAAUUGCAAAUAAAUGAUUUAUUAAAUCCUAAAACCUCCAAUUACAAUCCCUAAACAAGCACCUAAUCAAGAUAAAUAGGUUGAAACAAGAAAAUGAAAUCAAAAACAACCUAAAGGUAUAUUAAACCUAAAAACCUUAAUCAAUUAUUCCGAAACAGGAACCGAAUCUCUUACAAUGACCUCAAGGAAAUUGAAUAUCCAAGCAACCCUUAUUUCUAAACAAAUUUCAAUAGAAGCUUUACCAAGCUCUCAAAUCUCUCAAAGGAGAUCCAAUUCAUCAAUCAUUCAUGUUCCUAAAAUUCUACCUAAAAUGAACCGCCAAACUAGCUAUUUAUAGUUUUAGGUAAUUAUUACAAAAGAGGCCCAAAAGUGGCCCAAAAUGGGGAAAAGGAUGAGCUGGGUCAUGCUCGCCUAAGGAACACGGCGAGUCACCGAUUGACCUCCAGCUCGCCGAAUGUGGAAGCUUCCCUUUAGCUCCUUGGACCUUUGGGCGGUCUUAGAACCCUCGCCGAAUCAGUUUGGUGAGUCGCCGAUUGACCUCCAGCUCGCCAAAUGUGGCAAGUUUCUCCACUUGCUCUUCCUCGCUUCGUUAGACCUCCCACACGCCAAGAUAUCCUCCAAACACGGUAUUACUCAAUUGGAUGCUCGUUCGAAGCGCGUAUGUUGUUAUUCAAGGCAUGGAAUCCUCUCUUUGUCAUCAACUCAAAUUCAAGAAUGUCCAUCUUUGUGAACAAUUCCUCCAUACUUUGAAGCUCCCAAACUUGGCUUUGAGUGAAUGACCUUCAGGCAAUCUGGAUUGCAUCAUUCUUCCCAUCUUGAAAAGGAUUCGUCCUCGAAUCCAAACCUUGCAAAACCAUAGGGAAAUCAAAUCACAACAAGAUCCUCAUGGCAUGAAGGCUAGCGUUAGCAGUAACUACUCUGUCACCAUGCCAAGGAUGCACAAAUUAAUUUAACAUAUAACCAAGCAUCAAAAUGAUCAACAAAGGGUUUGUAACCCAUCAAAACAAUGGAUACUUGGCUACUUAAGAAACUUUGACAAAGGGGUACAGAGAAGGAACCAUUACACUUAGGGAACCACGCAUGUACACCUUCAUUGGUUCCACAUUUCAACAAGCAAAAUUCCCGUGUUAAGACACUGAGCACAUGAACACCCUCAUACCUAAGUGCAAAUUCAUAAAUAAGGUUAACCCAAGUUAAGACUCCACCCAAUGCACUAGCUAACUUCUGGAAUGUAAUUAAUCCCCAAACAUGAGUAGGGUCAAGUAUAAAAGUAUUCCCCACACAAGUUGGCAAACAUACCUCGUUCACAUAAGAUCAAGUAGUGACACCAAGUAAGAAUCAUAUGAAACAAAGAUAGUGUUACUACCAUACUCAUCAUAAUUGAGGCCAACACCGGGGUCAAAUGGGAAGAAAUUGCAUAGCAUCAAGUCAAGGAGACUCCCAUUUGCCCUAUUGAUAAUAUUAUAAACAUAAAAUAGGCUACCCACACAAGCAUGAGUAUCAUCAUAAGCGAAUAGAUAAUAGAGAAAGGUGUCAUGCACACUGGGGUAAUCUAGGGUGUUCAUAUAUGCAAGAUCACAACUAGGUUCAAGGAUCCUAGAACUCAUUGCAUCACAAGAAGGAACACCCAAAGACAUCAUGGUGAAUUUUAGAUAAACUUCACCUUCUCUUGACAAAUAAAUCCUACCCCCAUAAGAUUCACAAUCAACAAGAUUAAAGAAUGUGGUUUAGGAAACUAACCCUCCCCAUACACUAUGUAGGCCCCUCAAGUGGAUUGUAAACCCUCAAGAAGGACUUUCCAUCUUAGGGAAAGGUAUCAACAGAUUCAUCCAAAGUAUUCUUGUCAUCUCGACCAAGCAUUACUACACAAGUGCCUCAGUCCAACUCAUUUUCGGGUCAAAUGGAAGGGAAAUCCAUGAACUGGGAUCAAGUACACCCCUUUUUGCCCGAUUAGCACUCUUAUAUUCAAAAGAAAUAAUACACUGAAAAGUGUGAGCAUCAUCAUAUGAAAACAAACAAUAGAGAAAGGUGGCACACAAAACAACUUCAUCUAAGGUGUUUUUAUAGGUAUGACUACUAUUAGGAUCAAAGUCAUUGAUCAUACCAUCGAGUGUUGGAACAAGCCAAGAAGAAGAGGUAAUGGGAAAAUAAAUAUCACCUUCUUUCUCAUCAUAAUCCAUCCCCAGAGGAGUACGCUCAUCUUCCAAGUAAAGAGUUCCAUCUUUGGGAGGAAAAUCUUCACACCAUAAUGGGUUACUAUAAAAAGUAUAGCUAUCAAGAGCUACACUACUCUCAUGAUUCACACCACUAGGAACUUCACUAAGAGUGAUAUCACCAUCUUCAAACAAGAUAUUGUACUUAAAUAGGGAAUGAUCAACCACUAUGGAAGAAUUAAAACAAGAAAAUUCAAUCUCAAAAAGACAUCAUUUUUUGAAGCAUUUUUAAGCACAUGAUCUCUAUGAGCAAAACAAGUAAUAGGAUCUUCCAUAAAAAGAUAUGCUCAAAUAGUCACUCCUAUUCAAAUGACCAACAGUAUUAUCAAUAUCACCAAAUUGAGGUUCCUUAAUCACAUCACAAGAUUUGUCAAUUAUUGAACUACACUCAAAUGCAGGUUGAUCACCACAAUUAUCACAUGAUAAUGAACUAUCCCUCAAAGCACGGGUGUCAAGACUAGGUAGAGACAAUUCGAUCUUAAUACAAGAAUCAAUUCGGUCAUCAAUAGGAUUAACUAGUGUAUCAACACUCUCAAUAUGUACAUUAUCAACACAUGGUAAAGAAACAUUAGGGUCACAUAAAGACAAGCUAUCAUUUACACUUUGUUCAUUUGCAAUUGUAAAAAUGUUAAGUUUAGCUAAUGUACCUUGACGUUUGCAAGAAAGAUCUUCUUUACCUUGGAAUGAAACUCUCUUAAGAAUGUUAGGACAACCCAAAAGUACAUUCAUCUCACCUUCAAUGGUGGGCUAUUUUUGGGAACUAGUGUUCCUCCGCUCAUCAUGCUUGUUCCUACAUAAGACCCCUUACAAAGUGACAGAUAAGAAAAAAGUUUAGAUUGAGAUUGUGGCAACCCCCUCAGUUUACUUCACUCAACCUCUCAUUUUUUCACUCUAAGGUUGCCACCUUGCUCUCACUUACUCCUCUCAAUCUUUUGUCUCCCAUUGUGCCUUUUAGGAGGAGGAAAUAGAUGUGUUCCUCAAUGAUCCACAACACACUUGUACCCAUUCUACUCAUUUUGGACCCUAUGCUCAGUGAACCAAUCGGCCCCCAAACAUAGGUGACAAGAAGCCAUGGGCAUUAUAUCACACCAAACCUCCUCAUAGUACAGGAUAGUCUUAAGUAGGCUACCGUAGAUGGAGUGACAUAGUUUAGAUUGCAACAGUCAUCGAGGACAAGAUCAAACCUCAAAGGUCCACAAAUGUAAACCUUUAUCCUAAGAACUUGUCUUCUCGGGUCAACAUUAUAAUGUUUUUUGUACCCCUUUGGCACAUACUUAAACCUUAUAAGCCCUUUCAAUUAUUCCCAUCUCAAAGGGUUGGCAUUUCCAUUGUGUUUUCGAAGCCAUCGCACAUAAGUCUACCAACUCAAUGCAAGACCUUUAAAGUGUUCAAGGGCAUACACGGAUUGCUUAGUGUCUUCCAAGUCAUGGUUUCUUGAAAUUCCGCUCACAUUGCCACUCCCAAUCAAGAUACGCCUCGGGAUCAUAAUUUCCUUCAAUAAUUUCUUUCAAAAGUAGGAAGACUAACUCUUUUGGUACCGAGACACCUAAUAUAAUCCCCAUAUCUUCCUUGGUUCCUAUAUCCUGACAAGUGUGCAUUAAAAUAGGAAGUGUAGGAUGUAGUAUACUUCUACACUAGAGAUGCACACUCUUUUCUUCCCAUAGGAUUAGUUUGACUUGAACUAGUGAAACUAUACACCCCUCUUCGUAUAGGGCAAGAUUUACAAUAAGACAAGAAUAUGAAUCUUCACAAGCCUUAGGGGCAUGCUUCUCAUAAUUCAUAUAUAAGAGAGUAUUAUACCUCACCUCACCUUCAUCCUUGGGGUGGGAAGUGUAAUAUGUUUUGUCACCAUCAUAGGAACUAGCUUUACUUUCGGAGUAGGAGUAAGAUCUCUCACAUACUCUAUCAUCAUCAUAGGAGUCAUCACAAGGUUCAUCAUUUUCUCCAUCUUCACUAUAAGAGCUAUGAUCACCAUCUUCACUAUAAGAGCUAUGAUCACCAUCUUCCUCAUACUUUCCUCCGGAAUAGUAUUCCUCAUUCUCAUCCGUCUUUUGAUCAUGGCUAUCAUCAUAGCCUGCAUAAUCACCAUCAUCCUCACAUCCAUAGCCUCCAUCACGACAAUCAUAGUCUCCCAUUUCAUAGUCACAUGGGUCCAAGGCUAUUGAUGACAUGAUUCCUUAUAUCUCCUUGGUACCUACAAAAUAUGCAAACAAGGUUAGUAGUAAAAGCUCCUCACCAACACUAUCAUUUUCUCACCUUUGAAUACCUCACAAAUUAGCUUGGAUCAUAUUGAACCUUGUUUCAAUCCGGUGGUACACAAGUAUCAAUUAAAGUCUUGGUCGGAAUAGAUUCUUGUUUCAAGAAGGAUGGACGACUCAAUAACAAACAAACGGACUUGAAAUCAAAAAUUUAACUACGAAGUUAAAACUAAAAGCACACAAAGAAAGCACAAGCAAGAAAACGGAUACAAGAGUAUUCAACAACUAACUAAGGACAUUUACUAGUUGGAAAUUAGUUUUUAAGAAUCAAAGAAGUGAGUAGGAAUCAAGGAAAAUGAGACUAGGAAGUUAGAACAUGAGAUAGGUCAUAAAAUCAAGCUUGGGUGUCCAAACUUAAACUAUUUUUCGCCAAAAAUGAAAUUCACGGAAUUUACUCCUCAUAGCUCGCCGAAUAAGUUUGGCGAACUACCGAAGUACCCUCAGCUCGCUGAAUUUUCCUGAGACUCAAUUUCAUUUGGCGAGCUCAGCUCCCAUUUGGAGAAUCGCCAAAUCAGUUUUGUAAGCACGACUUAGCUCACCCAGUUGACUUUCCAGCACAUUUGUAGCCUCCGAUUUUUGACUUCUUGUUGUCCCUUUGUACUUUCUUGACCUAGCACUUGUUCCUUUUGGUAAAUUCCCUUUUGAACCAACACAAGUAAUAUUUCUUUCCACUUCCUUUUGGAUCAAACAGUUCCUUUUGAUAAUUUUACUCCUUGAUGAUUUGAAGAUCCCCAAGAAAACUAUGAACAAGGUGACGACCCAAAAAAAAACCCUCAACAAUUUUGGCUCGGAAUUUCAUAAAAUUUGAGAUAUAGGAUUCCAUUGAUGUAGGAAACAAACCCCAAUACUUCUUAUCUUUCAAUUCAUGGCCAAAUUCAUAAAAUUUUGAAACCCAUUACCUUCUUUCUUCAAGUCAUGAAGAACACCAUGAACAUCAAGAACACCCAAUUUUCAAACCCAAUGGAUUUCUACUUCGUUUUCACCAAAAUUUCAGAUAUUAACUCCUAAGGAUAUAGAUAUCAAGCCUCAACCCCAAAGAGUCUCCAUUUCCAACUAGAUCUAAAAAUUCACAUGAUGUUCUUCAAGCUUCUUCAACCAACAAUGGUUGAAUCUACAAUAGCCCAAACUUCACCAAAUCGUAGAUUUAACUCAAAUAAUACUAGGGAAUACUAAUCUAGCCUUAGAAACUUCAAAUAAGACUCAAACAAACAAAUAUUUUUUGGGAUUUUCUUCAAAAAUUAUUUUGACACUUUUUUUGUAACAAAACCACGACUAGAAUCGUAGGAAUGAAUCUAAUAUUAGCUCUGAUACAAAAAGAUGUAAUUCUCACCUCUAAUUAUGGAAAAAAUACCGAAAUAAAAGAAGCAAAGAAGAAUAAAUGUAUGAGAACGAACAAUUGGAAACUAAAGAAUGUAUUAAAUCCUAAAACCUCCAAUUACAAUCCCUAAACAAGCACCUAAUCAAGAUAAAUAAAAUGACACAAUAAAAGGAAAUAUAAAGCAACUUUAUGGUAUAUUAAACCUAAAUACCCCAAUGGAUUAAUCUGAAUCAAGCACCGAAUCUCUCAUGAAGACCUUGUGGAAAUUGAAUCUCCAAGCAACCCCCGUUUCUAAAAAAAAUCCAAUAGAAGCAUUACCAAGCUCUCAAGUCUCUCAAAGGAGAUCUAAUUCAUCAAUCAGUCAUAUUCAAAAAAUUCUACCCAAAAUGAACCCCCAAACUAGCUAUUUAUAGUUUUAAGUAAUUAUUACAAAAGAGGCCAAGAGUAGCCCAAAAUGGGGAAAAGGCCGAGCUGGGUCGUUCUCGCCUAAGGGACUCGGCGAGUCCUCACUUGACCUUAAGCUCGCCGAGUAUGGAAGCUUACGUGUACCUCCUUGGAACUUUAGGAGGUCUUGGAACCCUCACCGAAUAAGUUUGGCGAGUCGCUGAUUGACAUCCAGCUCAUCGAAUGUGGCAAGCUUCUUCAGUUGCUCUUCUUUGCUUUGUUAUACCUCCCACACUCUAUGCUAUCAUUAAAACAUGGUAUUUAUCGAUUGGAAGCUCCUUUGAAGCCCGUAUGUUGUUAUUCUAGGCAUGGAAUCCCUUCUUUGUCAUCAACUCAAGUUUAAGAACCUCAAUCUUUGUGAACAAUUCUUCCGUACUUUGAAGCUCCCAAACAUGGCUUUGAGUGAAUAACCUUGAGGCAAUCUCUAUGACAUCAAGUUAGUUCUAGUGGAGAUAUUCUAGACCCCACCAUACCUCUGAUAGUUGAGAUAUGAAUUGAUGCCUCAGUUUAGCCUUCCCUUCCACCUCCAGUAAUCCUGUUGCCGGGCAUUGCUGUCCCUUUUGAGGUUUCCCCACGUGAGACUCCUAACGAGAGUUCUCCAUAAACAUAACCUUUUAGGGUAAUCUUUUUAUCUAGCCUCCUCGUACUUUUAUUACAUUGCAUUGAGGACAGUACAUAUUUUUUUAUGGUAGGGUGAGGGCCUUAGUGCCAAUAUUCCCCUUUUGAUUGUAUUUUCUUAUUUUGAUUUUUGAACUAUUGUAGUACUUUGCUUUGUUUUUAUGAUAGUGUUCUUCUGUUAAAAAUGUCUCUCUAGAUUUUAUUUCAUUUGCUCUUUAUUUUGCAACCCCCAAUGAGUUUAAAAUCAUGAAUUUUUUUAAAGUUUCAUUUAUAAUAAUUAGAGGAUCCAUUGUGUUCAAUAUUUGUAACACCCCGGAAAUUCUAUGACUGAAGUUAAAGCCUCACCAUAUGAAUAAUGACUUAAAAUAGUUAAAAUGAUGUUUAUAAACCUAAACUAAUGUAAUUGACUUGGUUUGGAAGAGUAAAGGUCUAAACGUCAAGAAACGACCACGACGUCCGGAAACUAGAGAAGAAUGUGUUCUAGUGUGUCUUUAGGUUUUGGGCAGCUUUAAGAGUGUCGUAUGAUGGUAUAAUCAGGUUAAAAGGUUUAAAAUAGGUAAAUAUAUGUUCCUAGGGUCAAAACGUUUGAAUACGACUCCCCGGGACCACACUAAGGAUCCCUGAGGAGGACCCUAACCUUGGCCAAGCAUACUGCCAAGGCAGCUUGCAAGUUGUGCAUAGAGGGAAUGAUGGCGCGUCGCGCACUUGCUCCCCCAGCGAUAAAAAUUUCAGUUCGCGAUUCGGUCGUGUGGCGGACUCUACUAUCUUGAAAUUUAUUUCCAAAUAUCUUUAGGGAACAUCUCCGCGUGGCGGGCAUGUUCUGCAACGAAAAUGCAGAAAUUCAGAAAUCUAUUUUUACUUCAUUAAAGAGUCCAUUUAAGUGAGGGGUAUUUAGGGUACUUUAGGGGACGUGUAUAUAAUGAUUUUUAAGUCAAGUUACCUAACUUUUAUCACUCAAACACAAAACCCUAAUGAUCUAAAUCUAAAGUUCCUCCUUUUCUCUACUCUCUCUCUUCUCAAGAACUCCAUUGAAAAUAAUUGGAACAUCAAUAAGAAGACCAACUCUCCAAGGUUCCAACUCAUAUUUUCAUGGUUAAUUCGUUAAUAAGGUGUGGUUGCUUAUCACUCUUGGGAUUCCUUCCCCAAGAGGCCCCUCCAAGAUGAAUUUCAAAAUCUCCAAUUUCUAGGUUUCAAUCCAAAAACGUGGGUCUUCUUUCUAAAGUGAAAUUGAUGUUAUAAACUCUUUGAUUGAUGUUCUAUGAACAAUUAUGGAUGAAUUUAUGUUGUAUUGGUGGUUUCUUGAAGAAUUUUCAUGAGACCCAUAUUUCUCCUUCUUUUCCUAAUUCUAACCCUAGUUUGUGUUGGAUAUUGAUUGAAGGCUAUGAAUUGAAUGUGAUCUUAUAUCAUUCAUGUUUGUAUGAUGAUUCUACCCUAGGUUAUGUAUAAUUUCUAUGAAAUUAGAGUUGAGUCUUUGAAAGAAGCCUUGAAAGGCUAUGAAGGGAAUAUGUAAAUUGCUUAUAUUGAUGUUGAUUAUGUUAUUACUUCAUGAAUUACCUUGUAUUGUGUAUUGGUUAUGAAUUGCUUGGUAAUUGAAGUAUGGAUGUCCCAUGAAGGGCAAGAAGGUAUGAAGGUUGGUUCUUCUUUGAACUAAAGUAUGAAA
RNAcentral lists this long non-coding RNA (186499 nucleotides) under Solanum tuberosum (potato). RNAcentral's name for it is "long non-coding RNA (STUB_LNC004847)". The record is from RNAcentral. Lineage: Eukaryota; Viridiplantae; Streptophyta; Magnoliopsida; Solanales; Solanaceae.